RNAcentral lists this long non-coding RNA (207369 nucleotides) under Gossypium barbadense (sea-island cotton). Its description in RNAcentral is "long non-coding RNA (GBAR_LNC017407)". The stretch from base 49793 to 49865 matches the Rfam family "tRNA". The record is from RNAcentral. Lineage: Eukaryota; Viridiplantae; Streptophyta; Magnoliopsida; Malvales; Malvaceae.
UGCUAUAUAUUUUUGUUUUGAGUGUCCAUUUUUUAUCCUUCAUAAGAAAUGUCUUGAUGAGUUACCUACUAAAAUUAAUCACACUUCCUAUCACAUACACCCUAUUUUUCUUAACCGUAGUGGCAGUGAUUGUUUGUGCAACCUAUGCCAAAAGCAACAUUCUGGACCUUUUUAUGGUUGUUCUCUUUGCCAUUUUAACAUCAAUAUUGGUUGUACUCUUCCAAUGUCCAUUGUUGAAGGUAAAAGCCGCCAUCAACACCCAUUCACAUUAUUUCGAAGACGAGGUUCAUUCAUUUGUGAUGCAUGUGGCAUCGAGGGAAAUUCUAUUUCUUAUAUAUGUUUGAAAUGUUACAUCGAAGUCCACAAGAAAUGCACUUCACUCCCACGUAUUAUCAAAUUUUCUCGACAUGAUCACUGUAUUUUUCACAAAUAUUUUCUUGAAGAUCUUACAAGGCAAGAUUGCAAGAUUUGUUUCAAAGAAGUGAGACUAGAGCAUGGGAGUUACUCUUGUGGGAAGCUAGGGUGCAAUUACGUUGUCCAUGUGAAUUGUGUCUUAGAGGAUGAUAAGUUGUACGAGGUAAUUGAGGACGAAAAGCAAUGUGAGGUAUGGUGCAUUCAGAUGUGGAAAGUGCAUAUUUGCUUUGGAUUUUGGAUGCUUAACAUUACCACGUUCAGCUCUUCACAAAAUUGAUGAACACAAGCUAAAGCUUACUUAUCAUGAUGAUAAGGAGCAAAGUUAUUGUGAUAUUUGUGAGCAAUAUAGAGAUCCAAGCCUUUGGUAUUAUUCUUGUUCAAUCUGUGAUACUUCUGCUCAUCUCGAAUGUGUUCUUGGAAAUUUUCCAUUUCUCAAGGAUGGGAGCACACUUCCUAAUUAUGAACACGAUCAUGAUCACGGUCUUAAAAUUUUUAGGAAGGUUGAGGGCUUCCCUAAAUGUUCUGAGUGUGGUAAGUUUUGCCAAGAAGAAAUUGUCAAAUGUAAAGAGUCUACAUGCAAUUAUAUUCUCCAUUGCAAAUGUCUAGGUUUGUGAGUUUAAAGCUUUGUGGUAAGUACUUUAGAUGAUUAAAGAGCUAUUGUUUUUCUUUGAAAUCAUCAAUGCAAUUAAUUGUUCUUAUUUCAUGAUUUUGUUUUCAUUAUUAACAUCGGUUUUAAUUGUCUUCAUGGCUACAGAUGUAUUUUGCUCAAAUGGAAAGCACUAGAGGUUUUAUCCGAUCCAAAGAGUUCACAAAGGAUUUGACAUUUCAUUCCUACUUCUUCGAUGAAGGAUGCUCAAAUUUUAAGUGUGUUUUGAUUGAAGUGUUGGUUUGUUUAAAAUUUGUUUGGGUUUGUAUGAUUUGAACUCACUAUUAUUUUGUGAUUCAUCUAUGAUAUAUUUGAGUUUGUAAAAUUUGAUUUCAGUAUUAUGUUGUGAUUUAUUGGAUUUGAAUUAUGAAAAUUAAUAAUUAUUUGAAUUAUUUCUUAUCUAAAUUAUUUCCGCAAUGUUAAUUAAUUAUUUUUACCCCAUAUAUGAUGAAACUUUUGGAAGCCACCAAUUUGCCUUCAUGCUAGAUGCUUUUCUACCGCACUUGUUUAUUUGAGAAAUAUAAUUAUAUAAAGUUUUGAAUACAAUAAUAUAAAAAGAAGUUACGGAAAUUAUGUAAAUAUGAAGCUGAAUUGAGUUCAAUCUCAACUAAUUCCAAUAUUUGGCCCAAUUGGACAUCUUAAUUUCAAAAUUAUAAAUAAAAUGCAUGGUACAAUUUGAAAAUUAUAAAUAGAGUUAAUUCCAAUAUUUGAAAAAUGAUUGAAAUGAUGAGUGGUAAGUAUUUGUUAAUAGAUUGUUACAAAAUAAAAAAAGGAAUGAUAUGAAAGAGAAGAAAGUUGGCAUCUUUUCUUUUUUAUUAAAUAUGAAUUGCAAUGCCUUCCACCAUCUUCACCCUUCUUUUCUUUCUUUACUUCCUACCUCUUUCUACCCUUCUCUUUUUCACUCUUUUCUUCAUCCUCUGCCUUUCUUUCCUUCCUAUUAUCUCCUUCAUCUUUUUCAUUUCUCACAACCACAUUCAGCUCUUCACAAAAUUGAUGAACACAAGCUAAAGCUUACUUAUCAAGAUGAUAAGGAGCAAAGUUAUUGUGAUAUUUGUGAGCAAUAUAGAGAUCCAAGCCUUUGGUAUUAUUUUUGUUCAAUCUGUGAUACUUCUGCUCAUAUCAAAUGUGUUCUUGGACACUUUCCAUUUCUCAAAGAUGGAAUCACAUGGAAUUAUUUCGAUCAUUCACAUAAUCAUGAUCUGAAAGUUUUUAGGAAGGUCGAGGGCUUUCCUGAAUGCUAUCAUUGUGGGAAGUUUUGCCAAGAAGAAAUUCUCAAGUGUGAAAAGUCUACAUGCAACUAUAUUGUCCACUACAAAUGCCGUUGGGAGUGACUAUGCCUAAAGCUUUGUGGUAAGUACUCUAAAUGAUUAAAAAAUUAUUUUUCAAUCAUCAAUGUUGUUGAUUGCUAUUAUUUCAUGAUUUUGUUUUCAUUAUCAACAUCAGUUCAAAUUGUGUUCAUGGUUGUAGAUGUGAUUUAUUCAAAUGAAAAGCACCAAAGGAUUUAUUUGAUCAAAGGAGUUCACAAAGGAUUUGGCAUUUCAUUCCUACUUCUUUGAUGAAAGGAUGCUCGAAUUCUAAGUGUGAUUUGGUUUUAUUGUUACGUUGUUAUGAUUUGAUUUCAAUAUUACUUUGGGAUUCAUCUAUGAUUUGUUUGGGUUUGUAAGAUUUGAAUUAUUUCUUAUUUAAAUUAUCUUAAUUAAUUUAAUUAUUCUCAACAGUAUUGAUUUAUGGGUUUUAGAAGUCACCAAUUUCUGGAAUGGACUUCCAUUCCGUGAUCAAUUAUCGUCUAUCAUUUUAGAGAAUACUCGUGACAAGAUGAUUAAUCACCGUUGCUACGAUCAUGAUGGAUAUCUUAAUUUCUUUAAAUAAUUUUAACAAACAUGAAAAUUUCUGAUUUUAUUAAAAUAAUUAGUUUCUCAAAACAUAAAGCCUACAUUCUAUUAUUUUUUGUAUUAAUCUGAAUAAUUAUUUUAAGUAUGGUUAAUAUUAGACUAAUAAAUAUGGUUUUGAAUGUUUUAUAAAACUUAUAAAGUAAUUAGGUAUUUUCUUAGAAAUUUUGAAAUGAAUUUUUGGACUAUUUCAAAACUUAAAUAUCUUAAAUAAUUAAAUUAUAAUUAUAAAUAAUGAUAAUUUUUUAAUUUUUUUAAGUUCUUUUUAUUGUGCAUGUUUAGGAUUCGUGAUUAGAUUGAAUUGAAAUUAUAUAUAUAUAUUAUUUUUUUAUAAAUUUUUAAUCAUUUAUUUAAUGAAACCAAAUGAAUUGGUGGUUUGAUUAAUUGGAUCAUUAAUUAGUCCAAUUUUGCAAACUUUAGUGGCAUAAUAGGUUAGACUUUUUCAAAUACUGUUCUUUGUUUGUGACAUCUACCUAACCCACUAAAUUAAAAUUUUAAUAAUAAACUUAAUAUUUUUUUUAGAUUUAUUUAUAUUUGGAAUGGUAAAAUGUAUUAAAUCUUUCAAAAUUGCCAGUAUAAAAAUAUUUUUUUAUAAAAUGCUCAAAUAAAAGUUAUUAAGUUUAAAUUUUUCGAUAUCUUUUCAAGUAGUAUUUGAUUUAAUUAUAAUCUACUCUUUCAACAUUUAUUGGACAUUUAUUAGAGGAUAUAUGGACAUGUGCACAAGGUGUGCUAAAGUUGCUGAUAUCAUUGAAAGUGAAGGACACCAACACUUUCUCUUUUUUGAUUUCAAAUGUGAGGAGAAAUGUAAUGGUUGUGGCAAAAGGUGUCUGGAUGUUGCAUUCAGAUGUGGAAAGUGCAGAUUUGCUUUGGAUUUUGGAUGCUUAACAUUACCACAUUCAGCUCUUCACAAAAUUGAUGAACACAAGCUAAAGCUUACUUAUCAUGAUGAUAAGGAGCAAAGUUAUUGUGAUAUUUGUAAGCAAUAUAGAGAUCCAAGCCUUUGGUAUUAUUCUUGUUCAAUCUGUGAUACUUCUGCUCAUAUCAAAUGUGUUCUUGGACAAUUUCCAUUUCUAAAGGAUGGGAGCAUAAUGCCUUCUUAUUUUUAUCGCAAUCAUCAUCAUCAUGAUCUUAAAUUUUUUAAGAAGGUCGAGGGCUUCCCUGAAUGCUCUCCUUGUGGAAAGUUUUGCCAAGAAGAAAUUCUAAAGUGUGAAACGCCUACAUGCAACUAUAUUGUCCGCUGUAAAUACAAAUGCCGGAGGGGUCACUAAGCCUAAAGCUUUGUGGUAAGUACUCUAAAUGAUUAAAAAAUUAUUUUUCAAUCAUCAAUGUUGUUGAUUGCUAUUAUUUCAUGAUUUUGUUUUCAUUAUCAACAUCAGCUCUAAUUGUGUUCAUGGUUGUAGAUGUGAUUUAUUCAAAUGAAAAGCACCAAAGGAUUUUUUUUGAUCAAAGGAGUUCACAAAGGAUUUGGCAUUUCAUUCCUACUUCAUUGAUGAAAGGAUGCUCAAAUUCUAAAUGUGAUUUGGUUUCAUUGUUACUUUGUUUAAAGAUCGAUUUGGGUUUGUAUGAUUUGAUUUCAAUAUUACUUUGGGAUUCAUCUAUGAUUUGUUUGGGUUUGUAAGAUUUGAAUCAUUUCUUAUUUAAAUUAUCUUAAUUAAUUUAAUUAUUCUCAACAGUAUUGAUUUAUGGGUUUUAGAAGCCACGAAUUUUUGAAAUGGACUUCCUACUUUUCAGCUUGGGUUGUAAUGUAGAGUCAUAAUAUUUUGGGAUAAAUUUAUCAUUUAAUAAAAAACAUAAAUGUGUUAGGGAGUUGACUACAUUUCGUGAUCAAUCGUCUAUCAUUUUAGAGAAUACUUGUGACAAGAUGAUUAAUUACUGUUGUUACGCUCAUGAUGGAUAUCUUAAUUUCUUUAAAUAAUUUUAACAAAUAUGAAAAUUUCUGAAUUUUAUUAAAAUAAAUAGUUUCUCAAAACAUAAAGCCUACAUUCUAUUAUUUUUUGUAUUAAUCUGAAUAAUGUUUUUAAGUAUGGUUAAUAUUGGAUUAAUAAAUAUGGUUUUGAAUGUUUUAUAAAACUUAUAAAGUAGUUAGGUAUUUUCUUAAAAAUUUUGAAAUGAAUUUUUGGACUAUUUCGAAACUUAAAUAUCUUAAAUAAUUAAAUUAUAAUUAUAAAUAAUGAUAAUUUUUAAAUUAUUUUUUAAGUUCUUUUUAUUGUGCAUGUUUAGGAUUCAUGAUUAGAUUGAAUUGAAAUUUUAUAUAUAUAUAUUAUUUUUUAUAAAUUUUUAAUCAUUUAUUUAGUGAAACCAAAUGAAUUGGUGGUUUGAUUAAUUGGGUCAUUAGUCCGAUUUUGCAAACUUUAGUGGCAUAAUAGGUUAGACUUUUCAAAUUUUGUUCUUUGUAUUGUGACAUCUACCUCGCCCUCUAAAUUAAAAUUUUAAUAAUAAACUUAAUAUUUUUUAUUUAUAUUUAUUUAUAUAAAUAUUUUUUGAGUUUUUUUGUAAUGGUAAAAUAUAUUAAAUCUUUCAAAAUUGCCGUAUAAAAAUAUUUUUUUAUAAAAUGCUCAAAUAAAAGUUAUUAAGUUUUAAUUUUUUGAUAUCUUUUCAAGUAGUAUUUGAUUUAAUUAUCAUUUACUCUUUUAACAUUUAUUGGACAAUUUUAAAAAAUUAUUUUUUUAUAUGAAUAAUCAAAAGUUUAAUCUUAAUUUCAUUAUGUAAUUUUAUCAAAAAUAUUUUAAAAAAUUAUAUAUAACAAUAGAAAUAGAGAAUGAUAGAAAAUCAGUAAAUGCACCCAUUUCUAAAUUAUAUACAAAUAUUUAACGGCAAUGAUUAUUUCACCUAAUUAUAGUAAUUAGAAUAACUAAAUUGAAAAAAGAAUUAUAGUGAUCAAAAUAGGACAAAUUUUAUUUUAAAGUGACUAUUUUAUAUUGUUUAGAUUUUGAAUAAUUAAGUGACUUAAAUGAAAACUUUAGAAUAAUUCUAUAAUUAUUUUAUAAUUUUUUAAAGUUGAAAGAUAUAAACGGACUCAUAAUUUAAUAAUUUUCAACCUACUUUCCCCUAAAAAAUGAUUUAUAUAUAAUAAUAGAAAAUGAUGGGUAAUUUCUAUACCUAUUAUUAUCAAAUGAUUAAAUUAUCCUCUAGACACAAGCUCUCAUGGUCAAUAAUUUUAGAAUUGGAUCAAAUCAAUCACUAGUUCUUGAUUUCAUCAAAUCUAUCGAUACAAUUCAUAUAUAUAUAUAUGAAAAGCAUGUAUGAGGAAAUGCAUACAAUAAAAUCAUAACUAUAGUUCAAAGGUGUGAUUCUUGAUUAUAUUAAGGUUUACUACCAAUUAUUUUGGCAUAUUCUUGUUUCUUAUUUCAACCCCACAUCCCUGUUUGAAUAUAUAUAAUACAAUAAAAAUAAAUCAAUCAAUAAGUUUUAAGAAUGAGAACAAAAACUUGAAUAGCACCAUGUAUUUUGAUACGGUUAGUCAGAUUCUCUCAUUUUGAUCUCUAGUCUAGUCAUAUCCGACGAUCAUAAACUACUCAUAUAUAUUGAAUAUAUGAAUACAAUUCACAUAUCUUAAGAACACGAUGAAUGAAACAUAUUCAUAUCCAACAUAUCGAAUAUUUGACACUGACUCCUAAUACAAAGCUACUAACAUUUAACAUAGGAUUACACGGAGAGAGUUGCAUGAUUACACAAAGAUAAGCAAAGAUGCCACAAGUCUCCAAUGAAAAGAUACGAUAAUCCGACGACUCUCUAGAUACAUGAAAAUCUACUUGCUCUCAGAAUACAAAUGCUUAAAGCUACUAGCUAAAUCACACCCUUACUAAACUGAGAAUAUAACCUCACUAAGCACAACUCCAUUUGGAAGAUAACGAUUGUCACCGGUUCCAACAUCAAACGGCCCGGAUUCUCAUGUUGCCAGCUUUCAACUCUGCAUGUUAAACAAUGCCGGAAUUCGACUCAUUCGCCUCUUCCAUUUGACUAAGCUUUUCUCCUGCUAGCAUCAAACCUCAAAAGCACAUUUUUCUACUUAUUCUAUGUUAACAUCUUUAUUGUUCAGAAAAACUAAUUCCAGGAUUGAAACUAACGGAUCCUAUUUUAGAUAAUAACUUCAACGAGCUCAAGAUAAGUAUGGGAUCUUCAGGACGAGCUUCUGUGUUUAUCCAAUCCGAUCCAAUUUCUUCAACGUUAGGAAAACAUUAGAAAAACAUUUUCCUCAAUUCAAUCCAAACAAAACUCCUAGAUAUGUUGUUAUAAACAGUUUAGAUAUUAAGAAUGGGUUUGCAGUCAUCAAAGUGUGAGCAAGAAUGAAAGCCUAAAGAUUUUUCUUAUAAAAAAUUGCCAACUUAAUAUGUCAAGUUUCUGAGCGGAACAAUGUCAGGCAGCAAUAGACACAAGCUUUUCUUAAGCAUUUUAUCAAACAGUUUCUAUGCGCAAUCAGGCUUCAAGCCAACUUGGCCGCAAAAUAAUGUCUGCCUCACGCUUCCACAAGUAUCGCUCCCAGGUGACACAACACAUUCCCAGGUUGAUACAGAUGCAGCAGAGCCACCCGAGACAGGUUCACUGUUUAUCACCUAUUCAAACUAAUAAAUAUAUUACAUUUUUAGAGCAAUAAAAACGAACUUUUUAGAGCAAUAAAGAAGAAGCUAAGAACUUCUUCCUAAGAAGCUAAGAACUUUUCGAACCGGUCAAAUUCGGUUAGUCGGUUUGACAUUUUUAGAGCAAUGAAAUAAGUUAUAUGGCUGGCAAUUUAAAUAGGAUGCUGGAAGUCAUUAAUCAGAGAACCAAUCAGAUAACCAAAUUUUAUGCUUUAUGCUCUCAACUCUCAAACCAACUAUAGAAAAGUAUUAUCUGACACUUCAGCACAACUAUCUAACCCUUGAUCGUGUUCUUGCUGGUGCUUCAAGAGCCGGCCUAGAGGGACUAGUUGGUGCAGCCUGCAAGAUUCAAAUAUCAGAAACAAUUUAUUUAUAACCGUAGUGAAAUCUUGAAACCAAAGAAAGAAAGAGAGAUAAAGGAGAAGAUAUGGUUCAUUGCAGUCCAUGAUUAUCCAGUAGAUGAGAGAUUUGACGAUUACUCUUGGAGGCUUGUGUUUAGAAGAAAUCUUCGAUUGGGAAGAGAUGCUUAAUGAUCUUAGACACACCAUCUCUAUUCACGAGCUGGUCUCCUAGAGAGCCGAUAAAAUCAUUUGGCAGCUUGAUGACUAAAGCAAUUUUGUAAGGAAUCAUCUUGGUGGUCAAAUCUUGGUGGUAUAAUCAUUUUGGACUGCCUCGGAUGUUAGUUGGGUAAAGUAUAACCCGGACUCAUUUUGCAAUGGCUACCUUGCAAGACUCAUCUGAAGCAGCUUCUCCGCUUGAUCUGGGAACGAAGUUAUAGACAGAUACGCGCCUGCGCCAUUUCAUGAGGUUAGAUUAAAAGAGAAAAAGGACUUCAACAGAAGUUUUUUAUGGCUAUUGAAUCACUAACAAAUGUGUGCAGUUCCAAGCACGGCUAAAUUCUUGCCUUGAAUUGUGACCAAACCAGCUUUGACAGCACCUUGCAACUUAGUUGUACCUACAGAAUCAAACGUACCUGCAAAAACAAGAACUAUUUCAUGCUUUGCUCCCUGCAUACAUCACAACCACGGUCAUUACAACGGCAAGCAGUUGAUAUUUAACCUGGUUUUACAGUUUGAGGCCCUGGUGUUAUACAUGCUAUAUUCUGAAAACCAGCUUGCUCCAAUUUAUUGGCUGCAGAAGUCCAUCUUUUCAUUAAGCAUGUGGGACACCCAUGUCCAAUGCAUACUCAACAGAGUAAAACAGACUGAACCCAUAAAACCACUUUUAAGUUGCAAAUUAAGUGAGCAUAAUCAAUGAAGCUAAUUGUACAAAUGCAAAGUAAACAGAGAAGGAACCCGACCUCCAAAAUUGCACAAGAAAAUCAGGAUAAAAUGAGUGAACCAUUUGUCGAUUUUCCCAUCAUGCUAAUAAUUUAUGCCGUAUGUUGGUUUCUAUAAUAAAGGGUUGUAUUUAAUGAAGUAAUAAUCCACAUGUAGAUCAAGUUACAAACCUGCAUCUGAUGACCAUGCAAUUCUGAUUCAUUUAACAGUAGAGCACUUUGAUCAGCAUCAACUUCAACAGAUUCAACAUAGGAAAAUCCUUUAGGUUGACCAAACUUGUCUGUCAAAAUUGUUACCCUGAGCACACGAUUGGAAUUGCUGGUGAACUUCCUCAGGUGUACAUGCAUAGUCUACCUGAUGUUACAAAGACAUAUAAAGAAAUAGAGAGUAAGAGAGAUGCUCAAAACAUUGAGAUCAUUUAUUAAUUGUACACCUAAACAGUCUAUAAGGUACCUAAACAAGCCAAACAAAGCAUAUGCCAAACUAAAUUAAUGUUUCCCCUGAAUAAGUUGUUAAUUACAUAUGGGUGAAAUUAGUUUGAAUCACAUUGAACUCGCCAUCUGUAAUAACUAAGAUUUAAUUGUUCAUGCACAUGCACAUGGACAAAACAGAGCAUUUCAAGCCACACGUACACAAGCAUAAAACCAAAUUGGGUUGAAGGGAUCAAACUGGUAGAACUACUCCUACAUCCUUUGGCCAAACUAAAAAGCAUGAUCCUAAUUUUAUUUGAAUAAAGAAUGAUAUCAAAAAAUUAUAGUGAGCAAGAUCUCAAAAACAUCCUGACAAAGCAAAUUCCAAGCACCAGCAGGAGGGGAAACAAAAAUUUGCAGCUCGAAACCCAUGUUAAACCCCCUGUUUUGCCAGCCACUUGAUUCGCACUCCAAGUGAGAUGGACAAUGCAAAUAUCCCAACCACUUGAUUCUUAAUUUCGGCAAGACCACUCCAAAAAACAAUAUGUACAAUUCAACAACAAAAUUUAGCAAAAAAAUGGCGAUUAAGGUAUUAGUCUUCCAGGGAACCUAUAUUUGAAUCAAAUCACACCUUUUUAGCUUUCCUUCUAAUUUGUCCAACUUUGAAAAAUUGCAGUCAUGCUCCAAACUUCGAAAACAUUAUAGUAAUCCCCCAAAUGUUUGUAAACCUUAGGAAUUCACACCAAUCCAAUCCCAACUAGAUUCCAUAUCCCGCUUUAUUACCAAAUCUUGCUUUAUCCAAAUUAUUAAUUGCAUCCCACUUUUCUUUCUCAAUUUAAAACCGAAAAUUGUUCAAAAAUAUGCCUAAAAAGAGAUGAGAAAAAUCUUGUUUCACUUUAUAAUUUAAAUGAAUAUAAAUUCCAAACUUUAUUAUAUACAACGUAGAGUUGUAAUGUUUUGGGAUAAAUUUAUCAUUCAAUAAAAAACAUAAAUGUGGUAGGGAGUUGACUGCAUUCUGUGAUCAAUCGUCUAUCAUUUUAGAGAAUACUCGUGACAAGAUGAUCAAUCACUAUUGUGACGCUCAGGAUGGAUAUCCUAAUUUCUUUAAAUAAUUUUAACAAAAUAUGAAAUUUUCUAUUUUUUUUAAAACAAUUAGUUUUUUUAUAAAUUUUUAAUCAUUUAUUUAAUCAAACCAAAUGAAUUUUAAAAAAUGAUUUUUUAUAAGCAUAAUGAAAUCUUGACACCAAAGAACUGAAUAGAGAUAAAGGAGAACAUAUAGUUCAUUGCAGUCCAUGAUUAUUCAAUAGAUGAGAGCUUUGACCAUUACAGUUAGAGGCUUGUCUUUAGAAAAAAUCUUCAAUUGGGAAGAGAUGCUUAAUGAUCCUAGACACACCAUAUUUACUCACGAGCUGGUCUCCAAAUAUAAUGAAUACUGGGAGGAAGUAGUAGUAUUUGUAAUGCCAUUUUGGUUGCAUGUCCAAACAUUUUCUCUUUUUUGAUUUAGGAGAAUUGUAAUGGUUGUGGCAUAUCAAGUGUUGGCGUGGUGCAUUUAGAUGUGGAAAGUGCAGAUUUACUUUGAAUUUUGCAUGGUUAACAUUAUCACAUUUAGCUCUUCACAAAAUUGAUGAACACAUGCUAAACCUUACUUAUCAUGAUGAUAAGGAGCAAUCUUAUUGUGAUAUUUGUGAACAAGAAAGAGAUCCAAGCCUUUGGUAUUAUUCUUAUUCAAUUUGUGAUACUUCUGUUCAUCUCAAAUGUGUUCUCGGAGAAUUUUUAUUUCUAAAGGAUCUGAGCAUAGUGCCUUUUUAUUAUUACAAACAUAAUCAUGAUCUUAAUUUUUCUAGGAACGUCGAGGGCUACCCUGAAUGCUUUUAUUGUGAUAAGCUUUGCCAAGAAGAAAUUCUCAAGUGUGAAAAGUCUGCAUGCAAUUAUGUCAUCCACCGCAAAUGCCGUUGGGGUUACUAAGCCUAAACCUUUGUGGUAAGUACUCUAAAUGAGUAAAAAAUAAAUUUUCAAUCAUCAAUGCUGUUAAUUGCUUGUCGAAACCAUUUUUUUGGAAAACGGGGGUCGAGUUUAAUUUUGUAAAGAAAACGAACAUGGGAGUCACCACCAAUCCUUUUUUAAUUUUGUGAGGUGUGAUCGGAUUACCUCGUAAUUUGAUUGUUUUAAAUAAACUGUUUGAUUUACUAAAACAAUAUUUUCGGUCCACGAAAAUCCAGAAAUUGGGUUCGGGAGUCAGUUACGUACAAGGAAGGAUUAGCACCCUUGUUACGCCAAAAUUGGUACCUAAUUGAUUACUUAAUGUUUUAAUGUCGAAAGUUAAAAAUUCGAAAAGAAAUUUAAAAUACGAUCCCUUUUUAUUAAUUUUAUUAAAAAAUACUUGAAUAAAUCGAAAAGGGAGUUAAAGACCCACUCGUCUCAAAGUAACGAAAUACCACAUCUCAUAAGUUAGGACACGAUAUUUGGAACCUUAGAGAAUAAGCUUGCCUUUAAUUUUUAUUGAAAUUUCGUAUUUUAAAAUUUAAAAGGAUAUUUUGCCAUUUAGGUUUAACGAGAAAACCGAAACCCCCAUAAGUUAGGGUACGAUUUCUCAAAUUUCUAAAAUGCAAAAUAUUUCGUUAUUUUGAAAAUUUUUAUUUUUUGAAUUUAAGUAAGAAUGGAUGAAAUGUUUAAAAGUAGUAUAUAUGCAAUUUGGAUUAUAUUUAAAAAAAAUUUACUUGAAACGAAAAGGGUCAUACAUAACUAAUAGUAAUAAUACAACAUGUAUUUGAUAUACAUAAUAAAAUAAUUACAUAUAGCCUUGAUACUAACAUGCAUGAAUAAAAGUAAUGGUACAAAUGGCAAUAAUAACAACAACAACCAUAAAAAUAAUGACCCCAAAAGCUUGAAAGUAUUUGAAAAAAUAGCAAAUAAAUAAAUAACGGAAUAAAAUGGCACUAAUGAUAGGCAAAAAUAAAUCAAAAAAUAAAUAAAUAAAAACUCAUAUAAGUUAGAUUAAAAGUUAAAGAUAAGUAAAUAAAUAAAUAAAAUGUUAAAUGAAAUAUUUAAUAAAAUCUUUUUAUUUAAAAAAAUAAAAAAAAAACAAUUGAAAUUAAACAAGCUAAGGAUUAAACUGAAAUCGAAAUGAAAUUUGGAGGUUUAACAAUUGAUUUGGGUUUGUAUGAUUUGAUUCAAUAUUACUUUGGGAUUCAUCUAUGAUUUGUUUGAGUUUGUAAGAUUUGAAUUAUUUCUUAUUUAAAUUAUCUUAAUUAAUUUAAUUAUUCUCAACUGCACUUUUCAGUUUGGGGUUGCGAAACCCAUAAUUCAAACACACAAUAAUCCGUAAUUCUAAAAAAAUAAAUAAUAAAGACGUUUAAUUUAUUUUUAGAAAUUAGAGAAGAUAUUUUCUUUCUCAAUUUUAAAUUGAAAUGAAAUUGUUCAAAAAUAAUACCUAUAAAGAGAUGAGAAAAAUCUUGUUUCACUUGGUAAUUUAAAUGCCAAACUUUAUUAUAUACAAUAUUGUAGAGUUAUAAUAUUUUGGGGAAAAUUUCUCAUUUAAUAUAAAACAUGAAUGUGGUAAGGAGUUUGACUAUAAAUGGGCGAACAUUUAUUAUUCAAGGAUUCACAUCAUGUAUAGAGAAACUUACAUUGAGUAUACACGUGUUAACUCUAAAAUAAGCGACGUGUCAACAUAUAUCGAGUAAAACAUGCAAACAUAAUAAUUUCUUAUGGUUUUCGACUGUUAUCCAUGUAUUCAUGGCAUGAUUAAAUACUCUUAAACCCAUAAAGAAUCAAAGUAGUAGCCUAAUUUACAAAUAAAAGAAAAGUACAAUUUUUACUUUAAUAAAGAAAGCAAAGUAUUAUUCUUGUAGAAAUGCUUUACUUUGUUAGGAUUUUUUUUAUAUAAAAGGCUGAAAUAAAAGUUAUUAAGUUUUAAUUCUUUUAUAUUUUUUUCAAGUAGUCAUUUACCCUUUCAACAUUUGUUGGACAAUUUUUAAAAAAAAUGUUUUUUUUAUAUGAGUAAUCUAAAAGUUUAAUCUUAAUUUGAGAAAAUAUUUUAUCUAUUAACUGUCAACAAUUUUUUUAAGAAAAAUAGAACAAACACCAAAAUUAUAUAUAAUAAUAAUAAUAGAAAAUGAGUGAAUGGACCCAUUUCUAUGCUAUAUAUUAUCCAGGCAGUCAAGGUUUUUGGAAGUAGAUGAACUCACCUGGUCUCAUCAAAAUAAAAAAUAACUCAUAAGAAGAAAACGAAAAAUUUAACCCCAGUGAUUAUUUUAUUCAAUUAUUUAAUUAAAAUAAUUAAAUUGAGAAAAAAUUAGAGUGAUCAAAAUAGGAUAUAUCUUAUUUUAAAGUGACUAUUUUAUGUUGUUUAUAUUUUAAUGAAAAAAAACUGAACAAUGAAAAAAAAAAAAGAGUGAAAACUUUUGCUGUGAGAACAAAGAAUCCAUACAGUAAUGAUUUUAAAAAAGGCCUUUCGAAUAAUUAAGUGACUUAUAUGAAAAUUUUAGAAUACUUCAAUAAUUAUUUUAUAAACUUAAGUUUACUAAUAGUUUAAAAACCUGAAGUGUAAUUCUUCCUAAAAAAUAUUUUUAUAUAAAUAAUCAAAAGCUUCAUCUUAAUUUGAAUAUUUAAAUUUUUUUUUUAAAUAUUUAGUCCAUUAACUGCCAAACAUAUUUUUUAGAUGAGAGAUUUGACCAUUACUCUUGGAGGCUUGUCUUUAGAAGAGAUGGUUAAUGAUCUUAGACACACCAUCUCUACCCUAGAGAUGGUCUCCUAGAGAGGAGAUAAAAUCAUUUGUCAGCUUGAUGACUAAAGCCAUUUUGUAAGGAACCAUCUUGGUGGUCAAAUCUAAGUUGUUGCAUGGACAUUUCUUACUAUUGCGGCAGGGAUAAGGACUCAUCUUGGACUGCCUCGGAUGUUAGUUGGGUAAAAUAUAACACAGGCUCAUUUUGCAAUGGCUACCUUGCUAGACUCAUCUGAAGCAGCUUCUCCGCUUGAUCUGGGAACAAAGUUAUAAACAGAUAUGCGGCUGCGCCAUUUCAUGAGGUUAGAUUAAAAGAGAAAAUUAAGGAACUUCAACAAAAGUUUUUGAUGGCUAUUGAAUCACUUACAGAUGAGUACAGUUCCGAGCACAGCUGAGUUCUUGCCUUGAAUUGUCACCAAACCAGCUUUGCAUGCACCUUGCAACUUAGUUCUACCUAUGGAAUCAAAUGUGCCUGCAAAAAACAAGAACUAUUUCAUGCUUUGGUCCUUGCCUACAUCACAAGCAUAUGGUCAUUACAACAGCAAGCAGUCGAUGUUUAACCUGGUUUUACAGUUUGAAGCCCUGACGUUAUACACGCUAUAUUCCAAACACCAGCAGGAGGGGAAACAAAAAUUUGCAGCUCGAAACCCAUGUUAAACCCUUAGUUUUGCCAGCCACUUGAUUGGCAGUCCGUGGGGUGGGAGAUGGACAAUGCAAAUAUCCCAACCAUGUCCGCACAGUUGUAGUAUAUUUCUAACCAAUGCCAAGUUAUGAGAAGCAGCCUGGCCAUCAUUCAACAGCUGGACAGCUUGGGAACUGUCACAUUCCACCACUACCUUCUUGAAUGGAGCGAGCAUGAAAAAUGCCCCACAAUUCCGCUUCCAGCACAUUACCAAACGUAAAUAGAAUCUGGAAUUUCCCCCUUUUCAACUUGAUUUGCGGAACUCAUAAUUCAAACACACACAAUAAUCCUUCAUUCAAAGAAAUAAAUAGUAAAAGUUUAAUUUAAUUAUCAAAAUAUACCUAAUUUAAAUAUCAAAUAGUUAAAAAACAGAGGAGAAAAAUCUUGUUUCACUUCCUAAUUUAAAUAUCAAAUUUUAUAAUAUUAAUGUUUUUGAUAAAUUUAUCACUUAAUAAAAAAACAUUAAUGUGGUAGAGGGUUUGAUUCCCCUUUAGACUACAUUUCAUGAUCAAUCAUUUAUCAUUUUAGAGAACACUUGCGAUUAGAGGAUUAAUCAUUAUUAGGUGAAUAUCUUAAUUUCUUUAAUUUUUUUAAAUAAAUUUUAAAAUAAUUAGUGUUUCAAAACUAAUUUGAAGUGUGGUUAAUAUUGGAUUAAUAAAUAUGGUUUUGAAUGUUUUAUAAAACUUAUUCUUGAAAAUUUUGAAAUGAAUUUUUGGAAUAUUCCGAAAUUUAAAUAUUUUAAAUAAUUAUAUGUUUAUUUUUAUUUUAUUAUUUUUCUAGUUCAUGCAUAUUUAGGAUUCGUGAUAAGAUUGAAUCAAUUUUUUUAAUAUAUAUUAUUUAACCAAACCAAAUGAGUUGGUUGGAUUGACCAAAUCAAGAAUUGGUGGUUUAACCGACUGGAUCAUUGGCCCAAUUUUGCAAACUUUGAUGGCAUUUAUUCUUUGUAUUAUGACAUCUAUCUCGCCCUCACUUGAAUUAAAUUUUUUAAUAAUAAACAUAAUAUUUUUUAUUUAGAUUUAUUUACAAAAAUAUAUAUAUUUGAAUUUUUUUAAUAGUCAAAUGGAUUAAAUAUAUACAUUUAGAAUUGUUUCAUGAAAAAAACCGAACAAUGGAAGAGAAGGAUGAUAAUUAAGUGACUUAAAUAAAAACUUUAAAAUAAUUCAAGGAUCAUUUUAUAAUUUUUUAAAAUUGAAUGACUAAAACAUAAAUGGUUUUUAUUGAUCUUAAUUGGACCAUUAUUUAUUUUUAACAUUUAAUCCAUUAACUACCAAACAUAUUUUCUAGAAAAAUAAAAACAACCACAAAAACUAUAUAUAAUAAUAGAAAUAGACAAUAACUUUUGGAGUUAAAAGGAAAAAAAAUCUAACCCUUGAUGGCGUUGUUGUUGAUGCUUCAAGAGCUAGCCUAGAGGAGCUAGUUGGUGCAGCCUGCAAGAUUCAAAUAUCAGAAACAGUUAACUUAUAUCCAAAAACACCAAAGAGAACAUUUAUUUUUUGAGAAUAAGACGUGCUUCCUUUUAAUUACCAAAAAGUAAUAUUCUUUGUGCUUACAAUUAAUCAAAGCAAAAUACUUUUUAAUUAGUAAAAGUAAAAUUCUUUAUAUUUAAAUUUUUUGUACUCCUUCUAAUUAGCAAAAGCAAAGCAUCUCGUUUACCUCGAUUGAUGGGUGAAUUAGAUAUAUAAGAAUAUAUAAAUAACAAUAAUUUCGAGUGGAACAUGCAAGUAUAAUAGUUUUUUAUGGUUUUCGACUAUUGUCCAUGUAUUCAUAGCAUGUUUAAGUAAUCUUAAAUCCGUAAAGAACCAAAAUAGUUACCUAAUUUGCAAGUAAAACAAAAGAACAAUUUUUACUUUAAUAAAGAAAGCAAAAUAUUAUUCUUGUAGAAAUGCUUUACUUUGUUUGGAUUUUUUGUAACAUAUAAAUUUUACUUUGUAUUUAAUUGUCUUUUCUUUUAAGAAAUUUUUUGAGUGUAUGAUACGUUUGAUAUAUUAAAUUUUUUUUAACUAUGAUGUAAAAAUUAAGGCUAAAGGAUGUUUAAAAGCCCCUAAAUUUUUUCAAAAAAUAAUUAAGCCCUUAUACUUCUUUUUUUUUUUUAUUUGAUUGAGCUAUUGAACAUAUUUUAAUUUAUCAUUUAACUGUUAAAGUUAGCGGUCAAUCAUUAAAGAGCAACAAUAACUAUUUUUAAGGGUUGUUUUCGCCAUGUGGCACACCAAGAUUGUGCUAUGCAAGGAAAUAUGAUAUUUUAUAUUAAAAUUAAUAUAAAAAUAAUACAAAUAUAUACAAAUUUAAAAUAUUAUAAAUUUAUAAAAACAUAUAAAAGUACAAAAACAUAUAAAACCACAUUAUAAAUGAAAUAAAAUAUAUAAACUAUAAAAAUUAUUAAAAAUUGAACAAAAAAAGCAUUAAUAAUUAUUAAAAUAACAAAAAGUAUGACAUUAAUCAUUAUUAAAAUUACAAAAAAUAAAAAUUGUAAAAUUAUGAAAAAUAUUUUGAAAUAUAGAAAAUUAUUAAAAUUGUUAAUAAAAUGUAAAAACUAUUAUAAAAAAGCAUAAAUUUGUUAAUAAAAUAUUUAAAAUAAUUAAGUUAUUAUUAUAAAUAAUGACUUUUUUUUUACUAUUUUUAAAGUUCGUUUUCUUGUUCAUGUUCUCGGUUUGUGAUUACCUCUUUUAAUAAUGUCAUCUUCAAGGUUCAAACCUACGUUCUUCGCUUAAGAGUGUAAUGUGUCUUAUCAUAAUACCCAACACUUAUUGGUAUGAUAUACUUAAGCUACAAAUUGUAAUUCUAUACUAAAUAAAUUAUUUAUUUUAAGAAACAUAUUUGGAUUUGAAUGAUUCAAUUUACAUUUUUAAAAAAUUAUUUUUAAUUUUUUAACUUACCAAAUUCAUAUAUUAAUCAUAUUUGGAUAAUUAUUAUUUUGGAUUCAAAUAGUAAUAUUUAGACUUAAUUCAUUAAUAAAGAAAUUAUGCAAUUUCAUAUUAGAAUUUUAUUACAAAAAUGGCAUAUAUGUGAUCUAUUAUCAUCUUUAUCAAAUAUAUAUAAUCGUCUUUAUUAAAAUCAUAUGGUGGUGAUAAUGUCUCUUAAUUCUUCAUUUCUUGUUCUUUAAUAUCAUUCAUAUGCAUAAAAUCUAUUCAAAGUUUUGUAGUCUUCCCUUUUAAUUACCAAAACUAAAAUUCUUUGUGCUUACAAUUAAGCAAACCACAAUACUUUAAUUUUUUUUUUAGAAGUGAUAAUCUUUGGAUACUUGAGAAAAAGAAAACGAAUCGAAUCUCGCACUACCAAAUCUCGCUUUAUCCAAAUUAUUAUAUUUAAUCAAUUAUUAAUUGCAUCCCACUUUUCGUUUUUCUCUUUUUUAUUAAAAUUGAGAAAUAAUAGUGUUAAACCAAAACUCCUCAAACUACCAUUUCUCAAUCAUUCCUCUACUUCAAAAUUAUCCCUCCUUUUAUUCAUCCCCUUUAUUCAGUCCUAUUAUUUCCUUCAUUUCUCACAAACACAUUAAUCAAUAGAGAUGGAGAAUGAGAAUGAGAGACACCACAAGUCGGUGCAACAAAUUCAGCAUCCUCUUCAUGAGGAACAUCCAUUGGUGUUAGUGGCAGAGUAAAGCAAUGAAGGUCUCAAAGCUUACUGUGGUGGAUGUGGGGAACUGCUUUCAGCUCCAUGCUUUACUUGUAUUCAUUGCAAUUAUCACCUUCACAAGCAAUGUGCAGAGGCACCCCUUUCACUUCCUAAUCACCCACUCUAUCCCCGACACUCAUACUAUGGUCUUUUUCAUCAACAAAGAUACUAUGGUCUUUUUCAUCAACAAAGACCAUAUCCUAGUGAUCACAAGGUAUAUGGUUGUGCAUUAUGCAAGGAAAAACCUAACACAUUUUUUUAUGGAUGUCAUUUUUGUUAUUUUUCCCUUAACAUCAAAUGUGCUCAUUUAUCUUCUUCGUAUAAGUUUAACCAACAAUCCAAAUAUCACAUCCACAAACAUCCAUUUACCAUCAUAGAAAGUCCCAUGGCCAUAGAUGUACUCAAAAACUUGAAUUGUCUCUACCGUAACAAUAUCUAGAAUUCUCACCUAACAAUAUUUAAUGUUAUAUACAAGUGGGUGUUUCUAGAUCUUCUUAAACCUUUUACCCUAUUCCACAAGGGUCCAGCCCUUUCUAUAACCUUUCAAAAUGUUUCGGGCUUUCUAGACUUCUCCAACGAGUACUAGAAGUGUCUGCCACAAUCUAGGACAUUUUAAACUCUUCCAUCUCAGUUCUGCACCCUUCCAGGCAUGAUGUGCCUCGAGCCGUUGGCUCUGUACCAUGGAGUGUGCUGCUUUUUGGUGGACAAUGACCAUUACAGGUGGUUUUCCAUUCUCUCUUCUCUUGUAUGACCUUUUUUCCAUCAAUGAGACCUUAACUUAAUGGUAAGGUUGAGGCCUUAAUAACUUUGAGAUUUAUAUUCGAUUCUCAUCUUGUAUAAAUUUGUGGGUUGUCUUCCAUUUUUAUUUUGACUAGUUAGUUAAUUAAAGUUAAAUUAAUUAUUGAGAAUUCUGUAACGCCCUGCUUAAUUUAUUUAUUUUCCUGUAAAUAUCUAAUAUAAAUGUGUAUCUACUUUGGUGGUUAAGUAUUUUAGGUGUGUAUAUGAGGUCUUGGGUUCAUGUCUCCUUAUUGCCAAAUUUUGUUAUUUUAGAUCCAAGUCUUACCCUUGUUGAGUGGGCUUAUAUAAAUUGUCUAUUAAUCUAUAUAAAAGUGAGCCUACUGGUUAAAGUGGUAAGGAGUUAGGGUGUUGGAGGUCUUGUGUUUGAAUCCUUACGUGUGCAAAGGUGUUAAUUUUUGCUCUGUUGACUGAUAGAGUUUCGGUAAGCUAAAAUUCUGAGGUGGUUGUGAGUUAGUGGGUUAGUGGGAGAAAAAUAGGGGACGUGUUAUCAAUUAUGUGGUAUUACUUUUUUUAAAAUUUUUAUCUUUCUUUCAGAAAAAAAUUCUGACAUUCUUUUCUUCUCCUUUUGGGUUUUCUGUCAAUUUUCUUUGUUCUUUCCAAUUCUAUCACAUCUCUUUUGCAUAAUUCAUCGUGUCUCUAUAUUUCAGUGUUCUUUGUGUGUUUCUGGUAAGUGUGGCAAGUGUGGUUAUUAUUUUGGGUUAGUGAAUCGUUGAUUAAUGGGGUUCGUUUUGUGUUUAGGAGAAGAUUAAGGGCUGAGGGUUUCCAAUCGGUGCUUUAGUUAGGCGAAAUCACUGUUGUUCAUUCGAAGGUAAAAGUAGUUUUUGUGGAUUAAAGGAUUAUCUAUUUCGAGAUAGUUCGGUUUGUUAUCGAUUUAAGCGACUAAUUCGAUGAUUUAUUGGUCAAUUUUAGGUGCUGGUGGUCUCAGGAGUGUUUUUGCAUCAGAACUGCACUAGGUGUGUACUCCUAACGCGAAAAAUUGAGCUUCGGUGAAAGUUAAAAAAGGUAUUCUGUCGACGUCACACGAGAGUGUGCCUAGCCGUGUGGUUGCCCAUGUGCGAGACACAGCCGUUUGUUUGACGAAGGCGUAGCCGUGCGCAGGACAUGGUCAUGUGGUGGUGUGAAUGUAGCCGUGUGGGCCACACAGGCUAGGCCAAGUUGGGCAUAUGAGCCACACGGACAUGCCACACGGGGCGUAUGGGCCACACGGGUGAAGUCAAUCUGAGCGUGUGGGCCCACAGGGCAUGUGGGCCCAUAAUUCUAAAAUUUUCCCUAAAGUCGCACUGAUCGUUUCGAUCGAUUGUGGGCCUAACGUAGAGUCGGUAAGGGCUAACCAAACCCUAGAUUAGGUGAUUUGAUAUUCUGAUAGUUUGCUCUGAGUAGGACACUGUAAUACAUGUUUGAUUAUUCUACUAUAUAUAUAUGACAUUUGUAUGCGAGCAUGUUAAGUAUGAUAUUUCUUUAUCUGUAAUCUAUAAUUAUGUCUGGGAUGGAAAUUGUAUAUGUGGAUGAAGUAAUUUGUAUGGCGACAUUCGCCUAUAUUCUAGCAGCUUGGCUGCAUAUUAUUUGAUAUGUGUCGUAAAGACACAAUAUGGUGUGUAGGGAUGGUUAGGUAUUUUUAACCCCACAUGGUGUGAUGAGAUGGUCGGAGUUGGUGUAUAGAGGAUGGGGGUAGGAUUCUAUAUAUCUGUUUUGCAUAUUUGAUUCUAUUAUCUGUAUCUGUAAAGGAGAUAGAUUCGAGACUAAAUCUGACUGUAUCUGUGAUUUCUGUAUGAACUGUAUGUUUAUUUCUGUUGGGUUACACACUGAUUUUACGAAAACUCAGUUCUGCCUGUCUAUUUUGUAACACCCCUUACCCGUAUUCGACACCGAAAUAGGGUAUGAGGUAUUACCGGAGUUUACUAAUUAAUUUUCAGACUAAAUGUAACACCCCUUACUCGUAUUCGACACCGAAAUAGGGUACGAGGUAUUACCGGAGUUUACUAAUUAAUUUUUCAGACAUUUCAUUUUUAUCUAACAUUCAUAUUUAUAACCAAUCAAAAUCAAAACAUUAAUGAGCUAACGUUAACCAAUUUAACUUAUAUACGUCAUUAUAACCAGAAUCAAAUCAUCCAAAAUUACAAAUAGAACCAAUGAAUAAUGUGAUAUAUCUCCAACAAGCUUCCGAUAAUCAUUUCAAAGCAUCUAAUAAUUAUACAUAUUACCAAUAAUAAUUCAGUUCCAAUAAUAAAGCACACAUAUAUAUAAUAUUCAUUACCAAAUAGCAUUCACUUCAACUAAAAUUAAACAAAAUAUAGUUCAUACGAACUUACCAGCUAAAUUGCAAAAAUACCAAAAUUCAUGGACAUUUUGAAAAUUUUCUAUUUUUUUCUCGAAUUUCCACCCAAUCUUGAUCUAAAUUAAUAUUUCAUUCAAUUUACUAAUUUAAAUAAUAAAACAAUUCAUUUCAUGCAAUUUGGUCACUUUUUGACAUUUUUACAAAUUUACCCUUAAAUUUUCACAUUGUUCAAUUUAGUCCCUAAAAUAUAUAAAUUGGUCAUUUUUAAUGAAAACUCAUGCUAGUUGAAUAAUCAUAUAUUUUCCUCCUCCUCCUCCUCUCCAUUCCACAUCCUUAAUAAAUAUAACAUGCUUAUAUGUAACAUUAUCUAUAAUUUCACAUUUAUUUAUAUUCAUUCAAAGCUGUCCACUUGAGUCAUAGUCACUAAAUUAUUUAUAUCUUGAGCUACAGAACUCAAAAUUGAGAUCUGUUAAUUUUCUAUGAAACUAUACUCACAUGUCUUCUUACCAUAAAAUUUUCAGAAUUUUGGUUUAGCCAAUAAGUACAGUUUAUUCUUUAAAUUCAUCCAUAUUCUGUUGUCUGACAGUUCCGACCAUUCUUUACUAAAAAUUAAUUAUCUCCUCGUACAAAAUUCGAAUGAUAUUACCAUUUGCUUCUAUUGAAAAUAGACUCAUUAAGGAUUCAAAAAUAUAAAUUUAAGCCUCUAAUUAUUUUUCUCCAAUUUUUUAUGAUUUUUCAAAGUCAGAACAGGGGAACCCGAAAUCAUUCUAACCUUAUCUCACAAAACCUAUUAUAUCUCAUAAUUUACAAUUCCAUUGCUUACACUGUUUCUUCUAUGAGAAACUAGACUCAACAAGCUUCUAUUUCAUAUUUCAUGCAUCUCACGUGGAAGAGAAGAGAGGAAAGAUAGUUUUACUUUCUUUACAAUUUGGUCCUUUUACCAAAAAUUCACCAUUUUCACUUAGAAAUUAAAAGAAUUUUCAUAUCCAUCAAGAGAGAAAGAUAACAAGGAGACUAUAGGGAGCUAGAAUAUCAAGUUAGAUUCAAGAAAUAGAAGUAGGGGGAGAGAGAAAAUCAAGUUAAAGAUUGAAAUCAAUAGCACAAGGUAAGAACAUCAAGAUUUUUAUAUACUUUUGAGUUUGAUAUUAUUGAAAAAGUAGGAAAUUAAUGUUAAGGUAGAGUUUCUUUAUAUAAGGUUCUAUAUUCUUGUUAUGUUAGUAAAGGGAAAUAAGAGAAAGUGAUGGAAAAUAUUGAAGAGAAAGGAAAGGAAAGUGUUAUAAACUUAGUUAUCAAUAUUUAACACUAAAACAGUUUUGAGACAGCAGUAGUAGUCUGACUUUGAAAAUUUACCAAAAAUCGUAUAAAUUGAAUUAGAGGAUGCAAAAAAUAUGAAAUCAAAUCUUAUUGAGCCUAGUUUCUCAUAGAAGAAACAUUGUAAGCAAUGAAAUUUUAAAUUAUGAGAUAUAAUAGGUUUUGUGAGAUAAGGUCAAAAUGAUUUUGGGUUCCCCUGUCCUAACUUUUGAAAAUCAUCAAAAAUUGUAGAAAAAUAAUUAGAGGCUUAAAUUUAUAUUUUUGAAUCCUUAAUGAGUCUAUUUUCAAUACAAGCAAAUGGUAAUAUCAUUAAAAAUUUUUACGAGGAGAUAAUUAAUUUUUAGUAAAGAAGGGUCGGAACUGUCAGACAACAGAAUAGGGAUGAAUUUAAAGAAUAAACUGUACUUAUUGGCUAAACCAAAAAUUCUGAAAAUUUUAUGGUAAGAAUACAUGUGAGUAUAGUUUCAUAUAAAAUUAACAGAUCUCAAUUUUGAGUUCUGUAGCUCAAGAUAUAAAUAAUUUAGUGACUAUGACUCAAGUGGACAGCUUUGAAUGAAUAUAAAUAAAUGUGAAAUUAUAGAUAAUGUUACAUAUAAGCAUGUUAUAUUUAUUAAGGAUGUGGAAUGGAGAGGAGGAGGAGGAGGAAAAUAUAUGAUUAUUCAACUAGCAUGAGUUUUCAUUAAAAAUGACCAAUUUAUAUAUUUUAGGGACUAAAUUGAACAAUGUGAAAAUUUAAGGGUAAAUUUGUAAAAAUGUCAAAAAGUGACCAAAUUGCAUGAAAUGAAUUGUUUUAUUAUUUAAAUUAGUAAAUUGAAUGAAAUAUUAAUUUAGAUCAAGAUUGGGUGGAAAUUCGAGAAAAAAAUAGAAAAUUUUCAAAAUGUCCAUGAAUUUUGGUAUUUUUGCAAUUUAGCUGGUAAGUUCGUAUGAACUAUAUUUUGUUUAAUUUUAGUUGAAGUGAAUGCUAUUUGGUAAUGAAUAUUAUAUAUAUGUGUGCUUUAUUAUUGGAACUGAAUUAUUAUUGGUAAUAUGUAUAAUUAUUAGAUGCUUUGAAAUGAUUAUCGGAAGCUUGUUGGAGAUAUAUCACAUUAUUCAUUGGUUCUAUUUGUAAUUUUGGAUGAUUUGAUUCUGGUUAUAAUGACGUCUAUAAGUUAAAUUGGUUAACGUUAGCUCAUUAAUAUUUUGAUUUUGAUUGGUUAUAAAUAUGAAUGUUAGAUAAAAAUGAAAUGUCUGAAAAUUAAUUAGUAAACUCCGGUAAUAUCUCGUACCCUAUUUCGGUGUCGAAUACAAGUAAAGGGUGUUACAUAUUUUGUUCAGGCAAACCACGAACUAAGGCGAAUAGGUGUGACGGAGCCUCACGGUGACAACGAAUUCAUAAACUGUUUAAGAUUGUGGUUUUUUUUUAAUGUAAGGUUUAUUUCUGAGAGUUUUGUUAUAAUUGGACUCUCCGGACUGUUUGGUUAAAUUUUAGGAUUUUUGUUUUAACAUUUUAUCUACGGCAUAUAUUUAAAAAUGUGGUUUUUACUAAAAUAAAUGUUUCAAAUAUAUAUAUACGAAUGGGAUUUCCAAAAAAAUACGUGUUCUAUGACUUUCGCUAUAAAUUACGUUUUGGCAAAUAAGUUAAUUAAAUAACACUUUCGAUAAUAGAUAUAAACGAAUUUGAGUUAUAAAACUAGAACGAUUUAUCGUAAUGACUCAGUUUUCAAAACCCAUCUUUGUGACAUCUCCAAAUUCAGCAAUAAUGUCUAGGUCUGGUCUGAGGUGUUACAAAUUCAUAUCAGUGCUUAUUAUAAUUUAAAAUAAAAUAUUGCUGACUUUUCCUUAACCAAAAUACUAUAUUUGUUUAAAGUUGAAUGUAGGAGUAUGAACACAUUAUUUUAGUUUGCAUCCGCUAUCAACAAUUUGCUUGCAUUCUACUUCAACAACAUUACAAUGGUGGAGGCACCCACUUCAUUUGCUAUUGUUAAAUUUGCCCAGCAUAUUGCAGACUGGCCUGCCCUAGUUUGUUUUCACAAGUGAGUGGCGAACUUACUGACUUAUUAUGUUAUAGUGUACAUGGAACAAAUUUUAUUUUAUUUGCAUUACGUAAUUUUUUUUCCAUGAUUUUAACUUUGUUUAUACCUUUGAUACAUCAUUUUGACAAGCUUAUAAGGGAUGUCACUCGAAGCUUAGAUUCGAACAAAAAUAAGUUAACCUAGGGUGGAGUUAGAAAAAUUUGUUAGAGUGCCGAAAUUAAAUUGUAACUUUUCCAAUAGUAAAAAUGUAAUUUCAUCAUUUUAAUAGUUUAUAUCUUUAUAAUUUUUAAAUGAUUAAAUAAAAUUUUUAUUAUUUUUAGGAGGUCAAAGUGAAAUUUUACCUAUUACUAAUUUAAAAUUUUAAAAAUUUUAAAAUAUUUAAAUGAAAAUUUUUCCAUUUUAAGGGGAGCUGGACUUCUACCAUCCCCUAACUACACCCUUGAGUUCACCCAGAACCUAACCACAUUCAAACACGAAUUUGAUAUGCAUUAGCUCAAUUAUUUGCCAAUAGUAUCUUUUAUAUAAUGAGUUGAUGAGAUACAAUAUAUGAAUAUAGUAAUACCCAAGUACAUAAACAUGCGGGUAGUCUAACAAUCAGUGUGCGUUGUAAUGAUUGAUUUUUGCUGUAACUAUUCAGAUGUAUUACUUGUAAGUAAUUGUAAUUGUAAUUUCAAUUAAAGAAAAAAAAUCUUUAUUUUUACGCUAACACAUACUCGGACAUGGUUAUGGGAUACAAUUAUCCAAACGUAUCAAAAAAUAUAAAAAAGUGAAAUCAAUGUUGUUAUUUGGACUUAAACAACUAUAUAUCCAUGGAGAAUGGUUAGGAUACAGCUUCUAAAGUAGAAAAUUGUGUGAUGGCCUUUUGCUUGCCAUCUUUUCAUAUGUUGUAACUAUCAUACAAUGUGUUGCCAUGUAACAACCCGAUUUUGGGUCUAGUCGGAAUAGUGGUUUUUGGACCACAAAUCCGACGAGGAAAAAUGUAAUGGUCUAAAUUUUCAGAGGUGUCGGAACGGUGAUUCGAGAUCACUAAAUUCAACAAAUGGGUAGAAAAUAUUAUUAAUUUAGUGAGUAUAAGUUAAAUGUGAAGUUAGGAAAAUUUUUGAAAUAGUGAAUAGUAUGGAGUGUUAAAAAGUUAGUAUUAAAGUUUCGUUGAGAAAUUUUAAAGUUCCCAUAAUUAAUUGAACAAAAAGGACUAAAUUGUAACAAAUGCAAAAUUAUGGGAAAUGAUUAAAUAGCUUAAAUGAUAAAAGGAAGAGGGCUUAAAAGGCAAAUAGACCCAAGGUCUAUUUGGGCUGGACGGCAAAGGCAUGAAAUCAGCAACAAAGUCAGGAGAAUUAAGGGUAAAAUUGGAAUAUUGCAAAAUUUACUUAAUAAAGUUAGGACCAAAGUGGAAUUAUCUAGAUUUCUCUUCAUUUUUCUGCACUCUCAUCAGCUAAAACACCAUAGAAGGGUUUCUUCAAGCUGGUUCUUCAUAUUCUUACUGCAAGUAAGUUCAAUUCUUGAUUAUUUCUUCAAAUUUUUGUGUUUUUGUGACUUUUACAACUAGGCCCACUUGUUAAAUUCAUUAGUUUUUGAUUUUAUGAAAAAAGUUGAAAGUUGAUAUGAAUAUGUGCUGGAAGUAUAUGAUGAUUUAGCAUGGAAUUAGAGCUUUAAAUUGUUCAUAUGCUGAUUUUAUUGAAAGAAUUGAAUAGAAAGUGAAUAUUUGGGACCUAAUAGUAAAAGAGUUUGAAGAUAGAGUUAUAUGUGAAAAUUCUGAAUUUUAAUAGUUGUGAAACAACUUAUCAUGUCUAGGUAAAGUAUUAAUUGAGAAAAUUAGAUUAAUUGAGGGGUUAAUUGAGAAAGGACCGAAUUGUAUAAACUGUGAAAUUUGGGGCAAAAUGGAAAUCAACAUUUUGCACUAAAGCAGUUUUGGACAGCAGCAGUAGUCUAACUUUGAAAAAUCACCAAAAAUUUUAGAGAUUGAAUUAGAGGAUCAAUAAAAUAUGAAAGCUUAUUGAGUGUAGUUUCUUAUAAAAGAAACGGUGUAAGCAAUACAAUUGUAAAUCAUGAGAUAUAAUAGAUUUUGUAAGAUAAUGUCAGAAUGAAUCCGGGGUUCCCCUAUUUUGACUUUGGAAAAUCAUUAAAAAUUGUACAAAAAUUAUUAUGAGUUAUAAUUUAUAUGGUUAGAAUCCUUAAUGAGUCUAUUUUUAUAAGAAACAAACGAAAACAUCAUCUGAAUUCUGUAGAAUGAGAUAAUUAAUUUUUAGUGAAGAGUGGUCGAAAUUGUCAGACAGAAAAACAGGGGAAACUUUAAAGAAUAAACUGUACUAUUUGGCUGAACCAAAAAUUCUGAAAAUUUUAUGGCAAGAAGAUAUAUGAGUCUAGUUUCAGGGAAAAUUAACGGAUCUUAAUUUGGAGCUCUGUAGCUCUGGAUAAAAAUAAUUUAGUGACUCUGACUCGGAUAAACAGCUUUGAAUAUACAUGUGAGUGAAUAUUGAAAUUAUGGUUAAUGUUGUUUAAGUGUGUUAUACACAUUAAGGAUGUGGAAUGGAGAGGAGGAGGAGGAAAAUUGAGAAAUAUAUGAAUGAUUUGUGUAUAAUUGGUCAUAUGCUUGAUUAUAAUUGAUAAACGAUGAAAUAGAAGUGAUGCUUAUAUUUGUUCAUUAUUGGUCAUGGUUUAAGCUCAUGUGUAAAAAUAAAGUUUCAUAUUAUGUGUGUAUGGUAUAUUCGGUGUACAAGACCAAUUUGACCCGGCCCAAUAGCCCAAGGCCCAAAAUCUAAAUUGGCCCAAUUGGGCCCAAAAAUUAAACAACAUCAGGGAACCCUAGGGUUCCCUACCUUGCUCAGCGUCGUACGCCUCCUGCAGCCUAGCCCUCUGCCACCGCCGUUCACCUUGUCCCAUCGCCACCUGCUUCACCUGCAAAUAAUAAAGAGAACAACAGCAACAAGCAAGAGGGGUUUUGUUUUUUUGAUUUUCGGUAUAUAAAUCGAUUAUUAACAAAUUUUCAAUGGGGGGAUCACGGUAAUCGAGUCUUUUUCUCUUCUUUUUUGUAACAUUUUCACACAAAAAAAAACAAGAGAUUAAUAAGAAAAAGGUUGAAUCCUUGUGAUUUCCUCUUCGUUUUCAAUUUUUUUUUCUUUAUUUAUUUGUUUUAUCUUUUUUUCUUCUUUUACAAAUCUAUAUUAAAUAACUAUAAUAAAAAAUCAAAAGCAAAAAUAGGGGGAAGGGAAACUCACCGGAGUUGGCCGUGACUGCGCUGUCAGAGGGUCUCUCCUCCGUCACUUGAUUCAGGUCUAAAGGGGUCGAAGGUCUCCUCUUUGUUUCAUUUCUCGCGGGUUGAGAGAGCUUGGCUCUCAAGGAUACCGUAACAGAGGCUAAAAGCUCAUCGUUUUCCGUUGCCGGCUGUUAGCCACGGCGACGGCGCGGCCAUUCGUCGACAGAGACCAUAGGCCAGAUGCGUGGGGGGUGUUGAGAGAUUGUGAGGGUUUCUUUUUUUAUUAUUAUUUUUAUUUUAAAUGGCUGAAUGAGUAAAAAAACAACUUUAGUUUUUGUAAAGAACGUGAAACGGUACCGUAUAGGGGGGAGACCCGCGCGCGACCCUACCCGCUCCAGGGGGAUCCGCGUGUUUCCAUGAAAUGGGUUAUUUGCAACCUUGGCCCUUCCACGUUCAUCCUCUUUUCAAUUUACUCCUUUUUUGUUUACUUCCACCUUUUUUUAAUUCGGCCCUGCAAUUUUGUUUGAAUUUCAAUCGAAUCCCUGACCCAUCAGCGCAUUGAAAGCGGACGCGUGUCUGAAUUUGCGCAUUUUGCCGAUUCGGUCCUCACCUUUUAUUUCACUUUCGAUUUUGCCCCAAAUAUUUGUCUUAAAAUUCAAAUAAGUCUUUUUUCUGUUAUUUUCCUAUUUUACAAAUUAACUUAGUUUGUUUAUUUAUUUAUUUAUUUCUCAUUAUUAUAUUAUGCUAUGAUUUUUUUACAUUGUUAUUAUUAUCAUAUUUCUAUUUUAUUUGUUUAUCUAAGUGUAAAUAUCUUUUAACAUCUUUAUUAUUAUUAUUAUUUUUACCACUUAUACUGUUUUUAGACUUUGUUAUAUAUAUAUAUAUACACAUACUAACCUAUAUAUACCUUUUUAAUAUUUCAUAUAUGUGCGUACUUAUAUUUUUUGUAUACUUUAUAAUUUAUCUACAUAUAUACAUACGUAAUAUUCAAUAAAUGAGUACAUUUCUACCUACUUUAUAACUCGUAUAUACGUAUUUAUAUAUACAUCUUAAAUUUUUAUACAUAUACAUACCUAUUUCCAUAGUAUGUGCACGUACAUAUUUUUAAGUUUAUUUAUAAAUACAUGCCUACUUAUAUAUAUUACUCGUAUUUUUAUACUUUAUAUAUUUACAUAUUUUUUAUCUUCAUAAAUACAUAUACUUAUUUUAUAUAUAUAUAUUUUUGUAUAGUUUAUAUACUUACAUAAUAUACAUAUUUACGUCCUUUUUUACACUUUAUAAUUUAUAUACAUAAAUGUGUAUAUUCGUUUUUUUACAUAUAUACAUGUAUAUGAAUUCACGCAUCUUUUGUAAUUUAUAAUCUACUAAUAUACAUACAUAGAUAUUUUAUCUCUUAUUAUUUGUAUUUUUAUUGACGUUCUAUUCAAUAUUUAUUCAUUUAUCUAUUCAUAUGUUCGUUAUUAUUUUUAGGAAAUGCUUUAGUUUAUUUUAUUUUAUUUAUUAUUUCAUAUACUUGAUUCUUUUAUUUUAUGUAUUCUAUUUCUUGUGAUUAUUGCUUAUAUUAUUUGUGCUUGUAUUAUCAUCGUCAUUUUGUCAUACAAGUUAAUAUUGUGUUUAUUCCUACCAUUUUAUGUUGAGUUAGUUUUAUUUAAUAUGGUUUUAAAAUAAACAAAAUUUCGUGUUUAGAUUUGAGAAAGUCGUACCCUAACUUACUAGGUUUCGACUUUCACAAUAAAUCUAAAGACACGAAUAUUUUUAAACUCAAGUUUUUAAACGAUCUCGGGAAUUAAGAAAAGAUCGUGUCCUAACUUACUGGGCAUGAUCCCUUUUCUAAACCCGAGAGAUAAUUAAAUAUCUUUUUAAAUAAGUAAAUUUUUUGGCAUGUAAUCUCGUAUCGGGAAUUCGAUACGUUGUGUCCUAACGCAUUGGAUAUGACAUGUCGUUUUCUCGAGAUGAGAAUUUUUCUAAAAAUAUAUAUAAUAAAGGAAAUGUUUUGCGUUUGGAAAUUCGAGAAGACGUGCCCUAAUGUGCUGGGUGUCGAUUUUUCUCAUUCAACCAAAUGGCUAAAUAUCCUUUUAAAAAUUUUAAAAUAAGGCAAUGUUUUGCGUUUGAAAAUUCGAGGAACGUGCCUUAAUGUGCUGGGUUUCGAUUUCUCGAUUGACCGAAUAGCCAAAUAUCCCCUUGAAUUUCAAUCCAUAUCAUCCGAGGUUUUUUUAGGAUCGUUUUUUAAAUCUUUCUAAAUUUUCAGUUUUUCGACACUAAGACAUUAAGUAAUCAACUAGGUACCAAUUUUGGGCGUAUCGAGGGUGCUAAUCCUUCCUCGUACGUAACCGACUCCCGAACCCGUUUUUUUGAAUUUCGUGGACCAAACUCGUUGUUUUAAUAAAAUUAAAUUGUUUAUUAAAAACAACCACUUUUGCGAGAGGAUCCGAUCACACCUCAUAAAAAAAAGGAUUGGUGGCGACUCCCGUUUCAUUUUUCAAAACCCAAGUUGACCCCGUUUUCAAUCUAAAAAAUGGUGUCAACAUUCGGUAUAUGAUUGGCAUGAAAUAAUGUCAUGAAUGGUUUAUGAAUUAACACAUGUUGGUAAGCCUGACACAUGAAUAAGUGUUAUGCUCAUCCAUGCUUAUAAUGCUUAUGCUAUAUGUGUAUUUGGCUGACAUAUUUGGUGUAUAUGCUUAGGCUUUGGCCAAGUAGUGGCUAGAUUAUGCUAUGUUAAAUUUAUAAGUUAUGCAUUGAAAUGAUUUAUCAUGUGGUUAGCCCCAAAAAGAGUUAUGUUUAAAUACACUAGCUUGCGACUAUGGUUGAAUGAUAUGUUUAUAUCUUGUGUGAUGUGCAUAGAAAACGAGUGUGGAAAGAUAAUGAAAUAAUAAGUUCAUAUGGCUGAAAUUUAAUGAUUAAAUGUUAAUUUCAUGAAUUAUAUAAUGUAUGAUGAAAUAUAUAUUUAUUGAUGAAAUGAGAAUAAAAUAAAAAUGCGAAAACUGAAUAAAUGAUCAAAUUGAGCGGAACGCCAGAUUUGAGUACAUCCGAUCAAGUGACAAAGUGAUAAGUGGUAGCCUAGCUACACUUAUCUGAUCAGGGACAAGUGAUAAGUGAUCAUACGUAAAGACCAUAGUUAUACUAUGGCAAAGUGGAAGUGAAGUACUCAAUUUUCUGUAACCGUUCCCUAAUUUGAUUAAGGAUGAUAAGUGACAAAUUGGCUCAAAAGAAUUAAAGUAAAUAGAUAAGUGGUAGUGUAUUUAUACCAAGAUGAUGUUGUUAUUUAAGCUAAAGUAAUAUUUUCAUUGCAAAAUUGAGAAUUUCAUAAAUGUGUUAUUGAAUGGCAUAAUCGAUAAACGUUGAGUUAAAUGGUAAAUACGUAUUAGUGUUGAACUUAAUGUCAUUGAAUUGUAUGUGAAUUAAAUGGAAAUUGCUAGUGAUAUGAUUUAAAUUGUGAGCAUGAGAAAUUGCGAAUUGAAUGAAAUGGAAAUGAAGCAUUGAAUUGCAUGAGUAUAUAUUGGGUAUCGUAGGCCCUAAUUAUUAUGAUUAUAAUAUUUUGAGGAUAUAUUGUGAAGAGUUAUAAAAGCAUGUUAAUAAUUUUGAAAGUUUUAAUUUAGAUGAAAUUUUAUAACUCUGUUAAAUACGUUUAUAAGUGUAUGUAUUCUGAUAAUGCCUCGUGCCUAUUCCGGUGCUGGAUACGGGUAAGGGGUGUUACAUGCCAUCUUUUCAUAUAGUACAACAAUAUGGGUUCAACAAUGUGUGAUGGUGCCAUCUUUGCAUAUGUUGUAGCUAUAAUACUAUGUGUUGACCUUAAUUGUUAACAUUAUUUACAGGGCCAAGAUCAGGUUCAAUAGGUGAGAGUUCAUUGAUCAUUGUCAAUAUGAAAAUUGUAAAAGCAAUUAGAAGAGGAAUUAUAAGAAAUUACCAAUUACAAUAUGACCUUUCAAACACAUAUACAUGAUUUAAGUUUAAGAAAAUUUUUUUUAUACAAGUUUAUAAAAAAUAUCUGUUAAAAAUAGAAAGUCGAUAAUGGCAAUGUAUCCCAAAGAAAAGAAAAAAAAUAGAACAAACAUAAUUUUUACGUGGAAACCCUUUCGGGAAAAAAACCACAGACAGAGGAGAAGAAAAUUCGCUAUGUUGAAUUCUAAUGAUACAAGAGAAGAGACGACUACGUCUAUUCAUAGGUUUGUAAAAUCAUAUUCUAAUCAAAGUCAAAUAGAAGUAAUACAGUAAGGUUAAAACACCUUAUUCUAAUCAACAUCAAAUAGAGGUUGUAUACUUCUAUACAGAUUUCACUUAUGCAGCCUGAUACAAUUUGUUGUGCAAAUAGGGUAAAAUAGAGUAAAUCAUUGUACUAAAAAAUUAUACUAGGUUCAAUUUCCAGAAAAGAUUGGAAGGGUCAUAGACGGUUUCAGUUAAAACCCAACCUCCUAGACAAAAUAUCUCACCAAUGUAAUUUAAUAGCAAAAUAUAUUACAACCAAUGUACCCUAUAAAAUAUUGAAAGUAAAAAACAAUAAAGAACUCCAAAAUUUUAACGAGGUUUGGCAAAUUAUGCCUACAUCCUCAGAUUCUACCAAAUAUAUUUUACUGCAAAAAUACAGGUGAAAAAUUACAAAAGGGAAAAUUUGUCUUAUGAAGGAAUAACAAAUUUUGGGAAGAUUUAAAGGUGGAGAGACCACCUCUAUUUAUAAUAAGUAUAAGCACUCCACAACCUUGUAUUUUUUAGAUGAGGGAUUGUGCUAUUUUAACAUUGUUUUCAUGUUAGAUAAAUAUAAUAUUCAUGUAUACCAUAUGUAAAUGUAAAUGUAAAUGUAAAAUGAUGCUACAUCGAUAAUAAUAUUUAUAGUAAUUUGUGAAAAUUAAAUUGAAUAAUUUUUUUAUAUAUAAUUAUACAAAAUCUAAAUUCAUGUAUCACACUGUAUAUUGGACAAAAAAUCAUGUGUAGUUUUUAUUACAUUUUAUCAUUAAAUAUAUACUAAAUAAAAUAAUAUUCUCAAUUAAAAUAAAUAUAUAUUAUAUUACUAAAUUAAAGCAGUGAUUUGUCUCAAUUAUUACAGAUAAAUUCCCAGGUCACUUUCCUUUUUAAUAUUUUAUUUUAAGUAUAAGUAUGACAUAAAAAUUUAAUGUAUAUUAAUUUUAUUAGUGGUCUGUAUAAUGGUUUUGGCUCACCAUUUACUUUUUAACCUUAUUUGAGUAUAAUAUAUAUGGUAAGCCGAGAUGUUACAUAAUUAAUGCCCGUAGAGGAAAUCUCAACCAAAAUUCAUAAUAUUGUGACAGGCACCCCAAGUUUUCGUUAGAUUUCAAUUUAACCCUUUAAAUAUUGCAUAUUAUUACUCAAAUUCAAGAUUCUUAAAUCACUUUUCAAGAAUAUUACAUGUCUAAAUUCACUCAAAUUUGUAAUUUCUAGAAGAUUUAAUCCACGGUUUAUUGUCAAUAAAAUAAAGAAAUAUUAAUUUAUCUUAAAACAUUCUUAAAAACAUUCAUUAGCAAAACCAUAAAUCAUCAUAAAUCUAAUGAAUAAAAAAAACCCCAUAAAUUUAGUGUUUGUAAAUCCUUGAAACUUUCAUGUUCACUAAUUAAACAUGUUUAUGGAAGAUUGAAUAUUAAUGUCACAAAAAUUGGGUUGCAAUUAUAACUAAGAUAUUCUAAAUACCUUGAAAAAUUUUAACAAAUAAACACGAGAAAUCAAAUUGCUUAAAAAUUAACAUGUUUGAUCACAAUUCAAUUAAUAUAAAUUAUGUAUUUUUCUAAUUUCUCGAUGAUUAAAUAAAGUAAAAGAUAUAAAUUAAUAAAUGCGAGUGAGUUAAGUGAAAUUGCACGGGCGACAUGCAUUUUCAUGCAACAUACGUAAAAAUUAUCCCCACGCAUUUAAUAACUUCAUGUUCAAAAUAAUGUACAACCAAAAGAAUAAACCUAAAAUUUUUCUUUAAAAAUUAUGCUCAAUCAAUUUAGAAAGACAUAUAUAUGUUCAAGGGUAAAAUUGAAAAUGAUUCAACACCCUAAGGGACAAAUGCAAAUGAAAAGAGGAAAAUGAGAGGCAAAUAUGUAAAUUUGCAAAAUUACCAACCCACACCGGGGCUAUAUAUAGGUACGAGAAAUGGAGAAGGUGCAUACAAAACAAUAGGCAUUGUAGGUUUUAAUAAAGUGAUGAAGAUGGAGAGUGGCGAGUCGAGCUUGACGAAGAGGAGGGGGAGACCAUCAGUAGCAGCAGGCUAAGGAGUGGUCGCCAUUGAAGCUAGCCACCUUGAGGGCGGUGAAAGAGAAGGCUGAAAAAAGGGUCAAUAGGAUGUCACUGGAUGUCACCAUAUCCAAUACUUUGACAACACCGAUGCUCCUUAUGACUGGUUGCUCCCUGGUUGGAUAGUUGAAGGGUGCUUUGUUCCGUCUGGUUAUAGGGGCCGCGGCAGGAUCUGUAAGGCAUAUCAAACAACCAUUGUUUCCUUCAUCCUACAUACAUGUAUGCAAAUAUUAAUAUAAAGAUGAUGAUGAUUGUGAUGAUGAUGGUGCAAUACUACUAUGAUCCAGUUGGGCAUUCGUACCGCACCAAACGUUAAGUCUUGUUUGCAUGGGAGGAAUUAAACAUCAUUUGCCUUGAUACAUAAUUAUAAUUAAUCAAAUCUGAAAACUCCAUGGAAAUAAACACACGCACGCACAGAGAAAAACCUAAUUUUAUUUAGUUAUAUAUAUUAUCUAUCUUUUUCAUUUUUUGGGGUUAAUUAAAUUGCAGGGUUUCUCACUCCAUGUCAGAGUCAUGAAGAUGUUGAACUAGAACAAGAACGUGAAGACAUUUUCUUGUGUUUCAAAUGUUUUGUAUGUCGAAUAUAUGAUGGAAAUAACAAUUUUAUAAAUUAAACAAAAGUUUUUUAAGCUAUAAACUCAACUUCUCUUUAGAUGGUGAUGGUGGACAGUGCUAGUAUCGUUUGAGGGAGGGACAAAGUGAUGAAAAAUGGUGAAGGGCUCGAGAGUGUCCAAAAGUUCACCAUCCCAUUCCUCAUUUUUAUUGUUUUAUGGAGAGGGAGUGAUGGGUUGAUGGAGAUGGCAUAGGGUGGCUGGUGAGAAUGGCAGCAGGGGUAGAGGCAGGUAGGGUGGCUGAUGGGAUGGGGGCAGCUGAGUAGAGGGUCCAGACAACAGCAUAAGGAAAGGGGCAAAGUACCAAAUUGCAAUGAUUUGAAAAAUUGUGAGACUUUUUGUAAUUUUCCUUUUUCUGAUUUUUUAUAUUUUUUGAAUUUUGUAAUGUUUUUAGAUUUUUUUUUAUGAAUAUAGCAAGUAGAUAUAUAUAUAUUCAAAAUGCCAAAAAGAAAUUUAAGCCCAUUAACCCAAAUUUCAACCAUGUUUGAAGAAUUCAACAUUUUACUUUAAAUUAGCAAUAUCCGGAAUUUAAAAUCAAUAAAAACACAGUUAGAAUCAUAGCCUAAUACAUUUAUCCAAAUUAAUCUUUGAUUUUUUUCAAUCGAGCCCAGGCUUUCGAGUAUAUUCAAUUUUUUUUAAAGUUGAUCAGAAGAAUCAUAGCCUAAUACAUUUAUCCAGAUAUGUAUCAAACACGAAUAUUUCAAGAAAAAAAAUUGAUUUGGACCUAACAUAGAUAAAACCACACCAAUCCGUAUGUAUAUAUUAAAAAAAAAAAAACAGUAUUUCCAAAACUCACUUUCAUCCAUUUUUGCCUUCAGUCCCUUGCAACCAUUGUUCUAAUUUAGCCUCUUUAUCUGCCUUGAAAUCGUCGAAGUUUACGGACCCGAACGAUAACUUAUGGUGUGAAAGUUCAACAUCAUCCUCGGGUUCUUCCUUUUCAUCUUCUUCAUUGGGUUCAUCGGCCAUUUGACUCGAUACCGGUAGCUCAUCAGCUUCUGUAUCAGGAAUUGAACUAGUGCUAGCAGAUGCAACUGAUAACGGUGGAGCUGGUUGUGAAGGUGGCUUUUGGGGCUCGGCUUCCAUCUGUUCCUUGGUAUCAAGUUGUGGCCACUUAAAAUUGCUUGCUUUUUGUUUUGCGGACUUGAUUACAGUCGAAAAAUAAUUACUCCCAUCAAACUGGAUGUUCCCAGCAGGAUUCCAAGACAUUGGUCCCGAAGAGCUAGUUCUUCCCAUCUGAAAGCUUGAAGCAGGACUGUGGAUCAAUCCUCUCUUCGGUUGUUUUGAGGACAUUAACAUUAAGGAACUCUUAAUGUCCUUAAUCAUCUCGUCUGCAAUUGGGAAACCGCAUUCCUUCAUCGAUCUCACCGUGGUGAUAGAAUCUUCCAAGUCUUGUGUGUGUAAAGUUGCUUCAUGAGAUUUUUCUACAACGUGAUUACGGAGAUUAACUACGUUAGGAAUGGCAUUCUCGGUGUGCUGUUGAAUGUAGAAAAGUCCUACUGAGGGUUCAUUUGCCACGAACUUUAUCAUCUCAGCUACGGAUUCGGUUAUCUCCAAGAAACCAUCCACGGUGGAGAAUCCAUUCAUCUUGUUGAAGGUGAAUGGCAAUUCAUCACUGAGGUUUGUCCGAAAAUCACAAAUCGAAAUCCAUGUCAAAAGGGAUGUUUUAAAAGAGAAAAAAGCCAUGCUAUUUGCUCCAUCUAACAACGAUAUCCAAUACAUUUCAGACAUGAAUAUAGGGCAUGAUCCUCUAAUUAUAUGAAAAAAUGUCAAACAUAUACCAUAUCCAACACUUGCCCAAAUCUGGAUAACAUAAAAGCUAAUGGAAAAUUUCAUUCCUACAAUCAAUGUCCCAAAAUUGGCAUUUUUUUUUAACUUUCCACUAUAAUCCCUAAGAAAGUGAUGUAAACAGAAACAAUUAGAAUAAAAUUGAUCCCCAAUUUGAACAACAAUCAUCAUCAAACACCUUAUUCAUGGCUGGUAGUGGGUUUCAAUUUAAAUCUCGAGCUAUGCAGGAUUAAAAAAAACAUUCAAAAUCUAUCAAAUUAAUGGCUUUUAGAACCCUAAUUCCCAAAUGUAAUUUUGACCAGAAAGUGCAGAUUUUGAUUUCACAAAAGGUUAUUACUAAGCUCCUAUGGCUUCUCUACUGUCGAGAUAAACCUUCAACUCAUACCAAUCCAAUUCCAAAUAAUAUUUCAUGGAUUAUUCAAUGAAUUUUAGGGUUUAAUUUCAUAGCAAAGAGAGAGAGAGAGAGAGAGAGAGAGAGAGAGAAAUCAGAUAAACAAGGCAUCAGCAAUUUAGCCAAAAACAAGAACCGAUUGAACAAAAAAAAAGAGAAAAUUUAAAUUUAAAAAAAAAGGACAAGGCAUUUAAAUUAAUACCCACAUUAAAACACGAGAAAAUAAUAAAAACCCAGAAAUCAAAAUGUGAAAUUGACUUUGAUUUAUUCAAUUAAAAAGGGAGAAAUUACUUACCAGACGAAACGAAUAGAAGAACAGUUGAAUUUGCCAAAGAAGAAGACAAAAGAACAAUCUUCUGGUUUUAGAUCAAAAGAAAGAUUAAAAAGCUUCAAACUUGGAUAGUUAAAAGCUUCAAACUUUUUUUUUUUAUGUUAUCUCUGUUCUUUAUCUAUGAAGCUCCGUUGAUAAUUUAUUUAUUAUUUUUUAAAAUAUUAUCUUUUAUUUAUAUAAAAUCCAUAAGUUAUCAUAAAUGAACUAACGGCAUAUAGAGACAAAGACGAAACUUGUUUUGUAGCUUUAUCUUUUUUAAUGAUUUUUUUAAUUCUAAAAAUUUUAUUUAAUUGAUUGAAUUUUAAUUCGAUUGAUAUUAGUAUUGUUCUUAAUACAAAGGGACAUUAAUUUGAGUAUCUUCAAGUUAGACCUGUUCAUGGGCAAAGCUACCGCCCAAGCUCGCCCCAAAUUUAAGAGGGUUUGAGAAAAAAUAUUAUACUAAAAAAUAAGUUUGGGUAAAAAAAUAAACCCGUUUAAAAUAUAAGUCAGGUUUGGGCUUGAACAUUCAAGGCUCGAACCCGACCCCAAUCUAUUUUAAGUUUAUAAUAUUUUUUAUUAUUUUAUUUUUAUAUAUUAUGUAAUUUAGAACACAUUAAAAAAUUUAACAUAUAUUAAAUAUAAAAUACUACUCUAAUGUAAACAUUAAAAAAAUAUUAAGAUGACUGUAUAAAAGUUUUCAAUAAAUAAAAAAAUGCAUAAAACUAUUAAAUAUUAAAUAAUAUAAUAUAAAUAUUUUUUAAAAAUAAUAUGAGUAGGUCUAAAAUGGGCUUAGGUUAGUCUUUUGCAAAUAUGAGUAAGUUUUGGUAAAAUUUAAACCCAAAAUUCAGGCCGAGAUGAGUUUGGACAAGUAUAAAAUAUGUUAAUAUCAUGUUUAGGUCUGGCCCAUGAACACCUCUAGUUGAAGUGCAUUAUCAUCUUAUUUAAAGGUUAAAGAAAAAUAGUUUAUAUCUAUACUUAUAUCUAUCUAUUUAUUUUAAAUAUUUUACUCUAUCACAGAUCAAUAGAGUACUAAUUCAAUUAUGAAAUUAUUAAAAUAUCUUUUCAUGACUCUUAUAUAAAUUAAAUUAUAUUUUUAUGAAAGUGUUUUCAUUUUUUUAUAUAAUAGAUUCAUAAAAAUGUGAUUAAUUAUUUGAAACUAGAAUAUCAUUCAUGAUAAACAAUUAGUUUUACCAUUAUAAUCAAAACAUCAAUUACUUUUUUUUCACUCAUAAAAUAUUUUACUAAGUUGAUGUCACGAGUCAACUCGACACCAACUUAAUCAGGAAAUUGCUUAAAAAUUUUUAACCAACUUCAGAAAAACGCAAAAAAAAGCUUCAUUAGAAAUGUCAUACAAUCUAGUAUAAAAAUUAAAAUAAUCUCAUCUUCAUUCAUUUUCAGAUUUUUGAGCUUAGUAGUCCAAAUUUGCAAUUUGGACAUUCUGACAGUAGCAUUCCCUUUAUGUUGGUUUUGUAGAAUGGUCCAAGCCUUUUUAGCAGUUUUACAUGUUGAAAUCAUAUUGAAUUGCUCUAUGUCAACCCCACUAAAGAUGGCAUAAAACGCUUUUGAGUUGGCAUGAGCAGCCAUUCUCUCAAUAACAGUAUAUUGAUUUUUCUCUUUUACCUUUUGUUACUCCAUCAUCACCAAACAUCUCAGACUUUGCCCAUCCUUCCUCAAUAGCUUCCCAUGCAGUUUCAUCGAUGGGCAUAAUCAAAGCUCUCAUCCAAGCUUUUAAGUAGGCAUAGUUGGAGGAACCAACAAUAAAAGGUGCUCGAGAAAUAGAACUUUCUUUUUUUCAAUAGCUUCCAUGGUAGCAAAUUGAACUAGGCUCGUCUUCAACCAAUUCUUGAAAUAAGCUUUGAUACCAUUUGAAAUAAACUAGUCAAUUUGCAACUUGUUCAAACUGCAUUUUAAACAGGGCAUCUAAACACGAAUUUGAAAAAGAGAAUAUAUUGAAAUAUAUAUAAUAUUUGUUAGCACAGUUCAAAAACAAUCUUACUCUGCGAAGCCUUAAUGAAUGAUUUAUUCAAUAGUUGAUCUAACCACCUAUUAGUUAAAAUUAAAUCUUCCCUUACAAAAGAAGCAAUUGCAACCCCAAUAGCAAGCUCUAACUUGUUACGAUCACUCACUCAAACCUCACAUACAAAUUGUUUAAUCUCUAAGUGCUAGAAUACAAAGGAAAAACAACAAAAAAAAAUAUGUCAACCAAAUAGCAAACUCUCUCCCCAAACAACACAUCUUCAUAUGCAAACUAGUUGCCUAUUUACAGGCUCGGUAUGUCAAUCUAAUCCAUCAACCCAAGUAGAGAUAAAUACAUCUUUUAACAACAUAAUAAUAUUGGAUAAAUAACCUCCAAAACUUAUCCUAAGAUAAAGCUUGAUAAACUCAAUAAUAUCAACACAUAAUCACCCCGAAUAAUAGCUAAAGUAUAAGCCUUAUCCAAUAAAAUAAGUCGAUCAAAUCUUUCUUAACCCAUCGAUUUAGAUUAUCAAAAAUAUGUCAUUGAAUCUAUUAAGGUAUGGUAAAAUCAUAUACGAAGGCCCAAGUUAAAAACGUCUACAUCUUAUAGUACUUAGAUUGUGGCUUUAAAGAAGGGUUUAAAAGUCAUAACAUCAUUUGAUCAUAUUGCACCCUAAUGCUACAAUGGCUUUAUUCUUUCUUCCAUAGUUUCAUCGAAUUUGUUGUAGUUUAUUCCUAUAUAAUAUUUGUAUCUAUACCAAUUAAAAAAAAUCAACAAAAUGUUAAUGGGGAAAUUAAAAAUAUUUAACUCAUAAUUUAACCUAGGGCUUAUUAGUUUCCGAAAAUGAAACAAAACACGAACUUUGAGGGAUUUUUUAUUAUUUUUUUUACCAUAACUUGGAGGCUUGAGCACUCCCCAACAGUUGAAUUACAGCAAGUGGAGAGUUCCAUAACCUUAAGAACCCUAGAAACAUGGACACUUCAGAUACCCCAGUUACCAAAACCGCUACAUCGCCGCCGCAGCAGCAAGAGCCUGACCCUAAAAGGCUCAAAAUGUCUACCACCACCACGUCCGAAGACGAAGAUGCCGCCGCCACGACAACCGACACCAAAAAACCGAGAUACAAACGCCGCAAAAUCGCCAUGUUCUUUGCCUAUUGCGGUGUCGGAUAUCAAGGAAUGCAAAAAAACCCAGGAGCCAAAACCAUCGAAGGUGACCUCGAAGAAGCGCUAUUCCACGCUGGCGCUGUCCCCGAGCAAGAUCGUGGCAACCCAAAACGUUACGACUGGGCCCGGUCGGCCCGAACCGAUAAGGGCGUAAGCGCCGUGGGCCAGGUCGUUUCUGGGCGGUUCUACAUCGACCCUCCUGGCCUCGUGGAGCGUCUUAAUCAGAUACUUCCGACCCAGAUUCGGAUAUUCGGGUAUAAGCGUGCGACGGCCUCUUUUAGCGCGAAGAAGUUUUGUGAUCGACGGCGGUAUGUUUAUCUUAUCCCAGUUUUUGCUCUUGAUCCAAGUUGUCAUCGAGAUAGGGAAAGUGUUUUGUCUAGUUUGGGGUCCGGUAACGAGCUUGUCAAGUGCUUGGAGUGUUCGGAAAGAGGCCGCAAAGUAAUAGGUGUUAUGGGCAAGCGUAGUAGUUUUGAACCCAAGUCGACUAUAGUUCAGCAUGGCAUUUCAUCAAACAAUUUAGAUGCAGAAAACGUAAUGAAGGAAGAUAACCUGACAUCUCAACUUAAGGAGGAGGUUACUGAAAUGGAUGAUUCUGGGGUUGUGGAAGUUGAAGUUAAUGUAGCGAAGUCUACAAUAGUUCAGCCUGACAUUUCAUCGAACAUUGGAGGUGCUGAAGGUGCAAUUAAGGAAGAUAACCUAACAUCUGAACUUAAGGAGGAGGUUACCGAAAUGGAUGAUUCUGGGGUCGUAGCAGAUAAAGUUAAUGUAGCCAAGUGGACGAUAGUUCAGUGUGGCAUUUCAUCAAACAUUAGAGAUGCUGAAAAUGCAAUCAAGGAAGAUAACCUGACGUCUGAACUUAAGGAGGAGGUCACCGAAAGGGUUGAUUCCUUGGUUGUGGAAGAUAAAGUUAAUGUAGAAAAGAAAGAGGAAAGAAGAUUUUUUUACGGUGAGGAAGAAAAGAAGAGGUUCAAUAAAAUAUUGAAUUACUAUGUCGGGUCUCACAACUUCCAUAACUUCACUACAAGAACAAAAGCUGAUGAUCCUGCUGCACGGCGCUAUAUUGUUUCAUUUCAUGCAAACACGGUUGUCACUGUGGAGGGCAUUGAUUUUGUUAAGUGUGAGGUUGUGGGGCAGAGCUUCAUGCUUCAUCAGAUUCGAAAGAUGAUUGGUAUGGCGGUUGCAGUCAUGAGGGGUUGUGCUCCUGAGUCUCUUAUCGAAACUGCAUUGCGAAAGUAAGUAGUUCUGAUUCUUUUUAAUUGUAUUGGUGUCUAUGUAUCUAAAACUUGAGAUGGGAGUUGGAUACAAAUAUGUGUUCAACAUGGAAUACUCGAGGAUCACACUCCAUGCUGAAUCCAAAUUUGUGUCAAACAUGGAUACUUCAGCUAAUAUAUCUUAAUGCAUUACAGGGAUGUAUACAUCAACAUACCUACGGCGCCUGAGGUUGGUUUGUAUUUGGAUGAAUGCCUCUUUUCAUCAUAUAACCAAAAAUGGAAAGAUAGUCACGAAGAGUUGUCUAUGAAAGCUUACGAAGAAGAGGCGGAGGAAUUCAAGAUGAAGUUUAUAUAUUCUCACAUCGCUUCCACAGAACGUGAGGAAGGAGUUGUGGGCCUGUGGUUGCAUUCUCUAAACCACAGAAACUAUCCCGAUUUACGAGCCGGCAGUGGAGACUCAGUUGAAGGGAAGAAGAGUCCUAAGGUUGAUGAUAAAGCAGACACCGUUGAAGAGGACAGUAAUGUAGUGGAGAAAAACGGUGAUACUACUGAGAUGCAAAGUGCCGAAGAGUAGAAUAUUAUGAUACGCAUACUCAUUGAACAAAUUAACUAUUUUACAUAAUUUUUAUUAAGUUAUAGUUGGAUGGUCUUCCUGUUUCAUUUGGAACUGUUUGUGUUUUGUUUGUUUACCUUCCGGGUCGAAAUUUGGAGCUGUUCUGGUGUUAAUUACAAGGCUGCUCAUGUUUGGAAGGACUGGCUAUAAUGGAUAUGUCGCCUACCAAAGAGCAGACUUGGUUCCUAGGAUAUGCAUUCGGAUUGUCGACUGCCCUUUCUAUAAUCUGGCUGCGGAGACGGAUCUGUAUUUUCUUCGCUUGUGAUCAUUCAAAGCAGCUUUUCAACUAAGUUCUUCAGGCUUAUGGCAUUCAAUGGACAAGUAACUGUUUCUAUCAGUCUUCAGCUUGCUUAGAGUUAUUAUAUUUAGCACUUAUGGAGUAUGAGAAAUAUCCAGCUUUAUGGAGAGAAGGGUGAUUCAAUUUUGGCUUUUCAUCGGCUUUUGUGUUAGUGUUAGAUAUGAAUAUGUAUCCGAUAAUAAGUAAAAGAAAAGAAAAUAUACCCCAAACCAAGAAGGUUAAUUACAAAACUAAUUUUUUUUUUCUUGGAAGGGAUUUGGCCACUAAAUAUGAACUUAAAAUAAACAAAUGUUUUUUUUAUAGAUAGAGGGAAUUAGGGAUGCCAUUUUUUUCCAGUUAUCUGAAUUGUGUGUAUAUAUAUUCUAAGUUUGAUUAAAAUUUAAUUGAUUCAAAUUUAAAUGAUUAAAAUGUAAUUUGAGGGAAAUAAAAGUGAUUAUUUUGAUAAUUUACCUUAUAUUAUUUAUGAUAUUUAAACUGAGAACAUUUAAACUGUCUUUUAGCUGUCAAACCAUUAAUUUUGAAUACAUUCUUAAAUCCAAUAUCAAUUAGUGCCCCUGGUCUAAGUUUAAUUUCUGUUGUGCAGGAUUCAUUGUAUGGCAAGCACAAAGCAUACUUUUAAACUCACGGAAGAUUUUCUUUUAAAGUUUGGCCUAUGUUGAUUAUAAAGAGAACAUGAAAUAUUUUAAAAAAACAUGUUUUUAAAACACACACUAGUAUUUUUAUUUAGAAGCUCUUCGAUGAUUACAAUUGAGAAUUAUUUUCCCUUAUAUAGAGAAAAUCUCUCAUCUACUUUUACAGACAAACAUGAUAAAGAGGAAUCUCUUUUAAAAACAAAUUUAUUUUUAUGACUCACAUAACAAACAAGCUUACUUUUAUUACUCAUAUAACAAACAAACUUAUUUUUAUGACUCACAAAAUAGGCAAAUAUGAAAGUGACAAAAUAGACAAAUAUCCAAUCACUUUCAUCGUCUGUGCUAACAUCAGAAACAAGGUUCUCUUCUAUUAUCUUUACUUUUUCUUCUUUAGUUCUGUAGCACUUUAUCUCCAUCUGUUCAAUCUUUUGUUCAAAACCAUCACGUUAGUUGUCAAGAUUGUCUUCCACUUCCAUAGGUGAUAUCUUUUCUUGUGAAUUAGUCCAAGCUGGCGUGUUUUCUAUUACACUGCUAGAAAACCAUGGAUAAUCUUGUGACCAUUCUUUUGGAUCUGGUAUAUUUGACUGGUAGUCUUCUAAUGCCAUUUUCAAAUGUUCUUGAUAAAGUGUCGAUGGAUCAAUCCUUAUAUCCCAUGGUGCUAACUUAAAGUUAUUAAUAAAAAUGAUAAAUUUACAUUGAAUUAAACAUACAUUUUACUAUUAUAACUUCUUUCUUUGGGCCUUAACUUAUAGUCUAUGGGUGUAACUUUCAAUAGGCUUAAAGAUUUUCAGUAGGGAAUCAAUUAAUGACGAUUUUAUCACUAUCCUUUUAUGAUGGUAGUGUAUAAUUUAUUUUAGACUAAAAUUACCCUUUUAAGUCUUAUAAUGUUUUUUAUUAUUAUUUUAAAGAAUUUAUUCCCUUCAUUGUUAAGCAUUAAUAAUUGAAUUUGAAAUUUAAAAUUUAAAAUUAGAAGAAUUAAAUUCAUAAAAAUAAAAGUAUAGGGAUUUAUUUCACAUUUUAACUUUUAAUUUAAUUUCUCACCUACUUGGUUAGUAUAAUAAAUAAUAAAAUAGAAAAAAACCUAAAAAAUUCUUCUUCGGUCUCCCACCAACCAUUUCUUUCUUUCUUUCUCUCUUGAAAAGUGGGUGGCUCCCUGUCAACUUCUUAAUCUAUUUUUGUUUUGAGAAUAUUUCAAAAUAAUAAAUUAUUUCACGAGUUGAUUUAGACUCCUGUUGUGUCUUGAGUUUUAUAUUUUCUUAUUUGUUUUUCUAUUUUUAAUAAGUUUUCAGUUUUAAAAGUUUAAGAUGACUAGGAUUCUAUUUCUACCAUUAAAUGUCAGCUCAUUGAGAGGAAGCUCCCUCUGGAUCCUAUCACUCCUCCAGGGCGAUGGGAUCUUAGGAGCUCUCAAUCUCACCUCAUUUUCAUUGAUGAAGCUGUUUGGGGAUACUUAGGUGAAAUAGACGCACUUCAUUCGUCUCUCUUUGGGUUUGGGUUAGUGAUUAAAGGAUGAGUGAUCAACAUAUUAAAUUUUGAUAAUAUUAAUUACUAAAAUAGAAAAAAAAAAUUUAAAAUUUGAGUGACUAAAAAAGAAACAUGCUAAUAAUUAGGUGAUUAUCUUUAUAAUUUACCCAUAAAAAUAAACUCAAUCCAAAUUUUGGACGUUGCUCGUACUUGGAACUUGGGAGUUGGACUUAGGAUGAUUUGGUUUUACUUAAUUAUGCUAAAAAUCGGAUGUAUAUAUUUAUAUGACUGAUGGUUAAACAACUUUUAAAUUUUAUGAUUCCUAUUGGUAUAGAUAACUUUUUAUUUAAAGAAAUAUGGUUCAAAAUUAAUGUUAUUAGUAUUACUUAAUAAACCAUGUUUAAUCGUAUAACUGAUAACUUUCAUAUUUAGAGUUAUGUUAGUAUAAAUUUUAUAGCAUUUUAGGAGAUAGUUUUAUAAUUUAGAUUAGUUUUAUUACAUUUUAUAGUUUUUUUAGCGUAAUCAUAUUUUAUUUUUUUAUUUUUAUUUUUAUCAUUUUUAGAAAUACUUCAGAUUUACUUGUUAUUUUUCUUUUUACAUUGUAGAUUUCGAAUGAAGAAUGGAAGGCUUCGAGCAUAGAGUAAAAAGUAGUAAAGAACAGUUUUUUGCUCCACCAGAUUUCAGUCUUCAAUUCAAAAUUUUCAAACAACAAACAGCUCGCUCCACUGCAAUUCUACGCCCAGUUUUCAGGCUUAUGGCAUUCAAUGGACAAGCAACUGUUUCUAUCAGUCUUCAGCUUGCUUAGAGUUAUUAUAGUUAGCACUUAUGGAGUAUGAGAAAUAUCCAGCUUUAUGGAGAGAAGGGUGAUUCAAUUUCGGCUUUUCAUCGACUUUUGUGUUAGUGUUAGAUAUGAAUAUGUAUCCGAUAAUAAGUAAAAGAAAAGAAAAUAUACCCCAAACCAAGAAGGUAAAUUACAAAACUAAUUUUUUUUUUCUUAGAAGGGGAUUUAGCCACUAAAUAUGAACUUAAAAUACACAAAUGUUUUUUUAUUAAUAGAGGGAAUUAGGGAUGAUAUUUUUUUCCAGUUAUCUCAAUUGUGUGUAUAUAUAUUCUAAGAUUAAAAUUUAAUAUUUCAAAUAUAAAUGAUUAAAAUGUAAUUUGAGGUAAAUAAAAGUAAUUAUUUUGAUAAUUUACCUUAUAUUAUUUAUGAUAUUUAAACUAAGAACAUCUAAACUGUCUUUUAGCUGUCAAAUCAUUAAUUCCAAAUACUUCCUUAAAUCCAAUAUCAAUUAGUGCCCCUGGUUUAAGUUUAAUUCUUAUUGUGCAGGAUCCAUGGUAUGACAAGCACAGAGCAUAUUUUUAAACUCACGAGAGAUUCUCUUUUAAAGAUUGGCCUAUGUUGAUUAGAAAGAGAACAGGAAAUAUUUAGAAAAACAUGUUUUUAAAACACACAUUGGUAUUUUUAUUUAGAAGUCCUCUACUUUUACAGACAAAUAUGAUAAGGAGGAAUCUUCUUUAUAAACAAACUUACUUUUAUGACUCACAUAACAAACAAACUUACUUUUAUGAUUCAUAUAACAAACAAACUUACUUUUAUGACUCACAAAAUAGACAAAUAUGAAAGUGACAAAAUAUCUAGUCACUUUCAUAGUCUGUGCUAAUAUCAGAAAUAAGGUUCAACUCUUCAAUUAUCUUGGCUUUUUUUCUUUUUUAGCUCUGUAGCACUUUACCUCUAUUUGUUCAAUAUUUUGUUCAAGACCAUCACGUGAGUUGUCAAGAUUGUCUUCUACUUCCAUAGGUGAUGUCUUUUCUAUUGCACUGCUAGAAAAUCAUGGAUAAUAUUGCGACCAUUCUUUUAGAUCUAGUAUAUUUAACUAGUAGUCUUCUAAUGCCAUCUUCAAUUGUUCUUGAUAAGGUGUUGGUGGAUCAAUCCUUAUGUCCCAUGGUGUUAACUCAAAGUUAUUAAUAAAAAUGAUAAAUUUACAUUGAAUUAAACAUGUAUUUUACUAUUAUAACUUCUAACUUUCUUUGGGCCUUAACUUAUAGUCUAUAGGUCAAUAGGUCAAUAGGCUUAAAGAUUUUCAAUAGGGACUCAAUUAAUGACAAUUUUAUUAGUAUCCUUUUACGAUGGUAGUCUAUAAUUUAUUUUAGACUAAAAUUACCCUUUUAAGUCUUAUAAUGUUUUUCUAUUAUUUUAAAGAAUUUAUUCCCUUUAUUGUUAAUCGUUAAUAAUUGAAUUUAAAAUUUAAAAUUCAAAAUGCAAAAGGAUUAAAUUUAUAAAAAUAAAAGUAUAGAGAUUUAAUUCACAUUUUAACUUUUAAUUUAAUUUCUCAUCUACUUAGUUAGUAUAAUAAAUAAUAAAAUAGAAAAACCUAAAAAAUUCUCUUUUUUCUUCAAACGAGCCUUCUUUGGUCUCCCACCAACCCUUUCUUUCUUUCGUUCUCUCUUGAAAAGUGAGUGGCUUUUUAUCAACUUAAUCUAUUUUUGUUUUGAGAGUAUUUUAAAAUAAUAAAUUAUUUCACGAGUUGAUUUGGACUCAUGUUGUCUUGAGUUUUAUAUUUUUUUUCUAUUUUUAAUAAGUUUUCAGUUUUAGAAGUUUUUGUCUACUUUUUUAGCACGUUUUUUAGUCUUACUUAUGCAUGUAAAAUUAGUUUUAUAAAUGAUUUUAGAGAAAGUUUUAUUGUCGUCCUCUCUAGUUUAGUAGAUGCUCAACUCUUUUAUUGGGCCAUUUAAAAAAAAGUAUAAAAUUUCAAUAACCGCGACAGUUCUUAACGGUGUUUGCGGGAAGAACGAAAGGAAUGUGGCAUAUUAUUGAUUCUAUCUAAACCCCAUCAUAAUUUGCUUUCUUAGCCAUAAGGGAUGCCAUGGAAGUUGGAAACUUUAAGAAGACUGAGAUUCUAUUUCUACUAUUAAAUGUCAGCUCAUUGAGAGGAAGCCCCCUUUGGAUCCUAUCACUCCUCCAGGGCGAUGGGAUCUUAGGAGCUCUCAAUCUUACCUCAUUUUCAAUGAUGAAGCUGUUUGGGAUACUUAGGUGAAAUAAACGCACUUCCUUCGUCUCUCUUUGAGUUUGGGUUAGUGAUUAAAGGACGAGUGAUUAACAUAUUAAAUUUUGACAAUAUUAAUGAUUAAAAUAGAAUUUUUUAAAUUUGAGUGACUAAAAGAGAAACAAAAUUUGGAUGUUGCUCGUACUUGGAACUUGGGAGUUGGACUUAGGAUGAUUUGGUUUUACAUUUAAAUGACUAAUGGUUAAACAACUUUUAAAUUUUCUGAUUCAUAUUGUUAUAGAUUACUUUUUAUUAAAAGAAAUAUGGUUCAAAAUCACAUUUAUUAGUAAUGUUAUUAGUAUUGAUUAAUAAUCAUGUUUAAUCAUUUGUAAUAAGUAUAAGUGAUAACUCUCAUAUUGAGAGUUAUGUUAGUAUAAUUUUUAUAGCAUUUUAGGAGAUAAUUUUAGCAUUUAGAUUAGUUUUAUUACUUUUUAUAGUUUUUUUAGCGUAAUCAUAUUUUAUUUGAUUUUUAUUUUUAUCAUUUUUAGAGAUAGUUCGAAUUUACUUGUUAUUUUUUCUUUUACAUUGUAGGUUUCGGAUGAAGAAUGGAAGGCUUGGAGCAUAGAGUAAAAAGUAGUAAAGAAAAGUUUUUCGCUCCACCGAAUUUCAGUUUUCAAUUCAAAAAUUUCAAACAACAAACAGUUCGCUCCACUACAAUUCUACGUCCAGUGGAGCAAAAUGAUUAAAACCCUAAAAAUAAGAGGCAAUGUGAUUUGAGAGGAAAGAGGGGAAAAAAUCAACUUGAAGGUUAAGAAAAAGAGAUUGAGAGCGCUCGGCCUUAGUUAGAUAAUCAUUUUUUUCUCUAGAUUAUUUCUUUUUAUUUUAUCUCAAUGUAAGUUUGUUUUGAAUUUCUUCUUGUGAUGUCUUCUCAAAUCAAUAUGAACUGAACUCUAUUUUCUUAGAACAAUGACGAAUCGUAUUUCUUGGUUAAUUAAUUAUUUUCUGUUCAAUUUUCUAAAAUUCUGUUAAUUAUUUAGUCAAUCAUGUGUUUGUAUAAUCUGCUUGUUUGAUCACCAAGUUAUAUUAAUUCAAUAAUCUCGAUUUAUCUUGAAAUAGAAAAUUAAGGUUUAAAUCUAGACUGAAUAGAUUAAUGUUAAUUUUAACAGCGCUGACAAACAAGGAAAUUUGCAGCUAGGAUAGGAAUAUACCUAAUGCCCUAAUCAACCUAAUAGGCUUGGUCGUAGUGACUUUGCCCAACUUGCCUAAUAUAGGAAUAUAACUAGUGGGGAAGAGGGAUUAACUUAGCUAAAUAUUGGACCGGUCUAACUAAUGCCAUUAAAUUUUGAGUUAGUAAUUAUAUAAGUUGAACAAUUGAAUGAGAAAAAAAUGAUUAACUGGACUGAGUGAAGUUAUAGUUCGAAGAUCUUAAAAUUGAUAGAGAAACUUAUGGAUUUUCACUGUUUUAGUUUAAUGGAAAUUUCAGCAUUUCCUUAGUUUAAUUUUAGCAAUAAUUAGAAUUUAUUUUCUUGAUCUAGACUAGAUAAAACUGAAUGGUUGUUUUUAAGAACUUAGAAUUUGGUCAUCGUGGCAACGAUAUCCUCUUAUCACUUUAUUAUUUGAUUCAACAUGUGUAAUAACACUAGUUAUCGUAUUAUUAAAUUAAUAUAUUAUAUCAUUAAAUAUUUUAUAUUAUCAUUAAAUUUAAAUUUUAUAUAUUUAUCAUAUAUAUAAUUAUAAUAUUAAAAAAAACUUCAUAUUCAAUAAAUACUUUAUAAUUUAACAUAAAAAUUGAUUAUCAAUUACUUUUGAUAUUAAUAGAAAUUUAAUAUAAAUAUGUAAUUCUUAUAAAUGAUUUUUCAUAAAGUAAAUAAUGAUCAUUUAUUUAUAUUUUAUUUUUAUUUUAAAUAAUAUCAUAAAUUAAUAUUAUUUAUUAAUGUUUAUUUUGGUUGUUCAAUUCUAAAUUUGGAUUUUGGGUUGGAUUUAUUUCGGGUUCGGUCCAGACCAGUCUUGGACUUAGAUUCUUAUAGACUCAGGCUUUUCCAAACUCAAAUUUUCUCGGUCUCGAACUUUUUCAAACUCAAAUUUUCUCAAACUCAAAUUAUUACGAGCAUUUUAAGACUUUUCUAAAACUUAAAAAGUAAGAAAAGUUUAACACUUAAAUUCGAGUAUCAUAAUUUUCUUAAUUGUUUUUGUAUCCAUUUGGUGUUGGUUUUUUAGAAAUACAUUCCUAAUAAAUUAGCAGUUUAACAUUCUGUAGGUGAAUAGUAAAGGAUGAGGUCUUUGUAUUAACAAUUUUCUUGUAAAAUUUUUUUUAAAUAGUAGCUCUAGCAAUGUAGCCGUCUUAGCUCAGCCGGUAGAGCGCAUGGCUUUUAACCAUGUGGUCGUGGGUUCGAUUCCCACAGAUGGCGGAUUUGCUUGAUAUAUUUUAGCUUCUCACCUACAUAAUUAAUACGAUGAUAAAUAGGUCAACUUUAUAGCGAGAAUUAUUUUGACGCCGCUUAAUUAGAAUUAAUAAAUAUUUAUAUUUUAUAUUAUUAAAACAGAAUUUUAGUAUUAAAUGAUUAAAAUAAAUUAUAUUAAUAAUUUAUUAUAUUAUUAAUUAUAAUAUUGGUAAUAUUGAAAAUUAAAUAUCUGAUAUCAAUAUUUUAAUAUUUUAAAGUAUUUUUAAAAAUAAAACAAAAUAUUAUCAAUAUAAUAUUACUAAGAUUGAUUUAGGUUAAUUUAUAAGGUACUUUUUUGAAAGAUGACUUCCGUUUUCUAAAAGAAGAAAUCAAUCUUUAGAAGAAAAAAAAAGCCUUAUUUCUUAUUUAUUUAUAAAUUAUUUUCUGUUGACCAAGUUAUUUUUUAUAAAACAAACACAGAGAAAUACACAAAAAUGUUCUUCGUAAAUCAUUUUAUGUGAAACAAACGCAUCAUAAAUCUCAAUAUAUAUGAUUUUUUAUAAAAUUAUUAAAAAAACAUUCAUCGUGUCUGCCCUGAAUUCUCAAUCCAAAUUACUAUUACGAUUAUGCAUCACAAUCAAUUUUUUAAAUAAAAAAAAAACGUAAACAUCAUAUUGUUCCAUAGAAUUUAACUUAAAGGUUCAAUAAUUUGAUACAAACUAUAAAAAAAAAUUAAUAUUUUUCAAUAAUUGCCUCCUAAAUUAUUUGUUUCCUCAGUUAGCCAUGAUUGAGACUUAGACUUUGGGUUAUUGGCCGAAAAUGAAGAGAAUAAAAAAGACUUUAGUCCACUUGACAACCAUACCCCAUUGGAAUGUACUUUUACCACUAAUGUAAAGAUCAACUACCUUUAGUGGUUCAUAUUCCAUAAUUGGAUUCUUUUAUGUUACGAUUUAGAGAAGGAUAUUAACAUCAAAACUCGAACCCUAAAUUUUAAUAUCCGAAUACAUAAUUUUAAUUCUUCAUUCUUUUAAUUUGUUAAAUGUCAAAUUAGAUAUGACAUGACCUCAAUCAAAUUGUAAAUACAUGUAUGCCUAUGAACAAUUACGAUUUAAUGUGUUAAAAAAAAAGAUAACAUCAACAAAAUUUGGGACCGCUAUUUCCAAGUUAAUAAUUGAACUCACCGAAGAAUCUGGUUAAUACAAUAUUAUUACUUUUGAGGGCUCAAUUAAAACAUUUUAAAAUUUAAAUCAUAAUUUGAGAAUGUUUGAUACAAUAAACCCUUUUCUUUUAUUAAUUUCUUCACGAAUCAUAUAAUAAUUUAUUUCAAUUUAAUAAUACAAAUACACCAUAAAUGAACUUAGAAAAUUGUACAAAACUUUAAACAAACACAUCUAAUCAACUAAAGUGACAAUAACAAUAGUAAGGAUUGAUUGAGAAAAUUUUCCAAUAAGGAGACAUGCCAUGUUAAAAUGUACAUUAUUGUUAUCCAAGGAUCAAUUAUAAAUAUUUUCAAAAUUAUCAUUAAUGAAAUGAAUAAAAGAAAAAGUGCAAAGAAAAUGAGACAAAAAUGCACCGACUUUGAUGUUACUCACCCAUAUAAAUUUUCAACUCAUUCUAUCAAUCUAAUCAAAUAAAUUACGUAAAAGAUUGAGUUUUAGUUCGACCGAUAUGAACAUUAUUGUCAACAUAAGAGGAUACGGGUUUGAGUGUGUUAAAGUGCAUUAUCCUUCUAUUUAUUGAUUGAGAAAGGACCAUGAUUAAAAUGUUAUUUAUUAUUAUAUUAAAAAUUUUAAAAUAUUUAAUGUAUUUAUUACUGAAGUAUUUAAAAUGCCUAUUUAAUGUAUAAUUAUAUUAAAUAAUUUAAAUAUUAUCUAAAUUAUUUUAUUUUUUAAUUUCUAUUCACUACAAAUUUUAACAAUAAUGUCCAACAAAAAUUAACAAACACCACUUUUUCACUAAACUGAGCUUUUAAAAACACUUUUCAACUGCAACAACAGUGCCUAUAGAAACUUUAAACACUAUUCAUGCAAACUACUGAGUUAGCUUGAUUAUGACUUUGGCGAACAACUUGGAAAGAAAAUUAAAACCAGACCCAUCCCAUGAACACUUUGUACCGAACAAAUCAAAGAACAAAUUUCAUUUCUUAUAUUAAUUAUCAUUGAUUCCCUUUCUUUUGUAAUGUAUACUACAACAAUAAUAAUGGUAGAACACCUUGGUGGGUGGUUGAAUGCAAAAACAAAAUAAUUAAAAAGGACAAGAAGAUUGAGGCUAUUAGUCUAGAUGGUGGGAGUGGUGGCGCGCCGCUCCCAAAUAUCAUUCCGAAGAAGUCACCAUCAUUGCCACUGGAACCACCACGGCCACCACUGCCGGCGUUGGUUGUGCCGGUGUACCCAGGAUAAGAAUAGCUCCCUGUCUCUUCCCUGUACACGAACAAUUCAAAUACACGACAUUAGAAUAUUAACAUUUUGGGUGUAAAUAUCAUCAAAAUUUUCUAAGUUUUUUCAUGUAUAAACAAAUAAAAGCUUUUGAACUCGAAAUUCAAUUUGUUUAUACAACCAGCAACAAAUGAAUAAAACAAUUUCAUGUAGGAGCAGAUUUUCAAAGUGGGCAUUUCAGGUCCACUGUAAUAUUUUUUUUCAGGAACUUUUGUACCAUAAAGGGUACAACCAAUAGCAUUGAGUUUUCAAGUUGAGUAUUUUAGGGGUAGAAAAGCUCAAGUGGGAUCAUAAAUGGGGAAAAAGAGCAUCUUUUGAGGUACAACUUUUCAUUAAUUAUUUGAUAGCAAUGACUAUUUUGACAUGCAAAGAGACAGAAAAAAAAAAGUGCUUGAAAAGCUGUAGUGCUGACUAAUAUCCUGAGGCUCCAUAUGGGUGAUGUUGGAAAUAACUAACAAAAUAGGUUUAAGCCUAGAUUGAAAUAUGCAAUAAGAUAACAUUGUAUGAGAUCGAUUGAAUCGAUUAAGAGUAUUUAAAAUCGAUUAAGAGUGUUUAAAAAAUCUAACUCUUUUUACCAAAAUCGUGACUGUAAGUUUCUAAGAAUCUUAUCACUGCAUCUUACAGAACAUAAACAGAGGAGGGCCCAGGUAAUGGCCUAAAAGUCAGACGGAAAACCCAUCCUAUUUUGGCCUACAUUAACAGCUAUACAUUAACAUCAGAGUGGUGCCCACAUUGAGUCACUGAAACACAUUUAAAACUAAUGGACCCCUACUCCUUGCUAGCUGGAACCCUCAACUGAGCCACCGGCCCCCAUGUUUAACACUAUAAACAUCACCAGCGUCACUCUCUUCACAGUCCCAUCUUAUUCUAACAAAGGGGAUCCAACGGUGAAAGAAAAAAAAAACAAGAUUUAAAGGGUGAACACACCCUUUUAAAAGUGCAUGGGUACCCUAAAAAAGAGGACGACCUUCCCCAUGCAAAAGCACAUGGAUUAAGGACAACAAAUUGAGUCUGUACUAAAGCUGUGAAGAGGCACACGCCAUCACGUGCCUUUAUGAUCAAAAUUACAGAAAUGGGGUCUAAAAUAUAAACACCAAAUUAUUAACUAUUAUUAUUUAUAACUGUGGUGGUUAGAAGUGACAGGUAAUUCAGUUAUAAGGGCAAAAAAAAACCAAAACGAAAGGGUAUAUUAGGGUUUUACCUGGUCUCACCAAAAACGCCAGCGUUUGAAGUGAGUUGUUCAACGAGGGUAGCUGAUUUAGGCUCCACGCUGGAAGCUUUAACAUAUUGAGUCAUUACGCCAGCUCCUGAGGGUACAAAAUACGCUCCAUUGACCAUUAUGUCCCCAUCUGUUCUCCAGUUCCAACCUGUCCAAUCCUUCUCGUCAGUAUCCACGCGCUUUGUCACCUGUUUAUUAAAAAUAUUAAAAUAUACGCCGACUCAGUGUAGUGCAUCACACGCGCUUAAAAUGGCAUGUAUUAGAAUACAUUCAAUAAGACGAGUCAUGCACCGUCUUUUUAGAAUUAUAUUUUCACUUUUCAAAGCGAUUAUUUGAAGAAAAAUACAAAUCCUACACAAACCCCAACCCACGCGCCACGGCUGAGAGUGGAGAAUUACAGAAGAGUUCCACUUGCAAAAAGAAAAAAAAGUUCACGAGACACCCACCAAAAGACAUUCUCAACCCAAACAAAUUACUUUUAAAAAUAAUUACCCUUUGAACUUAUAAAGAACUAUUUAAAUGAAAAAAGGACUAAAUUGAAUAAAGUAGUAAAGUUGAAGAUCAAAAUGAAAAAAGGGGUUUACCUCUUUAGCACUGGGAUCCCCAGGGGCAGAGUAGCGAUUGCCUUGACUGUUGAUGGUAGGGUUACCGCUGCCGCCGAUGGCAUACAUUUGCCAUGAAGUGAAAUCAUUGUUGACCACGUGAAUAUACCCUCUCCUACACCUUGGCAUCCUUUGCACCAAUCCCACCCCAAAUACAUUGAAUGCUAUCGUCACCUGCAUCCCUGAAUCAGGCAAAUACCUACCCCAAAAUACAGACCCACUUUCAAAAUUUUAUUUUUUCACCGUGAUUGGAGUAUUCAAAUCAUUAUUUUAACAGUUUAACCUUCUUCUUUUUUGGAUUAACCUCGUGAUAAGAAUAAUGUUCACUGAAACCUAAGAUAAUAAAUGGUUGAAAUAUGGACCCACAAAAAAAAAGUUUGGAAAAUGGGUCCUUUCAACUAAAGAUGACUUUAGAUGGAAUAUUUGCAAUUUUUUAUGAAUACAAUUAAUUAUUUUGUAUAAAUAGCAUUAUCUGCUAUAUAAAUAUCUGAAUUUUAGUAAUUAAAAAAAUAAGUAAAUUAAUUUCUAUUUUGAAAAAUUAAUACUUAAACGUCAAUAUGAUAUGCAUGUGUCUUGUACCAUUUUUAAGAGUAAAAAUAAGUGAAAUUUUCAAACAAAAAAUUUAAUUUGCUCUUUAUUCUAAUCUAAAAAAAACUAACUUACUUAUUUUUUAAUUAAAAGAUACAAAAUAUAAUCUAUCACUUAAUAUAAUAAUUAAAAGAUACAAAAUAUAAUCUAUCACUUAAUAUAGGGACUUUCGUGAUAUUUUUACCAAGAUAUUAAAUAUUAUCUGCAAAAGCAAAAUCAAUUAAAAAAUUUUGUUUAUCUGAUAUUUAUUUACAAAUAUCAACCAUUAGAAACAGGGGAAAAAGCCGGAAUGGCAAGGGCAUUGGGCUCCAGGUUAAAUGGGAUAAUUUCACUUUUAGCCCCUCAGAUCUUUUUAAUCCUUCGAUUAAUGGGAAAAUUGCAUUUUCUGCCGUCCAAAAUAUUAACCUCUAAACUUUUUUAUAAUUUUAUAUUAGACCCCAAAAUUCUAAUCCCAAAAUUUACGUUGAACUAAGCUAAGGGAAACGGAAAAAUGUACCUGUCAUCAUGUCCCAGGAGCAUAACUUCAUCAUGGUGAGCAAAAUAGCUAUUACUAAUGGUAAUCCCAGUGGACCCCAUAACAGCAUCAACCAACCCAUCGGUGCAGUAACUUAAAGAACAAUGAUCAACCCAGAUUUUCUGAGACCCAAAAAUGGAGAUCCCAUCACCGUCCGAUCUCCCUCUCCUCCCCACAUGCGUUGGAGAUGAAGCAAUGUCAGUGUUCCCCGAAGGUUUACAAUGGUGAACAUGGAUAUUAUGGAUGAUAAUAUGCGACACGUACUGUAACGUUAAACACCCAUUUCCGGUUAUAUGGACGUUAACCCCUCUACCGUCAAUGGUUUUGAAAGAGUUGAAAAUGAGUUCGUGUUUGAGUUUGAUGACCAUGUUGGUUGAAAAGACGAUCCAAAGGGGUUCGUCUUGGAUGACGGCGUGCCGAAGGGUGCCUGGUUUGGGGUUAACGGUGUCGUGGUCGGAGGAAUCGGUGACGGUGUAGAUCCGACCGCCUUUUCCGCCGAGGGUGCCUCGUGCGAAGCCGAUGGAGCAGUCGGCUAAGCGUUGACGGUUAUUGAACCAGUUGGGGUCACAUCUCCAGCAAUCAUCAAUGGGGUUUCCAGUUCGACAUUGAUCUUUGGUGUUUUCAGACAAUGUUUGUCUUCUAGAUAAAGAUGCAUUUAAGCUCCUGCAAGGGAAAAAGUGAAGAUUUUUAGUAAAUGUAGAGAGAGAAAGCAGAUUCUCUUUUUUAACCUCAUUUUCUCUUAGAAUCCUUCAAAAAGGGGGGAUUCAGAUUUGGGGUUAAAAAAACACAAAAAUGGGGGGUUUUUUUUUCCUUUUUGUGAAGAACAAAGAGAAGCCAUUGUAAUGCGAAACAAAAGGGGUGAGGAUUUGCGGUUAUAAAGCACUAAAAUGGGUUUUCUUUUUGAAGAACAAACAUUCGAGGGAAGCCAUUGUAAUGCAAAAACAGAGAACUUGAAAUGUUCAAAACAAAACAAAAGGGGGGAGGAUUGGGGGUUAAAAAACACCAAAAUGAGUUUUUUGUGGGUGUGUGUUCUGAAACAAGCACUUGAGUAGCCAUUGAAAAGGGAGGAUUAGCUUACCAUUGAACAUCAAGAACAACGGAUUCAGGGUGAGGGUGUUGAUGAGGGAGACUAAGAUUGAAGGUAGCUCUUGAAACUGAAGCCAAUAUGCACAUGAAGAGAAUGCAGGUGAAAGGAAGCAUCUUGGAAGUGAAAUGAAGCAACAAAAAUGGAAACGAAAGUUGGGGAUUUCCAGUUUUGUUCUUCUGUAUGAAAAAGGUUCACUUCUUUGCACAAUGGAAUGUGAUUGGCAUUUGCUUGUUGUUGACAGUUGUUCUAGAGCCCAAAAUAAACUUAGGAGACUGCAAAUCCUUGGAAAAUGUGAAGUGAUUUAUAUAAUAAUACCAAAGCAAUUUAAACAAAAAGUGAAAGAAAGAAAGCUUUGCUCAAAGAAAAGAAGAAAGAAAAAACAACCCUUUUCCAAUUUUUCAACUUUUUCUUCUUCAUUUUUGGUCGGAUUUUUAACUUUUUUUCUUUAAUUAUUUUAUCUAAGGCUAAACUCGACGAAUGCUCACACAAUUAUAUGAAAGUUUUUUUAGUUGAUAUAAUAAUAUAUUUAGUUUUUAAUAUUUAAUUAUUCUAUCAACUUGAUCUUAAUUUUAAAUAAUGUAAUGAAUCUAACCAUUCACAUUUAUAAAUUUUAUCAAUUUGAUCCUCGAACUUCUUAAUCAAAACUUUCAACUUUUAAAAGAGAGGCAUUCCACAUAUAAUAAUUGUCUUAUUUAUUGUUGAAAUUAUCUAAUUUGAUACGCAACUUUUUUAUUUAUAUUUUUAAAAAGUUUAUGUUAAAAAUUAAUUAAAUACCAUUAAAAAUAAUAAAAAUUACAAAUUUUAAAAAUAUAAUAUAUAAUGAAAUUAUAUAAAUAAUUUAAUAUUUGUAAAAAACAAUAUUUCACUUUGACCAACAAAAAGUUUUGAAUUAAUUUGGUAAAUGAUUUGACACUAAAACAGAUUAGUAGUUAUACAUAUUGCUUAUUGUGAAAUUAAAAAUAAAAAAUAAAUAGAACACAUAAUAAUCUCUUAAUCAGUUUAUAAAACUAAAAAAAAUCAUUAAUUCAAUUAAUUCUUUCGCAUUUUUUUAUAAAAAAAUUAAAUGUUCGUAAUUUUUCAUAUAUAAUUAUUGAUUGUAUAAUUAGAUUUUUCAAAACCAUAUCUUUUAACUUUGGAUUUUAUUUCCAAUUUUAAUAACUAACUUGGAGGACUAUUUCUACAUACAUUGAAGGAAUUACCAUACUAUUAACAAUAAGAGUAAAUCUAAUGUGUUUUUUUUUAAGGUUUUUCUAUUUUCUUUAGCCAAAAUUGUAUCGAUUAAUUGUUAUAAAAUAUUAUAUUUAGAAGAUAGUUAAUUAAAAAAAGAAAAAAUAAAUAAAAAUUCAAGGUAAACCUAUUGGUAUUAGGAAUUGGGUUGAAAAAGGAACUGGGUUGAAAAACAACUCGUUAGUUGAUAGAAGUAUUUAUAGAUGUGGAAUGCCUUUAUUUUAAAAGAUGAAAGCUUCUAUUGGGAAGUUUGAGGAUCAAAUUGAUAUAAUUUGUAAAUAUAGUUGGUUAAAUUUAUUUAAUUAUUUAGAAUUAGGACCAAAUUGAUAGAAUAAGUAAGUAUUGAGGACUAAAUGUGUUAUUAUAUCAGUUAGAUAAUGAUUUUUCGUUAUCAAUUUAAUGGCAGAUGACCAAAACAGUCUCCAAGAUAUCCCAACCAACCUUUGCGACCGUGCAUUUUGCAAUCCUCUUAAACUUCUAUAGGUCAACUCCACAUAAAUAUUGAAAUUCUUUUGAGUUAUCAUUUUCCAACUUCUCUUCCUUUGUGGUCCACUGUGCUUCCGGCUUCACAACUCUACCAUUCUUAGUGUCUAUCUUGGGUACCUGCCAACCAAUCAACACAACAUGCCAUGUCUUCUCUUCAAUGGACAUAAUAUGUGCCUUCAUGUGUGCUUUCCAGUAAGCAUAAUUCUCAACUUUGAGCAUAAGAGGAUGAGAUGUAGAAGAACCUUCUAUAGUUUGAAUCUAGCAACACUUAGGAUCUUCACUAGCUAUUUUAAGUGGCAUACUCUAAUACCAAUUGUUAACUCGAACUGUUGCUAAGAAUCAAGCUAAGUGUAUGAAAUAGUAACAAGGGAAUUGGCUCUCCUUCAUCACUAAAUGAAAACAUUAAAAAAAAAUAAAACAUGAAUUGUUUAUACAAUUCAGUUUCCAUACGUCUGUGGAGCCUAGCAAAGUGAGAGAUAUUCACUUUCUUCGAUAAUUAAAUAAGCUAUGCUAAUCUAUCACGCACCCUAUGACAAUUUUCCUUACCUUUGCACUUUGAAUAAUGAAACUCUUACUACUGAAUUUACCCUGUGAAUUUAGCAAGUAAAACACAACAUAACAAGAUUUACUAUCAAUAUACACUCAUACAAUAAAAUUCCUCACAAUGACAGAUUAAGUGAUUAAUUCUCUCUAUACAAUAACCUAUAAAGUUUAUCAAUUAUAUAGAAUAUUUUGAAACUUGCUAACAUAAUAAGAUUUAUCACAACCCCAUUAAAACAACAAUAAGAUGAGUUGAAUACAAUAUAAUAACAAUUAAUAUAAACAUGAACUCUUGGCAACUAAGCAUUUUGUGCUCCAACUCAAUCCAAUAUCCACGAUCCAAGGGAUUAGAUAAGGUGAUCCGAUUUGAUUAAAUCUUCAAACUUGUUUUCCCAUGUGAUAUGAUAUUCAAUAAUGGGCUAGAUAUCAUCCACACAAUUAGCACAACCCAUAAAUAUUGUUCGGUAAAUUGCCAACAUCUCAAAUAUGGAAACUGUCUCAAACAACUCUAGUGGUCAAGGAGUGGGCACUCCCUUUACACUUAAUCCCCAGUCCCAUAUUUUUCAGCAUUGUUGAUAUUUUUGGAUAAUAUUGGUGGGAGUAUCUAAUUUAAAAUUAGAAGAAGAAAAAUAAAAAAUGAAACAGAAAACAUAAAAUUAACAAGUUUUUAUUUAAAAUUAGAAAAUAAAAAUAAGAAAAGGAAAUUAUAUUGAUAAAAAAUCUCUUUAUUUUUCAAAAUUUUUUAAAUUGUCAAAGUCAGUCCUCAUACUUUAAAAAAACUUAAAAUUUAUUUCAAAUGACACCAUUCUUAAAUUACUAAGCAUGAAAUAAACAACUUAACAAUUUAUAUACAAUAAAAUUAGAAAAAAAAAUGCAGUUCUACUCACUUUUAUUUUAAUAUUUUAUUUAAUAUUCUAACACUUAACCCAAAGGCGAAUCUAGGAGUGUUGACAGAGGCCUUGUCCCCCUAAAAUAAAAUAUUGCUAUUUAGGUCCUUUAAAAAUUUUAAAACUUUAAAUUAGUAAAGGUAAAAUUACACUUUAGCCCCCUAAAAUUAUAAAAAUUUAAAUUAAUUAUUUAAAAAUUAUAAAGAUAUAGACUAUAAAAAAUUAAGAUUUCAUUCGCCUCUCAUAAAAAUUAUUUUGGCUUCGCCCCUGCCUUAACCCUAACCUAAAAAAAUCAUCCUAGUCAAAUGGGUAGAGCAAUACUUCAUUUUUAAUGGCCCGAAGCCAAUAAAUUAAAAAAAAGGCAAAUUGCAUUAUUAAUUACUCAAUUAUAGGUAAAAUUUUGUUUUGAUCACUUAAUUAAAAAAGUUACAAUUUGGCCAUUAAACUAUUUGAAAGUUUUCAUUUAUAAACUAUUUGAAAGUUUUCAUUCAAGUUAUUGAGCUAUUUAAAAGUUUUUAUUUAAGUCACUGGAUUGUUAAGUUUUUUUUUUUAAGUUCCACCAGUGAGCUCCAAGCAACGAUUCAACGAUUGGUACAAUGGAUUAGUACCCAUCGACGAGUAGAAAAAUAUACCUUAGAUCCAAGUCGAUUUAAUGGUCAAUAUCGAAAAUUGAAGAAAAAAGUUGUUUGAAUUUUGGUUCACAAAUUUAUGAUGUCUAAAGUUGUUUUGUGAAAAAAAAUUGAACUGUAGGAAAGAAUGAGAAAGAGACCUUUCGAUUGAUGCAGGCAAUAUGAAUAGAAAAAAAGCUAUAUAGUAUUAAUUUUAACAGUCCGAUGACUUAAAUAAAUUUUUUUAAAUAAUUUAGUAAUAAAAUUGUAACUUUUUUAAUUAAGUAAUCAAAACAAAAAUUUAUCCAUAAUUUAAUAAUAGAGUUUACUUGUUAAAAAAUGUAUGAUAUAAAAAUUAAAAAAUGUAUGGCAUAUAAAACAUAUAUAUAUAUAAUUAAAAAAACUUAUUUUUUUAAAAGAUUAUUAAAUUUUAUGACAUUAUGUAUAUAACAACAAUAAAUGCAAGUGAACCGACCUUGAUUCUAUUUAUUUGAGGCCGGUGGGUGUUGCAAUAUUCUAUUAUUAUUGCCAAUCCUUCAAAUAUUUUGGACGGCCUAAGUUUCAUAUUUCUUCAUUCUUAUCCAUUGCACACAUUUUAUUUAUCUAAAUAUUCAAAAUCAAUACUCUUUGUCUGUAGUAAUAUAUCUGUAUUUUUUAAAAUCUCAAACAUGGACUGGUAGUCACGAAUUCUAUAAACUGAUUUUUUUUUUAUUUAGAUUAUUUUAUAUUUUAUAAAAUUUUAAAUUAAUAAUAAUAAAAUUAUGUUUUUAUUAUUAUAAAAAUAUACAAUUUAAUUCCACCCAAAGAAAGUUAUUGACUUCGCCCUAGAAUAUAGAAAUGCAAAACUACCCAAAAUUCAAAUAUGUGUUAUAUAUAUAUAUAUAUAUGAUUCGAGUGCAAUUUUGUAAGAAAAAGCUCAAAUGAAUCGCUUAGUUUACAACUAAACUUUAUAGUUGAAAGUCUUACUAGAAAGUAAUCUAGAUUAGAAUAUAGAUUUAAGGUUACUACAUGGUGAAUGUGUAUAACUUAAAUCAUAGCUUAUAAUUAUUAAAGCAUAGUCAAAUAAUUGUUUGGGAAAGGCCCUAUAGAUUUAAAAAGAAUUUGAAUCGCGUAACCAAGUUUUCUGUGUCUGUCUCUAAUCUUACUUGCACUUACAAUUUGAUCCAAUUGCAACUUUUCAUAUAUCGAGACUUAUAACUACUAGCAAAAAUCAACGUUCCUUCAAAUAUUAAGGGUCUGUUUGAUUGAUGGAAUUGAUUUUCCGGAAAAUCAUUUCUAACUUUUCCAGCGUUUGAUUGGCAGAAAUAUUUUCCAUUUGGAAAAUGAACUCCAAAACAAGGGAAAAUGUAUUACAUUUUAGGGAAAAUGCCUUACCCUUUCAAUUUCCGUAAGACAUUUUCCGUGCUGUCCUCUCUAUCGCCUCCUUCAUUCCUUCCUUCAUUUCCGGUAGAAAAAUGCUUCUGUUUAUCGAUUUUCCAGUAACUUGUUUUUUUAAUUAUUCAAUACUUAUUUUUUUAACACAAUUACAAAUAAUUUAUUUGAUAUUAGUUUUUUUCAAUUUAUAACGAUUAAUAUUGUAGCUUAAUAAUUGAGUAUUAUUAUAAAUAAAUCAUUGCAAUAUAUGUAAAAAUAAUUUAAAAUAUAAAAAUUUAUUAAUAUAUAUUAAUAUAUGUAAAAAAACUUUUCCGAAAAAUAUUUUCAAAAAAUCUGCCAAGCAGCAAAAAAUAUUUUACACAGAUUCAAUCAAACACCAGAAAAUAUUUUCCAGUAAAUCAUUUUACAGAAAAGUAAAACAUUUUUCAAAAAUCAUUUUACGGAAAAUAUUUUACUGGCAAUCAAACAGACCCUAAAUAUUCAAAUUUGUAGAAAAAAACUGAAUGGAUAUUCGCAUAUAUCUUAACCCACGUAAAAAUUACCAUUAUUUGGUUUAUUCGUCGGGGCAAUUGAGUGAAUAAGAUCGAAUGAGUUUUGAAAUUUUUUGGUCCAUAUUAGAAUUUUUAAUUUCUCUUUUCACAUUUUCUUCAUUAAUCAUAUAUAUUUUUAAAUUAUCUUUUUUUUCAAUUUCCUCCUUCGACUAAAUUAUUUAAAUAUGUCAUUUUUUUAAGAUUUAGGGAAAUAGAUCGAUUUUGAAGAGAGUGUGUGAAAGUGUGUCCAGUCACAUACUCUCUCCUCGGCCAUCGAUUUUUAAAGUUUGUUAAGGUUAGGGUUUUUUAGUUUAGAAUUUAAGGUUUUUAUUAUUUAGGGUUUUGAGAGUGAAAGUUUAUAGGUAGAUUUGAGAGGGUCAGGGAUGCGAUAACGCAUCUUAAAACACAUACAUUUCAUAUGUCAUAUUAGGAUAGAACCAUUAUCUCAAAAAUUCAUCUUAUAGAAGUCGGGUUUCGGGGUGACAGUGCUUGAUACAGUCAUGGGUCAAAGUCGAAGUUUAAGUGGAGGUCCCAAUCGACGACCGUUAUACGGUCACAGGUUCGAGCAUAAUUGGGGGCCAAUUGACAGUCGUUAUGCGAUUACGAGUUCAAGCUUUUUGAAUAUCCAUAAAUGAUGCAUUAUAUAUAUCAUAUAUAAGAUUAAUGUCAUAAUCAUAAGAAAAACAAAGGGUUUUUUGAUGCAAUUAGCGUAAUUUUUUUUCUCUAUUUCUAAGUGGCCAGUAUCUUUAACAUUUUAUUUUUAUCAGAGCAAAAAUACUUAAAAAAUAAACAAAAAUUAUAAGUUGUGAAUUAGAAGUCGUCAGGUAGCAAAUCCAAGCGAAAAUACCUAAAAAUAUAUAUAAAAAAAAUUAUAAAAAAUAAAUAUAAAAAAUUAUAAAAAUAGUAAAAAUAUUAUAAAAAUACUUUUCAGUCCCUUGAAUAGUGGACCAUCAACAUUGUCCCCUCUACCAAGACCAGCACAACGUUCAGUGCACCAUUAUGGCAUCACCCAAAGCCUUGUGCAGUCAAAAAUUCCUGCACUCAAAGCCCCCUGCAGCUAAAGUCCACUACAACCAAAGCCCCUUGCAGUCGAAAAUUUGAAGAGUUUGAUUAGUUAUAAUUUUUAUAAAUCUUAUUAUUUUUCUAGUAUUUUACAAUUCAUGUGAUUUUUAAAAUUUUUAAGUGUAAUAACUUAGAUGUGCCAUGUGGUGGAUUUUGAUUAGUUAUAGGAAGUGAUUGGAGUUAGAAUAGUUUGAAUGAGCGGUGUAUUUAUCUGCAGUUAAUGUAAAAAUAAUAAUGACGGUGAAAUUAAAUACUAUAACAUAAGACAAAAAAAUAAGCUAAAUGCAUCGCACGACACAUCUCAUCCAAACCCACACUUAUCUUAGAGUAAAUUAUCUAAUGGAAAUAAACUUUUAAGUCUUGAAUCGUGGUGCAAAAUUCUUUUAAGUAUCAAAUAAAAAAAAUAUUAGAAAGCAAAUGAUAGAUUAAGCCUAUUUUUUGUUAUUAGUUUACGUUUUAACAAAAUUUUAAUAAUAUUAAUUAUGGGGUAAAUCACACUCAAGGUUAGUGAUUAUUAGUAAAUUUAUAUUUUUAUCACUCAACUUUAAAAAAUAAUAAAAUGGUCAUUAAACUAUUCAAAUAUUUUCAUUUAAGUCACUAGUCUAUUGAAAUUGCUGCUGCAUGACCUUCUCUAUUCGCAUCACCUGCCUCAAUCAAAAGCUCUCAUUCCCUUUAUCUCCUAUAAUUAAGUUUUUUUUCCAUGAAAUAACUAUGAACAUCACAAAUCAGUGAACCAAAAUUCAAAUAAUUAUAUUUUCCAAUCAUCAGCAUUGAUUGUCAAAUUGGCUUAGAUCUAAUGUAUAUUCUUUUACUCAUUGAUUGAUGAAUAUUGAUCUGUUGUAUCAAUCAUCAAAUUAUUGUUUGGAGCUCACUACCUGGAUUUUAUUUUUAAAAAAAUUAACAGCUUGAUGAAUUAAAUAAAAAAUUUGAAUAUUUUAGUGACUUAAAUGAAAACUUUUGAAUAGUUUAAUGACCAUUUUGUAACUUUUUAAAAUUGAGUGACCAAAACAUAAACUUACUAAUAGUUUAGUGACUUUAGCUGUAUUUUACCCUAAAUUAUUUAAAAUUUUUUUUGAAAUAGGUUCGGUUUUAGGCUUGGAAAGCCGUUAAGCGACUCAAAUCUGAAUUUGAACCUCCACACAGUUUUACCAUAAUACCCUUUAUAUUCCCUUUCUCACUUUCCCUCCCAUAUUCAAUCAAGAGGCAGAGAGAUUUAGGGUUUGAUUUUGAGAGUAAGGUAUUAGCUCAUUCUUUGCUAUGGAAAAUUUAACAACACUCGACACUGGAACCGCCGACGUUGCAGGUACUUCGAUUACCUUAAAAUACCUCUCAAUUUCUUGAUUUUCCCCCUGAAUUUUAUUGGGUUUUUUAAAAUUUGUUUAAAAAAUAAUAAUAAAUUUUAGCCAAUUUUUAAAAGCAUUACUUUCCCCCUCGAAAGGUGAAUUCACUGAAUCUUUCUAAUCAUUUUAUUGUUUUAUUUUUGUUAAUUUUUUUCUUCUAAUCUUAAAUCUGAGAAGAUUCGAAUUGGGAUUGUAAUGUUUUCAUGAAUUAGGUCGAGGAACGAACCCUAAUCCUAAAUAGUAAUUUUAUCUGCAUAAUGUUAGUUGAAUAAAAUGGAUAGUUUAUUUAUUUACAUUUUGGAUUUGGUAAAUUGGUUAGUGAGACUAUAAUAUAGUUUAGUUUGAUGCUGGAGAAAUGCCGGAAAGUUGAAGUUUGAUUUGCUGCUGAUACACCUGUUUAGUUUGAUUUCUAUGAGCUGAUGUAGAGGUUAGGAAGAAUUUUUUUUGUUCACCAUUGAAUGGAAGAUUGGUUGUUCUUUUUUAACAUGAUUAACUUAAUUUCAGCUUAAAAAUCUGUUCGGAUUUCAGGUGAUAAAUUGAAAGGGGAGAUUAAGGAAAAUAGAUGCUCAAUGGGUAAUAUGUCAAGGAAAGGGCUUACUGACAUAUCCAACUUACAGCAGCAACCUAAAUUGUUAAACCAAGGUGCAAAGCUGCUGUUGCAAACUGCUUCACUCGGGACUAAAGAUUACAUUGACAAACUUCAACAGGUAUGCUUUGAACAUCAAUUAACUCACCUUUCUUUGUUUUUAUUUUCACCCCAUCAUUUGUUUAUGUGUGCCUUUAGCUUAUUGAGGUUUUUAUUGAAUCUGCCUCAGGAAAAUAUGAUGCUGAUGAAAGUUCUUGCAGAUAGAAAGUAUUCUCUAUGAUUGAUUUUAUUUUAUUUCUUUUCCUUCCCUUUCUAACCAUUGCUUGCUGUUAUUUGUGUUUGGAUGACUUUCUUUUUUAUGGUUGUGUUUUUCUUAAUUUUGACCAGUAAAGUCAUUGAAUUGAGUGGAAUUGAGUUACAAAAGCUGAGAAUCAAUUUGGAGAAGUUUCAGCAACAGAACAUGGUACUUGCCCAAACAAACAGCCAGAUGUUAGCGGUACCUUAGUACUUCUUUGUAACUGUCUGUUUCUCAGUUUAUAACUCUUAGGGGCAUACUUUUAAUGAUAUUAUGAUCUUCUGGUAAGGCUGAUGUCUUACUUUGGGUUUUGCAGGAACUUAAUUCAAGCAAAGAUAGGGUAAGUUUUCAGAACAUUAAGUUUCAUGAACUUCAUCUUGCUUACUGCUUUUGUGCAACUGUAUAUUUUUGGGACUUGACCAUUGAGUUCUUUUGUUUUCAGUUAAAAGCCCUUAAGCAUGAGCUGGGAUGUAAAAAUGCUCUGCUUAAAGCUAUUAAAUUGGAGGUAUUUUUAUUUUGCAAUAAUCUACUCAUCUAAGUGCACAAUAGUCAAGUCUAAAUUAGAUUCCAUUGCUGUUUAUCAAAUCCUUUGACACCUGCAGAACAUCCGGAAACGAAGCAUUAAAUAGAAUAAUUUACAGCAUCUGUAUUGAUUUUCUUUUCUUAUGUUUUACCAAUGUAACAUGUUAUUCACACAUUCUUUUCCCGUGGUUUGAAGCUAGGAACAAACAAGUGUGGCAAGGUAGGUGAAUCACAUGAUGAAGAAGAUGGCGAAAAUAAACCUUGUAAUAUGAACGGGUGUGGCGAGACAGGUGAAUCUCUUAAAGGAGAAGAUGAAGAGAAUAAACCGUGUAAUAUGACCAGAAAGAGACAAUCGUACGAUCUUGGUAACUUGCUUGACAGAAAUUUUAGUUGAAAAUUAUUAAUGUUGUUCAUCAUACCAUCGUCAUUUAUCAUUCGCAUGCUGCUUCAGGUCCUUGUAAUAUUAAACCAGUCCAAGGCAAAGAGGGGGUCAAGAACAAAAGGUUUUUGUACAUUUUUAUUGCUUUGUGCAAAUUAGUUUUCUAAUAACUUUAGUGCUUCCCAAUGAAAAAGGAAAAUUAUGGUUUCUUUUAUGUUUCCUUAGCAGGAUGUAUGCAAAAAGGCAAUCUGCUAGGCAUAAAACCCAAGCAGAAACAACUGAAUAUGUAAUUAAGGUCCAUGAGAGUGGCCCUUCUGAUAUCAAACCAGUCCAAGCCAAGGAGGGGAUUGACAACAAAAGGUUUUUGUACAUUUCUUAUUGCUUAGUGCAAAUUAUUUUCAAUAACAGUGUAGUCUUUAGCUUCUUUGUUUGAAAACUUCAGUGACAGAGUAAAAUUCAUGGUUUCUUUUAUGUUUUGGUUGCAGGGUUUGUUCAAGAAGGCAAUCUGCUAGGUUUAAAGCCCAAGAACCUGAAACUACUGAAUAUAUGUUCGAGGUAGAUGAUACAAAAUCUUUUGAUUCUACCCGUGAUGAUAACGUCCAUGGGAGUGGCCCUUCUGAUAUCAAACCAGUCCAAACCAAGGAGGGGAUUGACAACAAAAGGUUUUUGUACAUUUCUUAUUGCUUAGUGCAAAUUAUUUUCAAUAACAGUGUAGUCUUUUAACUUUUUUGUUUGAAAACUUCAGUGACAGGAAAAUUCAUGGGUUUUUUUUAUGUUUUGGUUGCAGGGUUUGUUUAAAAAGGCAAUCUGCUAGGUUUAAAGCCCAAGAACCUGAAACUACUGAAUAUAUGUGCGAGGUAGAUACAAAAUCUUUUGCUCCUAUCUGUGAUGAUAAGGUGUGUAAAAGUGGCCCUUCUGAUAGUAAAUCCGCCCAAGGCAACGAAAGGGGUGACAGCAAAAGGUUUUCUACAUUUUCUAUUGCUUUGUGCUAAUUAAGUUUCUGAUUAGAUUGUUUUAUUUGAAAACUUAACAACCAUGGAUUUAUGUGGGUUGUUUUAAUGUUCAUAUCUUACAGGGUAUGCUUAAGAAGGCAAUCUGCUAAGAUUAGAGCACAAGAACCAGAAAUGAGCGUAGAUGUGUCUGACGUAGAUGAUGUGAGGUGUCUUUUUUCAUCUACCAGUGAUGAUAAGGUGCAUGAAAGUGGCCAACUAUCUUCCGAUUCAUCAGUGAAAAGAGAACAGGAAGAAGGAAAUACGAGUAUGUCCACCAGAAGUGAAGCUCAAGAACUUAGAAGGGUGUCUGUGGGAAGGCCUUUACGCCGAGCAGUGGAGAAGGUCCAAUCCUACAAGGAAAUGAAGCUUAAUGUGAAGAUGCGCAGAGAAGUGUGAGUGAGUUCAUUCUCUUAGCAUCGUUCUAAUAAGCUUUGAGUUGCAUCUAAUUUCUGUGUUACCACAACGCUGUAUAAUAUAUGUUGUGCCUUUUUCUUUUUCUUGACAUGCCUAACCCAAUGCAUCUACCAUGUAUGACUGUUGGAAAUGCCUGAAUUCCAAGUAGUUUUGUAAGAUUUUUGAUCCAUUUGCUGGUCGAAUGUGGAAUAUUUCUGUGGGAAUUUUCAUAAGAGAAUUCGCCUCUAGUUCAAACAACUCUUAUCAAUUCCCAAUCUUUUUAAUUCUGUUAUUUGAGUUUCGAGAUCUAUUUUUGUCUUUUACUUUUCAAUGUACUCUUAACUUAAUAAUGGAGGGGAGGGGGGGCAAACCCCGAAUUUUACCUCAUUAUCUAAUUUAUCUUUGAUGGAUUUCACCUGAAUUCCAUUGGCUGAGCUUAACUGAAUUCUAAUAAAACCCAAGUAAAAUUCAAUAGAUGGUUGGAUCCUCACCCUAGAUAAAGAGUAGUUUUAAAAUUCGUGGCCAGCGUUUACCUCUUAAUAAAUUUACAGAAUGCGAAUGAUUAGUUAUUGAUCUUGCUUCGGUAAAUAUAUUGAGAAAAAGAAAAAAUAGAGUAUAAUAUUUGUUAGAAGGUGUCUAACAUAAAUAUGCUCAAAAUUCUUAAAUAUGUUUUUUUUUUCUUAAUGUUUUGAUGAAUCUAUUUCAAUGCCUAUAUAUCAUAUAUAUUGAAUUGUUUUCAGAUUUUUUUUCCACCUUUUAUUAAUUGGUGACUUGACAUUUUAAGGAAAAAAAAUAAAUUCUGCCGCAUUUUUCUUUCAUAUAAAUCAAAAUUAAAAAAUAAUUAAUAAAAUAAGUCAAAUGGUAAUUUAUUUUCUGAAAGUAAGUUUAAAAAUGAAAAAUCAUCUCUAAAAAUAAAACAUAUGAAGACGCAAAUAAUAGGCGAUUUGAGAACCUACUCUCAUCGUCUACUCUAAUUGCUAUCUUCAUAUGUUGCCGACUUUUGCCAAUGAAUUUAUUUUCUUACACUUUUAAUUGAUAAAUAAAUAAUAAUUUUACAUAUUUAUUAAUUAUUUUUGAGUUUUGAUGUAUAUGAAAAGUUUUCAUCUUACUAUUUUUUAUUAAAAUAAUAUAAUUUUAUUCCACAAAAAAACAUAUAAUAUAAUCUUAUUCAAAGCUAUAUCAAGAAAAAAUGGUUAAAAUCAACUAAAACCUGUUGGUUAUUUAUGACAUGCAUAGGCAUACUUCCAGCUACACCUGUCCAUGGGCCGGGCGGCCCGGCUGGCCCGACGGUCUGACUGUUUGCUUGAAAUAUGGGAGGGUUCAGGUAAAAAUAUAGGCCCAAAAUAUGGACUUGGACAAAAAUUUAGGCCCGUUUAGAAAACGGGCCGGGUCUCGGGCAAAAUUUUUUUGGCCCGGGCUCGGCCCGAAAAAUAUUAAAUAUAUAUUUUUUUAUUUUAAAAAUAUAACAGCUUUUAUUUUAAGUUUGAUUUACUUUUCUCUUAAUGCUGCUGUCAGUGCUGUGCCUUCCUUUUUUCCCCAUUUCCAAAAUCGACAGACACCCAAAAUCCCUAACCCUAUUGUGCUGUCUCCUGUGCCUUCCUCCCUUUUUUUCCCAUUUCCAAAAUCGACGGUCUCUUCCAGUACCGUUUGCUCAUCUUCUUCGUUUGGUACAAGUACGGGUUUGCUCAUCUUCUUCGUUUUCAUUCUCUGUGACUGUAAGAUACUUCAUUUCUUUUGAUUAUUCUUCUUCAGGUUACUCUUUUAUUUCUUUUAUCAAUUACCCUUCUUCUUUGCCUGCACAUUCAAUUAAGCGCAACUCUUUUACUCUUUCAAAAUCUGAGACAUUGAUUUUUUUUCUAGAGAUUGUGUUCUUAGGUGUUCUGAAUCAAUGGUUAGGAUUAUGUUACAAAGUUGAAACAUUAGAUAAAUAUUUAUUAAAAACAAUUGUUCUUUCAAUGAAUUUAUGCAUCAAAACAGCAAUAACAUAAAUACCAAAUGUAAAAUAAAACGUAUUAAAGCAUCAAAAAGCUUACCUGAAAUGCAGACCGAAAGCUCAAAAAAUCAAUAAACAUAUGAACAAAGAAGAGAAGAAGAAGAAAUAGUAUAUGAAGGCACACAGUUUAGCAGGCAGGACAAGAUUAGUCUACUGUUUUUGGUUUUAGGCAAAGAUUAGUCCAAACUCCAAAGUUAAUAUAAAAGGGUCAAACGUGUAGGAAGUAAGCAAUGGGAUAACAAUAACAUUAGCUGACCAACCAUUAUAACAAUAAUAUUAAAAUCAAGAGUAGAUAAUGCUAAGUUCCCACUUUCUGCAGAUUACCCACUCUUUUUCUUAGAAACAGUUUGAAUUAAAAAUGUUAGAAUUAAAAAUGGAGAAUAUUAGAGGGUAGAGUCAGUAGUGAGUCAUGUCAAUGGAGAAUAUUUAAUACAAUUCUUCCUUUUUCUUAGAAACAGUUUGAAUUAAAAAUGGAAAUCUAAUCUAACAUUCUUACUUCAUUUCUAAUUGCAGUUUUCUUUCAACUUCUUUCUACUGAAGUUACACACACUUCAUUUGGGGCAUCCUUUUGCUGAAUGUUAACCAAUGUUGACUAUUCUAGAACUAUACCACAUCGACAUAUAAGAAUGUUAAAUUAGAUAAAGCAGGUUUCUCGGCCUCUUGAAUUGCGAAUUGGGUUUAGUUUAUUCCUUUAAAUAAGGUAACAUAUGCAGAUAACAUGUGCCAAUGCUCUGCAUGUAUUCUGUUUGUUUCUGUCUAAGUUUGUAAAAGUGUAUAAAAAAAGUGUUUAUAUAUAUAUUCCCUUCCAUUUUCUGACUGUUAAUCUAUAAUAAAAGUUUAUAUGAAAUUUGUCAAUUAUUUUUUUGUUAAUCUAUGAUUCAAUCAAAUAAUUAAGUGGUAAAUGUUUGUUUAUAUGUUUAUAUCUGGAAAUAAAGUUAUCAGAAUUUUGAAAUUGCAUGAGAUUCGAGUUUAAUGAAUUUAUUAUGAUGUUUACUAAGAUCACAAGCUUAGUUUAUUCAUUUAAUCUCAUCUUCUUCUUCUUCUUUUUUGCUUUGUUUUAUUGCAGAAACAAUCGACAUUGAAUUCGAUUUGGCUUACCUUAGCUUCCUUUCCUGUAAGCUUUCAUUUACAUUUUCUUUUUACAAUUUAAUUUAAUUUGAUUUUUCUUUAUUUUACUUUGUACAACAUUUUGCAGAUUAGCAGAUUUUCCCGUAAGCUAAACUUGCUUAUCUACUAGUAGGAAAAUAAUGGGAUUGAGAAAUAGAGAUGCUUCUAUUUAAGAUUUUGGAUUGGAUUUGUGCAGUUUGAAUUUCAUUAAUUUCUUUUUUGGUACAUAUGUAAUUUAGCUUAUAGAAUAAGUAUGACUAUCUCAAUUGUUUAAACGCAAAGGAUGUUUUCUAGUUUAGGUUUAUAUUAUAUAUUUAAUAAUUUGCCUAUUGUUUAUAUAUAAAUUUGAAAUCUAAUAAAUGUUUUUGUUCCAUUCAAUUCUUAUUCAUUUUUUGUUUGCAUUUUAAUUUUGUUUGUGUUUUCUUCUACAUAACGGUAACGGACUUUCAAAGUUAAACUAUUUUAUCUAGUUUUCAUUUGUAGACCAUGAUAUAUUUUUAAAUUAUUUCAAAAAAUUUUUAUACAAGGUAAUUUUAAAGAUAAUUGAUUGUAGCUUAAAAUUAUUUCAAAAGUUAGUAUGAAUUUUAUUAAAAAAAUAUUUAAUAACAAAUUAUAUAUUUGUAAUUUUUAAAAGAUUAAAUUAAUUUUUUUAUUAUUUUAAAGAGUUCAAACUUCAAAGUACAAUUUUUAUUAUUUAUAGCAAAUUAAAGAGUUAUUAAUUUAAAAUUCUAUAUAUUAUUUAUAGCAAAUUAAAGAGUUAUUAAUUUAAAAGACUGAUAGUUUAGUUAGUAGUUAGCUGCUAAUAGUUAAAGUCAGUUAAGUCAGUUGUUAGUUGUAUUCUGUUAAUAUUUUUGUGAGUGAGUUAGUCAAGAUUCUUUUAACUUAUUGUUAGUUGAUUUCUUGACAAGUUCAUUAACUUAUUCAUUGUAUAAAUACAUAGUUUCAAUUUUGUUGGGAUUAUUCGAGUUAAAAAUAUAAAACAAGUAGACUCUUUUUCUCUUAUAUAUAUGAUUGUUGUAUAUAUUAUAAAUAAUAUAUAAUAUAUUAUUAUAUUAUUAUAUAGAACAUAUUCUACGUUAUAAUUAGUUUAAUAUAUCUUGAUGCUUUUUUUUUUCUUGUAAUUACACUGUAUCAUAUUAGUCAAAGUUAACCGAGCUAUAAAUAAGAUUAUUUUUGGAUUUCAGGAUUUUAAUUUUUAUGACUAUGGCUAGUUCGAACACUCCUAUACCUGUGGACGAUGGGUUUAAUGAGUACGAAAGUGUUGUCAAACGUCAAAAGUCUACCACUUCAAAGGUGUGGGAUGAAAUGACAAAGCUUGAAUGCGAGAACAAAAAUGAGUUGAAGGCACAAUGUAAUCACUGUAAGACUAUCUUCUCUGCUAAAUCUUCUAGUGAAACCUCUCAUUUAAGACGUCAUCUAAAUAGCUGUUUGAAAAAAGUUAAUAAGGACAUCGCUCAAUACAUCAUAGCCACUCAACCAUCACCAGAAGGUGUUCCAUCUAUAAAAAUCUACAAGUUUGAUGCUGAUGAGUGUCGUCAAGCUAUUUCUACUUUUCUUGUGUGUGGCAAGCAUUCAUUUGGGACAGUUGAAGAACCAGGAUUUAGAUACAUGAUGAGAAUUGCUAGUCCUAAUUUUAAGAAUAUAAGUAGACAAACAGCUAUUAGGGAUGUCCUAAAGUAUUAUGCAAAAGAGAGAGAUCAUGUUAAAGAAGAGUUGGCUAAAGCACCUGGUUUAAUUUGUCUAACUUCUGAUAAUUGGAAUUCGGAGCAUACUAAUGAUGAAUAUAUUUGCAUUACUGCUCAUUGGGUUGACAAAGAUUGGAAGCUACAAAAGAGAAUCAUAAGGUUUAGAGCUUUAUUUCCUCCAUAUGAUGGUUUGAACAUAGCGGAUGAACUUGUUUUAUGUUUAUCUCAAUGGGGUAUAGAUAAGAAAAUUUUUAGCAUCACUUUGGAUAAUGCUUCUUAUAAUGAUGUUAUGGUUUCUUGUCUUAAAAAUUGUUUUCGUGCAAAUCAAGCUAUUUUGUGUGAUGGUGUUUUUUUUCAAGUUAGAUGUUGUGCACAUAUAUUGAAUCUUAUAGUUAAAGCUGGUUUGGAACUUGCCGAUUAUGUUGUUUGUAAGAUUCGAAAUGGGAUUAGGUACAUAAAAAAGUCAGGAAUUCGUAGAAAAAGGUUUUAUGAUGUGGCCGACAAAAGUUUUCAUUUGAAUGUGACCAAAAAGUUGCGGCAAGAUGUGUGUGUGAGAUGGAAUUCUACUUAUUUGAUGCUUGAAUCUUUUCUUUACUAUAAAGAUGUACUAGAUUAUUGGGGUCAACGGGAUAAAGAUUAUCAAAUGUUUGCACUUUCUAGCGAGGAGUGGAGAAAUGUUGCUAUUCUUUGCAAAUUUUUGAAAGUAUUUUAUGAUGUGACUUGUGUUUUUUCUGGUUCUAAUUAUCCAACGGCUAAUCUUUAUUUUAGAGGGGUUUGGAAGGUUUACAAGCUCUUGAUUGAUAUAGUUAAAGGCCCUUAUUCGUUUUUAACUCCAAUGGUUAAGCAAAUGCAAGAGAAAUUUAAUAAGUAUUGGGCUGAGUAUUCGUUGAUAUUGUCAUGUGCUGCAAUUUUAGAUCCUCGUUACAAGUUGAAUUAUGUGCAGUAUUGCUUUAAAACAAUCUAUGGUGUUCAUGCUUCAGAUUUUGUUGAGACCAUUCUUAGCAAUCUUAGACUCUUGUUUGAUGAGUAUGUUAAGAAAUCCAAAUCCAUGUCUUCUUCUUUGGCUGGGAGUUCUAAUGUUUCGGAUAAAAAUCCUGUUGAUUCUGGUUUGGAUGAACACAAUGAUAAUAGUGCUGAUUUUGGUGGAUAUUUUGAUGAGAGUGAUGAUUAUAAACGGUAUUUAAAUGAAUCUAGCACUAGGAGUGAAAAGUCACAGUUGAACAUUUAUUUGGAAGAAUCGGAGCUUGAGUUGAAUAGUCAAAUAGAUGUUUUAGAUUAUUGGAGCAAAAGUUCAGUUCGAUACAAUGAGCUUUCAUUAUUGGCUCGUGAUCUUUUGGCAAUUCCAAUAUCGACUGUAGCUUUCGAAUCGGCUUUUAGCAUGGGUAAGAAAGUUAUCACACUUAUCAGGAGUUCACUUAAGCCAAAAACGGUUCAAGCCGUUGUUUGCUUGGAUGAUUGGAUGAGAGCUAAGGGAUUUUCAGCAGGUAAUUAUUAUUCUCACUUUAUUGUUGUAAUUUUAUAUUACUUUUUCAUCAAUUUGAUUAUCUAAUUAUUCAUUCUUAUUUCAUGUUAGAAAUUGGUUGCAAAAAGGAUGAUGACGACGAUGACGACGAGGUUUCUUCAGUUGCUUUUUAAGAUACUUUCUUUUUAAAUGUUUAAAUUUUAAUUUAGCUAACAAUUUAUAUUUUGUUAUAAAAUUAAAUAUGUUGAUGGAUUAAUGUAUGAAUACUAUAGUUUGUUGUUUAUUGCUAUAAAAUUAAGUAUGUUUAAAUAUUUUGUUAUAAAAUUUAGGUGACAUGAUAGAAUUGGAAGUGAUAAAAUUGGACUUAUAGCAAUGAACUACUUAGGGGAGAUUUGAGAGUAUUGUUACUAAUAUUACAAAGGUUUGUUCAAGACUAUGAUGUAAUUAUAUGAUGUAGGAAGCAUGAAAAUUUGGUUAUGAUUAUUUAAACCCAUAUUGUAUUGCCAAGUUUGAAUAGAUUAUUAUGAGUUAUGGCAAUUCAUUAUAUUUUGUUGCCUAAUUUGAUUUGAUGUCUUAACUAAUCGAUGCAUUCGACCUAUUACAUCAAUGCUUGCUUAUUGUUUUUUUUAUAUAAUUUUAUUAUGAUGUAAUUAUAUGAUGUAGCAAGCAUGAAUGCUUGCUGAUUGUUUUUUUUACAAUUUCCAUAUUUCAUGGUCUUUAUGUGAAAGUUGAAAAGGUUGUAAAAAUUUGCAGAGCGAAGACAAAAAUGUUGCUAAGCUUAUUCAAUCAUUGCGACCAAUUCCAAAACACUUUCAUGGUAAAAAGUGACGUUAUAUUAAAAAGGGAAGAUGUAAUUUUACAUUAAUACAAAUUGGUUAGGUGCGAAUGAAUUAAGAUGCACGAAUUAAAAAAGUGGCGGUUAAACAGGUUGCAUGCAUAAUUUUAAUUCUAAUCCAACAACUUACCUUUUUCGGACAAAGCAGUUAAACAAAAGUUGGUCAAAGAAAGGUUAAAUUCUAUUCUUAAAGGUUAAAUUCUAUUCUUACAGCAUGUUUGGUUGGGUGUAUUGGAUUAGCCAAUACACCCCUAAUCCGUGGGCCCCACUAAUCCCCACUUAAUCCCGUGUUUGGUUUGAUGUAUUGCCUAUUACAGGCCUAUUACAACACGAAUGUAUUCCUCAUUUUCUCUGCUUCAACAACGAUUAGCCAAUCCGUUUCAAAAGUAAGGAUUAGCUAAUCGUUUCUGUUUUACCCUCCCCAGCCAAAAUCUGCUGCUCCACCCCACCCUCUCCCUCCCAACAUCAACAGCAGUUUUCUUCGAACCAAAUCUCCACCGUCUCGCGUUUGGGAAGCGAGAAAGUGCGAGAAAAAUGAGCAGACCGGGGAAGAAAGUCGUCGAUGUCGCGUUCAAAGCAUCAAAGAACAUUGAUUGGGAAGGGAUGGCUAAGCUUUUGGUCUCCGAUGAGGCUCGCAAAGAGUUCGCUACUCUUCGUCGCACUUUUGAUGAAGUUAACUCUACUUUACAAACCAAAUUCAGCCAGGUCUUUUUCUUCUCUCUAAUCCCUAGCUCCUUUUUUAUUCUCUCUAUAAAUCAAUUGGGAUGUUUUGGGUUGUCUCCUACACGAUGGCGCAGCCAGCUUGUGAAACGGUCAUGAAUUGGUUAUCUUCUGGUGGAGUUACAGAGUUGUUACCUGAAGCAAAUGUACAGCCCAAUGAGAGAUUCAUGGUGAUGCGGGAAGUUAGUCCAUUGCCUAUUUCACUGUUAUCUGGCUUUUCAAUGAAUCUUUAUUUGAAGUUGGUCUUUCAAAUGGAAGAAUCUUUAUUUGCUGGGCAGGUAUUAUCCUGAAUAGAGUAAUGUAAUCUAAUUUAUAAAUUGAUCACUAUUUUCUUGUAGGCUUAAUUAAUUUUUAUUUGGUCUUUGACAAUUGGAUCACUACUGAUUUUCAAACUAUUUCUAAUGCUUGGUAUUGAUUCGUUUGACGCAGGUUGUUCCUAGUAUUGCUAUGGUUGAAACAUACACCAGAUUGUUGCUCAUUGCACCUCAUUCGUUAUUUUGUUCGCACUUCAGUGUAACUUGCUUCCCUUCUAAUGUUAUUAUUUCUUAUCUUUUAGAAGAUUUCUUAGUAAAGGAUUAGUGUCAUGCAGUUUUCGAGAUUUGUGGUAUAAAUUUUGUCCAUUGGAAAAGUUAUUCCAUCUCAUUUUUAAUGGAAGUCUUAAGAAGUAAUUGCCACUUUCAAUAUACUUGUAACCUCAUUCUUGCUACUGGCUGAAAGUAAGUCAAUCAUCCUACUAAUUUGGAAAAACAAAUUUUGACUUACUUUAUCUGUCAAUAUAAUAUUUGUUUUUCAGAUUUCCUGACAUCUGUUCAAGAUCAUGCUACUUUUCAUCCAAACCAACUAACUGACUAAAUGUAACAAUUCACCCUUUAUUAAAUCAUUUAAUUUAGAAAAUUGCACUUUGGAAAUUUCUUUCCAAACCCAUUGUAACCAUCCAUUGGCAACUUAUAUAAGAGCCAAUGAUGAUUUAUGAUCAAUAGAAAAUUGCCUUCUUUGCAGCAUUUGGCACAGAGGAAUGCUUCUUUAUUGAGCAAGCCUGCGGUGACACUUCUGGUGCUUGAAAUUGUCAACUAUCGUCUGCUUCCACCGUACAGGUGAUCUUCUGCAUGGUUCAUUCAGCCAAGAUACUCCUCUCCCUUCUGCUGGUCAUAGCAUGUGAUAGUAUUUAGAAUGGAAUUUGCAGUUUCAGAUUGAGCUUUCUGAUUCCUGAGGAUUUCUGUGCCCUUUGCUUUAUAUUGCUAUUGCUUUAUAUUUCUCUGAUCAUUUUCUAGCUCCAGAUCUCCUUGAUCUUUCCUAGAUCAGUUCCAUGCCCCAUACUUCACUGAAAGUUCAAUGGAAAUCAAUUGCCAAUGAGGACAUUGUUUAAAUUGGCUGCUAUUUUGUUUGCAAAUACAAUUCUUAUUUAUGUGCAAUUCACUUGUUGAAUGCUAUUAGCAUUUAACAAUUUCAGAUUAAUGCCGUAGAUGUUUCAUUUCAAUAAUGCUAUUAUGUGAUCAGAUUCUUCUGGACACCAAAACUUGAGAUACUCCUAUACUUAUGUUCAAAGUAGAAUGAAGAAAAUAUAAACAUCUAGCUACUCAAUUCUCACUUGUCUGCAAUUUCUAGCAGUCGAAGUAAUCAUAUUUAUCAUGCUUGUUAUAAGGUUUGGAUGGAGUUUUGAGGGAUUCACCGUUACAAAUGUUAUAUACUCUUCCAUUGCAGGUGUAGAGAUCCCCAAGUUUGUUGACACCGUCACUCCUCAAUACAAACCAAAAUUUGAUGAAUUGGUGAGAAUCAACAGGAUAAUUUACUCUCUUUUACCCUGUCUCCAAGUUUUUUCCUCGAAUGAUGUGCUAUUUAUUUGUGGUUAUAGCUUGUAGAAUUGAAAGAGGCAGAGGAGAAAUCCUUGAAAGAGUCUGAGCGAUUGGAGAAAGAAAUUGCCGAGGUUCAAGAACUUAAGGUAAUAAAUAAAACAAUGCCGGAAUGUGUGUUGUUGUGUUCCAAAUCACAAUUGCUGAAUUUUUUUAUCUUUUUUUAUGAACAGCAAAAGAUCAGCACCAUGACCGCAGACGAGUACUUUGAGAAACAUCCAGAGCUUAAAAAGAAAUUCGAUGAUGAGAUCCGGAAUGACUACUGGGGCUAUUGACAUCUUUGUGAAUUUAAUGGCCAAGCUUUUGGUCUCGACUAGAAUUUCUGAACCGUUUCUGUUGUUUUAACCCCUUUUUCUCUUGUGCGGUGAUCUGGGUUGGAAAGAUUAGGCUGUAAUGAUAAGAAAAUAAUUGUGUGAGAAAAAUUUAUCCAAACAUUUGAGAAACAAGGUGGAUCUUGUAAGACAUGCAUUCUAUUUAGCAGGCAUCCGCAGUCAUACUUUUAUGGCAAAAUUUUUACUGUCUGCCCUCUUCAUUCCAUUCUGUUUUAUGUUUAUUAUUUGAAUAUUAUCUAGAUACAAUUGAAUUUGGACACCUAUUUAUCUUGAUCCAUUCUAUAUGUAUUUUUUAAUAAGUGGUUAUUUAUAUUAUUAGUAUUUUGAAAUUUUAAAUUUUAUAAAUUAAUAUAAAAAAAGGUUUUUACAUCAAGAAUGAAUUUAUUGAUUCAAGUGCAUCUAGACAAUCAUUUAUCCAAAUUCAUCGGGACGUGCUUUUUAGUUCUUUUUAAUAUUAAUUAUUUUAAAUUGUAUAAAUUCAUAUAAGAAAAUUUAUUAUCAAGAAUUUUAUGAAAUUAUAUAUUAUUAUUAAAUUAUAUGUAAUAAUAAUUAUUUUAAAUUAUACAAAUUCAUGUAAGAUAAUUUAUUAGUUAUAAUUAUUUUAAAUUUUAUUAAAUCAUAUAUUUUAAUUAAAAUAUAUUUAAUAUUAAUUAUUUCAAAUUAUCUUUUAUGGUAUCAUAUAUUAUGAUUUGAGUAAAUUCAUAUAAGAAUAUUAAUUAUUAAGAAUUUUAUUAAAUUAUAUAUUUUAAUUAUAAUAUAUUUAAUAAUAAUUAUGUUUAAAUAUGAUUAAAAUAUUUAUUAUUGAUAAUAAUAAUCUUAUUAAAAUUUAAAUAACAAUAACAAUAAUCAUUUACCAAAACAAAUUUAUGCUAAGGGUAUUCUAGUCAUUUUAGUUUUUUCCACUAUGCUAUUACACCUCUAUUCCAUUCAACCAAACACAAGAUUACUAUUACGCCUCUAUUCCAUUACAUUCAACCAAACAGUUGAUUUGCUAUUACACCUCUAAUCCAAUACACCUCUAAUCCAAUACACUUCUAAUCCAAUACACCUCUAAUCCAAUACAGCGAACCAAACGCACCCUUAGUCUUCUACUUUGUGAAAAUUAUGAAUUUAGUUUUUGUAAAUUAAUUUGAUUAAAUUUAGCUUGUGUGUUUUUUAAUUGGUCAGAUUUUGAAAAAUGUAGUCUUAGCUUAAAAGGUUGCAGUUAAAUUAAUUUGAUUAAUAAUAAAACAUCUUUCUUAUAGCAAAUUAGCAAUUAAUACAAUUAAUACAAUUAAUAAUUUGAUAAAUUUACUAAUCAAAUGUUAGAUUUUAUUACAACAAUUAAUACAAUUAAUAAUUAAUAAUUUCAAAAUUUUACUACCAAUUAAUUUUAAUAAUAAUUAGUUUUAAUUUUAUUAAAAAAUAAUUUUAAUUUAAAAACGGGCCCGGGCCCAUAUUUUUCCCCGGGCCGGGCCUGGGCAAAAUCUCAGGCCCAUAUUUUGGGCCGGGCCUGGUAAACGGGCUUAAAUUUUUUGUUGGCCCGGCCCGAACCCGGUCCGGCCCGGCCCAUGGACACCUCUACUUCUAGCUGGGUUCUUUUACUUUUUUUCUAAAGAAAACUGUAUGUUUAAAUUCUGAAUUAGAAUUUAUUUAAUUUUUCAGUCUAUUUUAUUAUUAAAAUAAAAUAUAAUAUAAAAAGUAUUUUAUAUUUUUAUAAAUAAAUUUAAAUAAAAAUAUUUUUAAUUUAUUUGAUCAAAAUAUAGAAAACCUUCAUGUAAUACAAUAGCCUUGAGUAAUUAAAUUAAUUAACAUUGCAAAAAUAAUUUAAAUAGAAAAUGGUAAAACUCAGUCUUAUAAAAAACAAACAGAAAUAAUAAUUAAUUGUCAUAAUUCAAAUUCAACAAUUAAAAAAGAAACAAUGAAAUCUAAUCUUACAAACUCAAAUUAGCAUUAAACAAAUCCCAAAAUAACAUUGAAAUCAAAUCAUACGAAUACAUUAAUUAAAUAAUACACCAAUUAUAAACAAAUCUUAUUGAAAUGUCAAAUCCUUUUUGAGAUCCUUGGAAUAGAUAAACCUCUUGAACUUUAAUUUCAAAUGCUAGCAAAAACGCAUCUACAUCAAUGAAGACAAUUAGAAAUUAUGUUAGCCUUGAAAAUAAAAUCAUUCUAUAAUAACAAUCAACAACAUUGAUGAUUAAAAAAAAAAAAAACUCUGUAAUUAUUGAAAGAACUUACCAGAAAGCGUUAGAGUUGUGGUAACGGACAAUAGAAAUGAGUAAUAUAAUUGUAUGUAGACUUUUCACACUUGAUAACAUCUUUUGGGCAAAGCUUACCACAAUCAGAGCAUUUAGAGUAGCCCUCAACGUUCCUAAAAAUUUAAGAUCACGACGAUGUGGGUGAUCAACAUAAGGCCAUUUCAUCCCAUCCUUGAGAAAUGGAAUAUUUCCAAGAACACAUUUGGGAUGAGCAGAAGUACCACAGAUUGAACAAAAAUAAUACCAAAAGUUUGGAUCUCUUUCUUGUUCACAAAUAUCAUAGUAACAUUGCUCUUAAUCAUUAUCAUAAGUAAGGUUUAGCAUGUGUUCAUCAAUUUUGUGAAGAGCUGAAUGUGGUAAUGCUAAGCAUCCAAAAUCCAAAGCAAAUCUGCACUUUCUGUAACACCCCUUACCCGUAUUUCUUACCGGAACAGAGUAUGAGGCAUUACUAAAUUUUUAAAAAAAUUUCGACAGCAUUUCUGCUUAUUUUUACUUAAACCUCCUGCAAAUUUUCAAACACAUUUCAAUAUUUCCAACCAAGAUCAGUUGUAUAAUCAUACACAAUUUAACCAUUACUAACACCACAAUUUAAACCGAACCAUAAUAUAUAUUUACAUAGUUUCGCCAUAUUACAUAAAGUCGUCUAUACAUGCCAUAUUUUCGGAAUACUAGUUGCAAAAUACCCAAACGAUGAUGAUAGUGUGGAUGAUUGUCUGACUCCGUCCAAGUUCCGGGUUGAUGGAUAUCACUAUAAUCAAGGGGAAAAUGAAAACGAGUAAGCAUAUAACUUAGUAAGUAAACAUAUGAUGAAUAAAAAAAUUUCUCACAUAAUUCCACCAUAAAACAAUUUUUAAUCACAAUUAAAUCUAUUGUUUGUUCAAUUUCCAGCAAACUGUUUUUCUGCAUCAUGGUCACUAAUUUAUUUUUAUCUGGAGCUACAGGGCUCCAAAUUGAAUUCCGUAAAUUUUCCCCAAAACUAGAUUCAUAUACCUUUCCACCAUAAAAUUUUUAUAAUUUUUGGUCGGGCCAAUUAGUACAGUUUAUUCUUUAAAUUUUCCCCUAUUUCACUGCCCGACAGUCCUGACCUCCCCUUACUAAAAUUCACAUAAAUCUCUGUAAAAAUUUCAAAAAAAUGUUCUCGUUUGUUUCUAUUAAAAAUAGACUCAAUAAGGAAUCCAGGCAUAUAAAUUUAAAGGCAUAAUUAUUUUUGUACAAUUUUUGGUGAUUUUCCAAAGUUGGAACAGGGGAUUUCGAAAUCAAUCCAGCCCUGUCUCAGUAAAAUUCAAAUAUCUCGAAAUAUUCAACUCUUUUGCUUGCUCUAUUUCUUUCAUAUGAAAAUAGACUCAUUUAACUUCAAUUUCAUUUAUUAUUCAACCUCUAACUCAUUUUCCACUAUUUAUGGUGAUUUUUCAAAGUUUCCCAACUGCUGCCAUUCAAAACAGUUUUGCAUUCAAAUUGUCUCUUUUUGUAUUUUUGAUUUUCCUCUCAUCUUAUACGUGGGUUGAUUAAGUAUCACCCACUAUUCCUCCCAUAAACUUGUCCACCACAUAUAUGAAUAAUCACCUUCCAAAUUUACUCGUUGAACACUCGGAAUGUUAACUGUUAUCGGUGGAUUCCGCAGUUAACAACCACCAAUGAAUCGGAGAAUCAACACACAGCAACCCCUUGGGGGAAUCAGCACUUAGCAACCCCCUUCACAUUUCAGAUGCGGUGGAAUCAACACUUAGCAACCACCAAAUGGGUCGGGGAAUCAGCACUUAGCAACCCCUCGGGGGAAUCAGCACUUAGCAACCCCCUUUCACAUUUAAAAUACGGUGGAAUCAGCACUUAGCAACCACCAAUAGGUAGGGGAAUCAACACUUAGCAACCCCUCGGGAGAAUCAGCACUUAGCAACCCCCUUUCACAUUUAAAAUACGGUGGAAUCAGCACUUAGCAACCACCAAUAGGUAGGGGAAUCAACACACAGCAACCCCUUUAUAUGCAAUAUGCUCCGGCCUAUUCCGAGUGUUCAACCAAAAACCGUGUUUUGCAACCCCUUACCACCUUUCCCAAUUUAACAACAUUUUUGGAAUCUUGCCAAACAUUUAUUUUAUAUUCAAAUAAAUCUCAACAUAUACAAAUAAUACCAAAAUAAUACAUUAAGACACGUGUUUACUUACCUCGGUGCAAAAUAUCGUAAUUUUGCAAUUCACUCCACUAUCUUUUCUUUUCCUCGUUUGAGAUAAUCUUCCCGUCUCUCUUGAUCUAUAAUAGCAAAUUUAACUCGUUUAAUGUUCACAUUUAUUUAAAUAAUCCUCCACCCAAUUUUUUGAAAAUUUACAAUUUUGCCCCCAAACUUUUACAUAUUUACAUUUUCGUCCCUAAACUCGGAAAUUAUAUUUCAUCUCUCAUUCUUAUGUUUUUUGACAUGCUGAACAUUUUUCUCUUCUAUAGCAACAUCCAAUUCCCACUCUAACACACAUUUAUGAACAUUAAGUAUUUUUACCGAUUAUGUCUAUUUACCCGUUUUCGCUUAAAAUCGCUUAACAAAAAUUGUUUAACAUAAUUUAUAGCUUCAUAUUCUACCAUAAAACAACAAAAUAUACACAUUUCACAUAUGGGUAUUUUUCCAAAUAUGAGCCCUAACACGAAUUAUUGCUAGAAUAAGCUAAACCGAGUUACGAGGAUUCCAAAAAUGCGAAGAACAUUAAAAACGGGGCUAGGAUGCACUUACUAUGAGCUUGAGAAAGCAAAGAAACCUUAGCUAUGGUGCCCCUUAAAAUUCGGCAGCAACUUCUGGAGAAGAUGAUGAUUUUUUUCAUCUUUUUCCUAUUUUAUUCUUUUUAUUACCAAAUGACUAAAAUGCCCCCAUUUAAAAAAAAUCUAUUUCACCCAUUUCUUAUGUCUAUUUUUGUCCAUCAAUUACUAAUGGUCUAUUUACCACAUAAGGACCCCCAACUUAUAAUUUCAUAUCAAUUAGACACUUCUAACAUAUAGAACUCAACUUUUGCGCUUUUUACAAUUUAGUCCUUUUGACUAAAUUGAGUGCCCAAACGUCGAAAUUUUCGAACGAAAUUUUUACGAAAUUUUUCCGUAGAAUUGUAGACCAUAAAAAUAUAAUAAUAACCAUAUUUUACCUCGUCGGAUUUGUGGUCCCGAAACCACUGUUCCGACUAGGUCCAAAGUCGGGCUGUUACACUUUCCACAUCUGAAUGCACCAUGCCAACACUCGUUGCCACAACCAUUACAUUUCUCCCUGCAUUUGAAAUCAUAAAAGAGGAAGUGUUGGUGUCCUUCACAUUCAAUGAUAUUAGCAACUUUAGAACACCUUAGACAAAUGAACCAUAUUAUAAGUUUGUAAAACAAUCCACUACAAUGUUGACGAUAAAGGUAACACAACAAGUAGUCUUCGAAAACGAGGGUGGCUUUGGCUUGACGAAGCCAAUGAUGCUUGGUACUUGGCAAUUCAACACAAGUUUUAUGAAGAAAAAAAAGGGCAUUCUGAACAAUAAUAGAAGAAAGUUGAGAUAGAUAGCAUGCACCCAUCACAUUUUCUAUCAAUUUUCUCAUCCAUCUUGUCUGCUAACACCAAGCAAUGUUGAUUACUGAAAUGUUCAAUCUUUGUAGCUUCCCCAGCUUCAUUCACCUUAAUAACAAAAAUGAUGGAAGACUGCAUAGAUUUUUCAUAAGCUCCUCCCAUUGUUUUUUGUCCUCAAUUACCUUGUACAAAUCAUCAUCCUCUAAGACACAAUUCACAUGGACAACGUAAUUGCAACCUGGCUUCCCACAAGAGUAACUCCCACGAUCUAGCUUUAAUUCAUUAAAACAAAUCUUGCAAUUUUACCUUGUAAGAUCUUCAAGAAAAUAUUUGUGAAAAAUGCAAUGAUCAUGUCGUGAAAAUUUGAUAAUGCUUGGGAGUUGUAUGCAGUCUUUAUGGACCAUGAAGUUGCAUGUCAAACAUAUGUAAGAAAUAUAAUUUCCCUCGGUGUCACAUGCAUCACAAAUGAAUGAACCUUGUCUCCAAAGCAAGGCCAAUGGCUGUUGAUGACUUUUUUGAUCUUCAACAAUGGACAUCAACAGACUGCAUCCAACAAUAUUGAUGUUAAAAUGGCAAAGAGAAUAACAAUAAAAGUGUCCAGAAUGUUCCUUUUGGCAUAGGCUGCAAAAGCGAUCAUUAUCGCUAUAAUUAAGAAACAGAUAGUGUAUGUAAUGGGAAGGGUGAUUAACUUUAGUGGGUUACUCAAGGCAGUUCUUGUGAAUAAUAAAUGGACAGGAAGAACAAAUAUAUAUAGCAUCUAUGAAUGGUUUUUAACACCUGAAGCAGUUAAAUCUUUUGAGUACUUUUAUGGUCAUGGGAUUUUCUAUGAAGGUCAAUGGAUGUUUGUGGAUGUCAUGUUUGGACGGUUGGCUAAACUUAAAUAAAUGAGAUAUUGAGCACAGUUAAUGUCAAGGAAAAAUAACAUGCGUUACAUUCAUAAAAAAAUAUGUUACGUUUUUCCUUGCAUAAUGCACAACCAUAUACCUGCGUCUGAGUGUUGGGGAUGGAUAGGGUGAUUAGGAAUUUCAAGGGGUGCCUCUACACAUUACUUGUGAAGGUGAUAGUUGCAAUGAAUACAAGUGAAGCAUGGAGCUGAAAGCAGUUCCUGACAUCCAUCGCAGUAAGCUUUGAAACCUUUAUUGCUUUGUUCUGCCACUAACACCAAGGGAUGCUGCUAGAGGUGAUCAUGGGUUGGGCUACCCAGCCCGGGCAGAAGGCUCGCCUGAAAAAUGAGAGGGUUCAGGUAAAAAUAUAGGCGGGUGUAAGCAAAAAAUAAGACCCAUUUAAAAAAUAGACCAGGCCCCGGAUAAAACUUUAGAGACAACUGGCCUGAAGGAAAGACCAUAUUAGCUUGCAGAGCAGGAGUUGACAUAGUACCCCUAUGAGUGCAACAAUGAGAACCUACAUAAGAAGGAUUAGAAGAAUCCUAAAACUGAUGACAAUGCACUUGCAUUGACUGAUGAGAGACACCCUCAAAUGAUUCAUCAAAACGAUAAUAGUAUUUGUGCACAGUGUGCCCAAUUCGGCCACAAAGUUGGCAUUGAGGUUUGCUAUGAGUAAACUUUCUUCCUCAGCCUUUGCCUCGAAAGGCCCUAGAUCCACUACCCCUAUAAGAUGGUCGAUAACCUUGAUCAGACUGUCUAACACAUCUAUCAUCAGACUAAUUAUGUUAAGUAAUAUUAGCCUGCAAAGAGAUAUUUGAAACAAAAUAUAGUUGUCGAGCCUCACAGUCAGUAAGCAUCUCAGUAAGAAGAUCAAGAGGAACAUUCAUCGUUGAUGCUACAAUGCGAAUCGACUCAUAUUCAACAGGCAAACUAGCAAGAACAAUGCUAGCUUGUUCUUGUUCAGAAAUAACAUUUCCUGCAGCUAGUAAAGUAUCACACAGACUUUUAAUCUUGGAUAAGUAUUCUUGAAUGGUUAGUUGUCCCUUCUUCUGAGAGUACAAAGAAUGCCUCAUAAUAGAUACUGUCAGAGAAGAUUUAGUAGCAAAUCGCCUGACAACAAUACUUCACACAUCAAAACUUGAACAAGCACCAAUAAGAUGGACCAGAAUACCAUUAGAAAUGGUAGACAAGAGCUAAGAAGCCAACAACUUGUCUUGUUGCUUAUGAAAGACAAAGUCAAGAUUAGGAACAUGAGUAACAUUGCUAUCAAGAACAGAUUGUGGAGGAACCUGAAUAGUUCCAAGAACGAAUUCAUGCAGGUCAUAUCCUUCAAGAAUUAACAAAAUCUGUUGUUUCCAUAAAAGAAAAUUGUGUUCACUGAGUUUCACCGUAUUAUGCUUGGGAAAUUGAUGAAGUUUUCGUGAGGAAGCAUAUCCAGGAUCAGGAGAAGAAGCAGCUAUAGGUGUGGCCGUGUGAAUAGACUGAUGAUGAUCAUCAUUACCAGAGACUGUUUCCCAUGACCGAAAUCCAAGAGAAAAAAAUUAUGGCUCAGAUACCAUGAUGAGAACUAUGGAUUAAAUCAAGAAAUCAAUCUUAUUAAUGAAGAUAAAGAUACUUUCCAGAAUACAAAGCAUAGUAUUUAUAAUACAAAGUAUUUCAACUUAACUAACAGUUAACAAACAUAACUACCAAGACUUCGAACAAUUACCUACUAACUACCUUAACUUCCACAACUGUUUUCAUACUCUAAUAGUGACAAGUCUACAUUGUGAUAGUGCAUUAAUAUGUAGUGAACUCACAAGAAUAGGAAAAUAAGAAGAAACCAAGUUAGUUUAUUUAUUUCAUCUCUAUAAAUGUCUAUAAGCAACAAGUGUUUUGUUUAACAAUUAAAAAAUUUGUCCUUAAUGAAAAACUGAAAUCUAAAUUUAGAAAUAACUUACUCUCUACCAAGAUUCCUACUCAAUUCUUGUAAGAAAUCAUGAAAACUCAUUUUCAAUUUUUACAUCAUUGAGUAGUUCUUUUGUUUACCAAAGUACUGGAAACUGAAACAGAAGCCAAAAUAGGUCAGUUUCCAAGUUUUGUAUUCAUUAUAUGUUUGUCGUUUCUAUAUAUAUAUAAAUGUGUUAGAUUCUGACACACAUUUUCUCUCUUUUUCUCUAUCUUUCUUGUGUUAUGCCACUCAUGCAUUAUAUACAAUUUGUGUAUAUAACCACUUUUUAUUAUAUUUUUAAUUUGUGUAUUGUUUUAAGAAUUGUUUUAGUAUCAUUUUUUAUUUGUUUCUUGUUUUAAUAUUUAUUUUUAUGUUUUUAAAUGUAUUUGAUUUAUUAUAUUUUAAAAUUUUUUUAUUUAAUGAAAUAAGCUAAAAAAUUUUUAAUAUAAGCUUGGCUUAGUAAUUUUAUUUUGGGCUUGGCUUGGACAAAUUUUUAGGCUCAUAUUUUGGGCCGACUGGGUUCAGGCCUAGAAAACAGACCUAAAUUUUUUUUGGGUCCAGCUCGAACCCGGCCCGGCCCGACCCAUGAUCACCUUUAAUUUUCAUAUUCAUCCCUAAAGUUUCAACCUUUUAGAAAUUUGAAUUAGGGUUUUGAUAUUUCCCAAAAUUAUUUGAAAAAGGAAAAUGAAUUUGGGGGAUUUGCACAAGGUCUGGGAAAGCAAAGCAUUGAAGAGGAAACCUGGAGAAGAAGAAGCCAAAAAAAUCUUAGAGAAAAUAGCCAAGCAAGUUCAACCCAUAUGGAGAGUCAAGCUCCUCUCAGAAUUCUAGUAUCUUUAUCAAUUUUAUUCAUUUUUGUAUCUUUUAUUCUGUUAAAGAGAAUGAUUUUUUUCUUCAAUUAUGAUUGAUGGAAGAAUGGGUAUUUACGGUUGUACUACUGAAAUUCAAGCGCUUUUCUUUUAUGGCAUUGAGAUGUGUUUUUAUCAAUGGUGAAGCAUGAUGCCGAAGGCAAAUAAUGCAUUGAAAGAAUUGUGAAGCGUUUGCAUGCUUUGAGUUAUCAUACUAGGAGUUACUUUGGCUUGGCUUUCAAAAAUGAUACUGAAUUUAGUUUUGAUUUCUUUUUUCAUAUUGAUAGUCCGAAUAAUCCAGCUUUGCUUGGGCUGAACGUGGGAGCUAGCAUCCACGUGAAGUUAAGGCUACGAAGAUCGAACUGGGAUUGGGAUUUUUAUCCCUUCAAUCAAGUUCUUGAUACAAUGCUUCACGAGCUUUGCCAUAAUGCUCAUGGUCCUCAUAAUGCUAAUUUUUACAAGCUCUGGGAUGAGUUUAGAAAGGUCCAUUUCCAUUUUUUUAGAUAGUCCCUAAUCAUCAUUUUCCAGUGCCCAAUGUUGUUUCAUGGAUGGUUCAUUUCUAUAUUACUAAUUUUCCUGUUAAGACUUGUUUAAGUUCGUGCUAUUGUGUUAGAACCAUUUAAGCCUAUCAAAUGAAAGAUUCUGGCGUGUGAGGAUCAAAUCAUUAAGAAAGCAUUAUUAGGUGUGACUAGAGGUUCUCAGGAUGUGCCUAUAUAUGGAUUCACGAUUAAACAUUAUCUAUGUAGAAAAAGGGAGAGCUUAUGUAAUGGGUAUUAGAGCUAUAGUGAAUGACUUCUAGAGAAAAAAUAUUGUAGUAUUCAAAUCUUACAGUGAAUGAUUUCUAGAAAUCGUUCACUAUAGCUCUAAUACCAAUUACAGAAGGAGGAGGGAUAGUUGUAAGGUUACAGAAAGAAACUAAUAGUAAAUGAAAGAUUUACAAAAGAAAGGAAAAAAAUUAAAAUUUAUCAAAAAAACUUGAGAAGAAACUCAAAUCAAACUUCGAUGCCCCCUUUUAGGUUCCUACUACUCCUAAUUAUAGGAGGGAUUCAUAACUUAAUUUGAUUUCUAUUACAAUUCCGCACAGUUUCUUGAUAAGGAUGACAUAUAUUUUUUGGACAAGGAUAACUUCUUUUUGUCCAGUUGUGGUUACUUUCACGUUGCUUCCUUUUUCGUUAUUUCUUAGUUGUGGUCUGUUCCACGUAACUUCCUCUGUCUUUUAUGUCAGCCUUCUUGAAUAUUGUCUAGAUUCAUUUCUUCAACUUCAUCUAAAUUUAAUGAAUCGAUUAACAAAUCUGGUAAAUUCCAACUUUUCCAUAUAUUUUUGAUGUCUUCAAUUAUAUGGGUUGGAAAAUCAUCAAAAAACGAUCCUGAUCUUUGUAUAUUCUUACAUCCAAGGUAUUGUCAUCUUUAACCACCAUCCACAGUUUUUGCUCUUGAAACUCCACUAAUGCUUAAUUUAGAUGCUUAUGGCAACAACGAUGUCAUUUCACUCGAUGGAGAGCUUCCACAAGUGUGCCCUCCAAAAUCGCCAUUGUAGAAGGACAUGAUUGAAUGUGCAAAGGUUUUGCAAUUCAUCCCAAGGUUAAAGUAAUGCGUUAAUGAGAUUAACUUGAUAUCCUUAAAUAUUCUAUUCAGUUUCCCAUACUUCUCAUAGUUAAUUCAGCCACCAAAAAAAAAGGGGAAGAAAAGAGAAACUGUAAAUGAAUAAGACAACAAAUGAGUGUGGUAGGAGCUGGUAUUUACAUUGAAAAGAUUACGAAAUAACAUCAUUAGUUUGCCCCAAAAUGUGAUUCUACCCAGAUCCGCCCCUCAUCACUCGGAUCAAUAGAACAUUUUAAUAGCAUCCAAAAGAUGAAUAAAAAAAAGGGCUGCCAAGACAAAAAAAAAGGCAUUGUAAUAAGCAACCAAAACAACUGUUGAAAAUGCUCCCUAUCUCUUGUAACACGAGCAGUAACAAGGAAAAAUCAACCGACUUGAAUAAGAUGAAGCAAAUUGCCAUUGAUGAGAUAUUACUUCUCAUGUGCCAACAUUGGGAGCUGGAGUUGAUAUAGGAGCACCAUGUGAAUAUCUCCAUUGGUCACAUGCUGAGCAUUUAUCCAGUUUCACACUGUUUUUCAAGGUGCAAAACUUGCAGGACCAAAAUUUGUACUUGGUGCCAAUGUCUCUUGGCCUUUCCGUGCAGCAAAGCUUGCAUAUUGGGGCUAAUGGCUGAAAUGUUUUCACAUCAAUGACAUGCAAAGUAAGUUUCCAAGAGGGGACAUUAAAAAAUAUAUAUAUAUUUCUCCAGUCCAGGAGGCAAACAAGUAACACAAAGCAUCUCUCACUGGAAAAAAAAAAAAAAAAAAGGCAAACAUGGUCCAUGCCAAUAUUAAUAUAUCAUGGCCUGUGGAGCUCAAAAAGCUCAAAUUCAUGAUUAUUAAGAACAAUCAAAGCGAAAAAUAUGUGGGCCAAAUACCAUACAGGAUAAGGAUAUACAGCUCAAAAACAGGACCAAGCAUGCCAGCGUGAACAUUAUCAAUAUAAAUAUCAAAAUGUUUCAGCACAUAAAAUUCAAUAUAAAACAUGAACAUAUAUGUUAAACAAUAUGAUAUCCCUUUAUAAGCAAAGUAUUUGAAUGAAAUGAUAUUGGUGCAUGAAACACUUACUGGAUUCAAUAAAGUGCAUGAUUGGCACUCCCACACCGCAGUUACUCCUUGAUUUUCUGGAGAAUCAUCAUUAAGCAUGGGGGCAGAAGAAGUGGCACUUGAACUAGAUAGGUGAGGUAUAAGAUUAUUGGAUUUACAACUUCGUUUAGGAGAUUUGGCACCUUCAUUGAUAGAAGAUCUAGAUACAGGAGGGGUAGUUAAAUCCACAAAGCUAGAUUCCGGUUUAUCUUGCCCAUGGCUUCGUUUAAGAGAGGUUCCACCAAAAGCAUGUCUGCUGGAAACAUCAUUGAUACUCGAUCUCUCUCCUCCCUGAUCCAAGUCCAAAUGAUCCUGCAGAGUAUCAGCACAGCUUUCUUCAUCCCCAGCAAUCUGAGAGGAAUGGGAACCACACCAGAUAUCAUCCUGCAAUCUCCUUUCAGCAGCCAUUGCAGCUGCUUGUAUAGGACUAAGCGCAUCCCUAAUGGUGCUGUCACCACCAAGACGUUUAGGUCCAGAAGGUAACAGAGACCCCAAGCGUGCUCUGUUCUCUGCUGCAGCUAAUGCAGUCUGACGAAGAGAUAAGAGUGCAGGUUGUCGGGAAAAUCCACCCAAGCGCCUCCCAGGAAGAUCAAACCCCUCCCCUGUGCCAGUUAUUCCUUUUGACAUAAGCUCCUCACAUUCCUACAUGGAUAUAACAAGGAAAAAUAUACAAAGACAUUAAAAACCAGCAUGUGCUACUUAAAUAUAGAUUCUCCAAAUUAUCUUCAUAUAUCAAGAUCUUUAGGAUACCUAAGAUAAAAAAAAAAGGUGCAUUUCUUAAAACCUUAACUAACCCCUAUUUAAUUGUAAUAAUUCCAGAAACACAAGUAAAUAGACAACAAUGAGGAAACAUGCAGAAGGAACACUGAUUGAGCAAAGAUCAGUCCAAUUUUCCAAGUAAGACAUGCAUCCCAAAAGGAUUAAAACUAACAUAGGGCUCAAAUACAUUGUAACCAAUAAUCAAAUUAUUCAACUAACAUAAGCUCUCCCUUUUCCACAUGGAUAAUGUUUAAUCAUGAAUCCAUAAAUAGGCACAUCCUGAGAACCUCUAGUCACACCUAAUAAUGCUUUCUUAAUGAUUUGAUCCUCACACGCCAGAAUCUUUCAUUUGAUGGGCUUAUAUGGUUCUAACACAAUAGCACGAACUUAAACAAGUCUUAACAGGAAAAUUAGUAAUAUAGACAUGAACCAUCCAUGAAACAGCAUUUGGCACUGGAAAAUGAUGAUUAUGGACUAUCUAAAAGAAUGGAAAUGGACCUUUCUAAGCUCAUCCCAGAGCUUGUAAAAACUAGCAUUAUGAGGACCAUGAGCAUUAUGGCAAAGCUCGUGAAGCAUUGUAUCAAGAACUUGAUCGAAGGGAUAAAAAUCCCAAUCCCGGUUCGGUCUUCGUAGCCUUAACUUCACGUUGAUGCCAACUCCCACAUUCAGCCCAAGCAAAGCUGGAUUAUUCGGACUACCAAUAUGAAAAAAAAAAAAAAAAUCAAAACUAAAUUCAGUAUAAUUUUUGAAAGUCAAGCCAAAGUAACUCCUAGUAUGAUAACUCAAAGCAUGCAAACGCUUCACAAUUCUUUCAAUGCAUUAUUUGCCUUCGGCAUCAUGCUUCAGCAUUGAUAAAACAUAUCUCAAUGCCAUAAAAGAAAAGCGCUUGAAUUUCAGUAGUAUAACCGUAAAUAUCCAUUCUUCUAUCAAUCAUAAUUGAAGAAAAAGAAUUCAGCACAAUUGAAGAAAAAAAAUCAUUCUCUUUAACAGAAUAAAAGAUACAAAAAUGAAUAAAAUUGAUAAAAUUACCAGAAUUCUGAGAGGAGCUUGACUCUCCAUUUAUGCUUACGCAUAAUGGGUUGAACUUGUUUGGCUAUUUUCUCUAAGAUUUUUUUGGCUUCUUCUUCUCCAGGUUUCCUCUUCAAUGCUUUGAUUUCCCAGACCUUGUGCAAAUCCCCCAAAUUCAUUUUCCUUUUUCGGAUAAUUUUGGGAAAUAUCAAAACCCUAAUUCAAAUUCCUGAAAGGUUGAAACUUUAGGGAUGAAUAUGGUUACAGUAACAAUAACCAAAAUUUGAAACUAUUGAACUAUUCUAACAUAAACCCAAUCCUCAGCGCUGUCCAUUUACCAAUAAACAAAGCAAGUACAGGCAUUCUUACACGCACAGAUGAAGGCAUGUAGCCUUCAGAAAAUACAUCAUACAUAUACACAUGAAAAAUGUAUAUGAAACCAAAAAAAAAACCCAAUUGCCUAAAUUCAAUGAACAACCAUUAUCCAGUCCCAUCAAAUUAUCACUGUUCACUGAGCAUCAAAUUCAGUCAUGACUCGUGCAUACACACACGGACGAUGAGAGGAACACUAAUACGUUUGCCUAAAUACCAUCAACAGCCAAAAUGGUUCUGCUAAUCACCACUGUCAACCAAGCAAAUAACAAAAGAACCACAGAAAUACACAGAUAUGAACAUACCCAAAAAGGAACCUGGAGGCAAAAGGGGUUCCAGCAACGACGGUAGCGGCGGCUGAUGCGGCGGCAGCUGAGGCAGAGAAGAAUCCAGAAGAGUGGAAGCAUUGUUGAGAGCAAAAGCUUGGGUUUUUCCUGUAUAGGUCUAGCAAUAUUGCUAUCCCCGCCAUUGUUGUUUAGCUAAAAACAAUAAACAAAACAGACCCGCUUUGGUUUGUAUCACAACCAUAGCAGUGAUCAGCUCUAGUUGUUUUCUACCGUUUGGUUUUCUAGGGAAAGGUCGAGGCUUUGAGGGGAACUUUUAAGUUUCUUUUUCCCUUUUUCUUUUUUUAAUUAUAGAAUUUCCUUGUGUUUAAUCAUAAAAUUGGAGGUAAUAAUUAGAGGUAAACAGGGAGCACACCUUCUAAGUUCUAAGAUUUGAAAUUCUUUUUAAAGUGUUUUUAGAUUUACUCAUAUUAUUUUUUAAAAAUAUAAAUAUUUAAUAAUUUUAAAUUAGAGAGUCCAUAAUACUCAUACCAAUUGAACUAAGACUUAAUCAAUUGUCUUAACAUUAUUUUUUAAUGUUUGCAUCAUAAUAAUAUUAUGCGUUACAAAUUACAUAACAUAAAACACUAAUUUUUUUUUACUCGUCAUGUACUUAAUUGAAAUUUUAGAUUUUAUGUAAGUUAAAAUGUAUCACAUUAUUUGUUAUUAUUUAUAAAAAAACAUGUUAUGUUUUUCCUUGCAUAAUGCACAACCAUAUACCAGGUCAUCAUUAACGUGUGGCCUUUGUUGAAAAAAAAGACCUGCGCCUGAGUGCUUGGGAUGGAAAGGGUGAUUAGGAAUUCAAAGGGGUGUCUCUGCACAUUGCUUGUGAAGGUGAUAAUUGCAAUGAAUACAAGUGAAGCAUGGAGCUGAAAGCAGUUCCCCACAUCCAUGGCAAUGAGCUUUGAGACCUUCAUUGCUUUGCUCUGCCACUAACACCAAGAGAUGUUCCUCAUGAAAAUCAUGCUGAAUCUGUUGCAUCGACCGUCGUGACUCUCAUUCUCAUUCUCGUUUUUCAUCUCCAUUAAUUAGUGUGGUUGUGAGAAAUGAAAAAGAUUUUUUUAAAAUAAAAACAUUUUUUUCCUAAAUGCUUAAGUUUUAGGAUGUCAUACAUUAUAUAUUGAAAUAGAUGAUAUAAAUUAUUUGGAAAAUUAACAUAAUUUAAUAUAAUAGGUUAAGAAAUAAAAUUUAAAUUUUGUACUGAUGUGUAAGUGCAAAAUAGGUGAAAUUCAAUUUAAGUUCUACAAAUAGUCCUAAAAAGUUAUCUGGUAUCUUUUUCUAUUUAAAUAUUUUUUAAUAUAUUACUAUUCUUUUAUAGACAUUUGUCAACUCCUUAACCUAAUUUGUGGAGUCUAAAAAAUAUAUAAAUUUCGGUUAACUGAAUCGAAAUUUUUUCAAAAAAAAUUAACCGAACUGAACUUUUUCGGUUAAUUCGGUCGGUUAACGGAAUUAAUCGAAAUUUAUAUUUAUUUAUUAUUUUUGGUUAAAACAAGUAUAAAACAUAUAAAAAAUUAACCGACUUAACCGACCAUUUAUAUUUCCAAAAAAUUAACCGAACCGACCGAAUACUUAUAUAUUAUAAUAUUAUUUAUUAAAUUCGGUUAAUCGACCGAUUUUAAAUUCAGUCAGUUAACCAAAUUAAUUCAGUUUUACCCGAAAUUUGCACACCCCUACUUCACUGAUGGUACUUUUAUUUUUUUCAUAUUUUUAUAUGAUUUUUAAAUCAAACAAUUUCAAAUUCAAUGACCGAACACAUGUUCAAUACUAUUAAAAUAUAAAUUGUUAUCACUAUAUCUAUAUUUAUUAUUGAAUAAAUUAAAAAAAUAUUUUAAUAAAAUAUAAAAUAUUUUCUUUCACCCAUUUGUUAGUAAUUUUAUUGAUGGGUGAGAAAAAAAACCAUAUUUAUUAUUGAAAUGAUAAAAUUAAAUAUUUAAAAUGCUUGGUUAUGUUGAAAUGGUAUAAGUAUAACUUUUGAUUUUUUUUUUAAUGUUUCUCUUACCAAAUUGGCUUAUUUUACUAAAAACUACAAAAUGCAUGUGAUAAUUACAGAUUUAAAACACAUAUGUCUAUUUAAAAGUAACAUAAGAUAUUGUUUGAAAUUAAUUAAUUAUAAUAACUCAUGGAAUAUAUAAGAUAUUAAAAUGCAAAAUUAAAUUAAAUUAUGAAUAAAACAAGAUUUAAACACAUAAAUAAACAUAUAAAUGCAAAAUUUGUUGCAUCGACUUGUCGUGUCUCUCACUCUCAUUCUUGCUCAGACUUCCACUCUCACUCUGACUCUCGAUUUUCAUCUCCAUUGAUUUGUGUGUUUGUGAGAAAUGAAGGAGAUAAUGGGAAUGGAAGAAAAGAAGAAGAUGAAAAAAAGAAAGGAUAAUUUUGAAGUAGAGGAAUGAUUGAGAAGUGUUGUGGUUUAACACUAUUAUUUCUCAUUUUAUGCUGUGUUGUGCCAUCUAUCUUCUUCUCUCUAUAUAUAUGAGAAACAAUCCUCAACAUACCUUAGUGUAACUUAAAGUGUUUUAAGCAUAAAAUUUUAAAAUUAAUUUUUCAUUUCAUCAUGUUAAAUUUAGACAUCAAUAUAUCAUAUAAUAUAUUUUAAGUUGAUAAAUAUUAAUAUAAGAUAAAAUAUUUGGUACAUUGCUAGUGAAGGUUUUAGACUCUACACCAAGAUUAAAGGGUUGACAAGUGUCCUAUAUGGAUAUAGUAAAAUAUUAAAAAAGAAAGAAAGAGACAUGACAAGUUUUUAGGGUUGCUUGUGAAAUAAAAAAAAAGUACAUUGUCACUUGUCAGUGUAUCAAAUAUUAACCCUUAAUAUAAUUAUAUUUGUUUAAUAUUAAUAUAAAAUUUAAAUUUAUUAUUAUAUUUUUAAGAUAUUUAUUUAUUUUUAUAUAUUUUUAAAUUUUGUAUAGUAUUAUUUUUGGUCCAAAAUAUUUUUAUUUUUAUAUAUAUUUUUAAAUUUAUUAUUAUGUAUUUUUUGAAAAUGUUUAUGUUUUUUUUAUAUUUUUUUUGCAUUUUUAGAAUUAGGAUUAAAUUGAAAAUGUUUGUAAAUUUUGAGGGUUAAUUUUUUAAAAUUAUUACUAAAUUGAUAUAAAUGUAAAAGUUGAAGGCUAAAAUUAUUAUUAUACCAAUUUUUUAUCUGCCACAUCAGCUUCGUGUUUGUGAUUCUAUGUAAUGUGAGUGCUUAAAUUGCAAACAUUUUAUUUUGAGUGCCUAAAAUAAAUGUUUUUGAUAGUUAGGUGACUCUCUAUGUAGUUUUUCCAUUUUUUUGAACAUUUCUAUAUAUUUUAUUUUUAAAUGAUUUAAAAAAAAAAACUUAAACUUUAGAGGACUUUUUAUUGAAAAUAUAAAAAAGUAUUUUGAUAAUUUUUAUGUAGUUUUAAAGGCUAAGGGUGGGUUUGGAUGGGCGAUUGGGUGCGGUGCGGUGCGGUGCGUUUAGCUUACUUUUUGUCUCACGCUACAAUAUCGCUACAGUAUCUAAUCUCACCGCCACCACUGUUUUUACACUAACCACAGGUAAACGCACCGCCCAUCCAAACUCACACUAAAUUAAUAAAAGCAAAAUUGGAUAAAGUGAUGAAGGUUUUUAUUUUUUAUUGUUAAAAAGAAAAAAAGAGGUCAAGGUUUUCAAAUAAAGAAAAUAUUCAUAAACUUAAUAUUUUAAAAUUGAACUACCAGGAUUAAAUUUUAAAUUAUCAAAACGUAUAGAGAUUUUUUACAAAUUCAAAUUCUCAAUAUCUUAGAACAUUUGAUAUACUACCAAUAAAGUUUCUGUAAAAGUUUUGAAAACAUUCAAAUUAAGAUUUUUAAAGCAUUCAUUUUUACAACAUUCAUUUUUUCUUAAUUUUCUUUUCAAAUUAAGUCACAUAAAAUCUAGUGUGUUAUUUUAUAGUUAAAUUAAUGAUUUUAAUAUCUGAGGGUUAUAGUUUGAGGAUGUUUGGUGCAAUGUCUCUUUCUUUGAUUUGCAGAUUAGGUUACCACGUUAUAUCUUUAUAAAUAAUUAAGAUGACUUGAUGGUGCAUUUAUGCAAUGUGCCUUGCUUAAUUCUAGGUGUGGUUUGAAUUCGAGUCGCACUUAUUGCAUUGUUAUUAAAACUUUAUCCUCUUUUAUUCACAAAAAAAAAAGAAAAAAAAGAAAUUAUAUAUAUUAAUAUUUUCUAGGUCCAUUUUACAAUUCAUAUUCAAGAUUCGUGAUUAUAUCUAUCGAUAAUGUCAUCUUCAAUAUUCAAACUUAGCUCUUCUUUGAGAGUAUAAUGUGCUUUAUCAUUACACCCAAUGUAAUCACUGAAUUUUGUUCGGUACAUUCUUCGUGUUUUUAUUUUAUUUUAUAUAUAUUUAAAAAAUUAUGUUUUUUUUUUGGGCUUGCCUUAGAUGGGCCAAUGAUUGGGUCUAUGGGGGUUGGAUAAUUGGGUUUGAAACAUUUUAAUUUUGGACUUGUUUGGGCCUUGGCCCAUUGUUUUUAUUUUAUUUUAUUUUAUUUAUUUAUGUUUUAAUAAUAUUAAUAAAACAAUAAUAAAUAAAAAUAAAAAAAUAAAUUAUGUUUUAGCCCUCGAAUUUUUCAAAAAUUACAUUUUAAUCCCGUAUUUUUGCCAAAAUUGCACUUUUACCCCAGAAACUUUGCGCCCUCUACAGUUUAGUCCUUCUGGACUUGUCAAAUCACCCAAGCGGCAGCCGAGCUACUCCAGCAUCCUCCCUAGGCCAUGAUUGCUCCACUGCCACCUGAAAACAAAGAGAAAAGAGACAAAGUGAGCAGAUUAAAAGAAGAAAAUUGAAGAGAAGAGGGGGGAGCAGCCAAGAAAAGAAAAGAAAAAAACAAAAAUUUUAAGCAAAAAACCAAGCAAAAACAGCAGCAAAAAGGGCCACCGCCGCCUUCGAUCUCGCACCACCGCACCACCGCCUCAUCACUACCAUCCCAACACCCAACAAAGCAACUAGGAAGUAAAAAAGAAAAAAAAACAGCAAGUAGAAAAAAAAAACAGCAAGCAAAAGAGAAAAAAGGAAAGAGCAAAGAAGAAAAAGAAAAGGGGAAGAAGGGAGGGGAAGAGGAGACCUCCGUGCUCGCCACCGCCGGCCAUCGCACCAGGCGGAGAGACGUCACCGGCGACAAAAGGGUGGUGCUGUCGAAGGAGAAGGGAAGAAAAGAGAAAAAAAAAUAGAGAAGAAGAAGAGAAAGAAAAGAAAAAAGAAAAAGAAAAAUAUACCAUCAAUCGGGUUGACCCGACCCGACCCGCACCAGUAAACCCGACCCAGCGCAGGCCCAACACCACUGACGGCCCACUAAGCCUCAAUUUGCAGCAAAAAAAAGGAAAAAGGGCUUGUCCUCCAAGAUUUUGGGCUUUUGGGUAAAUUUUUUUUCUUUUUUCUUUUUAAUCUAUUUUAUUUUGUUUAAUAUAUUUAAAUGGUAUUUUAUUUAAUUUAAAAUAGUAUGUUUAAAAAUAGUUUUUCAUAGAUAUUAUUAUGUCAUUUUAAUUACAUAUUUUUUUUAAAUAAUAAUAAUGAUAAAUAUUUUAAUGCAAAAGGCAACGAACUGAUUUAGCAUCGAAUCAUCGAAUUCAUCGCUAUUUUGGAUGAAUAUCGAUGGCUCGUGUUAAAUACGGGACGCCCUUCUAAAAAAUCGAAAAUAUUCAAAAUUCCUCGUAUUUCAAUAAAAAUCCUCGUGUUUUAUUAGAAUCCCGAUUAAAUAUUAAAUUGAAUUGAUUUAACACUAAUUCGAUGGUUUCAUCGUCAUAUCGGGGUGAAUAUCAUCGAUUUGUGUUAAAUACAGUAUUUUUUAAAGAAAAAUCGUUUUUAAAAAAUUUUCAUGUCUUCAAAAUUUCUCGUGUUUCAAAAAAAAUUCGUGUUUUCGUGUUUUCGAAAAAAUCUCGUGUUUCAAAAAAAAUAAAAAAAAUUCUCGUGAAUAUUUUUUGAUAUUAUCGUGUUUUCAAAAAAAUUAUGUGUUCGACAAAUUUUGUGUUUUCAUGUUUUAAAAAAUUUUUGUGUUUUAAAAAUCUUCGUGUUUUCAAAAAUUCUGGCGUUUCAAAAAUUUUCGUGUUUUUAAAAAAAAAUUACGUGUUUUCAAAAAUUUUUCGUGUUUCACAAAUUCUCGUGUUUUCAAAAACUCCGGUGUUUCAAAGUUUUCAUGUUUUCAAAAAUUCUCGCGUUAAAAAAAAUUCGUGUUUCAAAAUAUUCUCGCAUUUCAAUUUUUGUUUUUUAAAUCGUGUUUCAAAAAAAUGUCGUGUUUUAAAAAUUUUCGUUUUUCUAAAAAUUUUCGUGUUUCUAAAAUUUUCGUGUUUACAAAUUCUCGUAUUUUCAAAAAUUCUCGUGUUUUAAAAAAAACUUUCGUUUUAAAAAAGAAAUACUACGCUUGAAAAUUCUCGUGUUUUUUUUUUUAAAAAAAGGUUCUCGUAUUUCAAUCGGAUCACGCUAAAUAUUAAAUGGAACUUGUAUUUUUGAAAAUUAAGACAACAUGCAUUUAACGAGAUACCAAUUUUGGGCGUCGCGAGGGUGCUAAUACCUUCCUCGCGCGUAACCGACUCCGGGACCCUAAUUUUCUCUGGAUUUUGACGUGGACCUAAAAUUGUCUCUUUUUUAGAAAAGUUUAAAAAAAAAAUUCUUCUAAAAAAGGAUUUUAUUUGGUGUCCGAUCACACCUAAAAAAAAGAUCGGUGGCGACACCUUUUUCAAAUAAAACCGAGAUUCGAUUUUCAAGUUUUCAAUAAUUACUUCGAGUAGCGCCCGUGCACGAAAUUUUUAGGUCGCUAUAGCUGGCGACUCCACUGGGGAAUUUUGAGAGUCGAGUCUGGUGUUAAACGUGUGUUGUUAAAAUUUUUAAAACUUAUUGUUCAAUUUAAUUUUUAAUCGUGAUCCUUGAAUUUUGUUUUGAAAAAUCAUGCAUCCGCAUCCGAUUUUGAAAUUAAUAUUUUUCUAACCUAUUUUAUUUUCGCGUUUUUUUUUUCAGCUUUAAGUUUUAUGGUUUUAGUUUGUUUUUUAGGAAAAAUAAAAAUAAAAAGGUUUGUGAGUUUCUCCCUACGCACCGUGCACUUGCAUUCUUGCAUAGCAUGAGCUCUCUACUCGGGCUCCGUCCGUUUAAGUGGAAGUAAAUGCUACGCCUUCGUGAGUUAACUCGUCCCUCCGCACAGGCUAGUGAAAUACUUCCGGGUUACAUAUGACUUAUGCUUUCGUGAGUUAACUCGUCCCUCCGCAUAGGCAUAAGUAAAUGUAAUCCCUCGAAUUGAACUCGCAAGCCCAUGACGGGCGAUAACCGAGGCUCCGUACUUACCUUAGUAGGUGACAGUAUGGACAAUUCGAGUACCUUUCUAGAACCAGAACCACAUGUAGUGAACCGUACGAGCCAUCCAAUUAGAGCCAUGCCGAACCUCUGUCCGUUUAAUAGUCACCAAAAUAAGUACACGGGAGAAACGCCUCUUACCUUUUAUUUCUUUUACAUUUACACUUAUUUGCAAAUGAAUUGAGUUUAUUUAAUAAAUUGGGUCGGGUAGAUUGUCUGAUGGUAUGUGGGGUAGGUUUCUUGUAAAGCAUAUUGGGGCAAGAAAAAAGAAAAAAUGUGGGUCUUUUCCACCAAAUUGCAUGAUUGAAUAGCUUAAUUCGUUAAAUUUUCCAUAGUCAUUAUUUUUCUUCUUUCUUCUUUUUAUAUCUGUUGUGAUCUCUGACCAGGGUUAUUUGUUUUCUAUUUUAUUUUUCAUCAUGCAUCGUAGACAUCUCAUUAGGAAGGUGUUGGUUAAAGAUUGGUUGCCAAAAACGGGUUUCUGAUGGAGGAGUCAAUUACACGAGUAACCGAGAAAAAUGCUGUAGUCCGAGAUUGGUCUUUGAGAACUCAAAAAGUGAAAGGAGACAGUUUGAAAGAAGGAUACACCUCUGAUCUUCCUGAGCGUGUGACUUUGAAUGCUCGUCAGAAUGAUCUCGAAGACUUGACUAGGAUUUGGAAGCAGUGGGACUCAGAUACUAGAAGCAUAUUCACUGAAAAGUAUGGGGAUAUAGCUCACUUGAUAGCAAUCGAUGUGAACGAGCAGUUGAUCCAAGCCAUGGUUCGAUUCUGGGACCCAGCCUAUCAGUGUUUCACUUUCAAUCAGGAAGAUAUGACUCUGACCAUAGAAGAGUAUGCCGCUUUACUUCGCAUCGAUAAUGUGCAACUCAACAAGAUAUAUGUGAAGGAGCCUAAACCAAUGACCUUCAAGAAAAAGCUAAUGAAGUUGACGGGGAUGACUGAUACAUGGGCUGAAAAACAAAUAAGAAAGAAGAAUGAAGUCAGUUGUGUUCCGUGGUUUUCUCUGCGAGAGUUAGUUCAGAAUCAUCCAGAUGUGUUAAAAAGAGUAGAUUUGUUUGCCUUGGCCGUUUACGGACUGGUCAUCUUCCCAAAGGUUCUUGGGCAUAUUGAAGUUGCGGUUGUGGAUUUCUUCGAAAAGUUGAGGCAAAGAGUCAACCCGGUCCCAACCAUCUUGGCUGAGACUUUUAGAUCCCUAAAUGCUUGUAGGAGAAAAGGGGAAUGACGUUUUAUCGGAUGCGCUCAGUUACUGAAUGUUUGGAUCUUUAGCCAUUUUUGGAAGGUGGAGCGCACGCCUUUCCACAUGUUUUCAAAGACAUUCGCCCCGUUGGAAGCACACCUUGAAAAAGAUUGGCCGAGGGAUGUCACUGAACAACACUGGGUCUUGGUUUUUCAGAACCUCCAUGCCGAAGAUAUAACUUGGAGAGCACCUUGGAUUCGUCCCUCUGUAUUAUUUUACAAAUGCAGAAACCAAGACUGGGUACCUUUACUAGGAUUAUGGGGAGGGGUUGGAUAUGCUCCAUUGUUGGUUCAAAGACAGUUCGCUUCGCGACAAUUUGUACCAGUUACCGAUGGAUUGGCACAAUCGGAGUUUGCCUUUAUGGGUGAGGGUUACAUGAAAAAGGUUCGAGAUACUGCAAAUUCUUGGAGGCAAAUCUACCUAAUGGAAUUAGCUCUCUAUGCUGAUACUAUCACUGUAGACUAUAACCUAUGGAGGCAACGACGAGUGAAGAGUCAAGUAACCCCAUCAAUUGAUGAAGCUUGCCAGAAUCCGUUCUUAGAGAAAAUCCCAUCCGAGCUAGAAAUUCCAAAACAUGAAUUUGAACGUGAAAAGGCCAAACUGUUGCGAGAUAUUAGUUCUCUCCAGGAAGAGAACUACCAGCUGAAGAUUGAUGUCGAAAUUGAAAAAUCCAGAACCGAAAAAGUCCAAAAAGAGGUUGAAGUUACGAGAAAGGAUUUAAGGGACCUUCAUUUGGAAAACAAGAAAUUAAGGGGCACUAUAAGAAAUAGUGGAUUGGGCAAAACAUCAGCAGAAUGGAAGGAGGAAUUAAGCAAUAUCAAAGGUGGGAUGGAAUUCUGGAAAGCCAAGGCGAAGAAAGAAGAAGAAAAAGCUGCAUGUACUAUGAUAGAGUUGAGGAAGAAGAACGUUGAAUACGAAACUGUGACUGCAGAACUAACGGCUAGUCAGUCUGAGCAUCAAGAGCUAAAAGGAAAAAUUCGAAGUCUAGAAAGUACACUGCAAGCUCAUCAGCAACAUUUGGAUGACCUCUUGAGAGCUUUAGAAGAGAAGAAUAGUCAGCAUGACAGAGACGUUUGCGCCUAUGAAAGAGCCCUCCAAGAAAAGGAUAUGCAUAUCGGCAGUUUGAUCAAUGAAAUUCGUAGGGCGGCUGCGCAUGUAGUACAUUUGUCAGAUGAAGUGGAAGUUCUCAGUUGCCAAUACCCUCCAAGCCAAAGAUCAAGCAUAUCGGAGUUCCUGGAACGUAUAAAGAAGCAAGGCGAUGUGGCUAAGAAGUUUGUGUAACUGUAAAACUAAUAUGGCAAAACUUUUUGUAAUGGACUCUUUUGAUAAAUGAAACGUCCAAGUAUGGGGCCAUUUUGGAAUCAACACCUAUUUUUGCAUAUUUACACAUGAUUAACAUUCAUUAAUUAUUUAUUCAUUCAUUCAUUACAUGCUCAUAUCUCCCUAAUCAUUCGCUAAGGUUAAAACCAUCUAAUCCACAGUUACCACACUACGAGCCUGGAAUCACGUCACUCCUAUAGGACGCGCUUAAGAGCUAGAACUAUGGAUGCCGAACUCAAUGAAAGGAUGGAAAGGAUGGAAAGAACCCAAAGAGAGUUGCAGGAGCAACUGGCCAAGUCGCAGCAAGAGGCAAGAGAUUUGAUGGUGAGAUCUCGAGAGGAAUCGCUAGAGCAAAGGGAUCAAAUGGCCAAAAUGAUGGAAAUGAUGACGGCCUUGGUCAAAGGAAAGGGACCUAUGUAGAGCCCUGAUGUCGUAGAGCCACCUCAAUCAAGAGUUAAUCAAGACCCACUUUAUCCCCCGGGAUUUACUCCACCUCAUGUCCACGCAAUGCGAAGAGGAUACCCCCAAAGGGAACCUACAGGCCUGGAACAACAUCCUGCUCCAUCUGCUCAUUUAGCACAAGGAAUGUUUGUAUCGAACCUUGGGGCUAAUCCUUCAGAUCCAAUUGUUCCAGACCUAGAUGAUCCUGUAGAAGUAGCAAGGCUGAGAAUUGAUGACAAUAACGCUCAGGAUAAGUAUAGGAUCCUGGAAGAGAGGAUCAAGGCAGUAGAGGGCGCUGAAGUUUUCUCUGCUUUGAGUGCCAAAGAGCUCAGUUUGGUACCUGAUUUGGUUCUACCCCCAAAAUUUAAGGCACCUGAUUUUGAGAAGUAUGACAGAACAAGAUGUCCAAAGGCGCAUCUGAUCAUGUUUUGCCGAAAGAUGACUGGUUAUGUAAACGAUGACAAAUUAUUGGUGCAUUGCUUUCAAGACAGUUUGGUUGGCUCAGCCCUUCGAUGGUAUAAUCAACUCAGUAGAGAGAGAAUUCGAUCAUGGAAGGAUUUGGCUUCAGCAUUCUGUGAGCAAUAUAGGCAUGUAUCGGAUAUGGUGCCUGAUCGACUAACUUUACAAAUGAUGGAAAAGAAGCCGACAGAGACUUUUCGGCAAUAUGCACAAAGAUGGAGGGAUAUCUCUGCUCAGGUGGAGCCUCCGUUAACUAAGACAGAGAUAACAGUCCUCUUUAUUAAUACUCUCAAAGCACCGUUUUACGAUAAAUUAGUAGGAAGCGCCACAAAGGACUUUGCAGAUAUUGUAAUAUCCGGGGAACUUAUCAAAAACGUCGUCAAGAAUGGGAGAAUGGAAGGCCCCGAGAGUUCGAAGAGGGCAGUACCCGGAAAGAAAAAAGAGCCAGAGGCCCAUAUGGUUGGAACCGAGAGCCCCUGUGCUCCCAAUCCGUACCCCGCCCAACCACGACCUCAUUACCGUCCACCUUCAAACUUCUACUUUCCUCCUCAAGGUCCUUACUAUCAAGCGCCUCCAUCUUACCCUGUUUAUGCUGUGAAUAACCAAAGACCAUUCACCGUGUUUCCACUAAACACCAUGCCUGCACAAAGCCAACCCAGAAAUGAACAAAGACCAACAAGACCCAAUCCUGAAAGACCUCAGUUUACUCCGAUUCCUGUAUCAUAUGGAGAGUUAUACCCGAAAUUGUUUGAAAAACAAUUAAUUUCCCCACAUUACAUGGCACCCUUGAAGCCUCCAUACCCGAAGUGGUAUGAUCCUAACGCUAAUUGCAUGUAUCACGCUGAGAAUCAGGGACACUCUACAGAAAACUGCCUUGCUUUUAAAAGGAGGGUUCAAGGUCUUAUUGAUGUCGGCGUUCUACGAUUCGAUGGUGGUAGCAAUGUGACGGGAAAUCCUCUUCCUAACCAUACUGGCAGGAAUGUAAAUGCGGUAACAAACGAAGAUAAUUGUCGAGCAAAAGGGUGUGUUACCGAAGUAAAGACACCUUUGUGGAAGGUAUGGGAGAUGAUGAUUGAAAAUGGCUUGCUCCGUUCGUCUAGUAAGAUUCUCAAAGAAGAAAGUACAAAAGACCAGAGUUUCUGUGAUUUUCAUGGCAUCCAAGGGCAUGACAUCCAAUCUUGCAGGGAAUUUAGGAAAUUACUUCAGGACAUGAUGGACAACAAAGAGGUCAAGGUCUUUGAUAGGGUUGAGGGGGCCGAAGAAGGAGAAAUAUGUGCCUCUGAUAAUCAAUCGACGGCUUUCCCUUAUAGCGUCGAUAGACCUUUGGUGAUUUAUUACGAGGCAAAAAAGGAAGAGGUUAGUCGAGAAGUUAAACCAAGUUUGAUAAUCGAAGUACCUGCUCCUUUCCCUUACAAGGACAACAAGGCAGUGCCGUGGAAGUAUGAUGUCAAUAUUGUUGUGCCUGAAGGUGAAAAGUCAAAGGUUAUGAAUGAAGAUGUCAGUGAAGUAGGGCAUUUCACUCGCAGCGGAAGGUGUUAUUCUUCCGAGACUAUUGAACCAAAGAAGAAAGUUGUUGGCCCAAGCCAAAAAGGAAAAGCACCAAUGUAUGGUGUUGAGGAUGAUGUUGGAACACAGCUUGAGCAAGAAGUUAAAAAGGCUGUGAAUGAGGAGGAAGCACAUGAGUUCUUAAAGUUUAUCAAGCACAGUGAAUAUAGCGUUGUAGAACAAUUAAACAAGCAGCCAGCCCGAAUCUCGGUACUGUCUCUAUUGUUGAACUCGGAGCCACAUCAAAAUGCCUUGCUAAAAGUGUUAAAUCAAGCUUAUGUGGCGAACAAUGUAUCUGUGGAAAAGCUUGAUAGGUGGGCAAAUAAUUUAAAUGCAUAUAAUUUCAUCUCUUUUAGUGAUGACGAAAUACCGCCAAAUGGUAGGGGCUCCAUAAAAGCAUUGCACAUCACAACCAAUUGCAAAGGUUACAUAUUAGCAAAUGUACUCAUCGACAAUGGAUCUGCACUCAAUGUUAUACCUUUGGCCACGCUUUCUAGGAUGCCGGUUGAUAUGUCCUAUCUAAGGCAUUGUCAUUCCAUAGUAAGGGCAUUUGAUGGGACACGGCGAGAAGUCAUGGGAAAGAUCGAAAUUCCUUUAAAAGUGGGGCCAUGUGUAUAUGAUAUCGAGUUCCAGGUCAUGGACAUCACGCCUUCAUACAGUUGCCUCUUAGGAAGACCUUGUAUCCAUUCUGCUGGGGCAGUUCCUUCAUCUCUCCAUCAAAAAGUAAAGUUCAUCAUGGAUAGCCGCUUGAUUACUGUUAGUGGUGAGGAAGACAUCGUCGCAUCUAUCUCUACUGAUACACCCUACAUCGAAAUAAACGAAGAUGCCGUAGAAUGUUCUUUCCGCUCAUUGAAAUUUAUUAAUGCUACAUUUGUUGCUGAAGGGAAUAAGAUCCCUAUUCCAAAACUGUUAAGGAAUACCAAGAUGGGAAUUAAGUUGACUGUGGGAAAAGGAGCUUGAGCGAGGAAAGGUUUGGGAAAAUAUCAACAAGGGAUGGUUAGAGCCUUGAAACCAACACACCACAAGGGUCGAUACGGUUUAGGGUUCAAGCUAGAUAUACAUCAAAGAAGAAAACAAUUACAGAAAGAUCGAGAGAGAAGAAUCGCAAGGGCUUCAGGCCAGGAAUUGGGAUGGAAACCGUUAGUGUAUCCUCCUUUGUCAAGAACAUUUACAUCAGCAAGAGUGAUGUACCCAGGACAGGAUAAUCCGCAAGUCACAUUAUUGAUUGAAAAGGGUCUUCAGAAUAUCAGCCUAAAUGCUAUUAACAAUGAGAAUGAUGAAAUUAAGAAUGCUUCAAUGAUACGCCCUUGUCCUCCAGGAUAUGUUUUGAACAACUGGACUGCUGUGGACCUCCUUGUAGUUUUUAAGUCUCCUUCAGAGUAAUGCUCAAUGUUAACCCUUCAUUUUGUGUGUCCUUAAACAGUAGGGUUCCUUUUGUAAGAGCUUAUGUUUGCUCUUUAUCAUUUCAAUGAUCAUUAAUGAAGAUGCAUUUUGUUUUAUAUUAUCAUGUUCUUUUCAUUUCCAUUAACUUCACGACUACUCCUUCUAUUCAUUUCCUUUUCCAGCAUAUAUCUCAUAUCAUCUCAUAUCAUCGUGUGUUGAUCCCAUUACCUCAAUGCUCUUCUAUAGCUUUUUUCCAUUCACCUUUCAGGUGCUCAGAUAUCAAUGGCAUGAAUAAUCCCGUUAUGAAUCCUGAAAUCGAUUUUGAGAGGGUUGUUUGUUUAGGAGAAUUUGAAGCUGACGAAAAUGCUGAAGAUUGAGUAUCGUCUUCUGAUUUACUGAGAAUGGUCGAACAAGAGGAGAAACAGAUCCUACCCCAUCAAGAAUCUGUUGAGGUAGUGAACUUGGGGAAUGAAGAAAAGAAACAAGAAGUGAAGAUUGAGACUUCCAUUUCAGAAAACACAAGGCAAGAUUUGAUCGCCUUGCUCCAUGAGUACAAGGAUGUGUUUGCCUGGUCUUAUCAGGAUAUGCCAGGAUUGAACACGGAUGUUGUGGUCCACAAGCUCCCACUGAAACCAGAAUGCAAGCCCGUUCAGUAGAAAUUAAGAAGGAUAAGACCCGAAAUGCUGUUAAAGAUAAAAGAAGAAGUCAAGAAACAAUUUGACGCUGGCUUCCUACAAGUCUCCAAGUAUCCAGAAUGGGUAGCUAAUAUAGUCCCAGUGCCAAAGAAAGAUGGCAAGGUGCGAAUGUGCGUGGAUUAUCGUGAUCUAAAUCAAACAAGCCCUAAGGAUAACUUUCCUUUACCACACAUCGACACUUUGGUGGAUAAUACGGCAAAGCAUUCUCUGUUUUCAUUCAUGGAUGGCUUCUCAGGUUAUAACCAGAUAAAGAUGGCUCCCAAGGACAUGGAAAAAACUACAUUCAUAACAAUAUGGGGAACCUUCUACUAUAAGGUAAUGCCAUUAGGAUUAAAGAAUGCUGGGGCAACAUAUCAGAGAGCCAUGGUGACGUUGUUCCAUGAUAUGAUGCACAAAGAAAUAGAAGUUUAUGUUGAUGAUAUGAUUGCCAAAUCUCGGAAAGAAAGAGAGCAUGUUGGGAGUCUUAGGAAGCUGUUUGAAAGAUUAAGAAAGUUCAAGUUGAAGCUUAACCUGGCCAAAUGUACGUUUGGGGUUACCUUAGGAAAACUGCUAGGUUUCAUUGUUAGUGAAAGAGGUAUCGAGGUUGAUCCAGACAAGAUAAAAGCUAUACAAGAAUUGCCUCCCCCGCGCACACAAAAGGAAGUCAGGGGAUUUUUAGGGAGGUUGAAUUACAUUGCUUGAUUCAUUGCUCAACUUACCAAUCAGUGCGACCCAAUUUUUCGACUCCUUCGAAAACAUAACCCGGGAGAAUGGAACGAGGAGUGCCAAGUGACCUUCGAUAAGAUAAAACAGUAUUUGUCUAAUCCUCCUGUGCUAGUACCACCGACCCCUGGAAAACCCCUAAUAUUGUACCUGACCGUGUUCGAGAACUCAAUGGGUUGCGUACUGGGGCAACAUGAUGAGUCAGGGAGAAGAGAGAAGGCAAUUUACUACCUCAGCAAGAAGUUCACAGAAUAUGAGGCAAAAUACCCUUCAAUUGAGAAGUUUUGUUGUGCAUUGAUUUGGACAGUUCGAAGGCUCAGACAAUACAUGCUGUAUCACACGACAUGGUUAAUUUCAAAACUGGACCCAAUAAAGUACAUGAUGGAGUCACCUGCACUCUCAGGGAGAAUGGCCCGAUGGCAGAUCUUAUUGACUGAGUAUGACAUUGUAUAUGUGAGCCAAAAGUCGAUAAAAGGAAGCGCAAUAGCUGACUUCUUGGCAAGUCGAACAACGGAGGAAUACAAGCCUUUGAGAUUUGACUUCCCAGAUGAUGAUUUAAUGUGCAUUUCAGAAAAAGAGGGCGAGUCAUCAAAAGAAAAGCCAUGGAAGAUGAGCUUUGAUGGUGCAUCAAAUGCAUUGGGGCAUGGGAUAGGAGCAGUCUUAGUGUCACCUGAAGAGAACCAUUACCCGCUUACUACCAGAUUGAAUUUUUUCUGUACAAAUAAUAUAGCGGAAUAUGAGGCUUGCAUCAUGGGACUUCGUGCAGCUAUCAAGAGGAAAAUUAAAAUUUUAGAGGUACACGGGGACUCAGCAUUGGUCAUUUAUCAAAUUCGUGGAGAUUGGGAAGUGAGAGAUCUAAAAUUAGUCAAGUAUCACGAUCUCGUUGCAGAGCUGAUCAAGGAGUUCUAUAAAGUGACUUUUAACUACUUUCCACGAGAAGAGAACCAAUUGGCUGAUGCUCUGGCCACCCUGGCUUCAAUGUUCAAAGCAAACAGAGAAACUGAAAUAAUGCCUAUCCAAAUGAGCAUAUAUGAGACCCCCGCACACUGUUUUAGCAUUGAGGAGGAGUCAGAUGGACGAUCAUGGUUCCAUGAUAUCCUAGAGUACAUCAAGAAUCAAAGGUACCCUGAGCAAGCAAACAAGAAUGACAAAAGAACAAUCAGGAGAAUGGCGAUUGGAUUUGUUCUUGACGGGGAUAUUCUAUACAAAAGGGGAAAAGAUCAAGUACUCCUGAGGUGCGUAGACGCUGUUGAAGCUAGAAAGAUACUUGAAGAGGUUCAUGAAGGAAUUUGUGGAACACAUGCCAGUGGUUUCACCAUGGCCAGGCAGAUUAUGAGACUUGGUUAUUAUUGGCUGACGAUGGAAAGGGAUUGCAUUGGUUACGCACGAAAGUGCCACAAAUGUCAAAUUUAUGGCGAUAAAAUUCAUGCAGCUCCGUCGCCCCUUCAUGUCAUGACUUCUUCGUGGCCUUUUUCUAUGUGGGGCAUGGAUGUUAUAGGGCCAAUUUCCCCGAAAGCUUCCAAUGGGCAUCGAUUCAUCUUUGUGGUUAUAGAUUACUUCACAAAAUGGGUAGAAGCCACAUCGUUUGCUAAUGUGACAAAUGCUGCAGUCUGUAGGUUCUUAAAAAAGGAGAUUAUAUGUCGAUAUGGUCUGCCUAAAAGAAUCAUUUCAGAUAAUGCUUUAAAUUUGAACAACAAGAUGAUGAAAGAAGUAUGUGAGCAAUUCCAGAUAAAACAUCAUAAUUCCUCGCCCUAUCGCCCAAAGAUGAACGGAGCAGUAGAAGCCGCUAAUAAGAACAUUAAGAGGAUUAUUGGGAAGAUGACUAAGACAUAUAAGGACUGGCACGAGAAGCUACCAUUCGCUUUGUACGCAUAUCGCACCUCUGUACGGACGUCUACAGGGGCAACUCCUUUUUCUCUAGUCUACGGGAUGGAGGCCGUUCUGCCUAUCGAGGUAGAGAUCCCAUCCCUGCGCAUCCUGAUGGAGACAAAGUUAGAAGAAUCAGAGUGGGUUCGAGCUCGAUAUGAUCAACUAAACCUUAUUGAAGGGAAACGCCUGAAGGCAAUUUGUCAUGGACAGAUGUACCAAAAGAGAAUGAUCACGGCUCAUGAUAAAAAGGUGUGACCAAGAGAAUUUCGCGAAGGAGAGCUCGUACUGAGAAAGAUUCUCCCGAUACAGAAGGACUUUCGAGGAAAAUGGUCACCAAAGGGCAUACGUUAUAAAAAUGGCAUUCUCAGGAGGGGCUCUGAUUCUCACUGAGAUGGAUGGGAAAGAAUUACCUAAUCCAGUGAAUUCAGAUGCUGUGAAGAAGUAUUAUGCCUAAAAAAACAAAAAAUAAAAAAACAAAAAAGCAGAAAAGCAAAAAAAAAGGUAAAAAAAGAAGAAGAAAAAAUCAAGAUGAAAACCCUAAAAAGGGCAUCUUGAUAAAUAGAAAGGAUUAGGAUGAAAACCCGAAAGGGCGUCCUAAUGAAGUGAGCUCAAACUUAAGGUGCAAGGCGACUCGAACGGGGAGUCGAAUGGCGAAGUUACAAUAUUUGAAGCAUUCUCAGAAGCUCGGAAUCUUCUACACAGGAAGUCAUGCUCGAAAAUAUUCAGGAUGAAGAAACGUGGAGAAGUUUAAGCGUUGGAUAUCUAGGGCAUUCGUGUCCAUUGAAUUCACUUUCCUUUCUUUAUGAUGCUUUCUGUAUUUGAACUAUUCCUUGUCAAUUUUCUUUGUUUGUUGCUUUUGAAAAUAUUGAAUGUGAGGUAUUUUCUUUCAUGCCUACUUUGCCAUUUUUUCCAUGCAUCUCGUGUUUGAUUCAUUUAAAUGAUAAAUAGUAAGAUGACAUGCUCUAAACAAAAGAAAUGUUGAACAUUACCUGGAUGAGAAUUUGACAAGUACAAGGGCCCGAAAGCAGGAACAAUGUUCAGCAGGGGGCAAGAGAGUGAUAUAUGGAGAAAUGUGGAUUACUCACAGAACUUGAGGAUGAGUACAAAACUGGAGAGAAAAGUCAGGAAUUGAGGAAAUGAAUGCGGAACCUCACGAAAAUCAAAAGUGGGGCGUGUGACAAACAGCCUAGGGUGCAUGGCAUGAUCAUGUAGACAUAAAAGCAUUUAAGAUGAACAUGUGCAUAUCAUAAUAACACCAUACAUGACAUAUACAGGUAUACCAAUAGAGCAAGGAAUUUUGAGAGAAAGCUGUACAAAAUCAACGAAGAAGAAGGCUUUAGUUUCACCUGAUGUUUUUGAAACCCUGUUUCUUUCAAGAAUUACAUUUUUCAAUUUUUGUUUUUCAAAAAAUCAACUCAUAAUGCGAGAAGUGAGUUGAGCCUCGAGUCAUGUCGAGGCAUUUUUCAAUUUCUGUUUUUCAAAAAAAUCAUCUAAUAAUGCGAGAAGUGAGUUGAGCCUCGGGUCACGCUGAGGUAUUUUUAAUUUAUGUCUUUUUUUAAAAAUCAACUCAUAAUACAGAGGUGAGUUGAGCCUCGGGUCACGCUGAGGUAUUUUUAAUUUAUUUCUUUUUUUUAAAAUCAACUCAUAAUACAGAGGUGAGUUGAGCCUCGGGUCACGCUGAGGUAUUUCUUUUAAAUUUCUGUUUUUCAAAAACUCAACUCAUAUUGCGAGAGGUGAGUUGAGCCUCGGACCAUGCCGAGGUAUUUCUUUUAAAUUUCUGUUUUCAAAAAAAUCAACUCAUAUUGUGAGAGGUAAGUUGAGCCUCGGAUCGCAUGCCGAUGUAUUAUUUUCAAUUUCUGUUUUUCAAAAAAAUCAACUCAUAAUGCGAGAGGUGAGUUGAGCCUCAGGUCACAUGCCGAGAUAUUUCUUUUAAAUUUCGUAUUUUCAAAAAAAUCAACUCAUAUUGCGAGAGGUGAGUUGAGCCUCGGAUCGCAUGCCGAGGUAUUCUUUUCAAUUUCUGUUUUUUAAAAAAAUUAACUCAUAUUGCGAGAGGUGAGUUGAGCCUCGAGUCACGUCGAGGUAUUUUUCAAUUUCUAUUUUUCCAAAAUCAACUCAUAUUGCGAGAGGUGAGUUGAGCCUCGAGUCACGUCGAGGUAUUUUUCAAUUUCUAUUUUUCCAAAAUCAACUCAUAUUGCGAGAGGUGAUUUGAGCCUCAAGUCACGUCGAGGUAUUUUUCAAUUCUUGCUUUUCAAAAAAAUCAACUCAUAUUGCUAGAGGUGAGUUGGGCCUCGGGUUGCACGCCGAGCUAUUCUCGAUUUCUGUUUUUCAAAUAAAAAGAAAAUUUUGGAUGGUAGAACAAAAUUCAGUGCUUUUAAGUAUUUGCUCUAUCCCUGUUUCACAGCGAUGAGCAAAGAGGGGCAGCUGUAAUCACUGAAUUUUGUUCGGUACAUUCUUCGUGUUUUUAUUUUAUUUUAUAUAUAUUUAAAAAAUUAUGUUUUUUUUGGGCUUGCCUUAGAUGGGCCAAUGAUUGGGUCUAUGGGGGUUGGAUAAUUGGGUUUGAAACAUUUUAAUUUUGGACUUGUUUGGGCCUUGGCCCAUUGUUUUUAUUUUAUUUUAUUUAUUUAUAUUUUAAUAAUAUUAAUAAAACAAUAAUAAAUAAAAAUACAAAAAAUAAAUUAUGUUUUAGCCCCCGAAUUUUUCAAAAAUUACAUUUUAAUCCCGUAUUUUUGCCAAAAUUGCACUUUUACCUCAGAAACUUUGCGCCCUCUACAGUUUAGUCCUUCUGGACUUGUCAAAUCACCCAAGCGGCAGCCGAGCUACUCCAGCAUCCUCCCUAGGCCAUGAUUAUUCCACUGCCACCUGAAAACAAAGAGAAAAGAGACAAAGUGAACAGAUUAAAAGGAGAAAAUUGAAGAGAAAGAGGGGGAGCAGCCAAGAAAAGAAAAGAAAAAAACAAAAAUUUUAAGCAAAAAACCAAGCAAAAAUAGCAGUAAAAAGGGCCACCGCCGCCGUCGACCUCGCACCACCGCACCACCGCCUCAUCACUACCAUCCCAACACCCAACAAAGCAACUAGGAAGUAAAAAAGAAAAAAAAAUAGCAAGUAGAAAAAAAAACAGCAAGCAAAAGAGAAAAAAGGAAAGAGCAAAGAAGAAAAAGAAAAGGGGAAGAAGGGAGGGGAAGAGGAGACCUCCGUGCUCGCCACCGCCGGCCAUCGCACCAGGCGGAGAGACGUCACCGAUGACAAAAGGGUGGUGCUGUCGAAGGAAAAGGGAAGAAAAGAGAAAAAAAAGAGAGAAGAAGAAGAGAAAGAAAAAAAAAAGAAAAAGAAAAAUAUACCAUCAAUCGGGUUGACCCGACCCGACCCGCACCAGUGGACCCGACCAGCGCAGGCCCAACACCACUGACGGCCCACUAAGCCUCAAUUUGCAGCAAAAAAAAAGGAAAAAGGGCUUGUCCUCCAAGACUUUGGGCUUUUGGGUAAAUUUUUUUUUCUUUUUUCUUUUUAAUCUAUUUUAUUUUGUUUAAUAUAUUUAAAUGGUAUUUUAUUUAAUUUAAAAUAGUAUGUUUAAAAAUAGUUUUUCAUAGAUAUUAUUAUGUCAUUUUAAUUACAUAUUUUUUUAAAUAAUAAUGAUAAAUAUUUUAAUGCAUAAGGCAACGAACUGAUUUAGCAUCGAAUCAUCGAAUUCAUCGCUAUGUUGGAUGAAUAUUGAUGGCUCGUGUUAAAUACGGGACGCCCUUCUAAAAAAUCGAAAAUAUUCAAAAUUCCUCGUAUUUCAAUAAAAAUCCUCGUGUUUUAUUAGAAUCCCGAUUAAAUAUUAAAUUGAAUUGAUUUAACACUAAUUCGAUGGUUUCAUCGCCAUAUCGGGGUGAAUAUCAUCGAUUUGUGUUAAAUACAUUAUUUUUUAAAGAAAAAUCGUUUUUAAAAAAUUUUCAUGUCUUCAAAAUUUCUCGUGUUUCAAAAAAAAAAUCGUGUUUUCGUGUUUUCGAAAAAAUCUCGUGUUUCAAAAAAAAAUAAAAAAAUUUCUCGUGAAUAUUUUUUGAUAUUAUCGUGUUUUCAAAAAAAUUCCGUGUUCGACAAAUUUUGUGUUUUCGUGUUUUCAAAAAUUUUCGUGUUUUAAAAAUCUUCGUGUUUUCAAAAAUUCUGGCGUUUCAAAAAUUUUCGUGUUUUUUAAAAAAAAAUUACGUGUUUUCACAAAUUUUUCGUGUUUCACAAAUUCUCGUGUUUUCAAAAACUCCGGUGUUUCAAAGUUUUCAUGUUUUCAAAAAUUCUCGCGUUAAAAAAAAAAUUCGUGUUUCAAAAUAUUCUCGCAUUUCAAUUUUUGUUUUUUAAAUCGUGUUUCAAAAAAAUGUCGUGUUUUAAAAAUUUUCGUUUUUCUAAAAAUUUUCGUGUUUCUAAAAUUUUCGUGUUUACAAAUUCUCGUGUUUUCAAAAAUUCUCGUGUUUUAAAAAAAACUUUCGUUUUAAAAAAGAAAUACUGCGCUUGAAAAUUCUCGUGUUUUUUUUUUAAAAAAAAGGUUCUCGUAUUUCAAUCGGAUCACGACUAAAUAUUAAAUGGAACUUGUAUUUUUGAAAAUUAAGACAACAUGCGUUUAACAAGAUACCAAUUUUGGGCGUCGCGAGGGUGCUAAUACCUUCCUCGCGCGUAACCGACUCCCGGACCCUAAUUUUCUCUAGAUUUUGACGUGGACCUAAAAUUGUCUCUUUUUUAGAAAAGUUUAAAAAAAAAUUUCUUCUAAAAAAGGAUUUUAUUUGGUGUCCGAUCACACCUAAAAAAAAGAUCGGUGGCGACUCCUUUUUCAAAUAAAAUCGAGAUUCGAUUUUCAAGUUUUCAAUAAUUACUUCGAGUAGCGCCCGUACACGAAAUUUUUAGGUCGCUACACCCAACACUUGCUGAUUAACGAAAAAAAAUAUAUUGAUAAAGUAUUUACAUAUUUUAACAAUAUUUAAAAAUUUAAACACAUUGUUUUGCAUUUUUAUUUUAAAUGUUAAAAUUAAUUAAUUGAAAUAUAAAAAUUCAUUUAUUAUAAAUAAGAAAUUUUAAAAAUUUCUUUUAAACUAAUUUUUUUAAAAAAAUUCUAUCUAAUAAAUGAAGUAAAAUUCGUGAAAAAAGAAUUAAAAGCUUGAUGUGCAAAAAUUUCUCACUUUCCUUAUUGACGUAUUUUUAUUACAAAUAAGAAACGUCACGCAUAAUACUUUAUAUUAUGUUAUUUUUUUUAUAUAUUAUAUAAUUUAGAACACAUUAAAAAUUUUUAUACUAAAUAUAUAAUACUACUCUAACGUAAACAUUAAAAUAAUAUUAAGAUGAUUAUAUGAAAAUUUUCAAUAAAUAAAAAAUGUAUAAAAUUAUUAAAUAUUAAAAAUAUAUAAAAAUAUAAUUUUUUAAAAAAUACAGGCGGACCUAAAAUGAGUUUGGGUUAGUCUUUUGCAAAUAUGAGUGGAUUUAGGUAAAAUUUUAGGCUCAUAUUUCGGGUCAAACCGGACUUGAACAAACAUAAAAUAUAUUAAUAUCACGCUUAAACCCGACCCAACCAAUGAGCACUUCUAAUCACAACCAUAUAUAUAUUUUUAAAAUAAAUACCAUCAUAUGAUUUCCAUAUAUUGAAUAGAGAUAAUAAUAUGUUGUAAAUUUUGUAUACUAUUUGAAUUUAAAUUAAAUAAUUAUUCAUUGAUUGUCUAUGAUAAAUAUAUAAAUUUAAUCAGUAAAAAAAAUAAUAACAAAAGUUUUAAAAUGCAAAGUGGAUAAUGGAUUCUAUUCAUUAUAUUUAAAAAUAUAAUUGGUUCAAAUAAUGAAUAAUUAAGGAUUGAUAUUUUCCUUCACCUUGAAUUUAAUGUUAAUAUUAAUUAAAAUAUAAAAAAUGAAUAUUAUUAGAAUCUAUAAUUUCUAAAUCAGCAAAAUGUAAAUUGAAUAAUUGUAAAUAUCUAAAUUUGCAUUAUAAAUAGAUUGCGACACUGAAGAUUAUUGAUCAGCUUGGGUCGGGUGAGCACUAGUUGAGUGAUGAGACAAUUGCCCAUUUAUGUAUGAUAAAAGGAGAUUGAGCUGCUAUCUUUUUUUUUUUUUUUUAAAUAGAGAUUAUUUUCAGCACAAUGAUUUGGGUGGUCUGGAAAUGAACCAUUGUCCUGGUCAAAUGAUGCAAUGAUUUUCUGUUUUUCUUCCUCCAAAAGCACGAUUCAUCUUCCAUUGUCCCAUAAUUGAUAGUGUACACUUAACCCUCCAUUAUUAUUACAAUCCCAUCACUUGGCUAGCAUCCUUCAAAACAACUCAUAUCACUUGUCUAAGUUUUCCAAAACUCACCAUCACUUUCUCUACUAGCUUGUUUGGAGUAAUUCAAAACAUGAACUGCUAGCUUCUUUGAUGCAAUUCAUCAUUUGACUGUGAAAAGAAAAAGCAAGGUUUGUGUAAAAAAACAUUAUAAACAUAUCACUAAAUUGAGUCCUUAAAACAGCCUUCACGUCUCUACCAUUGACAGUCAACAGGGGAAGAUAGAUGGAAAGUAUGUCCAUGUUGCUAGAAUCGAACACCAUUCCCGGUGGAAGAACCCCAAUAAUAAUUUCUACCGAUUAUGUAUUAACUUUUUAUUCCUUCUUCAAAGCUCAAGAACAAGCACCAUUAAUUAGCGUUUAUAAUUUUUUAUUGCUCGAAACUUUUCGAUCGUGUAAAAUAGAAGACUACUUCAGUAUAUUUGUAAAAUAAAUCCAUGUCCUUGCAAAAUUUGAAUUAUUUAUUAAGGAUAUGGAUUUGGUAUUUUAUUUAACAUAAGUUUACUUCAAUAUGGCACGACAUUGUUGUGCAAUUACGUUGUAAAUUCUAAAGCAUUUAACAUAGUUAACAAGUUGUGUAUUUGUUUUAUGUAUUAUCCAAAUCAUUGCUCAAGAAAUCGUAUUAUGACUUGAAAAUUUUAAAAAAUGAUAAUGAAAAAACUCGGUUCAACCGAUCUAAUACUAUUUUCCAGACCAAUACCACCUGCCAGUCCAAUUUUAACAUCAUUGAAUAAAACAGAGUUACAUGUUCUUCUUACUCUUCAUAAAGAUUUGGUCCAACUCAAAAGAUAAUGCGAAAAGAGGUAUCCUUCCAAAAUUAUAAAUCAGAAGUUAAAAAGUGAAGCAGCCUACAAGAUGAAGUAAACAGCUAACUGUUGCAAUCUGACAUGAUAAUUAGAAUAACCAGUCAAAGCCUAUAUUCAACAAAUUUUCCCUCUUUUUAAAAAAAAAAAAAAACAAUAAUUUAGUCUGUAGGUUCCGAAGAAUACCUAAUACAAUUCAAAACUUGUGGUUCUUGCAGCUAUGAUUAGUCUCAGCUCUGUUGACUCCAAGUAUGCCAAUGAUUGCGAAUAUGUUUCACUCAAAGUUAUAAGCAUUCCAUCAAAAGACCCAACAAGAAUGGUUGUAAGAGCCAGAAAACUAAUCCAUCAUCCUCUCGGUGGCAUUUGCUACCUUCUGCAUUAUCAUACACUCAGCUUGAUGGAUUGCUCGCUGUGAUCCUGUGAUUGUCACUUUCCUACAACGCAAGGUAGAAGAAGAUAGAAAAGGGUUUUAAAUCUUUAAUAAAAUAGCCAAUGAAACUUUGGCUUAAUGGCAGGGUUCAAUGCUUAAUUAGCUAGUAGAUUAACACAGGGUCUCUCUACCUAUCUGUUGUUCCAGACAUGAAGUCACCUCGAUCCGAUAUUUUUAUCCUGGCCCCACUUACCUGCAAUGAUAAAAGUGUGCUAAAAUUCAGUACAUGAGCAAAAUUAUUGAAUCAAAUGCUAUAGGUUUAUCAUUUAUAAACCUGACUAAUUUCCAUUAUAUUCCUUCCACCACGCCCAAGAACCAGCCCAAUAUGCUCAUCCGGAACACCAAUCGUGAUGGAGUUGCUACGAUCCUCCUGGAUACACAUAUGGCUUCAGUCAAGUAAGAUCUAUUUAACUACAACUUACACAUAUACCACCAGUCCUUCAAUUUAAAACAAGCAUGUCAUAUAUUGAUGCCAAACUAAAACAACAAAUUUGAUUAGCAGUAAACAAUGUAAAUAGCAUCAGUCAGAAGGCAGCACUGAUAAAGGAAACCAGAAAGAGAUGAACCUUGUGAUUUGGAAACUUCCCGCCAGUCCCAUUUGGUGCAUAGCUCAUCGAAUAGUAAGUCGCUGUGGCAAUAAUAGUGUUCAUAAAGCAGAGACAAUUAAUACAACUGUAGAAGUCUGUUUAGACUUGGCAGCCAAAUAAAAAGAGUACAGACCAGCAUAUGAAAAUGGAGCAUGCAUAGCUUGUGAGUAAUGAGGGUCUUCGCAAAGCUUGGAAAGAAUCAAAUCAAUUGCUUGCAUCUGCUCAUCUAGUGUGCCAGUAAGUGUUACUAGCCUAUCAUUCAAGCCAUAAAAAUUAUUAUCCAAUGGAGAUAUCUUAAUGCCAGCUUGGGAGUCCUCAAUCAAUGACCUGCAAUAAGGCAUAAAUAACAAUCAGGACUUGCCUUACUGUUUUAAGGCAGCCAAUACUUGGAUAAAGGGCCCAAAAUACUUGAAUAGUAACUUAUCACAAGCCACACAUGUAAAAUGAGACAGUUUUAAAGAAUCAUUUAGUAUAUAUAUUGUGUCUUCUUAUAAGGCAGGGAAGAUGUUAAGGAUAUGUUUGUUUUAAAUAACCAAUUAUAUAUUCUUGCUGAGCUCAAGCCACAAGUAGAGCUAUAAGUCUAUAACCCACUAAGGAAAGCAAUCAUAUAUUCUUCCUGAAUAAGCAUGUGUUCACAGUCAAAUUGUGCUACUCUAGAAAUGAACAGGCUAGUUAACACUAGUGUUUUCUUGCAUGGAAGUUAUUUUAAGAUGUUGUCAUCUCGGGGAAUAUGUCUUCAAUCAUUCAACACCAGUGCAGCAAAUAAAUUUUUAAGGGACAAUAACAAUUCUAUGUUGAUAUCCAAGCUUCUCUAAAGCCUAAGGUACUUCAAAGACAAGGAAGCCAAAUAUAGCAUUAUUCUCAAAACCCAUAUGCCCAAUCUUUAGAUGUUGUAAUUAAUUAUGAAACAAAAGGCGAUGACAAAAGAAGCUUCUCCAAACAAAUGACUGUCAAGUUUCUUUAUCUUUAUUUUUUUCCUGGGUAUGCCUUUGUCUUACUUGGGACUCUGAUCCAUGUCAAAUAGAUACAAGACUUCACCAUGAUUUAGGUUGAACCAUAGUCAGAUAGGUCUUUGACAAAUUAAACCUCUGGUAACUUCCAACAUUUUCACAAAUAUACCUGAACUAAUUCAUUUCUUAGUCAUGACCAUCUACUUAAUAGGUUAUUACUAGGCAAUUCAAGCAGACUCACUAUGAAUCCAUGAUGCAUCAAAGUUAUUACUAUGGUAAACUUUACUAAAUUUGUUCCUACUGCCAAAAAUUUAUCCUUCCAAAUGCCCAUCUCCCCAAGUUAGCUCUCAAACUUAUUGUACACAGCACUUUGCAAUGUAAGGUUCCUGGAUUAUCCCCCUGGUCAAAUAUAGGUUUUAUUGUACACAUUCUCACACAAGAAUCAUUUCCAAACUGAGUGGUUUUUUCACUACUCAUGCCUAUCUGACUAUACUUUAAAUCAAUGGUAGGUUAAAAAUUUUAUAUUCUCUGCAAAUGAACAGAAUAAUGGAAGAAUAAACAUGCAUCCUUUAUAAACAAGCCUAUUCAGUGUUCAGCAUACUUCAAUUUUGUAACAUUACUAAAAACAACAUUCAAAUUUUACACGUAAUUCUCAAAAUCAUAGCAACAAAAACAUUGUAGAAUUAUCAGAGCAAGCAAACUUCUUACUUUAUGGUAGCUCCUCCCUUUCCAAUUAUACUGCCACAAGAGCUAUUGGGAACAAUUAGCCUGACUUUUGUUCUUGGUCCAACAUCUUCAUUAUCUUCAACAUUAAGCUGACCAGGAAGAAACAAACAUAUGUUAUUAUCAGAAAGGGAACUUAUAGAGUCGAAAGUUAUCAUGAAAUCACCUCAUCGAAUAAUUUUCCAAGGAUAAGCUCCAUAGCUUUGAGUAUGUCAUCAAUCGCUCCAGAGACCAUAAUGAUCCUGUCUGAUGUUCCUGGGAAUGUUUCAUGGUUGCGUGACAACUGAAUUCGAGCUCCUGAUUUUGACUGAAAUUCAGUAAUUGUUGACCCACCCUUUCCAAUUACAGAACCAGCCGCAGCAUUGGAGACAAGAAACCUUAUAUACAUAGGCUUCUCCACAUUUCCUGACAGAAGAAUGGGCAAAAAGUUCAUCAGUUAGUUCAUGGAUCAUAACUGCAUUUGCAGUUAAUUGAGGAAUUUCAAGAGCAAACAAGAAAGUUUCAACAAUUUGAGCAAUCUCCUCCCUUUUAGCCUAAAAUAAAACCAACAAUGAGGAUAACAAAGAAUGUUACACAACAGCAACUAUGUAUUACUUCACACAAUAUGCAAUUGCUAAUAAAAAAAGAAGAAGAUAGCAGUAAAAGUAUCAAAUAAAUACAAUACAUAUACGGUAGCUUCGUAAGCACACCACCUUGCAUUUCUGAAAAUAGUUGACAGUAAUAUUGUCGAUCUCAUGCAUAUGAAAAAGUAGAAAAUCGGAUCUUAAGGAAAGGUAAUACCAGACAAACAUUUUUCAAUUUUCAUGCAAGCCUUAUCAACACUUAGAUACUGAUAUAAUCAACCAACAGCAAGCAGCUCAUUUCACUAGAACCCCUUCUCGUUAGCAUCAGUACCAGGGGUGAAGCCAAGAGUUUUAUGCUGGGGAUGCGGGAAUAAAAGAGGGUAAAAAUUUAUGAACUUUUAGGUAGGCAAAAUAGAGUUUUACCAUUUUUUGAGUAACAGAAAGCUGAACAACCUAGUUUGUUUGGACGAGCCAAGUGGGGUCAAAUUUGGCAUCAGUCCUAAUCACCACAACAACUCGGAUCCCUUACAUUACAUCACCUUAUGUUAAAAACCAUGGAAGAAAUAAUGACGCAGAUGCUAAUUGCAAAAGGACAAGAUGUAAAACUGGAGAAUGACUCGGCAAAAACCACAAGAAUAUAAAAGAUAAAACUUGAGCUAUGAACAGCAGGAUGUAUUAUUGAUGUUUCAAAAUUUUAUAUCUGAAUAAACUUGAUGUUGUUCAAAUAUAUGGAUACACAUUAAAGAACGGAAACAGAGCAUGCUCGUGUUAGACAGAAUAGGUGACACGUACACCUAUUCGGAACUCACCCGUAGUCUCUGUAAUACAACAUUCGAGCAUUAGCCAAAUACUCAGACCAUAUUCUUCUUUCUCUCACUCUCCAUUUACCAUUUCACGCCAACCAAACAUAAUGUUAGGGUUAGGGUUUAAAAUUGUAUAUUAAAAAAAUUAUAAAUAAACGAAAUAAAACUCGAAAUUCAAACAAUUCCAAUCUUUAUAUUAGAAGAAAAUAAUACUAAUAAUAACAGGAAACAAAAACUAAAAAAAAAAUAAAACUCCAUUACUCCGAAGCAGAUAUAAAUUAAAAAACAAAACUCAGAAAUGAAACGCUUCAACGAAGAAAAGGUAAGAUCCAAUCAGAAAUUACCAGAAGUCGGCGAUUUAGGCGGCGGAGGAGAUCUAUUUCUCGCCGCCUCCGGUGAUGACACGUAAGAUGAUUCCGUCGACUCCAUUUCUCCCUUCUACCCUCUUGUAAGCCAAAACCAAAAAAGAUAAAACGUAAACAAGUAGAUAAAAGAAUGCAGAGCUUAACCAAAUUAAUAAAAGAAAAUCACCUAAUUAUUAGAAUGUUAAAAAAAUAAUUAACAAGAGAGAGAGAGAGAGAGAGUGAUUAAUACUCUUUUUCUUUUUCAGUUCACAGCUAAUCAAUUUCUUCGAUCCGAGCAGAAAUUUACUGAUAUUUUCGUUAUCUAUUCAUCGCUCGCUGACUUUAGGCUCAUUCGAGUUUUUAUUAUUUAUUUUAAUUAAACCGUAAACCCCGCCUAAUUUGUCAAAUCUAAUCAUAUUUUUUUAGGGUAAACUACUAGAAUAGUCACCCAACUAUGUAAGUGGUUCUAUUUUAGUCACUCAACUUUAAAAUUUUUCGAUUAAUUAUUAAACUUAUCAAAAUCUGGUUUAGUCAUCCCCUCUAGUUGCUGUUAAAUGAUUAACAGAAGUCUAUUGUGGAUUUUAUUUAUUUAUUUUCAACACAUUUACUUACCCAAGUGCAGUGGCAGAGCCAAGGGAGCUGGCAGGGCCUUGAUUUCCCCUAAAAUGGAAAGGUUUUUAUUAGGUCUUUUAUAAUUUAUAAAAUUUUAAAUUAGUAAUGGUAAAAUUGCACUUUGACCAUCCUAAAAGUGAUAAAAUUUUAAUUUUAUCCUUUAAAAAUUAUAAAGAUAUAGACUAUUUAAAGCGUGAAAUUGCAUUUUUACUGUCGUAAAAAUAUACAAUUUAAUUCUGGCCUCCUAAAUUUUUUUUUUGGCUCCGUCACUGCCCACGUGGAAAUCCGGAAAUCAUCACCAUACCAUGGGAGGAGUACUUAGUAUGAUGAGACCUUGUGUAGACAACCUGAAGUUGAAGGAGUUCAAGGGUUUGAGAGAUGCAAAAAAUGUGGACAAUUUUUUAUGGGGGCAUGGAGUAGUAUUUUCAAGUUGUGGCUAUUGUUGACAAACCGACCAAGGUAAGUAUUGCCUCUAUGUACUUAACUGAGGUAGCUUUGUUAUGAUGGCGUUGUAAAUGUGACAACAUGAGGCGAUGAGUACUUGUUUCCAUCAACACAUGGGACGUGUUUCGAAGGGAGCUUAAGCAAUAGUUUUACCCUAAGUAUGUCAAUGAUAAGAUGCAGUCAAGGUUGCAUCGUCUUACUCAACACAAUGGGUGUACGAGUACAUGCCAGGGUUCUUAGAGAUUAUACUUCAAAUUGCCAAUCUUGAAGGCAAUGAAGCCUUCUUCUACUUCAUGGAUAGGCUCAAGCCAUAAGCAAGACUUGAGUUGCAGCGUUAAGGGGUCCAACACUUGACGCAAGCGAUGGCUAUGGUCAAGUCACUAGCGGAGCUCAAGAGUUAAGAAGGACCAAUUUGAGUACCAAAGCAUCGAGAUUUAGGAUUGAGUGUUAGAGUGUUGCUUUGUAAAGCUUUCUUGUACAUACUAUAUUGAGCAUUCUCCUACACUCUCCCUUGUUCAAGUUUGGCUCUUUAGAGUGCCUUUUAUCAUAGUUGGUUGUUGAUAAGGCUAAACUUAAGCAUAGUUGGCUUAAGUAUCAUGUUUAAGGUCGCAUGUUGAGUCGAGCUAAAGUUUUAGCCUGUGACAAAACUUUGUUAUUAGUCUUUGUAAUAUGCAAAGACUGCAAAUUUAAUCCAUGUACUUUAAUUAGCUCAUUUAUUUUUUGAAUUUUAAAAUUUUAGUUAUGACUCUAGCGAUAAUUAUUAAAUUUAUUAAGUUAAAUUUUGUUAUUUCUGAAAUCUUAUGUGAAAGACAUAUUAUCAUAUGUAAUAUCAUGUCAACUUAUUACUUUCACAUAAUACUCAUAGAAAAAUCACAUUAUUUUAAAUUAAUGGAUUUAACCGUCACUGUUUGAUUCCAAAUUAAAUUUCAACUUUUAAAAAAUAUAAGGAUUAAAAAUGAUCAAAUUAAAGAAUAAGUAUUAAACCACAAAUUACCAUUUAAGCCAAAACUAAAAUUUCAAAAUUCCAAUUAAAAUUGACCAAAUUAAACUAAAAAGACUAAGUUCACAACUUUAGUAUAUUACAUGAACUAAUAGCAAAAUUUGACCAAUAAAUAUUAUAUUUAUUUACACAUUGAAUUUUUUUUAUUGUAUUGUUAUUUUAUAUGACCCCACCCAUGUGAACUUCAAACUGUUGAAUUUUAUUUUAUAAUAAUUAAUUGAGAUUAAUUAUAUUUUUUUAUGUACAUUUAUAAAUGAUAAUUUGGAAUUUGUCAUUAUCAAUGCCCAACUUGUUUGGAAUAAUAAAUAUGAAAAGGGGGAAUUGGUAAGAGUGAGAACUAGUUUGUAAUUUAAUAUUUUUUUUUCUUCCUUUAUACAAAUGCCAUGUCUCACAUUUAAGUUAGUAGUAAUUAAUGAAUAUAUAGUACCUUAUAGAAAUAGAUCUAGUUAUAAUUAUAGAAUUAUAAAUUUUAUUAAUUGAAUUUAGGGAUAAAUUUUAAAAUUAUAUAUGAAUUAUGGUUUAAUGUGCAAUUGUAUGCAUAAAUUUUGAUUUUGUGCAAUUUUAUACAUGAAAUUUUGAUUUGAUCCAAUUCUUGUAAAUUAUUAGCACAAUUAUUGAUAUAACAUCAUUUUAUGUUUAUAUAUUGUAUACAUAAAUAAUUAUAUUUCUCCAAUAUAAAAAUAAAUUGAUGUAUUUAUCCAAUAUAAAAUUAAAUCUAUCUAUCUUCUCUAAUGGUGAAAAUAGAUAGGGAUUGAAGACAAAUGAAAAGAUGAUAGUUUUCUCAUCCCUUAAUUUACCAACAUUUUAACUAAAUUAUCAAAUUACUUAAUUAACCUUUUAAAAUCAUUAAAAUUUCAUUAAAACCAAUCCAUAAACAUCCACUAUCAACAUAUAAGGUAUAGUUACCAUUCAAGUUCAUUAACUUCCCUUUCCAAAGCCAUUUAGCCCUUUUAACUAUUAGAAAUCAACUUUAACACUUUUUAUGAUUUAGUCCUUUUCACUAAAUUAACUAUGUAAACUUCAAAAUUUCUUAACGAAAUUUUAAUACGACCUUCAUAUAAUCCCGUUGACACUAAAUAAAUAAUAAAACAAUAAUUUACUCGCCAAAAUUGCAGUCUCAAAACCACUAUUUUUGAUAUCACUAAAAACGGGCUGUUACACCUGUUUUGAUAUCAAAACCUAAAAAUAAAAUGUAACGUAUACUGAGUACAAAUAACAUUUGUUUAAUGGUAACGCUUUCCAAUUUCAAUAAAAAAUCCUACCUACCAAAUCAUAUAUGGUAAGUUUGCCAACAUAUAUAACAUUUAUGUAAUUCCUUAAAAAACAUUUGUAACGCCUUUCCAAUUUCAUUGAUUUUUUCUUAAAAGAAUUUACCUGCGCAAUUUUUUUAUAGUAAAUAUUGACAUAUAAUGAAAUAAGUGAUAAAUAAAAAUAUAUAACAUGCCUAUAUAUUAAGGACAUUUUCCAAGUAAAUCAUCAAAACAAAAGUAAUGAAGUUCUCUUUGCAUAAGAAUUUUUUUUUAUCUUAUUUGGUGACCUAAAUUGGAUAUUGUUCAAGGGUAAAAGUUUCAUUUUCCUCCUAUUUUCUCUCCUGGUUUCUAAGCUUUACUUUUUUCCUUGAAAAUCCUUACAUAUAUAAACUAAAAAAAAUAUUUUAUUAAAUGAGAUCAAUGAAGUGCCCUUUUCAAACUUAAGGAAGAAUUUUUUUUUGAGAAUCGAGUCUUUACUCGAUUUGUUUUAAUCUAAUUAUAAACUCAUUUCGUAUUUUUAUGUAAGUUGAAAUUAAACAAUAAUAUCAACAAAACAAAUAUGAAAACUUAUUAAAAGAUUCUUACAUAUAUAAAUUAAAAAAUAUAUUUUAUUACAAGUAAAAAAAAUGUUUUAUUAAAUGAGGUUAAUGAAGUGCAAUUUUUAAACUUAAGCAAGAAAUUUUUAGAUAAUCAAGCCUUAACUCGACCUGUUUUGAUUUAAUCAUAAAUUCAUUUUAUAUUUUUAUGUGAACUGAAAUCGUAUAAACAAACCUAAAAACUUAUUAAAACAAUAAUGAAUAUAUUAUUAAUGAUUGUUUUUUUUUUUUGGUUAUUUGUGUUUAUCAGGUGAAAUAUAAAAAAUAAUAAAAUUGGACCAGUGAUUUACCAGAAAUCAAAUAUGAAAGUUGGUGGUGGAGAUUUAGGGAAGCAACAUCAAAGGUGACGGCAUUUUGGGUGGGUGAUGGAGAUUUAGGUAACAACAUCAAAUCUUGCUUGGUAAUUUUAUUAUUGGGUUACUUAAUUAGUACAUUUAUAUGGAGAAAUGUUUUAAUUUCAUCAGAGUUCAAAAUUAGGGUAAAUUGCAUCAUAAGUCACUCAAUUAUGGACUUAUUUUUUUUGUCAUUUAACUAUGAAUCUUUUAAAUUAAUCACCCAAUUAAUUGAGGUGUUUUUUUGUCUAUUUUCGUUAAGUGUCCUUAAAUGUCUGAUGCGGGGGUGAUGUGACAAUUAAAAAAUUAAUAAAAUAAUAAAUUUAAUCUUCACCUUUUAUAUAUUAUAUUGAUUUAAUCAUAAUUUUUUUAAAAAAAUUAACGUAUGAUUUCAAUUUGAUUCUAAUUCUAAACAGUUCAAAAACAUAUACAUAAAAAUACAUAAAUACUUUCAAAAAAUAUAUAAUAAAUUAUUUAUUUAUAUAUAUCUACAAAAUCCAACCUCAUCUCAUUAUGACAAUCCUCAAUCUCUCACUGUUUUCAACAAAUUCUUAAUAGCAUUUUUUCAAAAAAAAUUUCUUUAUUUUCUUUUUCUUUUUGUAAUUUAUUAUUAUUGUUGUUGAGUGAUAGCUGAAAUGGCAGAUACCCACAUUGUAGAAGUCCAAGAGAUGAAGAGCAUCAACACAAGCUCUCAUGUGCUUUGACCACAAUCACUGUCAUCCAAAAGCAUCAACUGAUGGAGAUCUUUCAGAGUCCAGGUCAUCUUGACAAUUGUGAAGGAUCUUUUUGAUCCUAAAGACUUCACCAACAAUCAUCCCUACUACUAUUCGCUUUGCUCUCUUUGCUACCACCAGCUUCAAAGAACCCACAACCAUCGUCAUCAUCAUCAUCAUAUUUUCUUUUAAAAAAGAAAAAGAAAAGCCCAAAUUGAACAUAAAUUGCAAUCUGCCAUCCUCAAAACCUACCUUUUUAAAGUGCUAUUAAACCUCAAAUUGAACAUAAUCAUGUAUUAGCUUCACCAAAGAGCACACAAUUCAUUUGUUCACAAAGAACUCAAACAAAAGUUCAAAGACAUCUCAUGGAUGUUCUUGAUAAGUCAGGCAUUCGUCCAAGUAAGAUAGUUUUUAUUUGAACUCAUAAGUCUAGCGGGCUUGGUAAUUUUAAUAAGACUAAGCGUGAUGUUUAGUUACAUUUAAUUCUCUGAUUGUUGCAUCUGUCUUGACAGCUUGAUGUUUGAACUUGUUAUAUAAGAUGUUGAUUAUCAUUUUUUUGAGAAGUCAGGAAAAUUGUAUUAAUCUCAAUUAACAACUCGUACCAAUUAAUAGUACAAAACAAAGACCAAAAUAUAAGAUGUUGCACUUACCAUACAACAACACAAGAUCCUGCAAAGUAAACAAAAUAAAGCGCUUUGCUAAACUCAUCAUUAGCCCCUAACCCAAAUAAGAAGGGCACAUUUGUCCACCCCUAAUUUUAUUAAGCUACCUGUCCAACUGUUUGCAACUUUUAGCUCCCUAAAACCAUCAACAAAAAUAAGCUCAGAAAUGAUUUUUAUAAACUUCCUAGUAUUGAAUAUCGAUUCAAGCACAAGUUUAUGUGAACUAUCCAUUUGCUAGCAAUAAGGAUGAUUAUUGUUUGUGUUUGUAAUUCAUACAGAAACUUUAUCACUAAUUGAUAAAUUUGUUGUAAUUCAUACAGAAAUAGCGUGGCCUUAAGUAAUUCUUUUGCUUCAAAUAGGCAUAAGUCAGCCUGUGUCUCAGAAAGAUGAGAAUUCUCAAAGAAAUUCUCUAAGACACCGAAAUAAAUCAAAAACAAAAGCGAAGAAGCAACAAAAGAACAGAAAAGCCAAAAGAAAUCUAAGCAAACCAAGUAUUUGAGUAAAUGCUCCCCAAAUCCAACGGUAUAGUUUUAAUUACAUUAAUGGUUGAGAUAAAAGUCUAUCGACAAUAUGAGAGUCCUAAGAGAUUUAAAUAUUAUAAAAUCUUAUCCCUUAGAAUUACAAAAUAUUUAACAUACAACUCUAGUUUUACUGGAGUGUUUCACUAAGCUAUCAAGUUUUUAAGUAGAUGAAUUUCUUCAUAUGUUCCACGAAACGGGUCAAUUCAAGUGAGUCAAAUGAGUUUUAUUUAAUUAGUUGACCUCCAUGGGAUUUUUUUUGUACAUCCAUCACGAGUUUUGAUCUGUAACUGUAACACUAGCACUUCCAUAAAUAGUUUUGAGUUUCAAUAAACAACAAUUGUAGGUAGCAACACAUUAUCUAUAACAUCUAUUACAAUUUCCUCAAGUUAAAAAUAAUUGAAAGGGCUAAUAUCGUAUAUGACACCUUAUGUUUAUUAAAUCUAUCAAAGUAGAAUUUCUAAUUUAAAAAUGUUCCAUGUGAUAUAUAUAAUAUCAAACCGUCCUCCAUUGUGUGGUUGGUUGUGUGGCAGCCUGUGUGGGUCACACAGUCGUGUAGCAAAUCGUGUAGGCCACACAGCCUGACAAGUAGGUUACGUGGGCCACAUGGGCGUGUGGCCCUAUUUUAGGCGAAUUUUUGGGCCUAGUUUAGGCUGGAUAUGAGAUUUUGAAGUUGGAUUUGUAAUGACCCUGUAAGCAUGUAAGACCAUGAAAUCCAUAAAAUUUAUAUGUUUGUAUGUUAGUGGCAUUAAUUACUAAACUCUAUAUAAGCUAUGUGAUAUUUUCUGUAUUCGUAUCUGUAUGUGCUUUUUCUGAUGACAUGUAUGUGAUAAAUUUUACAUCUGAUCUGCAAUAUAAGAAAUUCUAUUAGCAUGUUAUGAUCUGUUAAAGCAUGAUUCGUCUAUGUGUGUCUAAGUAUUUAUUUUGUUAGCAUGUGCAAUAGGGUGGGAUAUGUUAUUAUGACAGAGGAAAUGAUGGCGGUUUAAUAAUAUGCUUUAUCGAGUGGUUUAACCACAUAUCUAUUUUAGUAGCUUGACUACGAUUAUGGUGGCUCAACCACCCAUAUCUGAUUCUGCCAGUUUAUCUGUAUAUUUGGUGGCUUGAUCAUACUUAUCUAAUUCUGGCGGAUUACUGCAUUGUUUCUAACAGCUUGAUUGCACUAUUUUGAAAGUGAAAUACGCUCACUAUUGCAGUGUGAAGGAUUGGAAGUAUAUUUAUUACCCUAUUUGGUGUGUAGGAAUGGAUAAAGAUGGUGUCUAGUGAAUGGAGGUAUGAUUUGUUUCUACAUUUGAAUCUGCAUCCAAAUCUGAAACUAUAUCUAAAUCUGUAUAUUAUUUAUUAUUUAGGCUAAGUUACACACUGAGCUUGUUAGCUCACCCUUUACUUUUAAUCUUCUCAGGUAAUAAGAAAACUUAGGACCAGACGGCAUGCGAGAGCUCGAAUUGAUUUUCUAGUUCAUAAUAAUAUACAAUGAUUAUGUUUAAUUCAUUUCUGGUCUUUUGGUUUGUAAAUUUGUUUUUGGACUUUGCUUUAAGGUUUCUGCUUAUUUUGUUGGAUUUUGAUAUUUUUAAUGAAAAACUACAAUAUCGUACGAUUUAUCAAAUUAGAAUUCGGUUUUCAAAUUUAAAACGUUGAAAAUUUUCGUUGCAAAACUAAAUAAGUGAUUAAGUGAUCUUACUGUAAAAUAAGUGCUUUCGAACAUAAGAUUUUUCUAAAAAUAUGUAAGAGUUUUGACAAAUUUUUUACUUUCGAAACAUACACUAAGUUAGACAAAAUAAAAGUUCAUUAACGAGUUAAUGUAAUUCCUCAAGAUCCGGUCAUAAAGUCUAGGCCAAGUUUGGGGUGUUACAUUAACUGUCAACACUUCCUACGUCACAUCAUUAUUCCAUGCGAAUGCACAUGCUAAAACAUAGUACAUAUUUAGAUACACAUGGAUGAGUCAUGCUUAAACAGAUUUCUCAGAUCACAGAUUAGAUGCAGAUAUCAUAUAAUAGACAUGCUACAGAUGUUAUACACAUACAAUAUCAAUAUCGCUAUUACAAAUUUCACAUUAUUGGCAUACUGGAAGUAAAUAAACAUACAUAUUCAUAUCUCAAAUAUCGCAUACAGAAGUCAACAAAUGACACAAUAGGCCCUACGAAGUAGCAACCUUGAAUCGUACAAUAACUACAACCCUAAUCAAAGUUUAUAGAAAAUGGGCCUACACGCCCCAACUGAGCUAACUUGUGUGGCUCACACGGUCUAGCACUCGGCUUGACACACAAUCUUGUAGCAUCGAAAGUGGGUUUUCUGGCAUAACGCCAUUCACUGUUUUUCGAGAUUUUUGUUACACACUUGAUCGAGUCUGAACCACGACGUUACGACACACUUCUAGAGCCUAAAACAACAUUCAAAAUCAAUUAAUUAAUGAGAAUUACUGAAUCACUAAUUCGGCCAGAAACAUCAACAAUCGACCUUAACACGAAAAAAAUCAGCCCCAAACAACGGCACAAAGUCACUUACCUUUGAAAGAGACAACAAUCCUACGAAUUCUUAGCUCAUUGGAGGGUUAAAUGUUACCAAAUAUUCACCUAAACAGAAUUUCACAUAGUUAAAACGCGAAUGCACAUGCUAAAACAUAGUGCAUACUUAGAUACACAUGGAUGAGUCAUGCUUAAACAAAUUUCUCAUAUCACAGAUUAGAUGUAGAUAUUAUAUUAUAGACAUACUAGAUGUUAUACACAUACAAUAUCAAUAUCACUAUUACAAGUUUCACAUUAUUGGCAUACUGGCAGUAAUUAAACAUACUUAUUCUUAUAUCAAAUAUCGCAUAUAGAAGUCAACAAACGACACAACAGGCCAUACGAAGUAGCUAACCUUGAAUUGUACAAUAACUACGACCCUAAUUAAAGUUUAUAGAAAAUGGGCCCACACGCCCGUGUGGCCCACACGACCCAACUGAGCGAACCUGUAUGGCUCACACGGUCUAGCACGCGGCUUGACACACGAUCGUGUAACAGUGAAAGUGGCUUUUCUGGUAUAACGCCAUUCACUGUUUUUCAAGAUUUUUGUUACACACUUGAUCGAUUCUGAACCACGACAUUACGACACAGUUCUAGAGCCUAAAACAACAUUCAAAAUCAAUUAAUUAAUGAGAAUUACUGAAUCACUAAUUCAGCCAGAAACAUUAACAAUCGACCUUAACACGGAAAAAAUUAGCCCCUAACAAAGGCACAAAGUCACUUACCUUUGAAAGAGACAACAGUCCUACGAAUUCUUAGUUCAUUGGAGGGUUAAACGUUACCAAAUAUUCACUUAAACAGAAUUUCACAUAGUUAAAACUAUAGUCGCACAAUGGAAAAUCAUAACUCAAAACGUGAUAAUCCCUAUAACCAUAUAUGAAACUUAAAUCGACAACCUUACCACACACGGCCUGCAACGAUAUAGAAGGAAACAUGAUACGGAAAAAACUCAAAAGCAAAGAAGAGGGGAAAAAAACAAAAGAAAAGGAAACGACAAGAGGAAAUCUUGUGACAAAAAUUGAAUUGAAAACAAAUAGGAAAAACAAAACAGAAACUUACAGGAAGAACAAAACAAACGUGAAAGUGGCGGGGGAGGAGAGAGAAAGAAUAACCGGUUGAGGGAAAAUUUUUUUGGGAAUAAUGAAAAAUAUAUAUUUAAAAAAAACUAAAAUAUUAUUUAUCCAAACCCUAUCAGAUUUUCAGAAUUUGAAUUUUACUUAAAUUCUGACCACAUAGACGAUACAAACAGAGAAUAGCAAAAAUAUCUUCGCUUUACACGCAUGGGAUUUAAACACGGGACCCCUGGGUAAGCUGAAUCCUUACUACUAAACUAAUAGGCUUAUUCUUAUCAACAAACUAAUAAGAAUAAAAUAUAACCUACUUGUAACUAGUCAAUAAUAGGAAUAAAAUUAAUAAAAACUCAAGGAAAGGGAUUUGAACACAAGGCCCCUCACACAAAAGCACAACACCUAACCGCUAAACCAAAUCAAUUUAAUUGAAAAAUUUCGCAAAGUUUAUCCCUAAAACAAAACAUGACCACUCUUGGCUCACCGACCCAAUUUCUCCUAACCUGGUUUUUGGGAUGUGACAUUUAGUCUCUAAACCAAAUGAACUUACAGGCUUACCAAGACGAAUGAAGAACAACCACAACAUUGAAGCCCAACGAUUAGAGCGAUCGAUUUGUUGAACAGAAUAGAGAGAAAACAAAAUAAAAAGUUACAGAGAAAAUAAGGGGAAAAAGUUAAAAAGACAGAAAGGAGGAUUUUUGGGAAAAAAUUAAAAUUAAAAAUUAAUUCAAACUAAAAUCUCAAUUCCCCACAACCCCACUAACUACUAAAUCCCACCAAAACUGACCACUAACCUCAUCCAACUACCACAGACUUUCACUCCCACUGAACUUCACUACACAACGAGCACACACUCAUAGAAGCAAAAAUAACAUCCUUUGCUCACAUGAGGGUUCAAACACAAGACCUUAGAGCAAGCUAACACCUUACCACUUGAACCAACAGGCUUAUUCUAGUAUGAGUUGAUAAAAAAUAUAACAUAACCCAACCACUAGGGAUAAGGUUAGGAACAAAAAUAGCAUAAUUUCCAAAAAAAGGGACUUGAACCCAAGACCUCAAACACACACCCAUAUCAUUUAACCACUACAGUAGAUACUCUUUUAUGACAAAAUUAGUAAAAGCAAAGUUAAAUAAAUCAGGGCGUUACAUAGAGAUAGGUAAUGGUAAGGAAAAUAUUUGUGUUUAGAUUUGUUUUUGUUAUGUUUUGAUGGUGAUGGAUAAACAGGGAUGUUGUGAGUUAUUAUGCUUGAUCAAAUGGUUGCGAAUAGGUUUUUGGUUAGGUAAUGAAUUUUGCAGUUCUAAGAAAAUGAAUAUGACAGGAAUAGAAAGUGACAUCGUGGUGUUGUUCUAACAUCGUAACAAAGAGAAGGCCACGUUGUGACGUCAAGGGUUAGUCGUCAAGACGAGAAAUGGCCUGUAGGGUCUCAAUGCUAUGAGGGUUUGUCAUCUUAGCAAGGCCAUCACAGUAGGUGAUGUUGCAACACCGGUUGGCCUAUCAUCGAGAGAUUACUAACUAUUUGUCGUCAUUUCAACAUGGGGAGAAAGACGUCAGAUGAUAAUUCCUUAUUUUGAAAUCUUUUCAGUUAGGUCCUAUCUCUUCCUCAGGUUAGCUUUAGAGCUUGCGUAAGCUUGUGCAAUGCUCGUAAAUGAUUCCAUCUCAUAUUAAAUACACGUUUUAGUUGAAUUUUAGUUAUUAAUUGCUAUGAAAUGCUCAUAUUUUUGAACAAUUUCUCUUUAGUCAUUUAUUGAUUUCAUUUAAGCUUCAGAGUUUCAAAAUCACAAAUGACACACAGUCGUGUCACCAGGCCGUGUGUCUCACACGGUCGUGUGACAGCCCGUGUCUUAGGCCAUGUGAACCUAAAAUUUUACCUCAAAUCAAGCCAUUUCCUAACUAAUUCAUACAUAAACAUUUAAUCCAUUUGUGCACACUUUCAAGGGAUUAAAGCAUCAUUCAAAUACAUAUAAUUAUGCCAAUUCAAACAAUCUAAUUCACCUAACCAAUAUGCCAUUCAAAGGCGCCUCAAUUGCAUCCAAACAACACUUAUCUAAACAUGUCAAUAUUACCACAUUUCAUGCAAAUAAACCUAAUUCAAAUAGGUACUAAAACAUGUCACAAUAGACCAUUUUCAAGAUAACAUCAACAUACCAUAAAGUGCCUUAUUUACAAGCAUUAGUAAGUGACCAAAAUGACAAAGUUUGGUAAGCAUUAAAGUGCACCAACCAAAUGUAUUCUUUAAGACAUAAACAUAUCAAAUCACCAUUACAAAACAUCCUAUACAUGCCAUUAUUAACCUUGGCCAAAAUAUACGAAAACUAUCGAAAAGACUUCUGGAUACUGUGAUAGAUCUCCGACGAGGUUCUAAAUCGAUCGAGCUUCGGAUAAUUGAUAAAACAAAGGAAAGAAACUAUGUAAGUAACAAGUGCUUAGUAAGCUCGUAUAAACCUUAAACAUAACUUACGAUUUCUAUAAUACGAUUCAUAGGAUAAGUAUAAACCAAAACUAAUGCCAUAAGCUUAGUAUGGGCCUAUAUAACAUCAUCAAACUCACAAGUUAGUAUACUUAUUCAUGAUAUAUAUGAAUUCAACUAUAAAAUAUGUGGUUUACCAUGUAUAUACAUAACAUUUUACAUCAUCAAUGUUACCAUAAUGUUAUGAUUCAUUGCAUUUACAUACUUACCGUUUCUUACCAGUUGAACCAUCUAAAAUUACAUUGGAUACUCGGGAAAGCUCAUACGAAGUGUGCCUUUACAUAUAAUCGUAACAUUUCUUUUAUAUCAAUACUCACACGAGCUGUGAAAUGGGCCUGCUCACACGAUGUUGCUCACGCAAGCUAUGGAGAAUCCGUAACAAAUACAAGACCUCAGCCAUCGAUAGGACAUUCAAGACCAACACUCAAAACAUGAAAUCCCUAAUGACAUGUAAUUUGUAUCAUAAGAAUUCCUAAGGUUCAACUGGGACUCGAUAUCCAUCAAUUUAUCAUAGAAUUGAUGCAUUGGUAUAUUGAUUCAUUAGACCAAAACAACAUAAUAAACAUUCAAUUUAAAUAACAUUUAAGCGAUUACAGUUCAUACGAACUAACCUCAAUAAUUAAGGCGUAGUAGUUUAAUCAUAUUAGUUCGAAGCUUUAGCUUUUAUUCGAUCUAAGUCUAAAUGUGGUUUAUCUUGAUCUAAAUAGAUAAUUUCAAUCAAUCAAGUAAUUCUAGAGUUCAAUUUAAUCCAUAGUUCAUAUUUAUACAAAAUUAUCAAUUUACUCCUAACAUUUUAAUUUUUCACAAUUUAGUCUUUAAGCUCAUAGUUUAAAAUCUAACUAUUUUAACCUAAACCCAUGUUAACCAUAGAUGAAAGGGUAUCUACCAUCAUUUCACAAUAAAACCCUAGAAUUUAUACCUUGAACAAAUUAAUCCCUAUUUCCAAAAUUCAUCAAAAUCACUUAGCAAAACUUGUUUAUUUUUCAACAAGGAUUCAUAAUCUAUCAAUUAAAACCAAAACUCAUUCAAAAAAAUUCAUGGUAAGUCCCUCAUCCUUUAACAGUUUUACAAAUUAACCCUCGGAUUCACUAGAUUAAGCUAAAAUAGACUCAAAAACAUAAAAAUCAUUAAAAAUGGGGCUUGGCCGAACUAUUUAUCUUCUCUAAUGGUGAAAAUAGAUAGGGCUUGAAGACAAAUGAAAAAAUGAUAGUUUUCUUAUCCUUUAAUUUACCAACAUUUUAACUAAAUUAUCAAAUUACUUAAUUAACCUUUUAAAAUCAUUAAAAUUUCAUUAAAACCUAUCCAUAAACAUCCACUAAUAACAUAUAUGGUAUAUUUAUCAUUCAAGUCCAUUAACUUCCCUUUCUAAAUCCAUUUAGUCCAUUUAACUAUUAGAAAUCAACUUUUAUACUUUUUAUGAUUUAGUCCUUUUCAGUAAAUUAACUAUGUAAACUUCAAAAUUUCUGAACAAAAUUUUAAUACGAACUUGAUAUAAUCUCAUUGACACUAAAUAAAUAAUAAAAUAAUAAUUUACUCGUCAGAAUUGUGGUCUCAAAAUCACUAUUUUCGAUACACUAAAAACGGGCUAUUACACCUGUUUUGAUAUCAAAACCUAAAAAUAAAAUGUAACGUAUAUUGAGUACAAAUAACAUUUGUUUAAUUGUAACGCUUUCCAAUUUCAAUAAAAAAUCCUACCUACCAAAUCAUAUAUGGUAAAUAAAAUGUAAUGCAUUGCCAGCAUAUAUAACAUUUAUGUAAUUCCUUAAAAAACAUUUGUAACGCCUUUCAAAUUUCAUUGAUUUUUUCUUAAAAAAAAUCUACCUAUGCAAUUUUUAUAUAGUAAAUAUUGACAUAUAAGGAAAUAAGUGAUAAAUAAAAAUAUAUAACAUGCCUAUAUAUUAAGGAUAUUUUCCAAGUAAAUCAUCAAAACAAAAGUAAUGGAGUUCUCUUUGCAUAAUUUUUUUUUAUCUUAUUUGGUGACUUAAAUUGAAUAUUGUUCAAAGGUAAAAGUUUCACUUUCCUCUUAUUUUUUUCCCUAAUUUCUAAGCUUUAUUUUUUUCCUUGAAAAUCCUUCCAUAUAUAAACUAAAAAAUAUAUUUUAUUAAAUGAGAUCAAUGAAGUGCCCUUUUCAAACUUAAGGAAGAAUUUUUUUUGAGAAUCGAGUCUUGACUCGAUUUGUUUUGAUCUAAUUAUAAACUCAUUUCAUAUUUUUAUGUAAGUUGAAAUCAAACAAUAAUAUCAACAAAACAAAUAUGAAAGCUUAUUAAAAGAUUCUUACAUAUAUAAAUUAAAAAACAUAUUUUAUUACAAGUAAAAAAAAUGUUUUAUUAAAUGAGGUUAAUGAAGUGCAAUUUUUAAACUUAAGCAAGAAAUUUUUAGAGAAUUAAGUCUUAGCUCGACCUGUUUUGAUCUAAUUAUAAAUUCAUUUUAUGUUUUUAUGUGAGCUAAAAUCGUAUAAACAAGCAUUAAAAACUUAUUAAAACAAUAAUGAAUAUAUUACUAAUGAUUUUUUUUUUGUGUUUAUCAGGUGAAAUGUAAAAAAUAAUAAAAUUGGAUCAGUGAUUUACCAGAAAUCAAAUAUGAAAGUUGGUGGUGGAGAUUUAGGGAAGCAACAUCAAAGGUAAAGGCAUUUUGGGUGGAUGGUGGAGAUUUAGGUAACAACAUCAAAUCAUGCUUGGUAAUUUUAUUAUUGGGUUACUUAAUUAGUAAAUUUAUAUGGAGAAAUAUUUUAAUUUCAUCAGUGUUCAAAAUUAGGGUAAAUUGUAUCAUAGGUCACUUAAUUAUGGACUUAUUUUUUUGUCAUUUAACUAUAAUUUUUUUUAAAUAAUCACCCAAUUAAUUGAAGUUUUUUUUUCUAUUUUCAUUAAUUGUCCUUAAAUGUCUGACGGGAAAGUGACGUGAUAAUUAAAAAUUAAUAAAAUAAUAAAUUUAAUCCUCACCUUUUACAUAUUAUAUUGAUUUAAUCAUAAUUUUUUAAAAAAUUUAAGACAUAAUCUCAAUUUAUUCUAAUUCUAAACCAUUCAAAAACAUAUACAUAAAAAUACAUAAAUAUUUUUUAAAAAAUAUAAUAAAUUAUUUAUUUUUAUAUAUCUACAAAACCCAAUCUCAUCUCAUUAUGACAAUCCUCAAUCUCUCCCUGUUUUCAACAAAUUCUUAAUAGCAUUUUAAUUUUUUUUUUGUUUAUUUUCUUUUUCUUUUUGUAAUUUAUUAUUAUUGUUGUUGAGUGAUAGCUGAAAUGACAGAUACCCACAUUGAAGAAGUCCAGGAGAUGAUGAGCAUCAACACAAGCUCUCAUGUGCUUUGACCACAAUCACUGUCAUCCAAAAGCAUCAACUGAUGGAGAUCUCUCAGAGUCUAGGCCAUCUUGACAAUUGUGAAGGGUCUCUUUGAUCCUGAAGACUUCACCAACAAUCAUCCUUGCUACUAUUCACUUUACUCUCUUUGCUAACACCAGCUUCAAAGAACCCACAACCAUCUUCUUCAUCAUAUUUUCUUUUAAAAAAGAAAAAGAAAAGCCUAAAUUGAACAUAAAUUGCAAUCUGCCAUCCUCAAAAUCUACCUCUUUAAAGUGCUAUUAAACCUCAAAUUGAACAUGAUCACAUAUUAGCUUCACCAAAGAGCACACAAUUCAUUUGUUCACAAAGAACUUAAACAAAAGUUCAAAGACAUCUCAUGGAUGUUCUUGAUAAGUCAGGUAUUCGUCCCAGUAAGAUAGUUUUUGUUUGAACUCAUAAAUCUAGCGAGCUUGGUAAUUUUAAUAAGACUAAGCGUGAUGUUUAGUUACAUUUAAUUCUCUAAUUGUUGCAUCUGUCUUGACAGCUUGAUGUUUGAACUUGUUAUAUAGGAUGUUGAUUAUCAUUUUUUUGAGAAGCUAGGAAAAUUGUAUUAAUCUCAAUUAACAAUUCAGGUACCAAUUAAUAGUACAAAACAAAGACCAAAACACAAGAUGUUGCACCUACCAUACAACAACACAAGACCCUGCAAAGUAAACAAAAUAAAGCGCUUUGCUAAUUAACACAUCAAUAGCCCCUAACCCAAAUAAGAAGGGCACAUUUGUCCACCCUUAAUUGCUUUAAGCUACCUGUCCAACUGUUUGCAACUCUUAGCUCUCUAAAACCAUCAACAAAAAUAAGCUCAGAAAUGAUUUUUACAAACUUCCUAGUAUUGAAUAUCGAUUCAAUCACAAGUUUAUGUGAACUAUCCAUUUGCUAACAAUAAAUAUGAUUAUUGUUUGUGUUUGUAAUUCAUACAGAAACUUCAUCACUAAUUGAUAAAUUUUUUGUAAUAUAGAAAUCGCGUGGCCUAAGUAAUUCUUUUGCUCCAAAUAGACAUAAGUUAGCCUAUGUCUCAUAAAAAUGAGAAUUCUCAAAGAAAUCCUCUAAGACACUGAAAUAAAUCAAAAGCAAAAGGGAAGAAGCAACAAAAGAACUGAAAAGCCAAAAUAAAUCUAAGCAAACCAAGUAUUUAAGUAAAUGCUUCCCAAAUCUAACUGUACAGUUUAAAUUAUAUUAAUGGAUUAGAUACAAGUCUAUCGACAAUAUGAGAGUCCUAAGAGAUUUAAAUAUUAUAAAAUCUUAUCCCUUAGAAUUACAAAAUAUUUAACAUACAACCCUAGUUUUACUGGAGUGUUUCAUUGAGCCAUCAAGUUUUUAAGUAGAUGAAUUUCUUUAUAUGUUCCACGAAUCGGGUCAAUUCAAGUGAGUCAAAUGAGUUUUAUUUAAUUAGUUGACCUCCAUGGGAUGUUUUUUGCACAUCCAUCACGAGUUUUUAUUUGUAACUGUAACAUUAGCACUUCCAUAAAUAGUUUGAGUUUCAAUAAACAACAACUGUAGGUCGCAACACAUUAUCUGUAACAUCUAUUACAAUUUCCUCAAGUUAAAAAUAAUUGAAAGGGCUAAUAUAAUAUAUGACACCUUAUGUUUAUUAAAUCUAUCAAUGUAGAAUUUCUAAUUUAAAAAUGUUCCAUGUGAUAUAUAUAUAUAUAUAAUAUCAAACUGUCCUUCAUUGUGUGGUUGGCCAUGUGGCAGCCCAUAUGGGUCACACAGCCAUAUAGCAAAUCGUGUAGGCCACACGGCCUGACAAGUAAGGUGUGUGGGCCACAUAGGCGUGUGGCCUUAUUUUGGGCGAAUUGUUGGGCCUUGUUUGGGUCGGAUAUGAGAUUUUGAAGUUGGAUUUGUAAUGGCUCUGUAAGCAUGUAAGACCAUGAAAUUCAUAAAAUUUAUGUAUUUGUAUGUUAGUGGCACUAAUUACUAAACUUUGUAUAAGCUAUGUGAUAUUAUCUGCAUUUGUAUCUGUAUGUGCUUUUUCUGACAACAUGUCUGUGAUAAAUUUUACAUCUGAUUUGCAAUCUGAGAAAUUCUGUUAGCAUGUUAUGAUCUGUUAAAGCAUGAUUCGCCUAUGUGCAUCUAAGUAUUUAUUUUGUUAGCAUGUGCAAUGGGGUGGGAUAUGUUAUUGUGACAGAGGAAGUGAUUGCGGUUUAAUAAUCUGCUUUAUCUAGUAGUUUAACCAGAUAUCUGCUUUAGUAGCUUGACUGCGAUUAUGAUGGCUUGACCACCCAUAUCUGAUUCUGGCAGUUUAUCUGCAUAUUUGGUGGCUUGAUCACACUUAUCUAAUUCUAGCGGAUUACUGCACUAUUUCUGACAGCUUGAUUGCACUAUUUUGAAAGUGACAUAUGCUCACUAUUACAGUGAGAAGGGUUGGAUGGGUAUUUAUUACCCUAUUUGGUGUGUAGAGAUGGAUAGAGAUGGUGUGUAGCGAAUGGGGGUAGAAUUUGUUUCUGCAUCUAAAUCUGCAUCCGAAUCUAAAAUUGUAUUUGAAUAUGUAUAUUAUUUGUUAUUUAGGCUAAGUUACACACUGAGCUUGUUAGCUCACCCUUUACUUUUAAUCUUUUUAGGUAAUAAGAAAACUUAGGACCAGACGGCGUGUGGGAGCUCGGAUUGAUUUUCUAGUCCAUAAUAUUAUACAAUGAUUUAUGUUUAAUUCAUUUAUGGUCUUUUGGUUUGUAAAUUUGUUUUUGGACUUUGCUUUAAGGUUUCUGUUUAUUUUGUUGGAUUUUUGGUAUUUUUAACGUAAAACUACGAUAUCGUACGAUUUAUCAAAUUAGAAUUGGUUUUCAAAUUUAAAACUCUGAAAAUUUUCACUACAAAACUAAAUAAGUGAUUAAGUGAUCUUACUGUAAAAUAAGUGUUUUCGGACAGAAGAUUUUUCUAAAAAUAUGUAAGAGUUUUGAAAAAUUUAUACUUUCAAAACACACACUGAGUUAGACAAAAUAAAAGUUCAUUAAUGAGUUAAUGUAAUUCCUUAAGAUCCAGUCAUAAUGUCUAGGCCAGGUUUGGGGUGUUACAUUAACUAUCGACACUUCCUCCAUCACAUCAUUAUCUUACGCAAAUGCCAAUGCUAAAACAUAGUGCAUACUCAGAUCACAGAUUAGAUGUAGAUAUUAUAUUAUAGACAUACUACAGAUGUUAUACACAUACAAUAUCAAUAUCACUAUUACAAGUUUCACAUUAUUGGCAUACUGACAGUAAUUAAACAUACUUAUUCAUAUCUCAAAUAUCGCAUAUAGAAGUCAACAAACGACACAACAGGCCCUACGAAGUAGCUAACCUUAAAUUGUGCAAUAACUACGGCCCUAAUCAAAGUUUAUAAAAAAAUGGACCCACACACCCGUGUGCCCACACAACCCAACUGGGCCAACCUGUGUGGCUCACACAGUUUGGCACAUGGCUUUACACACGAUCAUGUGGCAUUGAAAAUGGGUUUUCAGGAAAAAUGCCAUUCGCUAUUUUUCAAGAUUUUUGUUACACACUUGAUCGGUUCUAAACCACGACGUUACGACACACUCCUAGAUCCUAAAACAACAUUCAAAAUCAAUUAAUUAAUGAGAAUUACUGGAUCACUAAUUCGGCCAGAAACAUCAAUAAUCGACCUUAACACAGAAAAAUCAGCCCCUAACAACAGUACAAAGUCACUUACCCUUGAAAGAAACAAUAGUCCCACGAAUUCUUAAUUCAUUGAAGGGUUAAACAUUACCAAAUAUUCACCUAAACAGAAUUUCACAUAAUUAAAACUAUAGUCACACAGUGGAAAAUCAUAACCCAAAACGUGAUAAUCCCUAUAACCAGAUACGAAAAUUAAAUCGACAACCUUACCACACACGACCCUCAAUGAUAUAGAAGGAAACAUUGAUACGGAAAAACUCAAAAGCAAAGAAGAGGGGAAUAAAACAAAAGAAAAGGAAACAAUAAGAGGAAACCUUGUGGCAAAAAUUGAAUUGAAAGCAAAUAGGAAAAAGAAAACAAAAACUUACAGGAAGAACAAAACAAACGUGAAAGUGGAGGGGGAAGAGAGAGAAAGAAUGGACGGUUGAAGGAGAAAAUUUUUGGGAAUAAUGGAAAAUAUAUAUUUAAAAAAACUAAAAUCUUAUUUAUCCAAACCCUAUCAGAUUUUUAGAAUUUGCAGAUUCUGACCACAUGGACGACACAAAUAGAGAAUAACAAAAAUAUCUUUGCUUUACACGCAUGGGAUUCAAAAACAGGACCCCUGGGUAAGCUGAAUCCUUACUACUAAACUAAUAGGCCUAAUCUUAUCAACGAACUAAUAAGAACAAAAUAUAACCUACUUGUGACCAGUCAAGAAUAGGAAUAAAAUCAAUAAAAACUCAAGGAAAAGGGUUUGAACACAAGACCUCUCACACAAAAACACAACACAUAACUGCUAAACCAGAUCAAUUUAAUUGACAAAUUUCACAACGUUUAUCCCCAAAACAAAACGUGACCACUCUUGGCUCACCGACCCAAUUUCUACUAACCUGGUUUUUGGGAUGUGACAUUUAGUCUCGUAAAUUGCACAGUUUUAAGUGAUUCAUUUGCUUCAGAUCUACCUAAGCCAAUCUAUCUCUAAAAAAAAAAAAGAGAAUUCUCUAAGAAAUUCUCUAAGACGUCGAAAUAAAGUGGAAGCAAACUCUUAAAAAUGAAGAAGUAAUGAACAAACAGAAAAGCCACAAGAAAGUUAAGCUCUUAAAGUGUUUCUAUUACUUUAAAGAGUUACAACUGAAUGAUUAAAAAUGAGAGAGAAGACAUCUAUUUGUAGUUUAGUUUCCCCAAAUCUAAUAGUACAAUUUAAAUUACGCCAACAGUUGAGAUCAAAAUCUAUCUACAAAAUGAGAGCCUUAAGGGAUUUAACCACUAUACAAUCUGAUCCCUUAUAUUUACCAUGAUAACUCUAGUUUUAUUAGAGUAUUUCAUUGGACCAUCAAAUCUUCAAGUAGAUGGACUUCUCCAUAUGUUCUACAAAUUGGGUCAAUUCAAGUGGGCCAAAUGAACUACAUUUAAUUAGUUGGUCUCCGUGAGACGUUCUGUGUACAUUCAUAAUAGGUUUCGAUCCCCAACUCGUGACACACUUCCAUAAACAAUUUUGAGUUUCAGUAAGCAACAAUUUUAGGUAGAAAUAUAUUAUCUUUAACAUCUAUUACAGUUUUCUCAAGCUAAAAAAAAUUGAAUGGCUUAAUAUCAUAUAUGACACCUUAAGUUUAUUAAAUUUAUCAAUGUCGAAUUUUUAAUUUAAAAACGUUCAAUGAGCUACAUAUAAUAUCAAACCAUCCUUUAUUGUAGCAUUUGAUAAACACCUAUCUCUCCAUGUAAAAUUUGUUUGUAUGCUUAUUUUGAUAUUAAAACAUAAAAAUAAAAUGUAAAACAUCUCCAACACAAAUAACAUUUGUUUAAUUGUAACGCUUUCCAAUUUCAAUAAAAAAUCCUACCUACCAAAUUAUAUAUGGUAAAUAAAAUGUAAUGCAUUGUCAACAUAUAUAACGUUUAUGUAAUUCCUAAAAAAAACUUGUAACGCGUUUCCAAUUUCAUUAAAUUCUUUUAAAAAAGAAAAUCUACCAACCCUUUUUUAUAUAGUAAAUAUUGAUAUAUAUGGAAAUAAGUGAUAAAUAAAAAUAUAUAGCAUGCCUAUAAAUUAAGGACAUUUUCCAAGUAAAUCAUCAAAACAAAAGUAAUGAGAUUCUCUUUGCAUAAGAAAUUUCUUUUCAUCUUAUUUGAUGAUGUAAGGUAAAAGUUUCGCUUUCCUCCUAUUUUUUUCUUGAGGUUUUUAGGCUUUAUUAUUUUUUCCUUGAAAAUUUUUACAUAUAUAAACUAAAAGACAUAUUUUAUUAAAUGAGUUCAACGAAGUACACUUUUUAAACUCAAGUAAGAAAAUUUUUUAAGAAUUAAGUCUGGACUUGAUUUAUUUUGAUUUAAUCAUGGACUCAUUUCAUAUUUUUUUUUGAAAUUAGACAAUAACAUCAUAAAAACUUAUUAAAACAUUAAUCAAUAUAUUACUAAUGAUUUUGUUUUUUUGUUAUUUGUGCUUCGCAGAUGCAAAUGUAAAAAAGAAAAGAAAAACUAUUGAAAAAUCGAGUCAGUAAUUUACCAGAUAUCAAAUAUGGAAGUCGGUGGAGGCAUUUUAGUAGAUUGUGGAGUUUUUGGGAUGUGUCUUCGAAGGUCAAGGCAUUUUGGGUAGAAGCUGGAGAUGCAGGCAACCACAACAAAUCAUGCUUGGUAAUUCCAUCAUUAGGGUAAAUUGCAUCAUAGGUCACUCAAUUAAGGACUUAAUUUUUUAUUAUUUAACUAUGAUUUUUUUUAAAAUUAAUCACCUAACUAAUCGAGGUCUUUUGUCCAGGUUUGUUAAGUUUCGUUAAAUGUCUUAUGGAAGGAUGACGUGGUAAUUAAAAAUUUAAUAAAAUAAUAAAUUUAAGCUUCAACUUUUAUAUAUUAUAUUGAUUUAAUCAUAAUUUUUUUAAAAAAAUUAAUACCUAAUCUCAAUUUAAUUCUAAUUUUAAAGAAUUCAAAGACAUAUACAUAAAAUAUAUAAAUAUUUUCAAAAAAAAUGUAUAAUAAUUUUUUUUAUUUAUAAAUAUAGUGAGACAAAACCCAAUCUCACAAUCCUCAAUCUCUCUCUAUUUUCAACAAAUUCUUAAUAGCAUUUUAAAUUAUUAUUUUUUUGUUUAUUUUCUUUUUCAUUUUGUAAUUUAUUAUUAUUGUUGUUGAGUGAUAGCUGAAAUGGCAGAUACCCACAUUGUAGAAGUCCCAGGAGAUGAAGUGCAUCAACACAAGCUCUCAUGUGCUUUGACCACAAUCACUGCAAUCCAAAACCAUCCGCUGAUGGAUCUCAUGUGCUACUAAUCGCUUUGCUCUCUUUGCUACCACCGGCUUCAAAUAUCCCACAACCAUCUUCUUCAUCAUCAUCUUUUCUUUUAAAAAAGAGAAAGAAAAGCCUAAAUUGAACAUAAAUUCCAUUUAUGCCAUUCUCAAAAUCUACCUCUUUAAAGUGCUAUUAAACCUCAAAUUGGAUCCUAGAGUAGAAACCCACCUUGCCACUCGGCAUCAUAGGCAAUUUACUCUUUCAUUUAUUUAAUGUGUUCUUAUUUUUCACGUAUAUUUGAUUUCUUGUUGAAUGCUCAACUCUCGUACAAAAUUUCCAUUCUGUUUGAUCCUAUAAUGGAUUUAAUAUAUAUUUAUGCAUUUUUCAACAGAAUUGCUUUACUCCUUUUGAUUGGUGCUCUCUAAUUUAUUGGAUUCCUGGAUUGACAAGCUUUUCAACAGCAUUUUUGAUGUUACGAUUGUGAACAUGGUUGCUAUUUUUCCUACUUAUGUUUAAUCACUUUCAAUUUAAAAUAAUUAUUUUAUACUUUUCCAAGGAUUAAAAUGGAGAACUCAACUGUACAAGAUCAUGUGAUGAAGAUACAAGAAGUUGAAGAUCAAGUCUUUGGAGUUGAUACAAUAUAACAGACUAUCAAACAAUCAACUAUUAAAGCUAACCAGAACCAUAUAUUGGUAUGGAAUUUGAGCCACCAAAUGAUGCACAAAAAUAUUAUUAUAUUAUGCGAGAGUCAAAGGUUUUGACACACGUAAGGAUCCCCCUAAUCAAAUGAUUGCUAGAGAAUUUAUUUGUUCGAAAGAAAGUGUGAAGGCAAAAAAACCCUUCAAAAGAGAAGAGAGAGUCCAUGCAACUUCGAAUGAAACAAUAGAAUAUUAGAAAGCAAUGAUUUUAAUAUCCAAGAAAGGAGGGAAAUAGAUUAUUUCUCGAUUUCGUGGAGAACAUAAUCCAUUUGUUCACAUAGAAUUCAAACAAAAGUUCAAAGAGAUCUCAUGGAUGUUCUUGAUGAGUUUGAUAUUCGUCCUAGUAAGGUAGUUUUGUUCUAGCUUAUAAAUCUAGUGGGCCUGGUAAUUUUAAUAAGACUAGGCAUGAUGCUUAGCUACAUUUAGUUCUCUUAUUGUUGUAUCUGUCUUUAUAGCUUGAUGUUUGAACUUGUCACUUAUUAAACUUGAUGUAUUAAAUAUAUAAUAUCUUAAUUAUUUAGUUACAUAAAUUUAUGAUAUUUUUUGAACUUGUUAUAUAAGAUGUUGAUUAUCAUUUUUUGAAAAGUCUGGAAACUUGUAUUAAUCUCAAUUAACAUCUCAAGUACCAAUUAAUAGUACAAAACGAAGGCCAAAACACAAGAUGUUGCACCUACCAUACAACAACACAAGACCCUGCAAAGUAAACAAAACAAAGCACUUUGCUAAACAGAGCAUUUGCCCCUAGCCCAAAUUAGAAGGGAACAUUUACCCACCCCUAAUUUCAUUAAGCUAUCUGCGUCAAUGUUUGCAACUCUUAGCUCCCUAAAACCAUCAACAAGAAUAAGCUCAGAAAUGAUUUUUUGCAAACUUCCUAAUAUUGAAUUCCAAUUCAAUCACAAGUUUAUGUGAACUUUCCCAUUUGCUAGUAAUAAGGAUGAUUAUUGUUUGUGUUUGUAAUCCAUAUAGCUUCGUCACUAAUUAAUAAAUUUAUUGUAAUUCAUACAAAAACUGUGUGAUAGGCAAUUCUUUUGCUUCAAAUUGUCAAAGAAAUUCUCUAAGGCAUCGAAAUAAAGUAGAAGCAAACUUUCAAAACCGAAGAAGCAACGAACGAACGAACGAACGAACGAACAAAAAAGCUAAAAGAAAUCUAAGCACACCAAAUGUUUGAGUAAAUACUCUCAAAGUGUUUCUAUUACUAUGAAAAAUUACAAGUGAUAGGCCUCUAUUUGUAGUUGAGUGUCACACCCCGGUUUGGCGAACUGGAUUCGUUCGAGAGACUACGAUGGGGAAAACCACCUAAGUUGUGAGACUUAGACUGUAUAAUGUUAGUAACUUCAUGGAGGAGUACCACGAAGAACUUCGUCAAUAGGAAACAGUACCACCUUGAGUGGUAGCGAGAUUAUAGUUAGGGUGAGAAACCAAGAGAGUUCUUCCUUGCUAACAAGGGUGUUAGUUGUAAAGGUUUAAGAGAACUUCUGCGCUAGUUGUCUGCAGGUAAAUUUUCGAACCUUCUUUUUAGCUUUACCAGAUAAAUAGACCACUAUACCGACUCUUUUGGUUUGUUGUUUGCUUCAACCUCUCAUUAUGUGGUUUCCCAUUACCAUCAUUUCUACUAGUUUUGUUUUUACCUUAUCCUUCUUUAUCUCUCACACCAUUAUACCUUUUUCUUGGGCUUGGAAGACUUGAACUUGUCUUUCCUCGAAGGAAGCUCAAUUAAUGACUCCUCUAUGGUCAUGAUUUUAGUAAGUUCUUUAACCCCUCAGCAUUACAACUUUUUCUUCAGUCAAAGCUUCAUCCCAUCCAUGAAGGAUAAAAAUGUCUCCUAUCCCAAAUUAGAAAUAUGGAGCAUUAGUUCAAUAAUCUCCUUUACAUACUCCCUAACUAUGUCUUGUUGCAUAAGCCGGUGCAACUAAGCUUGAGUCUCAUCCUCGACAUACUUUGGGUAAAACUGCCCUUUCAAUUCCUUCUAGAACUCUUCCUAAGUCCCAAUUGUAACUCCACCUUAUUUUUCAUCUUUGGACCUACGAUGCCACCAUCAAAGAGGAACAUUAGUAAAAUACAUAACAACAAUAUUUAGUAGCAUUAUCCAUGAUGCCAUGAUGCCUCUGGCAUGGAAGUAUUAUUCCAUUCCCCACAAGAAAUCCACAUCCCUUACAAAUUUCGUCCCCUUAAACUCUUUCGACUUGGGGAUAUCAAUCUUAGGCUUGGGUGUCGUGGCUAACACCCCAUUACCCAAAGCAACUUUGUAGAUAGCGAGGUCCCCUUUAAGCUUUACAAUAUGUUCAUUCAAAUUCAUCACCAUGGGUUCAAGAGUAUUUUCCUUCUUUUUCAGCUCACCUACAACGAUAUUGAGGACCCAUUGUAUCGUAUCCACAUUGGCAUUGAAAGCUCCUGCCACAUGUCUUUUGAGCUAAUCUUAUCUCAAUCCAAGCUCUAUGGUGUGUCCCUCAACCACCUUGAAUGUUACCUUUAUACCACCAACAAAUUCCUCGAGAUUUAUCACUCGACCUUCUAAAGCCGACAUCAUAUGACUCGAUCUUCUAGCUUUCUUGCUCCUCCUAUGAGUUUCCCUUUGCUCAACCUGUUCAUCUACUUCUUUCAUAAUCUUUUUUGAUGCAGUCGAACCUUAACUUUGACAUCUAGUGCCAGUGGGCUAGAAAUUUAGUCUCACAAGUCGCGCGGUCUUAGACAGUUUAAUUACUUUAGAUUUUCCUACGUCAACCUAUCUUUCAAAAAGAAUGAGAAUUCUCAAAGAAAUUCUCUAAGACGCUGAAAUAAAGUGAAAGCAAACUUUUAAAAACAAAGAAGCAAUGAACAAACAGAAAAGCCACAAGAAAGUUAAGCACGCCAAGUUUUUGAUUAAAUGCUCUCAAAUUGUUUCUAUUACUUUAAAAAGUUACAAUUGGAUGAUUACAAAUGAGGGGGAGACCUCCAUUUGUAGUUCAGUUCCCCUAAAUCAAACAGUACAGUUUAAAUGAUGUUGACGACUAAGAUCAAAAUCUAUCUACAAAAUAAGAGUAUUAAAGGAUUUAAACACUAUACAUUCUUAUCCCUUGGAAUGAAAAUAUAUUUACCAUGAUAACUUUAGUUUACUAAAGUGUUUCAUUAGACCAUUAAAUCUUCAAGUAGAUGGACUUCUCCAUAUGUUCCACAAAUUGGGUUAGUUCAAGUGGGUCAAAUGGGCCACAUUUAAUUAGUUUACCUCCAUGAGAUGUUCUGUGUACAUUCAUCAUGGGUUUCGAUCCAAACUCUGACACACUUCCAUAAACAAUUUUGAGUUUCAGUAAGCAACAAUUUUAGGUAGAAACAUAGUAUCUUUAACAUCUAUUACAAUUUUCUCAAGCUAAAAAAAAUUGAAUGGCUUAAUAUGCACCUUAAGUUUAUUAAAUUUAUCAAUGUAGAAUUUCUAAUUUAAAAAUGUUCAAUGUGAUACAUAUAAUAUCAAACCAUCAUUCAUUGUAGUAUCUGAUAAACCCCUAUCUCUGAAUGUAAAAUUUGUUUGUAUGCUAAUUUUGAUAUUAAAUAAUAAAAUAAAAUGUAACGCAUAUCCAAUACAAAUAACAUUUUUUAAUUGUAACGCUUUUCAAUUUCACUAAAAAUGGGCUGUUACACCUGUUUUGAUAUCAAAACCUAAAAAUAAAAUGUAACGUAUACUGAGUACAAAUAACAUUUGUUUAAUUGUAACGCUUUCCAAUUUCAAUAAAAAAUCCUACCUACCAAAUCAUAUAUGGUAAAUAAAAUGUAACGCAUUGCCAGCAUAUAUAACAUUUAUGUAAUUCCUUUAAAAUAUAUAUUUGUAACGUCUUUUCGAGUUCAAUGAUUUUUUUUUAAAAAAAAUCUACCUACCCAAUUUUUAUAUAGUAAUUAUUGACAUGUAUGGAAAUAAUUGAUAAAUAAAAACUUAUAAGAUGCCUAUAAAUUAAGGACAUUUUCCAAGUAAAUCAUCAAAACAAAAGUAAUGAGGUUCUCUUUGCAUAAGAAAUUUUUGUUCAUCUUAUUUGGUGACCUAAAUUGGAUAUUCUUCAAAGGUAAAAGUUUCACUUUCCUCCUAUUUUUUUCUUGUGGUUUCUAAGCUUUAAAUUUUUUUCUUGAAAAUUCUUACAUAUAUAAACUAAAAAAAACAUAUUUUAUUCAAACUUGAGCAAGGAAUUUUUGAGAAUCAAGUUUUAGCUCGGCCUGUUUUGAUCCAAUCAUAAAAUUAUUUUAUAUUUUUAUAAGAGCUGAAAUCAGAUAAUAAUAUAAAAGAAAGCACAAUAAUUUAUUGAAAGAUUAAUGAAUAUAUUAUUAAUAUUUUUUUAUUUGUGUUUGUCAGGUGCAAAUGCAAAACAAAUAAAUAAACAUUGAAAAAUCGGAUUAGUGAUUUACCAGAUAUUAAAUAUGGAAGUCGGUGGAGGCAUUUUUUUUUUUAGGAGGUGGAGAUUUUGGCAAUCGACAUCAAAUCAUGCUUGGUAUUUUAUCAUUGGAUUACCUAAUAUCUUUUAGGUACAAUAUUCAGUACAUUAAUCGAGAAAUGUUGUAAUUUUGAUAGAGCAAAAAUUAGGGUAAAUUGUAUCAUAGGUUACUCAAUUAUGCACUUAUAUUUUUUUUUUCAUUCUAUGAAAUUUUUUACAUUAACCAUUCAACUAAUCGAGUUUCUUUUGUCCAUUUUUGUUUAGUGCGUUAAAUGUUUGGCAAGAAGGUGACAUGGAAAUUAAAAAAUCAAUAAAAUAAUAAUUUUAACACUCAACGUUUACAUAUUAUAUUAAUUUAAUCAUAUUUUUUUAAAAAAAUUUAACGCAUAAUCUCAAUUUAAUUUUAAUUCUAAAUAAUUCAAAAACAUAUACAUAAAUAUUUUCAAAAUAUAUAAUAAAUUAUUUAUUUAUAUGUAUGGACAAACCCAAUCUCAUCUCACCUAUGACAAUCCUUAAUCUCUCUCUGUUUUUGAACAAAUUCUUUGAAAUUUAUAAUUGUUGUAAAGUGACAGCUGAAAUGGCGCCCACAUUGUAGGAGUCCCAGUAGAUGUAGAGCAUCAACACAAGCUCUCAUGUGCUUUGACCACAAUCACUGCCAUCCGAAAGCAUCGGCUGAUGGAGAUUUCUUAGAGUCCAGGCUCAUGUGAAUUGAACAUGCUAUCAAACAAUCAACUAUUGAGGCUAUACCAGAAUCAUAUAUUGGCAUGAAAUUUGGGUCACCAGAUGAUGCACAAAAUUAUUAAUUAUAACAACUAUGCGAGAGUUAAAAGGUUAUGGAACAUGUAAGAAUCGCAGUUUUAGAUCUAGAACUAAUAAAGAAAUGAUUUCUCAAGAAUUUGGUUAUUCGAAAGGCGUGAGGGCCAAAAAAACACUUCAAGAGAGAAGAUAGAGACGAUGCAAUUUCGGAUGAAACAAUAAAAUGUUGUAAGGCAAUGGUUCUAAUAUGUAGAGAUUAUUUCUCAAUUUCAUGCAGAACAUAAUCAUGUACUAGCUUCACCAAUGAGCACACAAUCCAUUCGUUCACAUAGAAUUUAAAUAAAAAUUCAAAGAGUUCUCAUGGAUGUUCUUGAUGAGUUUAGUAUUCGUUCCAGUAAGAUGGUUUUUGUUUUAGUUCAUAAAUCUAAUGGGUUUGGUAUUGUAUGAACUUGUUAUAUAUUAACUGUGAUGUAUCAAACAUAUACUAUCUUAAUUAUUCAGUUACAUAAAUUUAUGAUAUUUUUUUUUAUUAUAAUUUUUUGAAAAUUCAAUUAACAUUUUCAAAUAUUUAUAGUGCUCCAAUAACUAUAAAUGAAUGGGUGUAAUUAAUCAAAAGAUAAAUCUUUUGGUCAUUGGUCAAAAGUUAUAUCAUUUGAGUUUUGAAAAAGAAUUAUAACUAUUCAAAUAAUAUUACUUGAAUAGUUAUAAAAUUAGAUGAAUAAUAUUUUUUAUUCAGAAAGACACACAUUGAAAGAUGUCUCUAUGAAGAGACAUGAAAAUUCCUAUAAAUAGGGAUGAGAUUUCAUUUGGAAAUCACACCAACAAAUUCUAAAAUUCUUUCAUUCCUCCAUUUUCUAAUAUUAUUAGAUUAUUCUAUAAAGUAUUGCUAUAGAAAUCCUUUGUAGAAAUUGAGUUUCUUGUUAUUCAUUGUUCAGUACUCAGUGGACUAUUCUCGUUAGUGCAAAACGCAAAUAAUCAUUGGCUUCAUUGUAUCCUCGAGGUUAAUUUGCUUGAAACUUUUUUGCACAUCGAAUAUAGGUGGGGGCGAAUAUAACCUUAAAGAUAGUAGCUAGAUACACACCUUGGAGCCUUGUCCUAUUUCUUCAUUUUCUAUUUGAGUUUCGUUCGUGUGUUCGAGAUUUUCCUCACCGGAGAUAUGUACUAACAAUUUUAAGGUUAUACUUCAUGAGGACUACAACAAAACAUGAAAGUGGAACACUAAGGGAGUUGGCUUCCAACUUUGUCAAAUUUGAUCGUUUUGAUGGUAGCAAUUUCUGACGAUGGCAGAAAAAGAUGCACUUCUUAUUAACAACUUUGAAGAUUGUUUAUGUUUUGGAUACUCCAAGACCGAAAGAGAAUGAAAACGAAUAUGUUGCUGCAACCCGAGAAAGGCAAAAAUGGGACAAUAUUGAUUACAUGUGCAUAGGUCACAUAUUGAAUGGUUUAUCCAAUGGUUUGCUCGACACCUACCAAAACGAGGUCACCGCUAAGGAUUUAUGGGACAAAUUGGAGACAAGAUACAUGGUCGAAGAUGCCACAAGCAAGAAAUUUCUUGUCAGUCGUUUCAAUAGUUAUCAAAAGGUUAAUGGUCUUUCUAUUAUGGAACAAUUUCGUGAUAUUGAAAAAAUGCUGAAUCAAUUUAAGCAACAUGAUAUGAAAAUGGAUGAAAUGAUUAUUGUAUCCUCCAUAAUAGACAAACUUUCUCCAUCUUGGGAAGACUUAAAGAAGUCUAAAACAUAAGAAAGAGGAAAUAUCUCUUGAGGCUUUGGCAAAUCAUCUUCGUAUUGAAGAAGAAUAUCGAAAGCAAGAUCAGAACCUAAAUUCUGAAAAUGUCAAAGUGCAUGUUACGGAGGAAGUACGGACUACUAAACCAUUCAAGAGAAAGUUCAAAUAGACUGAUAGAGCACCUAAGUUCAAAAAGAAACAAAAGGACUCAUGCUAUCAUUGUGGUAAGUUGGGACAUUUCAAGAAUGAAUGUCAAUUUUUAAAGAAGAAAUCAUCUUCUAAGGCUGAUAAUAACGAAAAGUUCGUUGCAAUGAUAUAUGAAAUUAAUAUAGAGCAAGAUGAUAAUGCAUGGUGGAUUGAUACUGGAGCAACCAAACAUGUGUACAAAGACAAAAGCAUGCUCACAAAGUUCACACAAUGUGAAAAUGACAAUGUCUUGCACACGGGAAAUUCUUCCACCCCAACAAUCAAAGGCAAAUGGUUUGUUGAACUACAAUUCACUUGUGGAAAAGUUUUAACCUUGAAUAAUGUACUUUAUGUACCAGAAGUUAGGAAGAAUUUAGUGUUUAGAAGUCUGUUGAAUAAGUUUGGUUUCAAACUUGUUUUUGAGGUAGAUAAGUUUAUUUUAUCUAAGGGAAAAAUUCUUGUAGGGAAAGGAUAUAUGUAUGAGAGCAUGUUCAAACUCAAUAUUAUUAAUAAUAAGAAUAUUAUUUUUGCUUAUAUGGUUGAAUCUUCUUGUUUAUGGCAUUAUAGAUUAGGUCUUUUAAAUUAUAGAAAAUUGAAUGACAUGCAUAAGUCAUAUUUAAUUCUUAUUUUUAAUGAUAAUAUUGAAAAAUACAAUACAUGUAUGUUGACUAAAAUUACAAGAAACCCUUUCCCUAAGCUUAAAAGGAAAACAAAGUUACUUGAUUUGAUACAUAGUGAUUUAUGUGACAUACAUAAUGCUCCUACAUUAGGUGGAAAGAAAUAUUUUGUUAUUUUUAUUGAUGAUUGUUCUAGAUAUUGCUAUGUAUAUUUAUUGCAUUCAAAAGAUGAAGCACUUGAUAAAUUUAAAGUUUAUAAAUCUAAAGUUAAACUUAAGUGUGAAUCAUUUAUCAAAUGCUUGAGUAAAUGCUAAGCACAUUGUUAUUGAGUAAAUGCUCUUAAAGUGUUUCUGUUACUUUGAAAAAUUACAAUUGAGGUAGAAGGCCUCUAUUUGUAGUUGAGUGUUACACUUGGUUUGGUGAAUUGGAUCGAUUCGGAGGAUUACACUGGUGAAGACUACCAAAGUUGUGAGACUUAGACUGUAUAUGGUUGGUAACUUCGUGGCAGAGUGCUACGAAGAACUUCGUCAAUACUGCGGAGUACUAGUUCGAGUGAUAAUGAGAUUAUAGUUAGGGCGAGGACCUUAAUAGGCAAACCUUAUCGCUAAUAAGAUCGUCACCGUGUUUUAGUGUCGUUACUAAAGUCAGUAAGAUGGUUGGCAGGAUGCGUUUAGGUCACCUAGCAUCCUAGUUGAGGCAACAUGUCAGUAAUUGUGACACUUGUAGAGCCUCGUAGGACGUGAUUAAUUAGUGGAAAUGUGCAAGAAUGGGUAAUGAUUAGAGAUAAUUUUGAUUGAGAUUUAGACGUGGGUUAUCUAUAAAUAGGAUAAUAUGAUAGUAGAUAAAAGAUUUGUGAUUCAUCUUCACCACAAGACUUUGUUAUCAUCGAAGAAACCGUGAGAGUUCUUUGUUUAAAACAAGAAUAGGGAAGCUAAGAAUAUGGUACUUUUAGCACUUAUCAAAAAAGAAUUAGAAAACAAAACAAAGGAAAAGGAAACGAUAAGAGGAAAUCUUGUGACAAAAAUUGAAUUGAAAACAAAAGGGAAAAAUAAAACAGAAACUUACAGGAAGAACAAAACAAACGUGAAAGUGGAGGGGGAGAGAGAAAGAAAGGACGACUGAGGGAGAAAAUUGUUGGGAAUAACGAAAAAUAUAUGUUUUUAAAAAAAAACUAAAAUCUUAUUUAUCCAAACCCUAUCAAAUUUCCAGAAUUUGCUCAAAUUUUGACCCCAUGAACAGUACAAACAGAGAAUAGCAAAAAUAUAUUCGCUUCACAUGCGCGGGAUUCAAACACGAGACCCCUGGGUAAACUGAAUCCUUACUACAAAACUAGUAGGUUCAUUCUUGUCAACAAACUAACAAGAAUAAAAAAUAAACUACUUGUGACAAGUCCAACAGAAGAAUAACUUAAGGAAAGGGAUUUGAACACAAAGUCUCUCACACACAAACAAAACACCUAACCGCUAAACUAGAUCAAAUUAGGCAAUUCAUUUGCUUCAGAUAUGCCUAAGCCAGCCUAUCUCUAGAAAAUGAGAAUUCUUAAGGAAAUUAUCUAAAACUCUCAAAAUCGAAGAAGCAAUGAACAAACAAAAAAGCCACAAGAAAGUUAAGCACACCAAGUGUUUGAGUAAGUUCUCUCAAAGUGUUUCUAUUACUUUGAAUAGUCACAACUGGAUGAUUACAAAUGAGGGGGAAGACCUCUAUUUGUAUUUUAGUUCCCCCAAAUCCAACAAUACAGUUUAAAUUACGCCGACGGUUGAGAUCAAAAUCUAUUUACAAAAUGAGAGUCUUAAGGGAUUUAAACACUAUACAAUCUUAUCCCUUGGGAUGAAAAUAUAUUUACCAUGAUAACUCUAGUUUUACUAGAGUGUUUCACUGGACCAUUAAAGCUUCAAGUAGAUGGACUUCUCUAUAUGUUCUAUGAAUUCAGCCAGUUCAAGUAGGUCAAAUGAGUCACAUUUAAUUAGUAGGCCUCCAUGGGACAUUCUGUCUACAUUCAUCAUGGGCUUCAAUCUGUAACCCGUGACAUUAGCAUUUCCAUAAACAGUUUUGAGUUUCAACAAGCAACAAUUGUAUGUAGCAACACAUUUUCUGCAACAUUUAUUACAAUUUACUCAAGUUAAAAAAAAUUAAAUGGCUUAAUCUCAUAUAUGGCACCUUAAGUUUAUUAAAUUUAUCAAUGUAGAAUUUCUUAUUUAAAAAUGUUCAAUGUGAUACAUAUAAUAUCAAACCAUCUUUCAUUGUAGUAUCUGAUAAACCCCUAUCUCUCCAUGUAAAAGUUGUUUGUGUUCUUAUUUUGAUAUUAAAACAUAAAAAUAAAAUGUAACACAUCUCCAACAGAAAUAACAUUUGUUUAAUUUUAACGCUUUUCGAUUUCAAUAAAAAAUCCUACCUACCAAAUUAUAUAUGGUAAAUAAAAUGUAACGCAUUGCCAGCAUAUAUAACAUUUAUGUAAUUCCUUUAAAAAACCAUUUGUAACGCCUUUCCAAGUUCAAUGAUUUUUUUUUAAAAAAAAUCUACCUACCCAAUUUUUUUAUAAUAAUUAUUGACAUGUAUGGAAAUAAUUGAUAAAUAAAAACGUAUAAGAUGCCUAUAAAUUAAGGACAUUUUCUAAGUAAAUCAUCAAAACAAAAGUAAUGAGGUUCUCUUUGCAUAAGAAGUUUCUGUUCAUCUUAUUUGGUGACCUAAAUUGGAUAUUCUUCAAAGGUAAAAGUUUCACUUUCCUUCUAUUUUUUUCUUCAGAUUUUUAGGCUUUAUUUUUUUCCUUGAAAUUUUUUACAUAUAUAAACUAAAAGACGUAUUUUAUUAAAUGAGGUCAAUGAAGUGCACUUUUUAAACUCAAGCAAGAAAUUUUUUAAGAAUUAAAUCUUGACUCGAUUUAUUUUAAUUUAAUCAUAGACUCAUUCCAUAUUUUAUGUGAAUUGAAAUCAGACACUAAUAUCAUAAAAACAAGCAUGAAAACUUUUUAAAACAUUAAUGAAUAUAUUACUAAUGAUUUUUUGUUUUUUUUUGUUAUUUGUGUUUCUCAGAUUUAAAUGCAAAAAAAGUAAUGGAGAAUCGAAUCAGUGUUUUACCAGAUAUCAAUAUGGAAGUUGGUGGAGGCAAUUUAGGUGGCUGGUGGAGAUUUUGGGAAGUGACUUCAAAGGUGAAGGCAUUGCUUCAAAAAACCCACAACCACCUUCUUCUUCUUCAUCAUCUUUUCUUUUAAAAAAGAAAAAGAAUAGCCUAAGUUGAACAUAAAUUGCAAUCUGCCAUUCUUAAAAUCUACCUUUUAAAGUGCUAUUAAACCUCAAAUUGGAUUCUGGGGUAGAAACCCGCCUUGCAACUCGGUAUCAUAGGUAAUUUAAUCUUUCAUUUAUUUAAUGUUUUCUUAUUUUUCACGUAUAUUUGAUUUCUUGUUGAAUGCUAAACUCUCGUACCAAAUUUCCAUUCUGUUUGAUCCUAUGAUGGAUUUAAUACAUAUUUAUGCAUCUUUCAACAGAAUUACUUUAGACAUUUUGAUUGCUGCUCUCUAAUUUAUUUGAUUCAUUGACUGACAAGCUAGUGUCACAGGCCGAAGUGCAAAGCCCGUGACCAUGGCACAAAAAGUGCCCCAUAGAGGUUUAUCGAUUAGAUGGGGAACAUUUAGCCCACAAGAACUGACCCGAUUCAGAGAGCUGUUGGAGAAGCCUGUCAGAUUGAAGCCUGGUUGGCCCGAUGAUGAAGACAUGGCAACUUAGGCUAAUUUUAGUACUAAUAUUAGAAGAUAGAGAGAAUCAUAUCUUGUAAAGAUUAGAUUAGAUUAGAUAUGGAAAAUCUUGUAAAUUCUUAAAAUCAAGGGAUAUGGUGAAUCUCAUUGUAACACCCCUUACCCGUAUCCGUCGCCGGAAUAGGAUAUGAGGUAUUACCAGAUUUUACCGAUUUUUUUUAAAACUCAAUAUAACCCCUUUAUAAAUAUCUAAUCCUCCCUACAAAUUUUAAACCGAGACCAAGCCAACACAACCAAUCCAUUUCAACAUAUUUUCAAGAUAGAUUUAGUGUAUUCAUAAGAUAAUCUCAUCACAUGCCAAAACCAAAAAUUUGUUAGCCAUACCAAUGGCUAACCAUACAUUCAUUUCACCAUUAACAUCUACUUUACUAGCUUAUACAUGCCAUUGAUUUCCAAAAUAAAGUUUCUUUAUAUACCAAGAUUUUGAGAUUGAUAGUGUGAUGCGUCUCCGACCAAAUCCGACCUCUGAGCCCUUAACACUACAAAACAGGGGAAAAAGAAGCAGGAUAAGCACUUUGUGCUUAGUAAGCUCAUGUAACAAGAAUUAUACUUACCUAAUAUUUUCCAUACAAUGUAAUAAACAUUCAUACACCCAUUCCAUACAUUAUUCCCCUAUCAUGUACAAACUCAACAUUCAAAUUAGUCCAAUAAUUUCCAUGUAUCAGUAAUUUAUACCAUGAUUGAUGAGCUCAUCAAUUCUAUGAUUUCCAUUCCCUUACUAUUUUUCCAUAUUUAUCCCGUUGAAUUUCUCGGAAUUUCGAUGGAUUUUUAGAGGUACACUUUAGUGUACAAAUCCGGGUCCGUCAAUUCAUAUUCAAGUGCGCACAUUUCCAUUUCAGAGAGCACACUCCCGCGAACCUCAUCCUUACAGCGAGAUUACCAGUCCAGGCUAAAUCCCCUGUAAUAUAAACUCAUGGAGUAUUGUCGGGAUUACCAGUCCAGGCUAAAUCCCCUGCAACGACAAUUACUCUAAUGAGCUUGGAUCUGAAUUACCAGUCCAGGCUAAAUUCAGACCCUAAUUAGGAUUACCCGUCCGGGCUAAAUCCAUUUUCCACAUAUUCUUCGGGAGGGCUAUAUCAGGAUAGGAUCACCCGUCCGGGCUAGAUCCUUUUUACCGUCAAUUCCUUUUCAGAGAUCCAUCGAAUUUUCCUUUCAUUCAACCGGGAUUUAUUUCCUCUUUUCAUCAAGAAUUUUAAUACUUCAUCAAUUAUCAUACAAUAAACAUCCAGAUCAUAUUCACAUCAAUAACAAACAUUUCAAGCAUUUAAGAAUAUAAUUCAAGUUACACGAACUUACCUCGACACUUGUUCAUAACCAAAAAUCUACUAAUCCCAAACUUUUUCUUUCCCUCGAUCUUGCUUCAUAUUUGAAUUUUCCGGAUCUAAAUAAAUAAAUUUGAUCAUUAAUCUAAUACAUUUCAUGUUCAUAUGUAACAUUCUCUAAAAUUCCAUUAUUAUUUAUAGUGCAUUCGAAGCUGUCUCACUGAGUCACUGUCACUAAAUUAUUUAUAUCUUGAGCUACAAAACUCCAAAUUAAUAUCCGUUAAUUUUUCAUGAAACUAAACUCACAUAUAUUCUUACCAUAAAAUUUUCAGAAUUUUUGGUUUAGCCAAUAAGUACAGUUUAUUCUUUAAAGUUUCCCCUAUUUCACUGUAUGACAGUUUUGACCCCUCUUUACUAAAAAUUAAUUAUCUCACUGUACAGAAUUAGAAUAAUGCUUCCCUUUAUUUCUUCAGAAAAUAGACUCAUUAAGGAUUCUAAGCAUAUAAAUUAUAACUCAUAAUCAUUUUUUUUACAAUUUUUAAUGAUAUUCUAAAGUCAAAACAGGGGAACCCGAAUUCAUUCUGACCAUGUCUCACAAAAUCUAUUAUAUCUCAUGAUUUACAAUUCCAUUGCUUACACCGUUUUUUUAUAAGAAACUAGACUCGAUAAGAUUUAAUUUAAUAUUUUAUUCAUUCUCUAAUUCGAUUUCUAAAAUUUUUGGUGAUUUUUCAAAGUUAGACUACUGCUGCUGUCUAAACUGUUUUAGUGCAUGGUGUUAAUUACCAUUUUUCCCCUAAGCUUUCAACAAUGAUAAUUUCGUCCCUGCUCAAUUAACUUCUCAAUUGAGCUGAUUUUUCUCAAUCAACACUUUAUUAUAUCACUUUAAACUACCUUAUAACCUUUGGAAAUCAGAAUUUUAGCACUAAACUUUAAUUCCAAACUUUUUCACAAUUAGGUCCUACAAAUUAAUUUCUAUUGGAAUUACCUAAUAAAAUCAUCUCAUAAACAAAUUAAAGCUUAAAUUUCAUCCUAUUUCCUCAUAAACUUCCAGCACAUAUUCAUAUCAACUUUCAAUAUCAUUCAUAAAAUCAAAAACUAAUGAAUUUAGUAAUAGGACCUAGUUGUAAAAGUCUUAGAAACACAAAAAUUACAAGAAAAAGACAAGAAUUAACUCACUUGGUGCAAAAAUUAUGAAAAACCAGCUUGAAGAAACCCUUAGGAUGUUUUUGGCUGAUGAGAGUGCAGAAAAUGUGAAGAGAAUUCUUGAUAUUCCAAUUUGGUCCCAUUUUUAUAUUAGUGAAAUUUGUUAUUUUCCCAUUUUACCCUUAUUUCAUCAAUUCUCCUGAUUUUUCUCAGCGUAUGUCGCCCAAAAUAUCUCCUUUUGGGGUUAUUUGCAAUUUAUGUCCCUCCUCAUUUCACAAUUGAGCUAUUUAAUCCCUCUAGUAACUUUUACACCUUUUUCAAUUUAGUCAUUUUCCCUUAAUUGACUACCCAAACAUUAAAAUUUUCUAACAAAAUUUUAAUACCAUAUUAUUAACACUUCAUAAAUAUUUAUAAAAAUAUUUUUGACUCAUUUUUACGAGAUCGAAGUCUCGAUAUCUUAUUUUUACCUAAUUUCUUCAAUAAUUUCUUUUUCUAACUAACCACUUAGUCAGUAAAAUUUUUCUAUCGAUAUUUUCAUACGAUUUUUCCUAUCAUAUCAAUAUUCAUGCAAAAAUAUUAAAAUAAAUUUCUCUUUAAAUCAGAUUUGUGGUUACGAAACCACUAUUCCGAUAAUUUUGAAUUUGGGCCAUUACACUCAUCCGUCGAUGUAAAUGUAUCUUGACCGUCGGUUUUGGGGGAGCUCAACUACAAAUAGAGAGCCUCCCCCUCAUUUGUACUCAUCCAUUAUAAGCUAAAUUCCUAAGAGUAAUAGAAUUCUUUGAGCAUUUACUCAAACACUUUGUGUGCAUUCUUUCUUUGGCUUUCUGUUGUUCACUUCUAGCUUCUUUUGGCACAAUCGCUUCCGCUAUACAAAUUGGUGCAUUGGAGGAGUUCUUAAAAGAAUCCUCACUUUUGGGCGUAAAGGCUGACUUAGGCGAGUUUGGGAUGAACGGAUCGCCUAAGGCUGCACGGAUUGUGAGACGAAAGGUCUAGCCCGUUGACAAGUGGUAUCUGAGCCAAGUUUUGAACCAAGUGAUAUUUGAGUUUGGUUUGAAGGCACCGUUGGGAUGUCGAAAGAAGUUGUUGGUCAGAGUGAGCCAAUGGAGACCCGUGAAAGGGCUAGAAAAGAAAGCCGCUCGAGGGACAUGCUGACAGCUUUAAAAAAUCGAGUGGUUAAUCUCAAGGAAUCCAUAGGGAACAUGAAAGAGACGCUUGAAUUGGUUGAAGGACGCACGGAUGGGUUGGACUCAAUGGAAGAGCAACUCAGAGAUUUUGUAUUGGAUUCUCUCGAUGCCAAUGGAGAAAAGAUGAAGGAAUUACUCGAGUCCACUACGAAAAAGCUGGCAGAGAGGGAUAAGAAUCACAAGGAUAUGGUGUUAGCCAUGAAGAAAGAAAUAGAUAAGCUCAAAGGGGAGCUCACGAUUUACAAAGCCGCUUUGAGUAAUGGGAUGUUGUCUUCAAGGCCAAAGCAACAAGCAAUGGAUGUUCCCAAACCGGAGAAGUUUAAGGGUGCACGAUCCGCAAAGGAUGUGGACAACUUCUUAUGGGAAAUAGAGUAAUACUUCCGAGCGAUGGGCAUCGAGGAUGAUGCCAUUAAGGUAAACACUGCUUCAAUCUAUUUUACUGAUGUAGCUUUCUUGUGGUGGCGUCAUAGGUCCAUGGAUGAGAAACAUGGUGAUAACACAAUUGGGACUUGGGAAGAGUUUCAAAGAGAGAUGAAGAAGCAGUUUUACCCACAAUAUAUCGAGAAGGAGGCUCGGGCUAAGUUGUAUCGUCUCACGUAACAAGGCAUUAUUCGGAAGUAUGUUCGGGCAUUUAACGAGUUGAUGCUUCAAAUCUUUGACUUGAGCGAGAAAGAAGCAUUCUAUUGGCUUGAGGAUGGGUUAAAACAGUGGGCAAAGCAUGAGUUGCGAAGGCAAGGAAUCACUGAACUUACUGUAGCCAUGGCAGAAGCAGAGUCCUUUAUUGAACUUGGUCUAGCGAGAGACAAGCUCGAGGCAUCUAAACCCAAUGGAAAGGGCAAUGGUGAGAGAAACCAUGAAGAAGAUAAAGAGGGACAUAGCGAUGAUGACAAUAGUAUCGAUAGCACAAGUGGCAAUGGGAAACCAUAAGAUACGAAUCGGGGAUUCAACAACCCAAAUGACAAGAGGAAGAAGAUAAAAUGUUUCCUUUGUUAAGGACCGCACAAGGCGCGAAAAUGUCCAAAUAAAAUGAUAAUUUCGACAAUCAAAAAGAAAGAUGAGCCGAAGGAAGAGGCGAAGCCUACUGAGGGAAAGACAUCGAGAGUCAAUUCAAUGGUGCUCAUUCUUGGGAAGAGGAAUGGAGGGAAAGGGUUGAUGUUUGUGGACAUUAACAUUGUGGGUCAGAAGCUGAGUGCUCUUAUUGAUACGGGAGCAUCGGACUUGUUCAUGUCAGAAAAGGUUGCAAAGAUGCUUGGUCUAUUGAUUAGGAAAUCGAAUAAGAAGAUUAAGAUAGUAACUUCCGAGAAAGCCUCAACUGUGGGAGUAGUUUGUGAGGUGGAACUACAAAUAGGCGAAUAGAAGAGCAAGGACGAUUUCGAGGUAAUCCAAUUGGAUGAUUACGAUUAUGUGCUUGGCUUAAACUUCCUUGACAGGAUUCAGGCAACUCUGUAACCAUGGGUUGAUCAAAUCCUUAUUGUCACCGGUCCGUCAACAAAAACGAUUGUGCCGGUGCAUCGGGAUAUGAAGGUUGAGACUAAGGUGUUAUCGUCAAUCCAACUAGUCGAAGAUGUUUUGUAUGGGAGAAACAUUAAUUCGUCAGAAUGGAAUGCUACGAAAGCCCCUUCGAAAGUGCUAGUGGCGCAAGGGACCGAUAUGAAGCCAACGAUUUUGACUGUGGAGCAGACACCUUUGAGAAAUGUGGGUUGUGCAUCGAGCUUCGAGGGAAAAUGAGUGAUGCAAAAACAGUCGAGAUGAGUAAAUGCUGCAAGUAAAGUACAUUGUAAACACUCUGAUAGUGUUUUGACUUUUGACUUGUUGGUUUGACAAUGUUGUAGGGGCCCUUUCAAAGUUUAUAAGCAAUGAGGCUAAGGAACUGUGGGCGGUACGAAGCCGAGGUGUGAGAAUCGAGGGGAUUCCAAUGGAACAAGUUAAAAUUGGGGCAAGUUAAAGAAAAGACUUCUUGCCAAUAGAAUGUACCAACGAGUGCAGCAGUUCAAGAUAAGAGGCGACGGAAGCCGAGGCAUAGGUUCCGAAAGAAGAGACAACCCGAUCGCAAGACAAGUCGGGAAGAAGCCGAGGCAAUGAGAAAGUUUCAAAGUGAAUCAAGUCAGUGUCAUCCAGAAGUCACGACGAAGGCGUUACGAGAAUGGGUGGGGGAAAAUGUCACGGGCCGAAGUGCGAAGCCCGUGACCAUGGCAUAAGAAGUGCCCCAUGGAGGUCUAUCGAUUAGAUGGGGAAUAUUUAGCCCAUGAGAACUAGCCCGAUUUAGAGAGCUGUUGGAGAAGCCUGUCAGAUUGAAGCCUGGUUCACCCGAUGAUGAAGACAUGGCAACUUAGGCUAAUUUUAGUAACUAAUCUUAGAAGAUAGAGAGAAUCAUAUCUUGUAAAGAUUAGAUUAGAUUUGAUAUGGCAAAUCUUGUAAAUCCCUAAAAUCAAGGGAUAUGGUGAAUCUCGUCCGUUGAUGUAAAUAUAUCUUGACCGUUGGUUUUGGGGGAGCUCAACUAUAAAUAGAGAGCCUCCCCUUCAUUUGUACUCAUCCAUUGUAAGCUGAAUUCUUAAGAGUAAUAGAAUUAUUUGAGCAUUUACUCAAACACUUUGUGUGCAUUCUUUCUUUGGCUUUCUGUUGUUCACUUGUAGCUUCUUUUGGCACAAUCGCUUCUGCUAUACAAAUUGGUGCCUUGGAGAAGUUCUUAAAAGAAUCCUCACUUUUGGGCGUAAAGGCUGAAUUAGGCGAGUUUGGGACGAACGGAUCGCCUAAGGCUGCACGAAUUGCGAGAUAAAAGGUUUAGCCCCGUGACACUAGAUAGUCUUAAAAGCAUUUUUGAUGUUACGAUUGUGAACAUGGUUACAAUUUUUCCUACUUAUGUUUAAUCACUCUCAAUUAAAAUAAUUAUUUAUGCUUUUCCAAGGAUUAAAAUGAAGAACACAACUGUACAAGAUCAUUUGAUAGAGAUUACAAGAAGUUGAAUAUCAUCAAGUCUUUGCAGUUGAUACAAUAUAGCUUGCAAUCCAACAACCAACUAUUAAAGCUAGCUAGAACCAUAUAUUGGUAUGGAAUUUGAGCCACCAAAUGAUGCAUAAAAAUAUUAUUAUAUUAUGCGAGAGUCAAAGGUUUUGGCUCACGUAAGGAUCCCCAUAAUCUAAUGAUUGCUGGAGAAUUUAUUUGUUCGAAAGAAAGUGUGAAGGCAAAAAAACACUUUAAGAUAGAAAAGAGAGUCCAUGCAACUUCAGAUGAAAUAAUAGAAUGUUAUAAAGUAAUGGUUUUAAUAUCCAAGAAAGGAGGGAAAUAAAUUAUUUCUCAAUUUCAUGCAGAACAUAAUCAUGUAUUAGCUUCACCAAAGAGCACACAAUUCAUUUGUUCACAAAGAAUUCAAACAAAAGUUCAAAGACAUCUCAUGGGUGUUCUUGAUAAGUCAGGUAUUCGUCCCAGUAAGAUAGUUUUUGUUUGAGAUCCUAAAUCUAGCAGGCUUGGUGAUUUUAAUAAGACUAAGAGUAAAGUUUAGCUACAUUUAAUUCUCUGAUUGUUUCAUAUGUCUUGAUAGCUUGAUGUUUGAACUUGAUAUAUAAGAUGUUGAUUAUCAUUUUUUGACAAGUCAUGAAAAUUGUAUUAAUCUCAAUUAACAAUUCAGGUACCAAUUAAUAGUACAAAACAAAGACCAAAACAUAAGAUCUUGCACCUGCCAAACAACAACACAGGACCUUGCAAAGUAAACAAAAUAAAGUGCUUUGUUAAACACAUCAUUAGCCCCUAACCCAAAUAAGAAGGGCACAUCUGCCCACCCCUUAUUUCAUUAAGCUACUUGCUUCAUUGUUUGCAACUCUUAGCUCCCAAAAACCAUCAAUAAAAAUAAGCUCAGAAAUGAUUUUUGCAAACUUCCUAAGAUUGAAUUUCAAUUCAAUCACAAGUUUACGUGAAAUCUCCUAUUUUCUAGCAAUAAGGAUGAUUAUUGUUUGUGUUUGUAAUUCAUAUAGCUUCGUCACUAAUUGAUAAAUUUAUUGUAAUUCAUACAGGAACCGCGUGAUCUUAGGUAAUUCUUCUGCUUCGAAUUGCCUAAGUCAGACAAUCUCUCAAAAAGAUGAGAAUUCUUAAAGAAAUUCUCUAAGGAACAAAAAUAAAGUAAAAGCAAACUUUCAAAAGCAAAGAAGCAACAAAUAAACAGAAAAGCUAAAAUAAAUCUAAGCACACCAAGUGUUUGGGUAAAUGUUCACAAAGUGUUUUCAUUACUUUGAAAUAUUACAACUGAGGUGGAAUGCUUCUAUUUGUAGUUGAGUGUCACACCCUGGUUUGGCAAACCAGAUUAGUUCGGGAGACUACGACGGGGAAGACCGCCUAAGUUGCGAGAAAUAGAUUGUAUAAUGUAGGUAACUUCAUGGUGAAGUGCUACGAAGAACUUCUUCAAUAUUGCGGAGAACCAGUCCGAAUGAUAGCGAGAUUAUAGUUAGGGCGGGGACCUUAUUAUCCAGACCUUAUUGCUAAUAUGAUUGUUACCUAUGUUUUAGUGACGUUACCUAAGUAAGUACAAUUGGUUGUAGGAUACGUUUACAUCACCUGGCAUCCUAGUGGAGGCAACGUGUCAGUAAUUAGGACACUUGUAGAGCCUUGUAGGAUAUGAUUAAUUAGUAGAAGCGCACGAGAAUGAUUAAUGAUUAGAGAUAAUUCUUAUUGGGAUUUGGACAUGGGUUAUCUAUAAAUUGGAUAACGUGAUAGUGGAGAAAAUAUUUUUAAUUCAUCUUCUCCACCAGAAUUUAUUAUCAUCGAAGAAACUAGGAGAGUUCUUCCUUCCUAACAAGGGUGUUAACUCUACUUUAAAGAAUUGCUUUAAUUUUGACCACUUACCACGAAAAUCCUCGCCAUUGAAAUGAGGACACUCCCACUUAAUCUUCUUGAUCCGGCCCUCGACAGUAGGGAGUCUAGGAAACAAAUCUGCAAGUCCCAGGUCAUAAUUUGGGGACAUAACUAAGGACUCUCGGAGAGGAAAUCCAGGAGGUGAUUCUCUUAAUAUUUUCUUCCCUUUACCCUAACUCGAGCUUCUUACUCCAAGGUGUUGAUACUGACCUAUAAACUGCUCAAGCAAGGAAUACAGCGCAGUCUGCAUGUCCCCCUUAAAUCCUUCCUAGAAAUCCUUGAAUCGAGAAUCCAUUUUAGCAUCAAUAUCAACUCCGAGUUGGGACAACUCUUGCUAAAGUUGACCUAUCUCUUUCUGCAGUCUGGUAGUGACUCCAUCAGUAGCCAUGGACUGUAUUGGAGCUCUGAUACCCUGUAACGAAACAAAUAUCUAAAAGAGAAAUUAAGAAGAGAGAAUAGAGAAUUUGUUAGAGAGAAUGAGAAAGAAAAGAGUAAAUGAUUCAUUCAAUUUCAUAAUUGACUCAGGCUUCCUUCACUCCUGAUAAAAGAGAGAAGAAAUAGCUAUUCACAGCCUGACAACAGUUAACUGAAACGAAGAGUUUUGUGCUAACAACCAAAGCUAAACGCAUCAUUUCAUUAAACGAUCUAAGACUCCCCCAAAACGCAGCAUUUUAUUAUUACAAGAAAACAGAAUGAAAAUUAACAACCAGCCAUGCAACAAAGUGAAGGAAACAGUUCAUAACAUUCCCAUGAAGUAUGUGGACUAAAUUUUGACAAAUUAAAAUAAAAGAUUAAUUUUUCAAAUUUCAUAAAAUAGAGGGAUGGGAUUCAUAAUUAAACCCAACAAUUCCUAUACCUCUUCGUAAAUUACUCGAUUAUAAUAUUACAUAAAAUAGUAGGCUGAUUUGCUACUUUAGUACCUGGGCUUUCGGCUAUUUGGCAACUUGCAUCUUCGUUAUUACCAUGUAUUUUUCAAACAUUUACCUGUGUGAUUAUGAAACUUGAUCUUUGAAUCGAUGGAAAUGAGAAGAAACUAAAGCAAUGCGCAAACCAAACCCACAAAAACUUAUAAAAGUUUUCAACAAUUGGACUUUAGCCAUAAAAAAUGCUUCUUCUCCUCACCAAGCCUUGGUUCUUUACUCUCAAAUGCACCGCCAAUCGGUUCCUUUUAAUAGUUUCUCAAUUCUCUUCACCCUCAAGUCAUGUACUCCUUUGCGAAAUCCGAGUCUCGUUGCCCACCUCCAUUGUCAUAUCUUGAAGUUAGGGUUCGUUUCCCAUGUCUAUGUGGCUACUUCUUUGUUGAAUGCGUACGUGGUUUCUUGUUUUGACGAUGCAUGCAAACUGUUCGAUGAAAUUCCUGAUAGAAACAUUGUUACCUGGAACACCAUGAUAACUGGUUAUUCACGGUCUGGGGAUGUAAACAAAGCGUAUGCCUUUUUUAAGGCAAUGACUUUGAGGGAUGUUGCUUCUUGGUCUGCCAUGAUUGCGGCUUUCAUGAAUAACUGGAAAUGGAAUUGUGGGUUAUCUUGUUUUAGAGAAAUGGUAGCAAAUGAGAGGUUGAAACCUGAUGAAGUGACUGUGGGAGCGGUUCUAUCUGGCUGCGCUCACGUGGGUUCUCUUGGAUUAUUGGCGGGAAGAUCGGUCCAUGCGUUUAUAGCUAAAAAUGGGUGGAACUUGACUGUCGAAAUCGGCACUGUUUUGGUAGAUAUGUAUGCAAAAUGCGGUUUAUUGAAGUAUGCUUGUAUAGUUUUCAAUGCAAUGCAACAAAGAAAUGUAAUGACUUGGACGGCAUUGAUUAGUGGAUCUGCACAACAUGGCUACAGUGACGAGGCAGUGUCUUUCUUUGAAGCAAUGCAAGAGGCGGGAGUGAAGCCUAAUGAGAUGACUUUUACAGGCAUUCUCAAUGCAUGUGCUCGUAAAGGUUUAAUCAAGGAAGGCCGCAAGUAUUUCGAUAUGAUCGAACAAUAUGGUUUGCAGACAAGGAUUCACCAUUAUGGGUGCAUGGUUGACUUGUAUGGCAAGGCAGGGUUGCUAGAAGAAGCUUAUCGGGUUAUCGGUACAAUGAAAGUUGAACCCAAUGUUGUUAUAUGGAGUUCUUUUUUGUCUGCUUGUAAGGAUCAUAAGCAAUUUCAGAUGGCUGACAGAGUGAUCAAGCAAGUGAUGGAAACGGUAAAGCCAGAGAGUGAUGGGGGGGUUUAUUCUCUUAUAUCUGAUUUAUAUGUUUUGAAUGAGAAAUGGGAUGAUGCGGAAAGAGUAAGGAAACUAAUGGUUAAUCAAUAUGUGAGGAAGACUAGGGGCUCUAGUUUUAUUAGAAGUUGAAUUCUUGAAAGCAAUUUUGUUUCUUCUCAAGAUCUAUGUCAGUCAGACUCAGAAGUAUUGGGUAGGAUAUGUAUUAAAGUUUUUCACAUAUUUGGAGGGUUUUUGGAGUUUCACAAUAUGCACGUCCAGGGUAUGCAUUGGACAUGAAUAUUUGAGCAUCUGGUAGACCUUGUUCAGUGCUUGUGCAGCUCAUUGCAAUCUAAGGCUUGCAGGAACUAUCCAUCAGUUUAUGUACUUUUGUCAUCUCAUUACUAAGCCAGAAUCAUGGGAUCAUUUCAAGUUGACAAAGGGAAUCGAAGGCAAGAUUUUGAAGCUGCCUUUGCUUAACAAUUAUUGCGAUUGAAUAUGGGAGUUUUUCAGAAACCUCACAAUAUACUUGGACUGUUAGUUUCACUAGAUUCAUUGAUUUGACUAAAAAUAAAGAGAGAUCAAACAUGUAAGUCCUUAUCAUUUCAUUCCAAUAACUUUUUUUAAGUAAAUUCUUUUUGCUAUUAAGGUCUAUUUAUUUGUCAGUAAAAUAUUUUUCGGAAAAUAAUUUCUAGAAAAUGAUUUACUUUUCUGAAAAAUGAUUUACUGAAAAUAUUUUCUGGUGUUUAGAUGAAUCUGUAUAAAAUAUUUUAUGUUGUAAAAUAUUUUAUGCUGUUUGGUAGAAAUAUUUUCUGAAAAAUUUGUUAUUACAUAUAUUAAUAAAUUUAUAUACAUAUUAAUAAAUUUUUAUAUUUUUAAAUUAUUUUUACAUAUAUUACAAUGAUUUAUUUAUAAAUAAACAAAUCAAAUUAAAUAUAUAAUAAUACUCAAUUAUUAAAUUACAAUAUUAACCACCAUAAAUUGAAAAUAAUUAAAGUCAAAUAAAUUAUUUGUAAUUGUGUUAAAAAAAACAAGGAUUGAAUAAUUAUAAAUUAGAUUCCAAACCACAAUUAAUACUAGAAAUUAAAUAUUAUCAAAAUGCAUACUUAGUAGUAAACCAUAUAAUAACAACAACAUUGUCCAAGUGCAUAACUAAUAUUACACCACAUAAAAAUAUCAAUAUCUUCAACCUUAGGAAAAUUUUUGAAGCCAAAUUUUUUUAUGCUUCCUACUUUUAACUAAAAAUGCUUUAGCCUCGGAUUCAUGACUCACUAGAUAAUCAAACACAGAACACAAGAAGUCAUCGUCAAAUCCUUCUUCCUCCAUCGACAUCACUUCUUCGUAAAGCUGUGAUGUCUUAUCCGCAGUAAAUUGUUUCAAAGUAUUAGCAAUUCUGCCAAGUUGUUCACCCACAAAUUUAAUUUGUUCAUCAACGACACUUUCUUGAAUAUUUUUUCUUUUACUUUUGGAUGUACCAGAUUAAUAUAAUUUUCUCUUUCAUAAUCUCGAUUCACACAAGGGUGAGAAGCAACUUCCUUCAUAGUUUUUAAUUUUUUAAUCCAAAUAGCCCCAAAAGCUAAAACUGAAGCCGCGACUCCGACAAUUGCAUUUUGAUGUUGAUUACAAUCUAUCUACACAAAAUAAUGCCACACAAAUAUUUGAUCACUACAAAAAAGAUGUAAGAUUUUCAUAAGAUCACAUAUUAAAAGUUACCAUGACUAAAGUGCAUACAUACAUAUCAACUAAUUAUAAUUGCAUUAAUAAUUUUUUAUUAAUGAAUGCAAACAUACUGGCAAAAACUAUUAGUAAAUUUUUUAAUCAUCUGAGAUAAAAAUAAAAAAAAAAUUAUCUAAGGUUAUUGGAAGAAAAAACAAUAAUCGGAUAUUAAUGUUCUAAAAAAAUUUAAGGAAUCACGUUAUAAGUUAUAAUUUUCAAUAUCAAAAUCAAAUUUUGUUUAUGUUUGGCCAUGAAUAAAUAAAAAUACUAUUUAGUAUUUGCUUAUAAAAUAAUCGAGUGACUGACAUAAUUAUCGAAAAAACAAAAUAAUGGAUUUUCAAAUAUAAACAAAAUAAUGGUUUUAUAUAUUUGUAAAUGAUGCAGUAAAACCCUUAUUAAAAUUUCAAAGUCUAAUAAUUCUAUGGGAACCUUUAGCAAGUAAAAUCCUAUAUUAAAAAUUAAGCAUAUACAGAUUUCAGAAGAUCACUCUUCUAAAGAAAGUCAAGUGUUUUAUUAUAAUAAAAGCAAAGCAUAAAAGCAACUUUUGAAACCAUUUCUAGGCCUCAGCUUCUUAGAAACACAUCUUCAGCAAAUAUAUCAUAUACAAGCUGAGCAUAGUAAAGAAAAUGCAGAAAUUGAAACAUAGGAAGCAGCUACAAUUCAAUUGUCUUUUCAUUAACAAGCAUUCAACAGCCAAAUUAAGUAAACUAAAGGACUUUAAUUCCUAUAGGAAUCAAAUUGCCAUAUCAUUUUUACUCGACAAAAAUAUUCAAUGAAAGCCAGAAAUAACCAGUUGAAACAAUAGCCCUUUAGCCAUUAAUUCUUUGCACAGAGCUCUACGUAUCCAAUAAGCUAAAUCUAGAAAUUCAAUAUAUGUUGAACUGAACAAGAAGGGAUUGAAACAUAACCUGCCAGUAUCAAAGGAAGUUGCAAACCGAGAAAUUAAGAUAGUUAAAUCAUAAAUGUUUUCACCCUUCAAACACAAGCCAAAGAGCCCAUUCUGAUGAAACAGAGGCAUCAAUGUUACUUAAGGACCUUCCUUUGUAAUCAAACAUGCUAGAUAUCAAAUGAACAUUCAUCACCCCUUUUCUCUAGCAUCAAAUACUAACAAAUUUAACUUCUAACUAGAUAAGUAAUAAACACAGGGUCCGGAAAUUCUUUCUGUUUUGACUACAUUGGAUGCUGUUAGAACAUCAAAAGCAUGGAUUAAAAUCUAAGCUGCGACCAACGACACAGUAAGUGGUAACCAGAGAAGACUGUCGGCACAGAUCAGUGAGAGCAAGUUACUAUUACCGCGACAGAGGUGACAUUCAGCAUAACCAGGGGCCAAAAUCUUUCAGUUACUAUUCCCAACCAUCAAAUAUAUGAGCAAGAAACCAAGAACAUAAAGGAACUAACCCAGAAACCGAUUCACAAAACUAUGGACAAGAAAUUUAAAAAAAAUAAAAAGAUCAAAAAUUUGCAGAAACCAACACAUCUACUACAAAAACUUGCAGAAAAAAGUAUAUUUUAUCAAUGAACUAAAAUAUACAGAAACCCCUAACACAUCCGGCUUCAAAAACUUGCAGAAACCAACAGAUCCCCUACAAACCAAACUCGAGCAGAAGAAACCCCUAACCUAGAGCUUGCAAUUUUACCUUCGAUGAACCAGCAGAGUUGAACCAGCACGCUAACGAGGCAAGCAAAGAGAAGAGGUGAACUAGCAGAGAAGACGAGGCAGAGAUGAUGAGGCUGUAAUCAUUAGGGUGAAGAGAGUGAAGAGAGGAGCUGUGGAAAAUGUCUUACCACAUAGAAAUCGGUAAGACAUUUUUCGGAAAGAAUGAAAUGAUUUUACCCGUGUUUUGGAAAAUGUUUUCCUUAGAAAUUCAUUUUCCAACAAAACAAACACCGUAAAAUCUAGAAAACGUUUUCCGGAAAAUAUUUUCCCCCUAUCAAACAGACCGUUGGAAGCAUUUCAUUGCCUGCAGGCUAUGUAUGAAGGCCUUCUUUCGGCUUCCUUUGUGUUCUGUAACUUCUAUUCAAGUAAUAUUUUCUUCUUUACUCGAUGCUUUGGUUGUUGAACCUCUUUGAUCAACAUGCUGAUUCUAGUGACAGAAUUUUUUAUUUUUGGGUUAUAAAGGAUGUCAUCUGAGGGAUUCAUUUAGAGGCUCAAGCAAGCUUGAAUUGUCCAUAUUACUAUUAAAAAAUAAUAAUAUAUUUUUAUAUUUUUUAUUUAGUUUAAGGGUAAAUUACACUAACUGUCCCUAAACUUUGUUUAAAUUACAUUUCAAUCACAUAGCUUUCAAAAGUUACAUGAUCGUCACUAACGUUACCAAAUUGUUACAUUUUUGUCACUCGGCCAUUAACUUCUAUUAAAAAAGUAACAUUGCACUUAUUUCAAAGGAUUAAUAGUUAAUUUGGUCCUUAAGCUAUAGUUAAAACAUCAUUUUUGAUGUUUUAAAAUUUUCUUAAAAAUGAUUGUAAAAAAAUAAAAAAAUAAAAGUCUAUAAAAAGUUUUAAAAUUUUCUUAACAAUUUUUUAACUAUAGCUCAAGGACUAAAUUAGUAACCCUUUGAAUUAAAGUACAACAUGAUUUGAUAAUGUUAGUGACUAUUAUAUAAUUUUUAAAAGUUAAGUGAUUGAAAUAUAAUUUUAAACAAAAUUUAAGGACAAUUAAUAUAAUUUACCCUUAAUUUAAAUUAUUAUUUUUAAUAUUUUAUUUCAAGUCGGGUCGGACUCAUCCGAUUUUAGAAAAACUUUGUCCACACUUCAUCUAAGUCGGGCUGAACGGGUAUUCUUGUCCUUUAGACAGGUCUUGUAGAAUUGGAACUUGAAUGUUAAGCUGUUUCACCCAAGAUUCUCUUGUAGAUUCCUUAGGAUUUGCUAGUUACUGAAUCUUUUAAUUUGCAAUUUAAGUCUUUCAUUAAGUUAAUGUCGGCAUCUCCGAUUUCUUGCUUUCAUCGCCGGUCCAGCCAGCAAGAUUCGUCAUCUGUAUGUUAAUUUAUCCCCAUAGUCGUGUAGCAAAUGGAACAUUGCACAUAUUGUAGCUAAACAUUUCUUCUUACAAUGAGUGGUGGUAUUUUGCUUGCCAUAUUCUCAUGUAGUUUACAUCUGUUCAUACAAUGAGUUGCUUGCUCCCAAGUUCAUUCUUCCGGUAAAGGUGAUCUCCGAUCCGUAUAUUUUGAAGCUUCUUCUUCCCCUUGGAAGCCAUCAUUAUAUCAGUUUGAUCAAUGUGUUAUAAUGUUUAUAUGGUAAAAGCUGUGAUGUCCUGUUCCAUUAGUGAAGAGCCGAUUGGCAGUGAGUUGAGCAAAAACAAUAAGUUCAACAGCUCUCGUUUAGAACAUAUUCUGCCUUGCUUAACUGGGCAGAGCCAACCAUUUCCUGUUCGGAGUUCGUAAUGUUAUCAGAGUAAUUUAUAGUCGACUAAUCAUUUUAUUGCAGCUUAUCUCUCAAUAUCCUUUUAGAGCAUCUCAAAGUAGAUGAUGACCGGAACGUAAUUGAACUGCAGUAUGUUAGUCGAUUCCCUUGAUGGCUUGCAUAUCAAUUCCAUUGAGGCCAUUGAUAAGCUUUUGUAAAGGCUGUGUAAGGGGUACAGGCAGAGACUACUUGGAGCAUUGUAUACCUAAAAGAUGCUCAUAUUAUAACAUUAGAAACACCAAGCUCCGAUCGCAACUCCAAGGUUUGUGGAAAACUGCUGCAAACAUGAGAAGCCUAAGCUAUGUUACUCGGACUCAAGUGGACUCGGAAACGAGUCUUUGUCAACAUAAAGAACAUUCAAUUCCAAAGAUAAGAAUAGUUUCUACUAAAGACAUUCUAGUCAUAUUCAAAUGCAAAUACAUAUCAUAAAUCGAAAAGCAUCAGAAAUAAUAAGCACUAAAAAGAAUCAUACUACUUUUUUUCUAGACAAUGAAACCAAGCUUUCCUUGUAACGAAUGGAUCGUCCUCUUAAUACUUCCUUUGACCUCUCAAUUUGCUUGGUUUUAGUAUUAUACCAAACAAUUCUCCCAUACCAAUCACUAAGGACAAGAAGCUCACCAUUGUUCUCAAAGCUCAUCACCGGUCGAAACAUUAGUCGAACUUCCAGGACCGGUACUUCGAUCGUCAACUGCUUAAUCCAAGAAUCUGAUACACCAUAUUCCUUCAUCACCCAUAAAUCAUAAACAUGCAUAUUUACUUUUUGUUUGAUGAUCAAGGAAAAGAAAUUUUGAUAUUCUAUAAUCAGUGCAUUCAGAAAGUAAUUCUCCUCUUGAAAAUCAGGAUGAUUUGGCAAAUUAAGCUCUCGAAAUACCUCCUCAUCAAAUUGAAAUGACAUGAUCAUCCUCUUAGAUGACUUUAGAUUUCGUCCUCCCCAGUGAAAGGCUCCAUUGAAAUACCCUUUACCUUGGAAUGAAGUUGUCAAAACGGACCUUGGAUUUACUAUUUUUGUACUUCUCCAUGAAUUCCUAUUCCAGCUAUAAACUUCAACCCCUAAUGAAAAUAGACAACAAUUGGGGUCUCUAACAUUUACUACAGAGUCCAGAAGCUUUACUACUACCACUUUAUAAUCAUUAAAUUUAGGACAAAACCCAAAGCCAAUACUAAGAACAAAAUCAUUAUAAGCAUGAUGACAUUCCGGAAGCUCCAAAAUUUCUCUAGUAGAAGGAUUGCAGAUAUAAAUACUCAACCUUUUAUCUUCCUUCAAGAAGAAAUAUAAAUUAUUACUUAAACAAACUAAUCCAUUGAUAGAACCAAUCAUGUAUCCGGGUGAUUCCCCAAAUAAAAUUUUGAUCGACAUCGAAACAUCGAUGCUGCUGCAAUUAAGAUAUUGCUUAAUGUACUUAUAAGGACGAGAUCCAUAAAGCAGAAAACCAACACUACUUUUACCGUAAUAAUCGAGAUGCAUGGCGAUGAAAACAGGAUCUUCAAUGAAAUAACGCCAUGAUUUCUUAACGCAUUUGAAUCGAAGUAAACUCUUCACUGACAGUCUUGAUAAGAUAUCUAUUUCGAUAUCGUCCGGAACUUGAAAACUUGGUGCAAUCUUCUCCCUUUUCACCAUCUUUGUUUGCUAAAAAAGUAGAGGUUUUCUAUCAAGGUAUUGCCGGCGUAAACAGGUUUUUUUUUUUUUAAUAUUAUAUACAUAUUAAAAUUGGACAGUUUCAAGCUAGCCUGUUCCACUAAACACGGGCAGCAACUCAAGAAAACUCCCAAAUGAAUUACUUUUUAUUAAAUUCAAUCGACUACCAAAUAAAUUAUCUUUUUUUAUUUUAAAAUGUCAAAUAAGCAAAUUUAAUAAAAGAAAAUAUAAUAUACUUAACAAUUAAACUUAAAUUUCAAAAUAUAAUAAUUAAAUUUUAAAUUUAUCAUAAUUUAAUCAUUCAAAAUUUGUUAGUUCCACUUAAACCUGUUCAUGAGUUAGGUUAUCCACCCAAGCUCAAACGCCAGUUUGAAAUUUGGGAGGAUUUGGUAAAAAAACAUUAGGCUCGAAAAUGAGAUUAGACAAAAAAAUUAGGCCCAAAGGCCCGUUUUUAAGUUUAUAAUACUUAAUAUUAUGUUAUUUUUAUAUAUUAUAUAAUUUAGAACACAUUAAAAAAAUAAACAUAUACUAAAUAUAUAAUACUACUCUAAUUUAAAUAUUAAAAUAAUGUUAAGAUGACUAUAUAAAAAAUUUCAAUAAAUAAAUAUUAAAAUAAUAUAAUAUAAUAUAAAUAUAUUUUUUAAAAAUAAAAAUAAUAUGGACGGGCUUAAAAUGAACUUAAAUUAGUCUUUUGCAAAUAUGGAUGGAUUUAAAUAAAAUUUUAAACUCAAAUUUCAAACCGAGUCGAGCUUGGACAAGUUUAAAGUAUGCACCAUAUUUAGACCCGGCCCAUAAGCUCCUCUAGUUCCACUCCAUCGUCUCAUUUCCACACUACCCAAUUCAAACACGACUCCAUUAUCAUUAUGCAUCAUCUCCUUGAGUUCCCUGAUUCCUUGGGCUCGUCACUUGAUACUCGUGUUGCAAUUCUCUACAGAGUUUGAUUCACUACUUGCUUCAUACAACUGAAUGUUCUUGCUUGAUUCAUUUUUUGAAACAUACAACUCCCUCCAUUUCACCAUGUUGGUGCACAAGAUGCAAUGAGGUUUCAAAUGCUGUUCUAUGAGAUUUAGUAGUAAAAUUUUUCUCUAGUUAAUGUCCCAUAGACGUAGGUUACGUCCAAACAUUGUUUUUUUUUUUUUUUUUUGUUAUUCUAAUAGUCCAUGUUUGCGUGUUUCUGUUACAAAAGGUGUGCCCACUUCACUAACCUCACCACAUUACCAGUUCUAGUUUUCACACCUCAACUCUCUCCAACUGAUUCACCAUUAGCAGCAUAGAUCCAAAGCUAAAGGCCCUGCAUCUUUAAAGGCUCUCCCCCAAUCAAGAUGAAAUCACCCCAUAGCCGAGCAGUCUUCUUAAAUGUAUAGUAAGACCACACGAGAAUAGGUAAGCCGUGUAACUCUAUUUUGCAUUGUCCAAGGUUCAAUGGUCGUGAACCAUUCCUCAAUGACAACCAGCUUAAGCUUUCCAUCAUCGUCAAACUGGAUUUAAAAUUACUAUCUUCUUAACUUUAAUGUCCAAGACUCCUUCCAUUUUGAUAUUCUCUUUUUUAAGUGUUAAAAGUUUCAUAAUAACAUCGAGGUAUCCCCACCAAACUUCUCCAAUCUUUGUACAACUUCAUCGUUGAUUUGCUCCUGUUAUCACCUUCAUAUUUCUAAUAACAUUGUCAACACUCUUUUCUCAAUGGGUUCUUCUCCAUUCUUAAUUUUGUUCACAUCACCACUAGACUCACCUUCCUAUGAAUAUUUAAUCCGUCCUUAGCCUCAAUAGCAAGCCUUUUUGUUUCUUACUUGAAUGUUCAAACAAUGGAUGUUACGCAUAUUUAUGCUAAAAAAAUCUUAUUUAAGUUAUAUCGUAAACACCAAUCAUUUGUGUUCACAUCAUCAUUCUUAUCUAAAACAUAAUUUUUAUCUAUAUCCUAAGUAUCAUCUUAUCUUAAAGCUUAUCCAAAAUUUAGUAGAAGGAUUUUGAAUGGUCACUAAAAAAUAAUAAUAAAUCUAAUUAAAAUAAAUAAUAGCAACAAUAUUUUAAAUUAAAAUAGCAUUAUCUCAACAAUUGUUCUGUUGAAUCUUGCCAAUGUCAAGUCCUCAAAUCAUUCUGUCUCGUAAUUGCACAACGAGCAUUCUGCAUAAAAACAUCUCUCAAAUAUCUCUAUUAUUAUUUAAACAUUUUACUAAAUUGAUGUCAUAAACAACUCAAUUGAAAAAACCUCUAAAAAUAAUUAUUUAUAUAAAAUUAUAUUAUUAAGAGUUUAGUUUGUUGUUUUAAAAUAUUUUUAUAUAAAAUCCCACACAUAACCAAACUUGAAAACACCAUAGCAUUAAUCUUUACCAUUUGAUUAAAGUUUAAUCUAAUUUUUAUGUAAACCUUUAUCAAAUAUAUAUUUUACAAUGUAAAAACUUUGUUUGAACCAAUAUGCAUGUUGAAAACGUACUUUUGGGACCCCCUACAUAAUUAAUGAUUAUAAGAUGGUAUAUAUCCUCUCAUCGUGAUUUAUCGCCACCGAAGGCUCAGAUUCACAGCUUAAGCAUGGAUUCAUGAAAUAUGAUUAAGACAGGUCGUAAAGAACAAUAAUAUUGGUUCAAAAAUGGAGCUUCUCAUUAACUAGGACAUAACAAAAAACGAACUUUUAUCCAUAAAUUGAACUAAAACAAUAGUAAAUGUUCUUAAACCAUUUCUAAUAUCUCCACCUCCCUACUAAGAGCAAAUGGAACACAACUUAUACAAGGUGGCCUCUACCGUAACAACAAUCACCAUGAAUAAAUAUAUAUGUUAACAAUAACCCUUUAUCCUUCCUGACUCACGAGUCAAUCAAAACUUGGUUCACUUGGAGAGUGAGUCAACUUCUCAAGCCACCUUGCCUUGCUUCAUAAUUGAUGCUAUUCGAUCUCUAUUCUCCGAAACUUAAUGUUGAAAUAAACAAAAGAUAAAAUUUGCUCCGUUCUGGCUCCUUGCUGUGCUCCUCUCAGUUUUACUUACAACUGCUGGUGCUGGAAAAUUGCUAGUAAGAAGAAUCAGAACAUGGUACAAACAACCUAUCCCAUCUUAGAUUCCAUUCAUUUUGAUGAACAGCUGAUGAAUUAUCAUUUCUCUUACCCUGUUUCCUAGUCAGAAUCAGCAUCAGUAUCUGGAUCAGCAUCAACAAUGCCUGGAAAUGAGUCCAUAGAUGAGUCACUAUCCAAAUGCACCAUAGAUGAACUACCCUUCUCGGCAUUUCGCAAGGUUGAUGAAGUUUUUCCAGCAACAUGAUCAAAACCAUCAACUUUAUCCACGCAAGAGAACAUAUCAUGAUUGGUAUCAUUUAAUCUAUCACUAGCAGAAAGAGGCGUCUUAGAUUCUAUUUCACUACCUUCAGGAUUUGUUCCAACUGCAGGACUCAUGACGGCUUUUGCAGAAGCUACUCCCUGAGACUUUGGAACUGAUUCUUCUAAGUGACAGGGCUGCACCACAAUUUCAUUUUCCGUUCUCAUAUGCACAUCUGCUGCUGGCUCUUGUUCCCUUACCUCUAAAACAUUUGUAAAUGAUGGAUCAUUUGGUCUUGAUGUUUGAUCCUUCAUAUCCUCAACAGGAAUGUUUUCAUUUUCAUUUUGAUUUUCGUUUUCGUUUUGUAGCCACCUGUCAUAUAAAUCAUCAUCAUGUGACUCAACACCACCUUGUUCUGUUCUACGCAUGUCACUGAGAAACGAUGUAUUUUGCUUCCGACUGCCAGAGUAAAUAUUUUCUAGGAAUCUAUUGCUAGCUCCAUCAGUAGAAUUAUGACAAGCAGAGUAGAAAUCAUCUAGUGGAAGGGCUCUAGGAUGUAUGAGCACCUCCAGUGCAAACAAAGCAUAGGCACAAAAUUGGGCGAGCUUCAUUCCAGCUUCUUGUUUACCUGGAAUAGCCAUAUAAUUACAGUUAAACAAAAUGAAGUAUGGCACAAAAGUUAACAAGAAUCUAUAUAUGCAACAGACUAUGGAAAUGCCUGCACAAUGUUUUUAACUUAUUAAUUAUUUGACUUUACAGGCUAAGCUAGUUUUUUGCCCUGGCCUCAAUUUGGAGUGAAGCAUAAUAAGUACUACAAAAGAGGAGUUCCAAGAGGUCAUUUGAGCUGAAAAUGAAUUUAGUUUAUGGUUGAACCCUAAAAGGCAUUGUUAUAUUUAGGUUAAUUUCAGCUAUUAGACCCUAUACUUUGCGUAAGUUGUGGAUUUAGUACUUGUACUUUAAUUAGGUCAUUUUCAAUCUCUAUACUUUUAGAAUUUGAAAAUUUUAGUCCUAACUAAAUAAUAACUAUUAAAUUCAUUAAGUUCUGUUAUUUUAAAAUUUUGAUGUGUCAAACAAAUUAUCACGUGUAAUGCUAUGUUUGUUUGUUAUUUUCACAUUAUACUCGCAAAAAAAAAAAAUUUAAUAGAUUUAACAACUGUCGUUUGCAUUAAGACUAAAAUUUUGAAAUUCAUAAAAUAUAACCACUAAGAAUGAUCCACUUGGUGAACGUAAACUAAAUCUAUAACUUUAUAUAUAAUAUAGGACUAAUGACAUAAUUUAAUCAACCAAAUUUAAUUGCUACCAUUGGGUCGGGACUAAAAUUUAAAAAUUCAAAAAGUACAGGGACUAAAAUUGAUCAAAUUAAAGUAUAGGUGCUAAAUCCACAAUUUACACAAAGCACAGGGUCUAAUAGCAGAAUUUGACCUUAUUUUUAUUACCAUCUCGAGGAAAAAAAUUUGUUCUUAUUGUCAUUUUACUAAAUGUAAAACAAUGUUACCAUGUAGAAAAUAGUUACCUCUACGAAAAAGCUCAAGCCCUUGAGAUAAAUAUGGUGGUCGGGUGCGAGCUGGGGCGAGCAACGAUGUCAAGAGUGCACGUAAUGAUGAGAACUGGAAAUCUGCCCAUACUGAGGCUGAUUCAUGAGGCAAGAAAAUGUUGCUUUCCAAAUUCCCCCAUCCCCUUUUACAUGAAUUUAUGGCCGUCUUCAUUAAAAGACUAUCAAUGCUUGAUCGCCAACUCUCAGAUUUCGAAGCAGCACCCUUUGACAAAUAAACAUGACAGUAUUAUAUUCAUUGAAUACUUGACAACCAUUAUGAACCAUAAAACUGCAGACUUCCUGUAAAUCAUGUAGAUAUAGUUUCUCUGGAAAACAUGAUAAAAACAUCAUCAUGUAUGUAUUUAGGUUGAGUUCAAUAGUAUUUACUAUAAGACCAAUCAAGUACAAUUAUCCAGAAAAAAAAAACGUAGAACAAACAUUUUUCUAUUAGUUGGACAAUAACUAUUUGUAUACAUAUAUAAAAUAUGAAAAUAAAUGUCUUCAAAAAUAUCUUAAUAUUUUGGCCAAAAAAAAAAACGAACAAACAAUCUAAAACAAACAUCACAAGCAAAUAGUUUAGCAUAAUAUUAUUUUGUUUCAUCUAGUUUUGCUUACAAUUCAAUUUUAUCAACUUAGUUUCUAUAAUCCUUAAAGAAUGGAAAAGAUAUACAAAUAUAUAAGCUGUUUUACUAUCUUAUACUUCCAAUUAGGGGGAAAAAAGGAAUUUGGUCCAUAUUUCAUGUUAUGUUACUUCUUUCUCUAUACAGUAAGCCAAUGACAAUUUAUUCUCUCCAUGCAUAUGUACAUAUGUAUACAAAUAUAUACACAAACACAUGUAUAUAUGAUAUAUCAAGCUAGCAAAGUUGUCAAAUGGCAAAAUUUUCUAGAAAUAACAUACCACUGUAAGGAGGACUUCCAAAGUGUCAAGUGCAGCCAUUUUUACAGUAAUUGGAGUCAUUUGAUGGGUAUUGGAUUCUCCCACUUUUGGACUAGGUGCAUCUCGCUUCUCCUCCAGAGAUCCAGUUUCAGCACCAUGCUUUCUUUUCCUAUUGCUAAGCUGGGGCAAAGCUCCAGUAGCAGGACCUGUGUUUGCAGGGGAUGUCUCAAUAUCUUCACCGCCAAGAGAAUUCAGAUCAUUAGAAGCAUUCUCAAUGACAUCUGGUGCAAGAUAUAUAGCAAUCCCUGGUUUAAAAGAAAAAAGGUUGCAUAUUAGUAUUUCAGUCAAAGCUCAUCUCCAUGACAAUAGAAGACCACUAUGGUUAAAAAUCAAUACUUAUAGUCCUAAAUGAUAAAAAGUACCAAUCUAUUCCUGUGUACCAUUAGUAUUCUAAAGCACUAUUCCUUUAGCAAAUUAGAUUGUUAUAUGGAAAAAAGAAUUUAAAAAGACAUAAAUCUCCGACCUUUCAACUUUCACCAAGUUUUAUGAACAUUUAGCAAAUGGAGUCUUAAAAACUCUACAUUCAUUCAUUUAUCAAAAGUAUUAUUAAUGCAUUUAAUGUAUAGCCUCAAAGUGUUAAAAACUUUGUUUCAAGAUAUUUUUCUUUAUUUCUUUUCAGAAUAUAGCCACAAGCCCAUAAAUAACCACAAGCUACUCCUAGUCUCCUAUACUGCAAAGCAACAGCAGCAAAUACAAAACAACCAACAAAUAGCCAAAUUAAAUUAAAAAGAGAAGAAGAAGAAGACAGCUAUUAACAAGGAGAAUGAUCUGAGCAAAACUGCAUCAACAUUGAGGAAAAAACCUUUGGUUGCCAGAAAAAAGUACUGCUUUAAGUUGCAAGCAGGACAUAAUACUCAGUAGUCAGUACCAAAUUGGUGGCAAUCAGUAGGCCCUAUGUAGCUACUGUUAAAUAUUCUACUAUCCAGAAAUAUCAUUUCCAGAAACUUCAGAAAAGUACUUAUCCAAAAUAAUGUUUUAUCUCUGCCACGUUGAGACUCAAUUCUUCAGACAGAUUCUCAUUUAUUUUCAUUCUUAGAUUGGACAGUUUGACAAACCUACAUGUAAGUUGGCACUAGAACUCAAGGGUAUGCUAUUGUCCUUUCCCUCCCUUACCCAGUUUCUAUUUUGAAGCAUUAAAAGCACAGUCUGGAAAGAUAUCUCAUUUGAGCAGAGUAAAAGAUCCCAGGCUCCUGGCUGAAUUUUCUGAAUAUGAUGGAGGUCUAAAGCUUGACAUGUAUCAAAAGAAUUACUGGAAAUGCAAAUACAUGCAUGACUGAAGAUACGAACUAGCUGCUAAUAACCAAAAAAGAAGGGAAAGAAAUAGUAAUAGACUGAUGUUUAAAAGCAUAGGGGGUAAAUUUUAUAAAGGUUUUCAAAGAAUUACUCCUUACCAACACCCAUUGACACAAGCAACAUCCGUAUGAUUGAAUAGAGCUUUAUCCUCAAUUCUGGAAGAGAACAUCUUUUGAAAUAUCUUGUAACUACUCUCACAAUGUAUGCAGAAUGUGGUAACAGUUGCCUGAAAACAAAAUCAAGAUAAAAAAAUAAAGCACAUAUAUUUACUCAAAAUCGAUCAUCGAAAAAUUACACAUGACUGAAAUCUAUAAGAAAUAUAUUAUACAAAUACAUACGCAUAGAAAAGUGAAGAAAAUAAUCCAAGAAUAUCUACAAAAAUGGAAGUUGGCAAGGAGCAAGCAGAUAAUUACUUAAAGGAGGGACCAUAUGUUUUACUAAUAUUAAGUUCAGAAAAGAUCAGUAAGGGUUUAAAGCGAAGCAUGUGGUGAAUGAGGCUAACAUGACUUUUCAAGAGGAUAAUACCUCUGGUUCUCUUAUUCUACUAAGGUGUAUUGCUCACAAUCUCUUUCAGAAUUUAAAGAUAUUUUGAACCUUAACAGUGUAACAUCUUUAAAUUGAUUAGCAUUUAAGUGUUCUUGUGUACACUAUAUAUGCUAAGAUAUGACCACUUUACUUUGGCAUUCUUCAUAACUUGUGUGUUUGUAGACAUCCAAAAACACCACUGAGAAAGAUAUAAGCAAUUGCAUUAUGGAAUAAGCACUGGUGCAUACACAACAAACAAACAGAUUGGUAAUCACAAUAAUACAGAAGAUAAGAAGGUGAAACAUUUUGAAUAUAUAAUUGUAUUUUAAAACAAACAUAUUAGGAAACAUGCAUAGAUAGACAAAGACAUAAAAAAAAAGGAAUUAGCUGUCAUUUCAAAGUAGACAUACGUCAUAGAUGCGAGCAAAGGAUUGAUGUGGUUGGUCUUGACAAGGAAAUUGUCCUUUUGUUCCCAAUUGAUUCAUAUAGGUUGAAAAGAGAACAACCAACGAUUGCACCCAACUUAUGACAAAAAGUCUAGCAAAGAAUUAUGAGUAGAAAAGAUAGCCUAAAGAGAAGGGCCGGAGUUUAUAUCUCAAUUGUGCUAUUUUCAGUCCCUCUACUGCAAUUUUAAUGGUUUGAUCCCUAUAGUUCAGUUAAAAGUCAGAUUUAAGAAUAUUGAUAAUGAUAUGCAGUUAAUUCAACACUGUGGCCAUUUUGUUCAUUACGCAACAUGUUAGCCUCAAAUUUUUCUACAAUGCGCAAGAAAAAGCUUUAUUUUUAAUUAAAGAAAUUACUAAACCCUUUAUAGAAAUUUUCCAGAAAGAUAAUUAUUAUUCAAUCAAAAUAAUAAAUUAUUCUUUUAUACUGUUAUAUUUGCAUAGAAAAACAUUAAUCCACCUCAUCAUAUCAGAUUAUUACCAAAACACUGCAUAACCCAAGUUAUAGGCAAAUAUUAACACCUUAGUUAAAUUGGAAGGACUAAAUUCAUUAGAAUUGGAGUGAAGGGACUAAAUUGCCAAAUUUAGUUAAUAGAAGAACAAAACUCAAACUUCGAUCAAAGAGAAACAUAUCAGAAAGAAACAUAAAAAGAGCACUCUCCUUUUCGCAGGUACUUUCAGUUAGAUAUUUAAGCAAUCGACGUAAGAGCAGCAGUUUAAGGUUUGUAUUUAAAGGGGAAAAAGGUAGAGCCACAUAUAUUCUAGUAUAAUAAAGAUUGCAAACCAGAAAAAAGACAAAAGAAAAAGAUCAAAUAUGCCUACUUUCUUCUAAAGAACUGUAAGAACAUUGUAGUAAAACAAGUAGCUCUUUGUACCUGCGCAUCCCCUUUAUAAUUGCAAUGAGAAGCUCCAAACUAUAAGCAUGCAAGACCGGAAGCUCAGAACAAAUUAACUCUUGUUGCACAGAAGUCAUAAAGGGCAACAUGGUGUGUGGCAAAGAACCAUCAACUCUCAGCAGCCUCUCGACAAGAGCUAACAUCGACCGAACUGGAACAGUAACCUGUUAACCAAAACAUAUAAUGUUGCUGAAAAGCAUGAUUCUGAUGGAGCAGUAGCUUAAAAGAAAGAAAAAAAUAAGCCAGAAGAAUCUUUGACUCAAACUUAUAAAGCCACAUUUACAUAUAUUGCAUUUUCUAUUUCAAAAGUAAAAGAAAAAGCCAAUGAUAAUACCUGAACUGGAUAUGAACUUGUGAGCAUUUUACAGCAGCAAAACAUAAGAGUAGAGAUAGUUGCUGUAGGCAGUCUCUCAGAACUUGUUCCCUUAAAAGAGGCACCUCCUAAAGGUAAUGGCAGAUCUUUGCCAGGGGGAACCAAUAAUCUCCUAGCUUCAUCAGAUUUAGCUUCUGCAAGUUAUUCAAAGUACAGUCAUUUACUUAUUUAUCUUAACAAUAAAUGGUGAUUUAUCCAUAAAGGAGUUAAAUUAUAGUAUUAUACCUUCUUCUACACCUUGAAAGGCUUCAUUGAGGUGAUCAUUAAUUGAUAUCAUAAAUUUUUGCAUCAUUAAUGACCAGCUAUCCUUGUCUCCUUUUGCUUUGGGGAGCAAUGCUAAGCAAUAACCAAGUUUCUGGAGAUUGAACCAGACCAAAAAAUAAAAUUAAAGCAUGUAAUGGAAUUUACCCAUGCUACCUUUUUUUUCACCUUUUCUUUUGUAUUCAUGCCAUAAAACAGGGAAAAGAAACAUUUUACCUUCAAUGUUUUAGUACUAUAUUUCCCUGAAAGAAUUUUUGAAGCAAUAGCAGCUUCAACCUGCAAAAAUUAUUUUCGACCAGUACAUAGUAAAUUCGUUAGCAGGACGAAUCUAAUAAUUGUAUUAAGGUGUAGUUCAGUUGAAAGAAAUCCUUUUAUUCCUCUCUGACAUCAAUAUGCAAAUAAAACUAUAACAGCUGAGGUUUGAUUUCUCCUAUCAUAUUGAAUCUAAUGUAUGAAGUAUCAUAUAUGCUCCCCAUGAUUUUAUGGAAUCUUACGAAUCAUAGCAAAUAUGCCCCUGAUAUAUUAUUUAAGAUUUAUCAGACAAACAAUUUUUAUGUAUGAAGUUUAACAAUAUUGAAUCAUGUUGUCUACUAUACUUCUCUAUCACCCAACCUUUCUCACUUCUUCCUCUUUUUCCUUUGGCACAUGACUGCAGAGAUUGCAUGUUAUCAUAUUUGAGCAUUUUGCAACCCUAUAAAGCACAAGAUUAAGCCACGGAACAUAAACCAAAUCAUUAAUGUUUUUAAUAUCCAGCUAAAGAAGCUUCUUAUCUGUGGACAGCAUGUUUCUUCAGCUUCUAUUCUCAACGUAUAUGAGUUUGUAUCUACAUAGCACACGAGUUGACAUGGGACAUGAGUUCAUUCCAGACAUUGUUAAAUAAGAUUAACAUUUUUUCCAAAAAUAGGUCAAACAAAUAAAACCUACAUAUUUCUGUUCAUCGCUUUGUUUCUAUUACAAUUUAAUGGCCUAGAAGCUUUUAAAAUUCAAUCCCAUAAAAUUUGAACUUAUUAUAAACUCUUUUUAAAAUUGAAAGGAACCAGAAGUUGGCAUAGAAUUCAAACAUAACAUGGGGACGCAAUACAUUCAAGCACCCUAAAAAAUAUGCCAUAACACCAAUAUCUUCUUUUUCUAACACUUUAACCCCCCACCCCCGAAAAAAACUCCUUCCAGUCCCAGCAACCAUAAGCUGCACCUGAUAUGCAUCAAAACACAUCCGAACCAAGUCUAUAACUGACGUAGAUACAACAAUGAUACGUAGGGAGGGGGGGUAGGAGGAGAUAUUCAUGCUCAUAGGUCUUAACAUUACCAACAAUUAUUGAGAGUCAGAAAUUUCGUAAUGCAAAUAAACUUACCUUGUCAUAAUAGUGAUGGAUAGAAGCUGGAAAGAAGGCUAUAAGGGCAUAUAAUAAAUUAGCUGCUCCUUCCUGUCACGACAAAACAAGGACGGUAAACAACACUUCGAAGCAACAAGACAAGCAAAUAGAAGAAUCAUCAUUAUUUACAACUUAAGUCUGUAUCCCUAUGAUUCCUCCCAAGUCUAAAAAUGAAUUUCAACUGAUGUUGCCUCUAUCUAAAUGAAACUAUAGAUGCAUGUGAAAGAAUAAAUGAAUGAAAAAAAUGCAUUUCCAUAUCUUUCUGAAUAUGAGCUACUAUCCCUUAUUAUAAGACUUGUUCACACAUUAUAAUAAAUAUGUUCUAAACAUUGUAUGUUUUGAAGAAAAAGAUAAUAUUAAUUGUAAUAAAAUCUAAUCAAAGAACAAGUACAAUGUUUUGAGACAUUUCUAUCCAUACAAGCUUGGAAGGUACAGCAGGAAAAAAAACCUAGAAAUACACUACAUACCCAAACAGCCUCCACAUUAUCCUCAUUUAAGAGCUUCAAAACCGGUUGGAUGAGCUUCCCAGCAAGCAAGUUCCCAUCUUUCUUUACCUCUGGAAAUCUAGCCAAUCUAGAUCAGCAAAAAGAGCAGUUCUCCAAGUUACAAAAUAGUAUGAUAUAUGUCAUAGUGAACUUUGAGCUUUAAAAUUUGCUGUUUGGAGCAAUCUCUGACACAAAACAGAGGCAGCUGAAGCAAAAGUGUUGUCAAUAUGCAAAAGUAAACAACUUAUGCUAAUAUAAGAGUUAGUUAGAAAAAGCUUUGGAAAUUUAUGGUGAAACAAAACCAUAUUAGGAGAUCUACGGUUGUUCAUAAUUAUGAAGAAAUAGAAAAUGGCCGGAUCUUAUCCAAAAUGCAUACAAACAUCUUGACUAAUUCUAUGACUACAAUACUCAUUAAAUUUUGACUUUAACCCAACUGUCAACUGUACUAAGCUUCCCUCCAUUGAAUAAGUAAUCACCAAAAUUUCUGUCGAUAUCAUAUUCAAAGCAACUGCUAUCAGCAUAAAUAUUACAUGCAAAAUAUAUAUAAAACAAUGCAUUGACAAGCACAUGAGUGCAUAUGCAUAUGUAAGUACCUGUUCAGGCUAUACACGUGUUUGUUGGCAAGAAAAACAAAUAUCUAACCUCGUCAAUAGAUCUGCUAGUGAGGUACAUGAAGCAAUCUUCACAAGUUGAGAGUCUGCUGGAGGCUGUUUAGAACAAAGGAUAUGACAUGUAUUGUCAAGUACAUCAAAAAAGAAUGUAAAGAACUGCAUCAAAAUAUGCCUAGGAGUACACACACACACCAAUAUACAUUAUACAUUGAAAAGAAAUUCGAGCUUUCAUAAAAUUCAAGGAAAAGUCAUGACUGUUAACUACAAGAAAAAUAUCAAAGUUCCAGUACUUUUUGCAGCAUAAGAAACAUAUAUGAUUCAAUAUCACAAAUACUACAAGCUUUAUAGCUAACAUGCUAUCUACUACUCAUAAAUGACAGAGUUAGAAAAUCUAAAAUGCAAACCAAAUGAAAUUGGAAGAACUACUUGAUUUUGAUCUCUACCCACAUCAAUAUCACGCCACCUACAGCUUUUGUCUCUAACUCUGUAUAAACUAAAUAGGGCACAGGUACUCACUCACAUUAAUCUCUUGAAUAAAUUCAUUCAAAACUUUUCAGCCUAUACACAUACACAAUCCUGAAACACAGAAUCCCAGUAUGUUUAAUCUUCAAUUACUCUCUCCCUAAAAGCAGUUCAAAGUCAGACAUAACACAUCUUGUAGAUGUUUGCUAAACAGAAUCAUGUUAAAUACGUUCAUCUAUAACUAACAGAUUAUUGAUGGCUCCUUAAAUGUUAAAUUCUUUGCAAACUUCUAUGUGUUCUUACGCAACCAAUGUAAACCAGAUUUAGAUCUAUCCACUGGAAAUACAGGAUUUGAUAUGCAUUCCCAUAAAACUUAAUUAACUUCACAGGGUAAAACUGCAAUACUUCAUGUACAAAAACAUGAUUCUCAGAAUCAUACCCAAAAAAUAUGAUACAAAGAACAUUUUGGAAACCAUACAUAAAUCAUCAUGGUUAUAAACAAUUACAAUCUAUCAUAGUAGUAUGUUCACAUCAUCAGUCCUUAGAAAAUAAAUUAAAGAAAUACAAAUAAAUAAAAAAGUCCCACUUGCACGAAGUUUAAAUAAAGUAGAUAAACAAGUAGACAUAAAAAACAAUGUCAACACAAUAUUUCAUAUACCUGAAUAUGUGAUAGAAGCUUGUUGAGCCAAAUAGAGUAAGAAGACAAAAACCGUUGAUUACUGCACUCUUGACAAGUAACCCCAAGCAAACAGAUUCCAACCCAACAUUUAUCUGACUACAAAAUUUUACAUAAGAUGAAUAAAAUACGAUUGGGGGCAACAAAGAAAAUUUAGGCAGAGUUACAAUUUUAUCAUUAAUAAGAAUGAACCAGAAUAAAGCCAAAUUACACUCUCUCUUUUUUCUUUCAUCAAUAAAAGAAAUCUCAAAUUUUAAUUCUUCAACUUUCGAAAACAGAAACUACACAUUAGUAACAAAAAAACAAAGUAACAGAGUGAUGCUUCAUAACCCAAAGCUCAGAGCUAGAACAUUCUUUUAUUUUCAGGGAAAAGAAAAUGUGAAAUAAUCACAGGUCAUUCAUUUUAAACAGGAAAAAGGAAAACAUUUAGAAACUCAAAAGAAAGAAUUGAAACAUACCAUAUCGCUAGAGAGCAGCGAUAACAAGCAAUUGAGCCAAUCAUCGACGGCUGAUUUCCAGGUGUUAAUGAGCUUUGGAUCGAUGGAUUGUGAGUCCAAUUCCGACAAGAGACAGUGAGUUUGGACGAUGGAAACCAGGCUUGGCAGCUCAAAACAGCUGUUGUUGAGAUUGAGAGGGUGGUUCUCGGCAGGAAGAUAUUGUCUAAUCAGACUGCGAAGCAUCACUGGCUUCAAUCCCAGGUCGUACAUGUUUUCUAAUUGAUCGAACCUUGCCAUUAUUCAAGAAAUGGAAUUGCUUUUUUUUUUCUUGGUGCUAACCAUAAAAAUGCAAAAUAAGUUGUUUUUUUGUUAAUAAGGGUUUAGGGUUUAUGUUUGACAGAAGAAGAAAGAAAACCAAAAACCUGCAACUAUCUAUACAAUGACAAUUAAGCCCUGCCUUAAACUCUUUUGAAAUUUUUUUACUAUUAAUUAUUAAAAACAUUUAUUAAAAUCUUAUUAAAGAAUAUGAAAAUAAAUGUAUUACUUUUAUUUAAAUAUUAUAUAAUAUAAAUAAAUUUUCAACAAAAUUUUUAAUUUGUUAGUGUCACACAUGUAAUUUUUAAUUAAUUUAUAAAAUAUAUAUUUUUAAUUACUAUAAUUAAUAUAAAUUGAUUUUCGUUAUUUGAAUUAUUGAACAUAAUUAGAGUGUAGUAACUUAUUUAACAAUUCAAAUUAUAAUAGUAAUAAUAAAUUCCAAAUCACAAAACAUUUUUACCAUAUUUAGUGUAGAAUAUAGUUUUACUUAAUAUAAUUAAUAAACAUAAUUAAUUUAUAUAAAUUAUUUUUGUCACACCCCAAAUCUGACAGAUUCAAGAUUUGGGCGUGUUUUAAUGAAAUAAUAUAUUUGAUGAAGUGUACUUCACCUGUAUGUUUCUUUUGGCUUAAACAUGUGGGUUUAUUAAUAACUGUCUUGUAAGUAGGUAAAUGUUCUAUUUCAGAUUAUUAUGUUAUUUGAAAAGAAAUAUUUUGUCAAGUAGAAAGAUAAUUAUAGUAUGAGUUAACGUCAAAGGUAUAGUACACCCUGUUUGUCCAAAGUACUGUAUUAGUUAAGUUGUAAGGUAAUUUGGUUAGGAACUAACUAGAUAGAUUGGUCUGAUAUUUAUUCUAUCGGAUUCUCAUUUAUAUUUUUCUUAGAAAUUGUAGACCAUUAUAAUGGACAACUCUAAAAAUUUAUGGCACUUGUUAAGUUCCACUAAGAAGAAAUAGGUGAUAUAUGUGUGUGUGAAAAGAGUUCUAGGGGAAGGUUCUUCUUAUUUUUCUUCCUCCUUAAAAAUGCUACUCAUUGAUUCUUUUUCUUAUAGUCUAAAUGUAUUUCUUCCUCGUGAUGCUGGAAGCUAUGGUUCUCAAUUACUGAAUGAUUAUUCCAUUUCCGGGUAAGUAUUACAGCUCCGCAUGUUAGAUUUUGAUUGAGCAAGUUUGUAAGAGAUAUAUGAACAGUAAAGCUUUUGGUGUAAGGUUUUGCAUGAGGUUGUCAAUAGUUGAAGUAAAUUGUAUGUGUAAGAUUUGUAAUAGUGAAUUUAUGUCCUAUAAGCAACUGUUGUUGCUGGUUCGAGAAGGAUGUUUGAGUCUAAAACUUAGAUGCAGUAAAUGAGAAUCAGGUGAGUGUUUAUCCUAACUCUUUUAUGUGACUUGUUCAAUGGAAGUAUAACUAUAUACGUAUAUACGGGAUGAUGAUGUCUUCAAUAAUCAGUAGAAGUAUAAGUAUAAUGAAGAUGAGAUUUGUGCUAUGAAGAUGUGUAACAAGAUCUGUUAAAAUGAAUAAUGUUUUAUAAGCACGCAUGUAAGGUCUAAAAUACAAUAUGUAUAAACAAGUAAAAGUGGUGAACAUCUGGGUAAGUGAAUGUUGAGUAUGUGUUUCUUUGUGAAGCCUCUGGUAAGACAAUUAUAUUGCUAACUAGACUGGCAAAUCACGGUAUGAAAACAAAAGUAAGAUCAUGAGUUUAAACCUAUAGCAUCUUAAUACGAUUUGGAACCAUUCAUGGUGUAGCCUCUAGUAAGAUGAAGACUGGACUAGCAAAGCACGAUACGAAAAUGUACGUAAGACCAUGAGGUUGAGACCUAUGACAUCGUAUGAUAUGAAAACACUCAUGGUGCAGCCUCCAAUAAGAUGAAGACUGGACAGGCAAAUCACGAUACAUGAGAAUGUGCAAGUUCAUGUGGUUGAGAUCCAUGGCAUAAUAUGUUUGUAUAUAUGUUCAUGGUGUAGCCUUCGAUAAUGUACAAAUUGAAAUGGCAACUCACGAUACAUGCACUUGUGUAUAAGUCCAUGAGGGAGAAAUCCAUACCACCUUUUGUGAGAGUCCACCGAGAUAUUAAAGACAUGAUUCUGUAUGUCGUCUUUGUAGCGUAUUCUAUAUGUCACCUUUGUAGUGUAUUCUAUUUGUUACUCUAGUAUCGUAUUCUAUUGAGCUCUCAAGGCGUACUAUGUUAAAUUUGUUUCGUAAAAAAGUGUUUAUUCGCUUUUAUGGUAAGUUCUAGAAACAUUUUGACUGAUCUGUGAUAAGUAUUACUAAGAUAAGGUUAUGAUAUUGUAAUGACCCAAAAUUCACGGGCAUCGGAAAAGUAUAAUAUCGGGCCUCCGUCUUAGUAAACUGAGUUCGAAAAUAAUUAUUAGAAAUAUUUACGAAGCUAGUUGUAUGUUUAAUUAGGUUUUAGAUAGGUGAAUUUAGCUUAAUUAAGAGUAAUUAGGAAAAAGGGAUUAAAUUGAAUAAAAGGUAAAAGUCUAAUUAUAGAUCAAAAGAAAAUAAGAGGGACUAAAUAGGAAAUAAGCCAAUGGCUUAAGAGUAGGCGGCAAUACAUGGAAAAAUCUUAGAUUUUUCUUGAUUAAUAUUAUAAAAAUGUUAUUUAAUUAAAAUAUUAUAAAUUAUAUUAAUUAAAAUUAAGAUAUUAUAUUAUAAGAAAUAAAUAAAAUAAAGACAAUUGUGUGGUGAUAAAAUAUUACAUGUGUAAAAUAUAUAAAAACACACUUGUAAUAAAAUAAAACAUUUUCUUAUAAUUCAAGUAAAAGAUAUUUGUGAAUUAAAUAUUAUUAUAUGAUUAUUAUAUUAUUAUUAUUAUCUAAUACAUAAAAGGAAUAAAAGAAAAGAAGAAAAGAAAAAAGAAGAAGAAAAGAAACAGAAUAGGAAAGGACGAAACAGAGAAGAAACAGGGGAGAAAGAAGAAAAAGAAAGAAAAAGGGAAAAUAGGGUUUUUAAAGCUUGGAAUGUAAUUUGGUAAGUCAAUCAAGUCUUUUCUUUUAUUUUUGAUGUUUUAGAAGUUUUAAAACAAAGUUUUGUUGAAAAUAAGUUGAGGUUUUGAGAGUUUAUAGGUUUUUAGGGAUGGUUCAUGUUGAACAAAUUGUUGAAUUAGGGAUUUAAUUGAAUGAAUUUCAAGUUAGAAUUGAUAAAAGGAUUAAAUUGUAAAAGAAAUUAUAAGUUUUACGUUUUAGGGACUAAAUUUAGAGAAAUUCGAAAUUAGCAAAAUAUGCUGAAAUUUUGAUAGUUAAAUUUAAGUUUGGAUGAAAUUUGAAUAGAAAUAGAGUGUGAAUUGAAUUAGAAAAGUAAGUGAACUUAGUUAGGAUUAAAUUGAGAACAAGGUAGGAAUCGAUUAGAAAUUUAAUUAUUUAUUAUAAUUAGUGCUGUAAUUAAUAGUAUAAAUUAUUAUUAUUUUCGUAGCUAACAAAGAACUUGAGGCAUCGGCGUCAAAAGGAAAGGACAAAGUUAUCGAGGACUAAAACGGGAGAUUUACGGUUUGUAUUACUAUAAUUCAAGUUAUUUAUUAUUAAAUGUUAAAUAUUAAUUUAUGUGUUUAGUAAAUGAAAUGUGAGGUAAGUAUUAUUAUUAUUAUUAGUAUUAUUAUUAUGAAGAUGAGUGGGAAUUAAAUUGAAUAGUUGAUAUGAAUUAAUAUUUGAAUUGUUUGUUGAUUGAAAUUGGGAAAUGAAUUUGAAUCAAAUUGUGAAUGGUAUUAAAUUGUAUUGAAAUGUAUUGAGUUGUGGAAAUGUAUGAAAUUGUGGAUUAAUUAUUGAUUGAAAGGUGGAAAAAUGAUUGAAUUGAAAAUGUGAGAAUUUGUGAUUGAAUUGAGGUUAUAUGUGAUUUAAAUACCCUAUUAACUAGUCGAGCUGAGUCGGAUAUAGUUGGCAUGCCAUAGGAUUGGAAGAGUUCAGGGAUACUUCGAUCUCGAGUCGAUAAGACAUUGGGUGUCACUAUAUUUCUUCGGAUAAAUUCGAUGAGGUACUGGGUACCAACUUUCUUCGGCUUUGCCGAUGAGACACUGGGUGUCAACUAUUGCUUCGAACUAUCCGAUGAGGCACUGGGUGCCAUUUUGGUGUGUUUGGUUGAAUCCGUGUAUCUGCCAAAGUCCGAGUUUUGUUAAUAGGGUAAAUAAUGAAAUGAUAAACGUACGAGUUGAUCAAUUGUGCUACUGAAAUGAAAUGAAAAAGUUGAAUUAUGAAUUGAAAUGUGAUAUGAGAUUGAGAAAUGAACCUAAGGUUCAUGAUAUGUCUAAAAUCAAAUUGUGGAUGUAUGAUAUUAAUUGAUGAAUUGCUACUGUUGAGAUAUUGAAUUAAAAUUUGUAUAUAAGAUUUAUGCAUUACAUGUUUAUUAUUGUUAUAAUUUGAAUUAUGGUAAUACCACUGAGUAUGAAAUACUCAGAGUACGGUUAUUUCCGUGCGCAGGUCGAUAGAAGUCAAAGGUCCCGGUUCAGCAUCCAGAUUAAUCUCGGCUUCAGCAUAACUUUGGUGAUGUAUAUUUUCUUUUGGUAAUGUGGCAUGUACAUAGGAUGUGUAUAAAGAUUAUUAUGUUUUAAUAUAAAUGCUUAAAAAUGUUAGUAUUAUAAGUUUAUGAAUUAUAAUGAAUGAAGUUUAUCUAAAUCAAAAACAUACAUUAGGAACAAGUUGGGACUAAAUCAAAAACUCAAAGAAUUUUUUGUAAAAUCUCAAAAUUUUUCUAAGGUACAAGGGGCAUACGCCUGUAUGGCCAAGCCUUGUGGCUCACAUGGCCAAGUGACACACCCGUGUCUCAGGCUGUGUGGCGUUUGAAGUAGAGCACAUGGCUAUGUCCCUAGCCCAUGUAACUCUCUGACUUGCAAUUCUUUUAGGUGCAAGAGUCACACGGCCAAGUCACACGCCCGUGUGCCAGGCCGUGUGAAAAUUUCUGAGCAUUCUGCUUUAAAUUUUUAAGUUGUAGAGGAUACACGGCUAGAACACACACUCAUGUGCUAGGCCAAGUGUCACACACGACUGAGACACACGCCCGUGUCUCUGCCCGUCUGGACAAAAUAAGGUCAUUUCCAAGCCUUAUUCUUCACCCAAUUUCACCUGCCACCUAUAUAAACACUUAAACACAUUCAAGAGUCAAUCCAAGACAUUUAAACCUAGCCAAAUUCAAGUCUUAUGCAUGACAUAUUUAUACCUAUGAUCAAAUGUCCAACUUACCAAGAUAGUCUAAUACUUAUAAACAUGUUUUACUAAAUACACUAUCAUAAACUAAUAUCCAAUAUACUUAUAUGAUUUUCCUUAUUCAACCCUUUAAACAUACUCAUCAAGCAUAUUAAGACUAUUUACAUAUCAAAACAUAUCACUUAAUAGCCAUUACAAUGGCUAAUUUCAACCAACAUUACAUUGCCAUCAAUGGUAACAUUUAACCUAUACAUGCCAUUAUUACCAAAAUUAGUUUACUAUUUAUAUAUAUACCGAAAAGUCUGAGGGAUAGUGUGAUGUAGCUCUAACUAGCUUCCAACCUUUACGAGCCUUUAAGUACUAUAAAGUAGAUGAAAUAAGACAGAGUAAGCACUUAAUGCUUAGUAAGUCCGUAUAACGGAAAAUUAACUUACCAUUCAUUUACUUAUAUAAUAAACAUGCAUAAUACAUCCAAAGUAAUUUGGCAAUUAGCCUAACACAUAUAACCUCAACAAACAUGUUAGUCAUGUGUUUCAUGUAAAUAACAAGAACAAGGAUGAGCUCAUCAUGUAUCGAAUUUCCAAGUAUUUCAUGCAUAUACAGAUAAUAGUUUCAUUUUGAUUUCACAUGUUUCCAUGUCAGAAUUUCACCCGUUGAAUCAUUUGAAAUCUCGAUGGAUACUUGAGUUGUACACCUAAAGUGUACAAUACUAUAAAUUCGUCAAUUCAUAUCUGAGAGUGCUUUUAUGAGCACUUAAACAGAAAGCUCUCUCUUAAGCACUAUAACGGAAAGCUCAUUGAGCCUUGUAACGGGAAGCUUAUCCGGUCAAUAUAACGAGAAGCUCACAAAGAACCUAUAACGGGUAGCUCCAAAAAGCAAUUAAUGGGUAGCUUCGAAGAGCAAUUAACAGGAAGCACAUGAUAGCCAUAUAACGGGAAGUUCAAGCCAGCACUAACAGGAAGCUCAUAAAGAACCUUUAAUCGGGAAGCACAUGAAGAGCCAUAUAACGAGACGAUCAUAAGAGCUGCAGUGUGCCCACAACACAUGUAGGGUCACAACCGAUCGGGAUGCUCUGAAGAGCAUUUAACGAGAAGCUCGCAAGAAUACUAUAACAGGAAGCUUGAGAGGGCUUGUAACGGGACGCUCUUUCGAGCUACGAUACGUUCACAAUAUAUGCAGGAACACUACCAUUUCGGGAAAUAGAACCGUGUUUCCAUCGAAUCUCAUUAUCCAAACGAGACUUAUUAUUUAUCAGGGAUUUUCAGUUAUGAGAUCAAUUACAUAUACAUAUAUGAAAUUUACAUAAUUUACAUAUUCAACACUCAAUAUAAGCAUAUAAAUAUACACAAUUAAGUUAGACGAACUUACCUCGACAAUUGUUCGUGACUUGUAAACUCCUAAUCCGAUACUUUUUCUUUUCCACGAUCUAACUCCAUUUUUGAUCUAUCUAGAUCUAUACGAUUAAAUUUAACAUCAAUUUAAUACAAUUUACAUUCAAUUUAAUCCAAGUCACAUUUUAUGCCAAAUUAUCAUUUUGCCCCUAUACUUUUAAUUAAUGAUGAUUUCGUCCCUAGGCUCGGAAAAUAAAAUUCAUGCAAUUUAAUCCUUAUCCCAAGCCUAGAUAUUUUCAUAUAUAUUAAUAGCAGAUCAUGAAUUCCAUGAAAUUUUAGAAUUUUGCAUGAAUUCAACAACUUUUCAAUUUAAUCCCUAAAUAAUGAUUUCAUCCAAAAUCCUUUAAUAAAAUACCUUUAAAUAUCCAUAUACAUCUCAAUUUCAUCGUAUAAUAACUAAAAUCAUAUAAACUUAUCAAUGGUAUCUUUCAAAACUUUCAACAAAAUCAAAAACUAAUGACAUGGUUAGUUGGACCUAAUUGUAAAAGUCCCAAAAAAUAAAAAUUUCAAGGAAAGAGCAAGAAUUAAACUUACAUGAAGAAAAUAUUGAAAAACCAGCUUAAACCCUCUUAAAUGGUUGUUUUACAACUGAAAAAUGAUGAUAAAAUGUAUAGAAUUUCAAUUUCCCUUUUAUUUCACUUAAAUUUGGCCCUUAUUUCACAUCAAUCCUUUGAUUUUUCUAUGCUUAUGCCACCUCAGCCAUCCCAUGUGGGUCCAAUUGCCCUUUUAGUCCUCCUUUAUUUACUAUUUAGGCUAUUUAAUCACUAUUUAUUUAAUUAGCAAGUUUUGUUCUUUUUUCAAUUAAGUCCUUUUUAAUUAAUUAACUACCAAAACAUUAAAAUUUUCUAACAAAACUUUAGUACUACCUUAAUGACACUCCUUGAAUAUUUAUAAAAAUAUUUACGGCUCGAUUUAUAGGACCGAGAUCUCGAUACCUCUUUUCUAAAUCACUUUACCUAAUAAAGCCUUGUAAAACUCAAAUUACUAAUUCAAAAAUCUUUUAAAAACCACAUUUGAAUUGUAAAUAUUAAAUAAUAAAAAUUUACGAGCUUAUUUACUAGAUUUGGUGGUCUCGAACCACUGUUUUCGACAUCACUGAAAAUUAGACUGUUACAGUCUGUGUUAUGUAAGGGUUGAAUACGAGUCAUCAGGAAUCCACCAUACCUGAGUUGCAUUAAGCCUUCUUCUAAAAUCACAUGGAAUCUGAGUUAUUGUUAUCUUGAGUAUUUGGAGUCUUAUGAUAGAGUGGUAUGAAAUUUAUCAGAAUGAUCUGUAUAAAAUGUUAUCAGUGUGAGUUGGUAUGAUAUCGAGCUUAGACAUGAUGUGACAGGUAGUUGAGGGAAUUCAGAUCUGCAUAAGCAUUUGCCAAAAUGAUAAGAACCACUAUUUUGGAAUAAGUGUAUGGGUUAAGAGACUAUUUGUACGAAGUAAGCUUGUAGUCAUAUUUUUUGGAGUAGUACUUUUGUGAUUAAGAGAAAGAUGGGAUGGGUGUAAUGUUUGAAAGGAUCAUAAGCUAGUUAGUUCAUAAAGAAUGGAUAAGUUAAGAAUAAGGUAGUUGGUGUGUAAGAGUACGCUGAAACUGUAUAGUAUCUGCCUAAAACAGAAGUAAGUGAUUAAAAAAGAUAGUUGGCGCAUAGAUGUAUUGCAAGUAUUAGGAAGUAUCCGUCAAGGUAUUGUAUAUUAAGGCUCACCGAGUUCUUUGAAACUUACAACGAUUGUGGUUGUUUUAGGUAUGCGAUAUAAUAGUGCACUAGGAGGGACGACGCAAGGAGUACGCUAAAGUAGCGACGAAAAGGAUUAUUAUGCAUACAGUGGAAAAAAAAGGCGCACUGUAGUAUUUUACUAUAAGAGUCAAUUAUGUAGUAAAUACUUGUUUUGUAAUAAAUUGUUUUUGGUCUGAUGCAAACUUUUAUUUUUAAAUACUUUCUAUUGUUCCUUUGAUAAUAAGUAUUCAUAUGAAAUGGUAAUGAAAAAUGUUUUAAGUAAAGAAUGUCUGCCAUCUGCUUUGAAAGCUUUUGUUAAGUAAUGUAUGUCGCAAUAUCUGAGACCUAGAUUCGGUGAAUCAAGUCGGGUUGAGGAUGUUACAAUUUUUAUCAUUAAAAAAUAAUGUUAAUAAAAAAAUUCCUAAUAAUAUUACACCAUUUGUACAAACUAGAAAAAAAAUGAUAUAUUGUAAAUUAAACUUUUUCAUAUUCAAUUUUGUAUUUUCUUUCUUUCUUUAUAGUUAAUAAAUUGAAUACAAAAAUUUGUAGAUAAUAUAUAAUUAAUAUAAUUAUAAUAUAUUAGAUUAGAUUAUAUAAAUGUAUUAUCUAUAAAAUUUUAUAUAUGCAACUUAUAUAAAUAAUUAAAAUUUUCUUUAAUGGAAAUAUAAUAGUCAUUUAAUAGUAGUCUUUUAAUAUAAUCAAAUUCUUACUUAUGAGAUCACUUUUUUCAAGUAAAUUUGUUUAACCAAAUAUUUUAGGAAAGCUAAAUUUUUUAUUUAUAAAUGUAAUAAAUCUUAUAAAUAGAAGUAUUAAAAUGAAAAUUUUUAGUAUUAUAAUGAACAACAAAAAUUAUAUUAAUCGGUUCAAAAGUUUUUCUAAAUUUAUGUUUUAUAUAUUAAUUUUUAGCAUCACAUACAUUGUACAUGAUUUUAAGCCUUUAAUAAUUUAAUUAAUUUUUAAAAGAAUAUAUUUUUAAUUAUGAUAAUCAGUGUAAAAAAAUAUUCAAUUAGUUUUUUAAAUAUUAUAUUUUGAAUUACUUUAAUAAUUCUAAAAUGAUAAUAUUUAUCCAAAAUGUUGAAUAUAAUUAAAAUAUAUUAACUUAAUUAAUAAUUUAAAUAUAAUAAUAAUUUCCAAAUCAUAAUUAAAACAUAUCUAACAUAUUAUAAAUAAAAAACCAAAUAUAAGUAAAAAAUAAAACAAAAACAGUAUAACGCAAAAUAGAUUAUGAGGAUUAACGAGAGAUAAAGUUGAACAUCCCCAUGGGACAUGGAAUCGACAAAAUUUGGUUUUUUGGAGCUUUGGUCAUUUAACUGUCGUAAUUGGACUACCAAAUUUGGAAAUUAUUGAUGAUAUAUCCAAGUCAUAAAAAAAAAGGAAACAAAAAGUUCAAGAUUUUUCAUUUCAUGAAAGAUUUUGUGUUGCAUUGUUUUCUCUACUCGAAGAUUUUCGUCUAAAAAAGUUGUUGAUAAUACGAUUAUUAAUAAAAACAGCAAGAAAAAUAAACGUCAUAUGUAAUUUUAUCUAAUUGUUCUAGUGCAUAUUUGUUGGGUUAUUCUCUCUUUUACUAUUUAACGCAUGUUCCUUGUCAUCAUUUCAAUUUGAACAUGCAUCGUUAAGAUUAUCGAGAUCUCUUUCUUCCAUGUACUUUAUGAAGAAUGGGUCAUCACAAUUUCACCUAAGAUUGAAAUUAUGAAUAUGCAACAUGCUAGUAUAGUCUAGCAUUUUAUUUUAUAAAAAAGUUUUAUAAAAUAGGCCUGAAAUUUUUCCUAAGCCUGACACAGAUAAAAAUGCUAAAACCCAAGCCCAACUAUAUUAAAUUUUUUAUAUUUUCAUAUAAUUUUUUUAAAAACUAUAAUAUCUUAAAAAUAAAAUAAAUAUUUCCUAACAAAUUAAAAAUAAAAUUAAAAAAUGUAUAAUUAAAUAAAGAAUGAAAAAAACAUCCUAUGCGUACAAAUAACACUGUUAUAAAGAAUGAAAAAACAUCCUAUGUGUACAAAUAACACUGUUAUAAUAACAUUACUAUAUAUUAACCUUUUUUAAGUAACAAAUACAAAGAAUAUUUUUGUUAUUUAACCUUGUGAAGUUCUUAAUAAUACAGUUAUUUAUUUAAUAACAGUGUUAUAAUAUAUUAAUCCUAUUUGUAUCGAGUUUAAUAUGUUAGUAACACUAAGAAAUUAAAAAAUAUAUAUGUAUACUUAAAUAACCGUGUUAUUAUAACUCAACAUAGUUCAAUUUAACAAGUAAAUAUUUUUAAAAUAGUAACAAAAUUAACAAUAAAAUAAGAGUUAUAUAAUAUCUAAACAAUAACAACAAAACAAUAAUAACAUAGUAAUGAAAUGGUAGCAAAAUAGUGUUAAAACAACAAGAAAAUAGAAUCAGAAUAGUAAACAAAACAACAACAAAAACUAUUUUUUUUUUUGUAAAUUUGGGCUAGACUCGGGUCAAAAAAACCUUACUCAAGGUCCGACCCAUUUUCUAAAUGUACCUUAUUUUUAACUCAUACCAAUUUUUCGAGCCUAUAUUUUUACUUAAACUUUCUAACUUUAUGGGUAAGUCUUUAGGCCAAGCUGGGUGGCCCAACCUAUUAAUAGGUCUAUAAGUGACUAAAACAAAAAUAAAAGAUAAUAUUAAUGAUAAAAUUGAAAGUUUUUAUAAUUUAAUAACAAAAAAAAAUACGCUGAUAAUUGAGUAACUGAUUAUAUAAUUAUCAUUCCUAUGCAUAAAAUCUAUAUAAGAGAGGCAUGCUUUUUUUGUAGUCUUCCCCUUUAACUAGACAAAGCAAAGUGAUCUGUACUUGAAAUUAAGCAAAGCACAAUACUCUUUUUUUUUUUUUUUUUUUUUACUUUAGCAUCUCAACCUUUCAAGUUACUCUUGCAUAUACCUUUCUUGCUAGAAUUUAAGGUAAUAUGCCUUGUUUUUAAUUAAUUAUUCUUAAUUUAAUUAUCUUUCUUCUCCAUAAAUUUCUUACUUUUUUUAAUAAUGAUUAUGUUUUCCAAUAAAAAUAUUAUAUAUGUGAUGCAUUAAAAAAUUAAUUAUGAUAUAAAAAUUAAGAUUAAAGGGUGUUUGAAGCACCUACACUUUUUUACGAAAAAUUAUUUAAGCUUUUAUGCUUUUUUUUCUUUUCUUUUUUGCACUCCAUUGAGUCUUUAAAUAUUAAAAUUUUAAGUAAUUAAGUUUUUUAACUGUUAAAGUUUACGGUCAACUGUUAAAGAGUAAAUAUGACGAUUUUGAGGCUUGUUUUUAUCACAUAGCAAACUAGGAUUGUGUUAUAUGGUGAAAUCUGACAUUUUAUAUUAAAAAUCAUAAAAAUUAUAAAUAUAUAUAUACAAAUUGUAAACAUAUAUAAAAGUGAAAAAUUACAACAAAAAUUAUAUAAAUGACAAAAAAAUGUUAAAUUUAUUAAAAUUUGAAAAAAUUUAAAAAGUAUUAAAAUUUAAAAUUAAAACUAUAAAAAUUAUGAAAAUUUUUUAAAAUAUAGAAAAUUAUUUGAAAUAUUAUAAAAUAUAGAAAGUGAAAAAAUUAUAAAAAAAAGUUUAAAAAUAAGAUGAACUACAAAAAGGGUAUACCAAAAUAGUCACUUUUGUUUACUUCAGGUUACGUAUUAGUCACUUACGUUAACGUGUUGUAACAUUUUAGACACUGAGCCGUUAAUUGUAGUUAACGGUGUAAUGGUAAGCUGACGUGGCAUGUUAAAUUGUCAUUUCAAACAAAAAAAUUUGGCUAAAUUUUACAAUUGGUCCCUAUUUUUUUUUUGUUUUGAGCAAUUUAAUUUUUUCAUUUUGGUCCCAUAAAAAGUUUUAACAUAUGGAAACAUAGAAAAACUACGUGUUAAAAGAAAUGAAGAAGAGAAUAACAAUAAUAACAAAAUCAUGAAAUAGGAUAUUUUAAUUGUUAAACCAUUUAAUUGUUAAAGUUAACGGUCAACUGUUAAAAGAGUAACGAUAGCUAUUUUAGAGGUUGUUUUCAUGAUGUGGCACAUCAGGAUUGUGCCAUGCAGUGAAAUAGGAUAUUUUAUAUAAAAAAUCAUAUAAAUAUCUUCAAAUUAAAAAUAUAAUAAAUGGAAUAAAACAUAAAAAAUAUUAAAAAUUGAAACUUUUUUAAAUAAAGAUUAAGAAAACAUAAAUAUAUAUAAAUUACAAAAAAAUUGCAAAAUUAUGGAAAAUAUUUAAAAAUAUAGAAAAUUAUUAAAAUUAUUAAUAAAAUUUAAAAACUAUUAUAAAAAGCAUAAAUUUGUUCAUAAAAUAAUUAAGUUAUUAGUAUAAAUAAUGAGAUUUUUUUUUACUAUUUUUCAAGUUCGUUUUAUUGCUCAUGUUUCGGGUUUGUGACUGCCUCUCUUAAUAAUAUCACCUUCAAGAUUCAAAUAUACGUUCUUCGCUUAAGAGUGUAAUGUAUCUUAUCAUAGUACCCAACACUUAUUGGUAUGAUAUACUUAAACUACUAAUUGUAAUUCUAUACUAAAAAUAUAUAUAUUUAUUUUGGAUUUGAAUGAUUCGAUUUACAUUUUUAAAAAAUUGUUUUAAAUUUUUUAACUUACUAGAUUUAUAUAUUAAUCAUAUUUGGAUAUGUAACGCCCUGAAUAAUUUAUUUUUGUUUUUGUAAAUACUUGACAUAAUUGUAUAUUUGUUUUAGUGGUUAAGUGUUUUGGGUGUGUGUAUGGGGUUUUAGGUCCAAGUCCCACUUUAGGUAAAAUUUGUUAUUUUUCUAAUCCUAACCUUAUCCUUGUUGAGUGGGUUUAUAUAAAAUUGUUUGAUAAUUCAUAUUAGAAUAAGCUUAUUGGUUCGAGUGGUAAGGAGUUGGUGUGUUGAAGGUCUUGUGUUUAAAUCAUUGCGUGAGUGUAGGUAUUAAUUUUUACCUUGAUUGGCUGAGAGAGUUUGGAUGGGAGUGGGAGUCUGAGUGAGUGGCUAGUUGUGGUUGAGAUGAUAGUGGGAAGUUGGGAUACUGGGGUUAUCUGAUUUUGUUUUUGUUUUUUUCAAAAAAAAAAAAUUGGUCCUCUCUCUCAAAAAAAUUUCUGAUGUUGGUUUUCCCUUUCUCUACAUUUUUUAUCAAUUUAAUUGUUCAGUCUUGGUAGUUCAGCUUUUCGGUGUUCUUGUGCGUUUGUUAAGUGGUGUCAGAAUGCUUUCCUCGGGUUAUAGAGAUUUUUCUUUUAAGCUGUUUAGAAUGAUGUUGAUUUUUCGUUGGUAUUGAAAUUAUGUUUUUGGCAGUAGCGAAUCGUGAAGAACGAGACUCUCCUCUUGCGCAAUCGUAGUCGAAGUCAUUCAAGAAAUUGGGUAAGCGUUGAACAUUCGAGUUUCAUCAUCAUCAAUUUCGUUAGUUCGGUUUAAUUGUGAGUUUAGAAUGAUGUUGGAAGUUUAGUUGUGUCAAUUUUAGGUGUUGUUUUGGUUCGGAAGUGUUUUCGCAUUAAAACUGAAACAGUUGUGUUCCCAAAACGCAGAAAAUCAAGUUUCAGUAAAAGCCAAAAAAUGAAUUCUAUCGACGCCACACGGGCGUGUGCCUAGCCGUGUGCGAGACACGACCGUGUGUUUGUCGAAGGCAUGACCAUGCGUAAGACAUAGCCGUGCGGUGGUGUGGGUAUGGCCGUGUGGGCCACACAGGCUAAACCAAGUAGGCCGUGUGGGCCACACAAGCAUCUGGACCGACACGUUUUGGGCUAGCCCGUGUGAGCCACAGGGCAAGGCCAAUCUAGGCGUGUGGGCCCACACGGGUAUGUGGGCCCAUAAUUCUAAAAUUUUCCCUAGGGUUACACAGUUUGUUUCGAUCGACUGUGAGCCAAUCGUAAGGUCGGUAAGGGUUAACCAAACCAAUUAUGUGAUCUGAUAUUUUGAUAGUUUGCCUUGUGUAGGAUACCGAGAUGUAUAUCUGUUCUAUUUAAGUAGAUAUAUAUAUAUAUGCUAUCUGUGUAUAAGUAUGUUAUGAAUGAUAUUACUGUAUCUGUUAUUUUUAUAUUUAUAAACUAUAUCUGUGAUUGGACCAGGUUUUGUAUAUGUGGAGGAAGUGCUCUGUACAGUGACACUUCUCCUAUACUCUGGUAGCUUGUCUGCAUAUUAUCUGUAAUGUGUCGCAUCUAUGGUGUGUUAGGAUGAGUGAGUGUUUUUAACCCCACAUGAUGUGAUGGGAUGGUCGGAGAUGGUGUGUAGAGGAUGGGGUAGGCUUCUACAUGUCUGUACUGUUUAUUUGAAUAUGUUAUUUGUAUCUGAAAUUGACAUAAGUCCGAAUCUGUAUCUGACUGUAUAUGAGAUUUCUGUAUGUGUUACAUGUCUAUUUCUAUUGGGUUACACACUGAGUUUACAAAAAUUCACAUCUGUAUGUUUAUUUUGUUCAGGUAAUCUACAGACUUAGGCGGAUCAGUGUGACGGAGCCUCAUGGUGACCACGAGUCCGUAAAUUAUUUAAGAUUAAGGUUUUUAUUUAAUUUAAGAAUUAUUUCUGGAAGUUUUGUAAUAAUUGGACUCUCUGGAUUGUUUGACUUUUAUUUUGGUUUGGAGGCAUUUUAACUUUUAUCGUCACGUUUGACUAAAAUCACGAUUUUACAAAAAUAAAAGGAUUUUCCAAACACACGAACUAUAUUUCCAAAAUACAAUGUUUUCUAAAAACUUUAGCUAUAGUUCAUGUUUUGGAAAAAUGAAUUAGUUAAAUAAUGCUUUCAGUAACCGAUAUUAAACUUGGAUGAUUUAUCAAACGACUAAACAAAACUUUAUAAAAUUAACACUGUUUUAAAAACCCUUCCAUGUAACACUAUUGGAUUCGACCAUAACAUCUAAGCCAAGUCUGGGGUGUUACAUUUAGUGGUAUUAGAGAUAAGUUACAAAACUCGGGCUGUAAAUUUUGAGUUCCAAAAUUGUGUUUCAGAAAGAACUAGUUUUCAAAUGAUUUAGAUCACAUUGAGUAAGUUUGUGGUAUACCGAGUCUCUAGCGCCGAUCCUGUAAGUAUUUCUGAACUUAGAUAGAAUAUUCUGAAAACACUGUAGUUAGCACUUUCUGAAACUAUACUGAGUUAGUUAGAGACUAAAACCUUUAAAAUACUUUUGAACUUCUGAUAAAUUAAGUAUAAAAUAUUUGUUAAUAAAUACUGGAACUGAUACAUAAAAUUUUAUAAUGUAGAUAAAUUUGAAAUAUAUGAUGAACGCUCGUGAAACUUACUGUCGUGGUAUUCAUGAGUGCAGUAAGGGCCGUAAGGGGCUCGAGUUGAGUCUUUCUCUCUGGGUAGUAUACCAAACUUAGACACGAGUGAGACACUGGUUUCACCUGCUACUGAGACUGGGUAUCAAAGCUGCUCAACUGAGGAUGACGCACUGUCCAAGCUAUGUUGAGGGUGUUAGAGAGGGUCACUAGACCCUAUUUUGGAUCUGGAGACCGUGGGUUGGUAACUGAACGACUCCGGUCCAAUGGGGUUGAGCUGUUUAGGGGUGUCACUAGAGUCGCCCCUAUUGUGGCCGAGUAUUGGUUGGAGGCCACUGAGAGGAUCAUAAACGAUAUCGACUCUACUCUUAAGAAUAAACUUAAGGGUGCAGUCUCUUUCCUUCGUGACAAGGCAUAUCAGUGGUGGUUGUCAGUUGAGGAGGGUACUCAACUAGAUCGUCUGAACUGGAAUUAUUUUAAGACUACCUUCUAGGGAAAACAUGUGGGCACGAGUUAUGUUGAUGCUCGUAGAUGUGAGUUUAUGAAUCUCACGCAAGACGAUAAAUUUGUGGCCGAGUAUGAGGCUGAGUUUCAAAGGUUGAGCUACUACGCUCGAGACAUGGUGGCAUUUGAGUAUGAAAAAUGCGUCCUAUUUGAGGAUGGUUUAAGGGAUAGUUUGAGGGUUCUGAUUGUUCCAUAGAGGGAGCGUGAGUUUGCUAUUUUGGUGGAUAAUGCGAAAAUCACUGAAGAGGUUAAGUGCUUGGAGCGCCAGAAUAGGGAUUAUGAGAUAAGUAGGAAUAAAAGGGAUUUGGAGCCUUCUAGUUCUAUUCAGAUGCCUAAGAAAUGGGCCAGACCUGAUAGACCUGUUAAGGUGGUAAUUCCUGUCGCUCCUACUGGGAUUCAGCCAUGUGGUGAUUGUUGUAGGCGCCAUCCGGGCAAGUGUUGGAAGAGGUUAGGGGCUUGUCUGAGGUAUGGGUUUUUGCAGCAUCAGAUUAGAGAGUGUCCAUAAUGUGCUGAUCAAAUGCAUGCUUUAGGACCGAGUUCGGUACAGCCUCAGAGGGCAAUUCAGUAGCCACCUAGUGGCAGUGGACCGGCUAGGGGUGGUAAUGGUAUGGGCCAGGAUAGAGAGCAUCGGGCAGAUGUGCUAAUCAGACUGAGGCGAGACAGCCUACAUUAGUUUAUGUUGCUCGACACUAAGAGGAUAGAGACACUCCUGAUGUGAUCACGGGUACAUUAUUUAUUUUUUAUAUUCCUUAUACUGCUUUGAUAGACAUAGGUUCUACACAUUCCUAUGUAGCUAGUACUGUUUCUGAAAACUUGGAGGUUUCUAUUGAGAGUACUUCUAGCGAGAUUACCGUACUAAGUCCGUUAGGACAAUCUAUUCAGGUUAGUAGAUUAUAUAGAAAUGUUCCAUUAGAGGUACAAGGGGCUGUGUUUCUGGCAAAUUUAAUAGAGUUAUCGUUUAGGAAGUUCGACUUAAUUCUGGGAAUGUACUAGUUGGUUGAGCAUCUAGUUAGCUUGAAUUGUGCGACUAAAAGGGUUAUUCUAAGGACCGUGGAUGAUAAGGAAGUGGUUGUGAUCGGUGAGCUUCGAGAUUACUUGUCUAAUGUGAUCUCCGUUCUAGUGGCUGAGAAAUUGGUUCGAAAAGGGUGUCAGGCAUAUUUGGCUUACGUCAGUGUUUCAGUUUUUGAGGACUCUUCUGUCGAGUAUAUCAGAAUAGUGAGGGAAUUUCUGGAUGUCUUUCCUGAGGAGUUACUGGGUUUACCUCCAAAUUGAGAAGUUAAGUUUGGCAUUGAGAUUCUACUAGGUACAGUUUCGGUGUCUAUCGCUCCCUACCGAAUGUCACCGAAGGAGCUUACAGAGCUUAAGGCUCAACUUCAAGAGCUUCUGGACCGUGGUUUUAUCCGUCCUAGUGUGUCUCCGUGGGGAGCACCGGUUCUGUUUGUAAAUAAAAAGGAUGGUACCAUGAGGAUGUGCAUCAACUACCAACAGUUGAAUAAACUAACUGUGAAUAAUAAGUAUCCACUUUUGAGGAUCAACGACUUUUUUGAUCAGUUUUGAGGGGCUUUAGUGUUUUUGAAAAUAGAUCACCAUUCUGAGUAUCAUCAACUUAGAGUUAAGGAAGUGGAUGUUCAUAAGAUGACAUUUAGGACUCGUUAUGGGCACUACGAGUUCCUAGUUAUGCCCUUUGGUUUGACGAAUGCUCCGGAUGCAUUCAUGGAUUUGAUGAACAGAGUGUUUCAGCCGUAUCUGGAUUAGUUUGUCGUGGUCUUUAUUGAUGAUAUUCUGGUUUGUCUUUAUUGAUGAUAUUCUGGUUUACUCUAAGACUGAGGAUGAGCACGAUGAGCAUUUUUUCCAAAACAUGUCUGAAUUAUUCAUGCAACUAUAUUAUUCAUUGCAAAUGUCUGAAUUACCAAGUUUAGAGCUUUGUGGUUAGUACUUUGGAUGAUUAAAUAGCUAUUAUUUAAAAAAAAAUCAUCAAUGCAAUUAAUUGUUUUCAUGAUUUUAUUUUCAUUAUUAACAUUAGUUCUAAUUGUCUUCAUGGCUGCAGAUGUGUUUUGCUCAAAUGCAAAGCACCAGAAGUUUUAUCCGUUUCAAGGAGUUCACGAAGCAUUUGACAUUUCAUUCGUACUUCUUCAAUAAAGGAUGCUCAAAUUCUAAGUGUGAUUUGGUUUAAGUGCUGCUUUUGUUUAAGAUUUAUUUGGGUUUGUAUGAUUUAAAUUCACUAUUACUUAGGGGUUCAUCUAUGAUUUGUACGAGUGUGUAAGAUUUAAUUUUCAAUAUUAUUUUGGGUCAGAAAAUUAAUAAUUUUUUGAAUUAUUUCUAAUAUAAAUUAUUUUCUAUUUAAAUCAUUUCUGCAGUACUAAUUAAUUAUUUAAAUUAUUGUUUUAGGGUGUAUAUGAAUGAAAUUUUUGGAAGCCACCGAUUUUCUUUAAUGCUAAAUGCUUUUCUAUUGCAUAUAUUUAUUUGACAAGUAUAAGUAUAAAUAUUUAUAUUUAUAUGAAAUAAAACAUGAUCAAAAGAUAGAACAUGAUAUAAAAGAGUCACGGAAAUUAUACAAAUAUGAAGCUCAAUUUCAACUAUACAUAAAGUUAAUUCCAAUAUUUGGUCCCUUGCUAGAGUGAAAUCUUAGGCUCCAACUUAUUUUUUUGAAAAAGUUAAUAUUUUCUGGUGUUUGGAUGAAUUUGUGUAAAAUAUUUUCUUUUAUUUAGUAGGUUCUUUAAAAAUAUUUCAUGAAAGUCGUUUUCAAUUAAACAAACAUACAUUUGAGAUUUUUUUUUUAUUUUUUCAUUGUUUAAUUGAGUUUAUUUUAAAUAUUUUAAAUAUUUUAUUAUUAUCAAUAUAAUAAUAUUAAACUUGAUUUAUGUUAAUUUUUAUAUAAAAGUUAAAUUACCUAUUGAGGAGCUCUUUUCCGGAAAAUGACUUAUUUUCCGUUGACCUGUAAGUCAUUUUCUGUUGACCAAACUGUUUUCUAUGAAACAAACUCAGGAAAAUGUAGAAAAAUUUUUCUGUAAAACCUUUUACAUGUAAACAAACAUACCCUUAAUUUCAAAAUUAUAAAUAAAAUGCAUGGUCCAAUUAACAUACACAACCAUUGAAAAUUAUAAAUAAAUACUUUCAAAAUAUCCAAUAAGGUAUUUGCAAUCACUUAUGUCUAUUUAAAUUUAUUUUAUUAUAUUAUAUGAAUAACAUUCGUUUUUAAUAUUUUUUAAAAAAUAAUUAAUUUCUUAUAUGGCAUACACGUAGACUUCUACAUGGAUGUCAGAUCAAUAAGUUAACAUUCGUUAACUUUUCCCACAUAUAUAUUUUAUUUCUUUUUUUUUCUCAUUUUAUUUGACACGUUGUUACAUACCUAGUCAACUAUAAGCAGGAAAAAAAUACAAAGAAGUCAAACUGUAAUCCUCAAACUGCCAUUUCUCAGUCAUUCCUCAAAUUAAUAGUAUGGUUUGAGAAUUAAAUUGAUAGAAUUUAGAUUAAAUUUGUUGCAUUAUUUAGAAUUAGAGCUUAUUUGAUAAAAUGUGUAAGUGUUAAGGACUAUAUAUAUUAUUAUACCAAGUAAAAAAAGCCCACCCCACCAUUUCCAUUAACAUUUUAACUAGUGGGAGGACAAGUGACCAAAACAAAAACAAGUGAUAAAAUUGAAAAUUUUUAUAAUUUAAUAACCAAAAUAAAAAUAUACUAAUAAUUCGGUGACUGAUUAUAUAAUUAGCAUUCCCAUACAUAAAAUCUAUUUAUAAAGUAGUCUUCCCCUUAAAGUAGACAAAGCAAAAUGAUUACUUAAAAUAGAAAUUCUAAAUGCAUUAAGAAUAGAGAAACUUUGAAAAUUUAUUGUAUAAUUUAAUUAAGAAAUAAAAUAAAAGGGUUCAUUGAUGAAGUGUUAACAAAGUAUAAAGAAUUAUAUACCAAACUUGUUUGCAAAGAAAAGAAAAGAAUACUACUUUCAUUAAAUAAAAUCAAAUGCUUUUGCAUUUCUUAAUAGUUUGUUACAAUAUUAAAUAUGAAAGAGAAGAUAGUUGGCAUCUUUUCUUUUUUUAUUCAAUAUGAAUUGCAAUGCCUUCACCCAUCUUCACCCUUCUUUUCUUUCUUUACUUCCUACCUCUUUCUACCCUUCUCUUUUUCUCUCUUUCCUUUCUUCUUUCUUUUCUUCAUUCCUAUCAUCUCCUUCCUCUUUUUCAUUCCUCACAACCACACUAAUUAAUCGAGAUGAAGAACGAGAAUGAGAAUGUGAGUCACGAUGAGUCGGUGCUACAGAUUCAACAUCCUUUUCAUGAGGAACAUCCCUUGGUGUUAGUGGCAGAGCAAAGCAAUGAAGGUCUCAAAGCCCACUGCCAUGGAUGUGGGGAACUGCUUUCAGCUCCAUGCUUCACUUGUAUUCAUUGCAAUUAUCACCUUCACAAGCAAUGUGCAGAGGCACCCCUUUACCUUCCUAAUCACCCUCUCCAUCCUGAGCACUUAGAUGCAGGUCUUUUUCUUCGACAAAGGCCAGAUCCUAAACAUAUGGUAUAUGGUUGUGCAUUAUGCAAGGAAAAACGUAACAUGUUUUUUAUGAAUGUCGUGGUUGUUUCUUUUCCAUUGACAUCAAAUGUGCUCAAUUAUCUUCUUCAUUUAAGUUUAGCCAACUGUCCAAACAUGACAUCCACCAACAUCCAUUGACCUUCAUAGAAAGUCCCAUGGCCAUAGAUGUACCCAAAAGAUUCAGCUGCUCCUGGUGUCAUGAACCUUUGACAAAUGCUAUAUAUUUUUGUUUUGAGUGUCCAUUUUUUAUCCUUCAUAAGAAAUGUCUUGAUGAGUUACCUACUAAAAUUAAUCACACUUCCUAUCACAUACACCCUAUUUUUCUUAACCGUAGUGGCAGUGAUUGUUUGUGCAACCUAUGCCAAAAGCAACAUUCAGGACCUUUUUAUGGUUGUUCUCUUUGCCAUUUUAACAUCAAUAUUGGUUGUACUCUUCCAAUGUCCAUUGUUGAAGGUAAAAGCCGCCAUCAACACCCAUUCACAUUAUUUCGAAGACGAGGUUCAUUCAUUUGUGAUGCAUGUGGCAUCGAGGGAAAUUCUAUUUCUUAUAUAUGUUUGAAAUGUUACAUCGAAGUCCACAAGAAAUGCACUUCACUCCCACGUAUUAUCAAAUUUUCUCGACAUGAUCACUGUAUUUUUCACAAAUAUUUUCUUGAAGAUCUUACAAGGCAAGAUUGCAAGAUUUGUUUCAAAGAAGUGAGACUAGAGCAUGGGAGUUACUCUUGUGGGAAGCUAGGGUGCAAUUACGUUGUCCAUGUGAAUUGUGUCUUAGAGGAUGAUAAGUUGUACGAGGUAAUUGAGGACGAAAAGCAAUGUGAGGUAUGGUGCAUUCAGAUGUGGAAAGUGCAUAUUUGCUUUGGAUUUUGGAUGCUUAACAUUACCACGUUCAGCUCUUCACAAAAUUGAUGAACACAAGCUAAAGCUUACUUAUCAUGAUGAUAAGGAGCAAAGUUAUUGUGAUAUUUGUGAGCAAUAUAGAGAUCCAAGCCUUUGGUAUUAUUCUUGUUCAAUCUGUGAUAC